Molecule: long non-coding RNA, 184477 nt
Filed under: Vitis vinifera (wine grape)
Lineage: Eukaryota; Viridiplantae; Streptophyta; Magnoliopsida; Vitales; Vitaceae
Description: long non-coding RNA (VVIN_LNC003867)
Source: RNAcentral
ACUUUUGAGAUAGAAACCCAGAAUGGCUUCCACAAGCUCCUUCAGAGCCUCUUCUUCUUCUUCUACUCCUUCCAUCCCUCAAACAAGUACUUAUGAUGUUUUCUUGAGUUUUAGAGGCGAAGACACCCGCUAUAAUUUCACUGAUCACCUCUACAAAGCUUUGGUUAACAGAGGCAUUCGCACCUUCAGAGACGAUAAACUCAGGAGAGGAGAAGCGAUCGCUCCAGAACUCUUGAAAGCCAUCGAAGAAUCAAGGUCUUCCGUAAUUGUUUUCUCUGAAAACUAUGCUGGUUCGAGAUGGUGUUUGGAUGAGUUGGUAAAGAUCAUGGAGUGCCACAAAGAUCUGGGACAUGUUUUCCCAAUUUUCUAUCAUGUGGAUCCAUCCCAUGUACGAAACCAAGAAGGAAGUUUUGGAAAGGCCUUUGCCGGUUAUGAAGAAAACUGGAAGGACAAGAUACCAAGGUGGAGGACGGCCUUGACGGAAGCAGCCAAUCUUUCUGGAUGGCAUAUACUAGAUGGGUAACUAUAAUUUCCUUUCAACUAUUUGUAAGUAUAGGAAUGAGUAGUUUUGCAUUUAUAGAGUGAUGAUAAGCUCAAAUUUUUUAUUUGGAGGUCUACUACUUAAGCACAAAUUUCUCCUCAAAAUGCUUUUAGUUGAAGUCUUUUAUGUGUAAAUGUGUUUAAUAUUCUUUUAUAGGAAAUGUUUUCACUAUAAGUGUUUUCUAGAAAAUCAGCUAUCUUUUCCACGAAUUUAUUUUUUCUAACCUUUUUAUAAGUGUUUUUUUCCUUUUUCUUUACUUUUUAUAAAAAGAAUAGUAGAAUAACAAUUAUAUUGAGUUAGAAUUCAUGAUAAAUGGUAGAAUGAACUUAUUAAAACCCAAUUAAUGAGUUUUACUAUUUUAGGUCAAUUUAUGAGAAUCUAUAUCUAAACUAAUUUAAUCAAAAUUUAUUACUAAUUUUUCAAUUGUCAAGAUUCAAUCCACAUUAAUGUUACAAAAAUUAAUCAAUUUAUUUGAAAUUUUGUUUGAAUAAUUAUAUAACAGGUAACAAUAAAAUUAAUGACUAUUACUAUCUGUUGAAGAGCUUCAAAAUUUUCAAUUAACCAAUCUCUUGUGUAUUCAUAGAACAACUUAAUCAAAUUAUGUAACAAGUAACAAUAACAAAAUUAUUUGACCAAAUAGUUUGAUUAAUUAUGUGACAAUUACUAAUAACAAAAUUAUGUGACGUAAAUUAUUUAGUAGGAAUUCAACUUCCCUGAGAGUUUGUGUGUGUGUAUAUAUAUAGACAAUAAAGAACAAUGGUUAGGCACUUAAUUUUCUUACAGAUGAUGCUGAAGAAAUCAACUCAAAAUAAAGAUAAAUGAAUAACUUUUUUGCAAGCCUUUAAUUUUUUUUUUUUAUUAUACAAAUCAAUAAUAAGGAGAUGAUCUUGCAGGAUAGAUAAGUUUUGAAGCUUGAGGAAUUGAAAAUGGGGUCUUUAAACUAAAAACUUCUUAUAUUAAGAGGUUGAGUACUAUAUCUACAACGAGGCUUCAGGCAUUACAAGAUAUAAAACGAAUGUCAAAGAAUAAAAUAUUUGCUCCUGCAAGGUUUCUAAUUGCCAUGGGCUGUUAAAGCGUUUUGGAAAUGUGCAUAAAUGAUAAUGCCACACAAGGAGCACAACUAACAAAAUUCAAAAUUUAUGUUUUAUUUUUUAUUCUCAUGAAUACUUGAUACAAAGAAAAAUGUCCUAAAAAUGUAAAUGAACUAAUAUCUUUGAUAGGUAUUGUUCUACUUUAAUUUAUUUCUCGUAAAUUUGUCAAACUUAAUGUGUUUUAUUUACCAUUGUGGCUUAUUGCUUAAAAUGUUGUACUCUUAUAAUUGGCAGGUACGAGUCCAAUCAAGUUAAAGAAAUAACUGCUAGCAUAUACCGUCGAUUGAAAUGUAAGAGGCUUGAUGCUGGUGACAAUUUAGUUGGUAUGGAUUCCCAUGUAAAAGAGAUGAUUUUGCGGUUGCAUAUGGAAUCAAGUGAUGUUCGUAUUGUUGGGAUAUAUGGAGUUGGUGGGAUAGGUAAGACUGCCAUUGCAAAGGUUAUAUAUAAUAAACUUUCUUGCGAAUUUGAAUGGACGAGUGUGGACCCCGCAUUUCGAUUGCUCGAUGUGUUUCCCACUCGAUGGCGAGCUCGAUUUUUAUUUGAAAUAUUGAUUUUUAUUGAUUAUUUGAAAAUGACUUGGAGUCGCCACUUAUUUUUGUUUUAUUUUUUAAAGGGUAAACAAAAUAAGAAAGAAAAACCCUAAGUGUGACUCCUUAUUUUGGAAAAGGCGGUCUGUGAAAAACCGGAUCGGGUUCGGGGGUCAGGUUACUUAUCGGGAAGGUACGGUACGGACCGUAGCACCCCUCUAAGUCCCUAAUGUCGGGUCUCUACUAAUAGAAUGAAGAUGAUGUGACAGUCAACAAGAAAAUCGAUGAAUACUCAAAUCGAUCAUGCACAAUAUGAGAAGCAAAGCAUGUAUAAAGAAUGAGCAAAAUAUGAAUAGAUGCGUACCUGGGCGGUAAUCACGAAUGCGCUAUCAUGAAACAUGGUUAGUGAACAAUGAACAUAUAUAAUAAAGCGCAUAUCAAGGAAUAAAGUAAAUCAAUCACAUGUGGCCAAUGAAGCAAACAAUCAGUUAAUCAAUCUUGAAAUCUCAUAUGUAGGCCCCCACCAAAGCCCAUUUAUUUUGCAUGAACCAAAUCUGUAAAUUCCAUCACUAAGAAUUACAAAAUUUGAUUUUUGCUUAUUUUAAAACAUUUAAAAAAAAAAAAAACAAAGAAAAUGAAAAAGGAUUGCCAAAGAGAAAAUGGCAACCAAUGUUAUUGGAAAAACGGAAUUUUUGAUGAAGGAACAUAUAGAGUUGCGAUUAUUUAAAAAGAUUAAAAUCCGAAAAAAUUAUUUGAAUGAAGGGAUUUGGAAAAUUAUUUUCAAAACUAGGGAUGGUGACAUGAGAGAAGUAAAAGGAGAUGUCAUGUGGCCACUAAGAUUUGCAUGGUGAACAGGGCCAUGCAAAGAAAAUCCCUUUCUUAGCCCAUUUGAAAAAAACAGGUCAAUUUCUGAAUCUGUGGCUUCUCAGCAAUCCUUGACCUGGGCAGGUAUGUCAAGACCAUGAACGUACCUCUCCCCUAUAUUUUGCCCCAGCAACCAAAGCACCCAUAUCCAAUGCCAUAGGUCUCACUUCAGCGAGAUUACUAGGAACGCCCCCCUCUUACAAUUUUCUGAGCUAAUCUUUCAACAACAGCAGUCUUACCCACACCUGGUUCUUCAAUAAGAACAGGGUCGUUCUUAGUUUCCCUUGGAAGAAUCCUGAUGACCCUCCAAAUCUCUUCGUCUCGGCUAAUGACAGGAUCAAGCUUUCCAGUUUACUCAACAAGGCCACACCCAUAAGUCUUCAAUGCUUGGAAUGCAGUGUUCCCAAAAGCACUUUCCUCUCCGGACAUUGGCGUCUUGUGAAGCUACUGGCACAAUGCCAUUUUGAAGGAUCACAACAACACUACGAUACACUGGUCCAUAAUCUAACCUCCUUAUUGUAGUGGCUGUUCAAACGGGAUCACUAAACAUGACUGGCGCAUUCUUGUCAUUCAACUAAAACGGUUCAUACUCCCCACAGUAAUUAUCAUAUCCAAAACCUGGACUUUUAUAUCCAGAAGCAACACUUGGAGAUUGGCCCAUGGGUCCUGAAACACCAGCAUCGACCAGAGCAUCCUGAGGACCUGUAGCUCCAUAGGUUGCAUUUGAAACGAAGUCUGCAGCACCAUAUCCAGAAGGAGUUUGGUUGUUCCCAUAAACAUGAUGUGGCGACAAUUUCUGCUGCUCAUCCGAUAUAUAGCUACUGCCGGCAGAGAACCUCGAGGUUCCAGUACUAUUAUGUAAAGAUAAACCAGCCAAGAAGAGACCCAGCGCCCAAGGUACAUCUUUUCCCGUGACCUUUCUUUAGAACCAUUUCCACGUAAACAUCUUGACUAUGUUUUAAGCUUCCAUCAGGUAAGUGUAGCUGAGGUGAUCUUGAAUCUUUUGAAGGCUAGGUACAACACGUCAUGUCUUGGAGGUGUAUGGAUCAAAGGUAUCGUGACUUUGCAUCUUCAAACCAGAGGAUGAUCCCUUAGGUUGACAGUAAACCCCUGUAUUCGUGCCGAUCACCUUCAGGUAAAAGCUUCCUUUGGCGUCAACAGUGGUCAAGGCCACGACCAUGGCAGAUUCGGUGAUGAUGCCCAUCGACGGUGCUACGCAAGGCAUUGAGAGAUAGACAUUGCGGCUGAAUUUAGUACCCAGCUGGACUGAGUCGACAGUGAAGUGGUGAUGGUGGAGGCGUUUCGCCGCCGGCGGCUUGCCGCCGGCGUCGUUCGAGGGCAGCUUUGCUUGUUACAGUCCAUUGGAGAUUCAAAAGUUAAACACCAUGCACAAACAGGUAGGCAACAAAAAUACACCCGCAUAUGAUUCACGCACUAUCCGAGACUGUAUAGGUGCCACGGCCUGACGUUCUUUUCGUGCUCUUUGAAUAAAUCAUAUGAUGCACAAUCCAAUGCAUGAGAAAACCGGUGCAUGCAUGAGGGUUGGUGUCAUGUGGAGUAAAGAGAGAAACUAUAAUAAUGAGAUGGAAAUAUUAGAAAAUGGGUAUGAAGAAUGAGUGAGUCAAAUGGGUUGUAUAGUGGUAUGAAGAUGAGCUUGGAGCAUGAAGAUAAAGGUUAAGAGAUGGGUGCAAUAGGUAGCAGAAACUGGUGAGAGAAAAGGGGUAUGUAUAGGGGCAUGGUGGGUAUGGGCAUGAAAUGUACGUUGAAGGAUAGCCCUAAGUGCAUGCAUGAUAAGAGACAAAUGAUAUGGGAGGAUAUUUGAACUCUGUACAUGUGGAUAUCAUGCAUUUCAUCCCCUUAAAGUUGCACCGAAAUUCCUUACUCAUCAUCCCAUUGAUAUAAGCAAAACAGAGUCCAAUGAAAACACUGCUUCCUAAAGAAAAAUGGUGCCUAGCACCAGAACCUGAAAGCAGACCUCUCAAAUCGCAAGCAGCUCCAUCCGCAGCAUCUCAGAAUAUCGAGCAGGGCUCAGAUUGUUUGUAUACCUAAACUCAUCCUCACAAAAGAGAGUUGAUAUCUGAGGCCAAUGGAUCCACUCAAAGUACAGAUCUUCCAAGCUUUCUGGUAAACAAAGACCAUGACCAAUUGGAAUGAGCUCCAGCUGACCAUACGUCUCAAUUCCAUCAAAUUUUCUGACCAGAAAGUUUCCUGUUUGAUGAAUUCUAUAGCUUCAGGACUUUCCUUUGAAAAGGAUGCGGCACUGUCACCAUUCACAAACUGAGAAAGCAAGCUUUGGAAGGAGUAAUGAUGUUGGAUAUCAAAAGGAGUAGAUGUUAAAUGGAGGGUACAAAACUGAUGAAGCAGACAUGAUGCUUUUUCGAAACCUUCUACAGACUGCAUCUUAAAAAAAACACUGUGAUAUUCCGGGGCAUAGUUACUUAGCAUCUUUCAUUCCAUUCAUCAACGGUCAUUUUACCUCAAUCUCCACUGAUUCAUGUUUCAUCUCUGUUCAUCUUCAAAUCUUAUUCAGUCUUUUCCCUCUGGAAGCAAUUCUAUAAUGCAAACACCAACACCCCACGUUCUGCUCAUUUCAUUGACAUUCCCCCGUGAGCUUCCAUUCACUAUUAGCAAAUAGCCAUCCUAUACCACGAUGAUUCCAUCAACACUGUUGGCUACUCAGAGGCCAUCAAAUGAACCCGAAACUGGAGAUUCUCAAUCAGUAAGGGCACACUGAGAUAGAAUAGACCUGAGUUGACCCACUGACAACUCUUAUAUGGCUUCCUCAGGCAGAGAUGAGAAAUCAGAUGUGUGCCAUGGAUGAAUACCAAGAACAGAGAAAGAUAGCCAAGACAGAGUACAAUGGAUAGGAACCAAAUGAAUCCAUACAAGCCCCCUUUCCCAUAACCAUCAAUGAGCCCAGAUGUAAAAAUGGAUUAAAGCAAAUUUCAAACAAGUUUUUAAACAAAGAAAACAGAGGUGGGAAUACUGAUAUCUCAUAAGAGAUCUCAAAAUAGGGGAUACGAAACAAGUUAGAGAUCAAGCAGCAUGUGAGAACAAGCAAGUACAAAUUCCAUGAGAAAAAAAUAAAUAAAUAAAUAAAUAAAUAAAAAGAAUAAACGAGAAGCAUACCACCAAUCACCUUCAAACACUAAAGCAGAGUUUCAUGAUGCCUAAAAAAAAAUUGAGACGGCCAGAACAUGGAAGAACUAACCCAUAGAAAUAAUACCUGAACCUUCUUCUUUUCAGUUUGCCCUUCUUCUCUCCAAAACGGCCAGGUCCCCUCCACUGCAGCUGCCUCACCUCUCUAAAAAAUAUCUCCUCACUGCAACCGGAAUCCCCCCAUCUCCUAAAAUCUCUCCUCCACGACCCCAAAAAUCCUCUCUGAAAAGCCCCACCACUCUGCCUGUAGGAGACGCUCCUCUAACCGUCUGCAGCUUUUUUUUUUUUUUUUUUUGCAGAUUCUUUGGACACGUGUCGACCUCUGGUUGGCCAUCAAAAACACCACUCUGGUGCCCCAACAGCCAACCAUGCAUGGACAAGUGGCUCCUUGAGAUCGUGACACUUGGCAAAAUCAAGCUGCAGAAAAUGAGCCCCAAAUGGGGGUCAGGGGAGUCAAAAUAUAAAUGGUGUUGCUCGUAGAGCAGGUAUGAUAAAGGACAUUCUCUUAUCUAAAAGAGUUUUUAUGGUUCUUGAUGAUGUUGAUGAUCCAAGUCAAUUAGAAUAUUUACUUGGACAUCGUGAAUGGCUUGGAGAAGGAAGUAGAGUCAUCGUAACUACUAGAAAUAAACAUGUGUUAGCUGUACAAGAAGUGGAUGACUUAUAUGAGGUUAAGGGAUUGAAUUUUGAAGAAGCUUGUGAACUUUUCAGUUUGUAUGCCUUUAAACAAAAUCUUCCCAAAUCAGAUUAUAGAAACCUCUCACAUCGUGUUGUAGGCUAUUGUCAAGGGCUUCCAUUAGCUCUAAAAGUUCUAGGUUCUCUCUUAUUCAAGAAGACAAUACCUCAGUGGGAAAGUGAAUUGCGUAAAUUGGAUAGAGAACCUGAAGCGGGAAUUCACAAGGUGCUUAGACGAAGCUAUGAUGGAUUAGAUCGUACAGAACAAAAUAUAUUUCUUGAUGUUGCAUGUUUUUUUAAAGGUGAAGAUAGAGAUUUUGUGUCAAGAAUAUUAGAUGCUUGUGAUUUCCCUGCAGAAAUUGGAAUAAAAAAUCUAAAUGACAAGUGUCUUAUAACUCUCCCAUACAACCGUAUAGCUAUGCAUGAUUUGAUACAACAUAUGGGUUGUGAAAUUGUUCGUGAAAAAUUUCCUGAUGAGCCAAACCAAUGGAGCAGAUUGUGGGAUCCCCAUGAUAUUCAACAGGCACUUAGAACAUCUAAGGUAAGAGCCAAGUGCAUAAAUUCACAUAAACUUCAAUAAUAUCAUUCUUGUAUAAGAACUUACAUAUCCAUAUAAGUUGAGUUAGUUUGUAUUUAUGUUUACCUUAUCCUUGUUAUUUUUCAGGAAAUACCAAAAGCUCAAACAAUAUCCUUGGACUUGUCUAAGUUAAAAAGAGUAUGCUUCGAUUCAAAUGUUUUUGCAAAGAUGACUAGUCUUCGAUUGCUCAAAGUUCAUUCAGGUGUCUAUUAUCAUCAUUUUGAAGGUAUUCACGAGAAGGAUUAUUAUGCUAUAAUAAAAAAUACUUCUAAAAUGCGACUUGACAUGAAAUUCGAAUUUCCUUAUGAGUUAAGGUAUCUUUAUUGGGAUGGAUAUCCUUUAGAUUUUUUACCAUCAAACUUUGAUGGAGAGAAGCUUGUUGAACUUCACUUGAAGUGUAGCAACAUAAAACAGUUGUGGCAAGGGCAUAAGGUAUUAUUAUCAUUUAAUAAUGACUUCUUUAUCUUUGUAUUGAUUUUGAAAUUUAUGAUUGUUAUGUCUUUAUUGAAACCAAUUUUCGUUUGGCACAGGAUCUUGAAAGGUUAAAGGUCAUUGAUCUAAGUUGCUCAAGGAAUCUCAUUCAAAUGUCAGAAUUCUCAAGCAUGCCAAAUUUGGAGAGACUAAUUCUUGAAGGUUGUGUAAGCUUGAUCGAUAUUCACCCAUCUGUUGGAAAUAUGAAGAAGCUUACUACCUUAAGUUUGAGAUUCUGUGAUCAGCUUAAGAAUCUGCCAGAUAGCAUUGGAUACUUGGAGUCUCUCGAGUCUCUUGAUCUCUCUGAUUGCUCAAAGUUUGUGAAAUUUCCGGAGAAGGGAGGGAACAUGAAAAGUUUAAUGAAGCUUGAUUUAAGAUUUACUGCUAUUAAGGAUCUGCCUGAUAGCAUUGGAGACUUGGAAUCUCUUGAGUCUCUUAAUCUCUCAUUUUGCUCAAAGUUUGAGAAAUUUCCGGAGAAGGGAGGGAACAUGAAAAGUUUAAGGCACCUUUGUUUAAGAAAUACUGCUAUUAAGGAUCUGCCUGAUAGCAUUGGAGACUUGGAAUCUCUUAUGUUUCUUAAUCUCUCUGGUUGCUCAAAGUUUGAGAAAUUUCCGGAGAAGGGAGGGAACAUGAAAAGUUUAAUGGAGCUUGAUUUAAGAUAUACUGCUAUUAAGGAUCUGCCUGAUAGCAUUGGAGACUUGGAAUCUCUUAGGCUUCUUGAUCUCUCUGGUUGCUCAAAGUUUGAGAAAUUUCCGGAGAAGGGAGGGAACAUGAAAAGUUUAGUGGAGCUUGAUUUAAAAAAUACUGCUAUUAAGGAUCUGCCUGAUAGCAUUGGAGACUUGGAAUCUCUUGAGUCUCUUGAUCUCUCUGAUUGCUCAAAGUUUGAGAAAUUUCCGGAGAAGGGAGGGAACAUGAAAAGCUUAAAGUGGCUUUAUUUAACAAAUACUGCUAUUAAGGAUCUGCCUGAUAGCAUUGGAGACUUGGAAUCUCUUUUGUCUCUUCAUCUCUCUGAUUGCUCAAAGUUUGAGAAAUUUCCGGAGAAGGGAGGGAACAUGAAAAGUUUAAUGAAGCUUGAUUUAAGAUAUACUGCUAUUAAGGAUCUGCCUGAUAGCAUUGGAGACUUGGAAUCUCUUAGGCUUCUUGAUCUCUCUGAUUGCUCAAAGUUUGAGAAAUUUCCGGAGAAGGGAGGGAACAUGAAAAGCUUAAAGAAGCUUUUUUUAAGAAAUACUGCUAUUAAGGAUCUGCCUGAUAGCAUUGGAGACUUGGAAUCUCUUGAGUCUCUUGAUCUCUCUGAUUGCUCAAAGUUUGAGAAAUUUCCGGAGAAGGGAGGGAACAUGAAAAGUUUAAUGGACCUUGAUUUAACAAAUACUGCUAUUAAGGAUCUGCCUGAUAGCAUUGGAGACUUGGAAUCUCUUAAGUUUCUUGUUCUCUCUGAUUGCUCAAAGUUUGAGAAAUUUCCAGAGAAGGGAGGGAACAUGAAAAGUUUAAUUCAUCUUGAUUUAAAAAAUACUGCUAUUAAGGAUCUUCCCACCAACAUUUCUAGGUUGAAAAAUCUUGAAAGACUUAUGCUCGGUGGCUGCUCAGACCUGUGGGAAGGAUUAAUAAGCAAUCAGCUUUGCAAUCUGCAAAAACUUAAUAUCAGUCAAUGCAAAAUGGCUGGACAAAUUCUGGUGCUUCCUUCAAGUCUACAAGAAAUAGACGCAUACCCUUGCACAAGCAAGGAAGAUUUAUCAGGUCUGCUCUGGCUUUGCCACCUCAACUGGUUGAAAUCCACAACGGAGGUAAUUUAAUAUAUAUAUAUAUAUAUAUAUAUAUAUAUAUAUAUAUAUAUUUUAAUUAUGCCACUUAAACCUUUUUUUAUUUUAUUUGAAGUCAAUAUUUACAUAAUAAUUUGUGCAGGAGUUGAAAUGCUGGAAACUCGGUGCUGUUAUUCCUGAAAGUAAUGGAAUUCCAGAGUGGAUAAGGUAUCAGAACAUGGGAAGUGAAGUAACAACAGAGCUUCCAACGAAUUGGUAUGAAGAUCCUGACUUCCUAGGAUUUGUUGUAUCAUGUGUUUAUCGGCAUAUUCCUACAUCUGAUUUUGAUGAACCUUAUCUUUUUCUCGAGUGUGAAUUGAAUUUACAUGGCAAUGGAUUUGAAUUCAAGGAUGAAUGCUGUCAUGGAUACUCGUGUGAUUUUAAAGAUUUGAUGGUAUGGGUUUGGUGCUAUCCUAAGAUUGCUAUUCCGAAAGAGCAUCACCAUAAAUACACACAUAUUAAUGCUUCAUUUGAGAGUUAUUUGAUAAACAUAAAAAAAUGCGGCAUCAAUCUUAUAUUUGCGGGAGAUCAACAAAAUCAUAUGCCCAUGUUGGAGCAUCCUCAGAAUUCUGGUGACAAUGGAUCAGCAUUACAAGAUACCGAUGGUAAUGUUCAUGGGGCUAAUCAAGAUGAUGAACACUACCAUAUUCCCAUCGUGUUAGAUCUUCUUGGGAAUUUUGGUGACAUUGGAUCAGUAAUACUUGAAGGCACUGAUGGAAACCGUAAGAGAAGACGUGAUGAUUCCUUACCCGAUGUAGUGGAGGAGCCACAUUAUAAAAGAUUGGGAGCACCCAACACCCAUCUCUCGCUUUGAACUCCAUCAGUAAGUGCAUUAUCAACCCUUUUUCAUGUAUUCUAACUUCUCUCCUUUUUAAAUUAUUUUUAAAGUUAAUAAACUAUUUUUGUAUAUUUCUUUAAACUCAUUUCACUUAUUUUUCUCCAUUAUAUAAAAAUUAAAUAAUUUAAAAAUGUAUACAUCUCUAAUCAAUUUUAAAUAUAUUUUAUUUUCUUUCAUAUUUUCUAUAGAAAAACCAAGCAUAAAAAAUAAUUUUUCUCAGUGUUUUUUUUAUUUCCUAAGUACUCUCUAAGAUUCAAACAUAGUUUAUAGUGAUUGAUAUCAUAACUAUGCAUGUACCACGUUUUAUAGAAUUUCUUCAUUUUCAAAAAAUAUGAAAAAUAACUUCAACUAACUUUGAAAGUCAUCAUUAGUUUAAAAACAUGUAUAGUUUUUUUUAUUUUUUUAUUUUUUUUUAUUUUUUGUACAUAUAUAGCAUAGAUAUGGUAGAGUGAAUUGCUUUUCUUUUCUUUUUUUUCAUUAUUUAUUUAUUUAAUUAGUUAUAUAAAAACCUCUACAAAGUGAUUAUGAAGCUCUAGGGAUUCUUCAUUACCUUAUUAGAGAUAGCAUUAAUUAAUUAUUUGUUUAAUUAAUUUUUUUUAUACUUGUUUUUAAGAUAAAAUUUGAAUAAGUUAUCAAAAUUAGUUAGAGAAGAUCAUGUACACAAAUUAGAAGUUAAAUUUGAAUGUAUUAUGAGGUAGAUAUAUGUAAAAACUUAUAGUGUGUUUGGUAGUAAUUCUGGAAAAUGUUUUUAGUAUUUUUAACAUUUGAAUGAUAAAAUUUUUCAAACGUUAAAAAAGUUAGAAGUGCUUUCUAAAAUCACUGUCAAACAGGAUCUAACGUACUCUUAAUAUUUUUAAUAUUUGAAAAUUUUUAUCAUUCAAUUGUUAGAAAUAUUAUAAAUGCUUUCUAGAAUCACUUUCAAACACACUCUUACUUGAUGGCAGUAAAUAAUGAAACUCCCAUAUAUUGAUUUUAAUAGUUUUAAGAGUCAAAUUGUUUAUAGUUUUUGUAUUGAAGAAUUAAAUUUCUUUAAGUAUGCUAAAACAUUUUUAAACAUGCAUACUUAUUGUCUAUUUCUUGAGAUGGAAGUCUUGGAUUAAUCUUAUAUUUACUUAUGUGAAAUUUGUGAUAUGCUCGUGAAGUUUACUUAACAAAUGAUCAUACUAAUCUUAAGUGAAAUUUGUGAUAGUACCGAUCAGAACGAAAUCACAUGUGGUAGCUGCAGGUGGACUUCAUGUUUUUUCCUAACAACUGAUUGGUAAGUCAUUUUGUUCAUUUAUCCUUUUAGUACGUGUAGAAAAUUGAUUAAAGCCUCUUCAACUUCUUUACUAUUUUCUCUUUCCCUUGAUCCCUGUUUUGUGCGAUUAUGUUUGGUUUUUGGAAAACUUAAAGGAAAAUAUAAGGAAAAGAAAAUAGAGAAAAAAAAUUAAAAGGAAAUAAAAAGUGAAAAAGAAUAAAAACAAGAUUUAAAGUCAAUCAAUUAUUUUCAUAUGUUUCUUCAAUCUUAUUUCAAUUAUUUUGCUUCAUUAUAUAAAAAUUAAAUAAUUUUAAAAUGUAUAUAGUUCAAACAUAAGUUUUAAAAUGUAUAACUAAUUUUAAUUAUAUUUAAUUUUUCCAUAUUUUUUACAAUGAAACCAAACAUUUAUCAUUUUUCUUGACAUUUUUUUAUUGUUUCCUUGGUACUCACUAAAGUCAAACAUAAGUUUAAACCCACUAGAGUGAUCCAAUUGGUGAAGGCAAAUAUUGAGAAGUGUGGUCCCACUAAGUGACACAUGGUCCUGAGUUUGAAUCCUACCACUAAUGAUACUUUGAAUUUAUCUAGUGCUAGUUAUUGUGACGCGAUUAACACUUUGAGGUUUGGUUCCCCAUAGAGUCCUAUAGGCUUAGCCAAGGAAGGUUUUUCAAUUAUUAAAAAAUAAAAUAAAACAUAAGUUUAAUGUUUUAGGAGGUAAAAAAAAAAAGUGGUAGCGCAAUUGACAAUUAACUAGGAUAUAUAUUUUUUCUCAUGUGCUUGGUAUAAGGCACUAAGUAUCAUUAUAUUAAAUCCUCCAUCUACCGCAUGAUAGUUAGUUAUAAAUUCCUUACUAUUAUUAUAGGUAAACAAUAAUUUAUAUAUGUUUAAAUUAAUUCUUAAGUUAAUGGUUAAUAUCUAUUAAUUAUGUUUUUAGUUCCUUUGAUGAUUAUGUUAUAUUUGAACAUUUUAGGGGUAUGAUUUUAGCUUCAUUAGCAUGAAGUGUAUCUAAUGAUAUGUGAUUCCCUAUCACUAUGUUUGAUUUCAAGAAAGUAUAAGGAAAGAAAAAUCCUCAUGAAAAUUAUUUUCUCAUGAAAAAAUCCAAGUACGAAGGAACAUGAAAAUGAAUUUUGGAAAUCAGACACAACCUUGUGAAAUAUACUUGUGUUAAUAAUUACAGUGUGUUUGUUGUACUAUGUUAAUGACAUUGAAAUGUUGUGUUUUAUUCUUUAGCUUUAGGUGGAAACAAGGACAAUGAGGAGAAGUUAAUCUCAAGAUGCAAAUGAGAUUCCAAAUGUUGCUAAGGUGGUCUACUCUUGCACAUGAUUAGUCUCUUACAAUCAUGACCAUCAAGAAAGAUGGUACAAUUUGUGUAUUGAAAGUGUGAAUUAGGAAUGUUAAAAAAUGAAAACUUGAAUUGAUAUAUGUUUUUGCCCAUAAGAUGUGUGGUUAUGGUCAAUUCUUGUGGGUAUGUAAUUGACCUUGAUGUUGCAUAUGAAGCAUGUCACCCUCUCUGUAUCUUCAAGUUAGUGGUUGGAGCUUCUAUAGAUGGUGGAAGACAAGUGUCACCAAUUUAAGUAUUUCUUAAGCUCUCAUGUGGCACUUAGACAAUUCAAGUCUAUUGAAGUUGUUGCUAAGUCUUUCAUGUUGUGACAAAGGUUUUUCACAUUUCACACAUUAUAAUCAUCACAUUUUAACUCAAGUUUUUAAAAGUAUUAAAUUAAUACCAUUCCCUAAUCUUACUCGGCUUGGUUUGUCAACUUCGGUGGUUUAUUACUUUUUAGAGCCAACUUUCAACUUAAUCAAUCCAACGUAAUUGUUAUUGAUUCAUGGUUAAUAAUUCUCGAUCUAAUGUUAUGAUUGUUUUUUAAAAAAUUUGAGGAAAAUAAAAUAAAGAGAAAAAGUACAAGGAAAGGAAAUGUGGAGAAACAUAAAAGAAUUAUAUUUAAAAUUAAUAAAUUAUUUUUAUUUGUUAUUUCAAACCUAUUUUACACACAAAAUUAUAAUAAUAUUUAAUUUUUUCUCUAUUUUCCAUGAGAUACCAAAUAUAAAACAAAUAUUUUUUUUAACAUUUUUUUUAAUGCUUUUUGGAAACUAAACAUAACUUAAUACUUGUCUUUGUGUUUCAAGAUACCAAUAAUACUUCUUGAUAAAAUCAUAUCUAUUAAUGUGGCAUGUAUACAUGUGUGGGAUAUUCAUGGUUCAAUACUAUCACUAUCUUACAAUUGUGGAUUCUAAUUGAAUUUUAUGAAUUAAUGAUAUGAUCUUUCUUCAAACAAAAUGUCUUUGUGAGUUGAAUUAUUUCAAUUGGUCAAACCUCUAUAUUCCAAAUAUUUCUACUUUGAUUAAUCAAGGUCUUUGUGAGUUGACUUUAAUUUGCUUUUAAAUAUCAUCUAUUAAAGUAUUUUAGAUGCUUCUUUGUUUUGUGUAGUAUUGUAAUAGAUUAUGAGAUAAUUGUAGACCAAAUGAUAUACAAAUUAUCUCCUUUAUAGAUGUUUUUUCACUUGCUUUAAAGCUAAGAUUUUGUAAACUAGCUUUUGUCUUUUCUUAGCUUUAAUUUUUUUACUCUAAAACACCCAAAUAAAGUCAUUUAGUUUUGUAUGUGCUAUUUUCUUUAAAAGAGAAACUAAAAAGGGAUGCAUCCUAGUAUAUAGUUGAAGCAGAGAAGGAUUUUAUUCUAAAAUUAAUAUAAAAAAUAUACUUUGAUAAUAUAAUUUUAAACCUCUUUUAGAUGGUGUUUGGUAAACCAACUUAAUAAUUUAAUAUAACAUAAUAACUUAAUUUGUUAUUAAAUAGAUUAAUUAUUUUUGGUAAAAUAAUUUAAUAUUAUAAUAUAAACAUAGUAUUAAGUCAAAAUAGUUAACUUAAGGGUAUUUGGCAAAUCAACUUAAUGACUUAAUAUGAUUUAAUAAUUUAAUUUAAGUCAUUAAAGAGAUUAAACAUGUUUGAUAAAAUAACUUAAUAUUACGACUUAAAGUUAUUUUUAACUUCAAGUAAUAAGUCAAAAGGGUUAAUUUCAUUGAGACCCCUUGAGGUUUGAUAUAAAUAUACUCAAUUACUGUUGUUUUCAAAUUUCAUCAAUUAGCACCCUUAUGAAUUUAUUUUGUUUAAAAAAUUUAUUUUUUUAAGAGAUUUCAAGUAAAAAUAUUUUUGAUAGGAGUGUUUAAUAAUUCACUAAAAACUAAAUUUUAUUUGUUAAAAAAUAAAAUUUAUAUACAUAAUACAUUUAUAGGGAUGUUAAUUGAUGAAAUUGAAAUUUGAAACUUAUGAUGACUUAAUGUAUUUACACUAAACAUGAAGAGUCUCAAUAAAAUUAACUUUAAGUUAAAAUAGUUAACUUAUUCUUAAUCUCAAAUCUUUUUUACCUUAUUUGUCUACAUUUAUUACUUAUUUUUUAUGAUUGUACUUGUAUCUUUAAUACUUUAAAUAUGAAUAUUUAACAAAUAAAUUUAUUAUUUAGGAUUAGUGAAAAUAUAAUUAUUAGUUAAAAUUAAUAAGGAUGAAUAUGUCAAUUUGACAAUUUAAAAUAAAAGUUUUAAGUUUACAGUUUAAGAACCAUUUAACUUAAAAUCAAUUUAAAUCAUUAAGUAAUAAGUAAUAAGUAAUAAGUUUUACCAAAUGCCCACUUAAAUAUAGCUUUUAAAUGAAUUAUUUAAUCAAAAGACAAAUAUAAAAAAAUAAAAAAUAAAAUAAAAAGGAACACACUAAACAGGCAUCAUAAAAUCUUUCACAUGAUUUCUUUACUUUUUUAUUCACCUUCUUAGAAGACGAUUUUAAUAUUUCCUAAGAAAAUUAUGAAAACACAAAAUUGGUGUUUCCAGAUUUUCUAUUUUUAUAAAACUCUAUUUUCUGAAAUAUUGAUUUAUGUUUUCUUUACAAAUGAAAACAAUUUAAACAAAAAAGUGAUUUAUAGUUUCCAUUUUUAAAAUUGAUUUUCACUUCUUUUGACUUAAGGCAUUUUCAAGAUAAGAAAAAAAAAGGAAUAAAAGCUAUUUUUAGAGAAUAAAAAUAAAUGAAAAACAUUUUCCAACCGAAACCCAUUGUUAAUGUUUUCAUCUCAUUGUGCCUUUUUCUAAUCUCCAUCCCGCACUUUGAUGGGCUAAACUCGAAAAUGGAAAGUUAUAUCUUGGCACUUGCUUUAAUUUACAUUUGUUAAAUUGGUUUUGACAUACAUUUUUCAUAAUAAAUGCAAAACAAUAGCCUGAGUUACAAACAUGAUUUCCAUGGUUUUUUAGGUCUCUAAUCACAUAAAGUAUUGAUUCCCAAAUUAAUGAUGCUCUAAAUUUAGUGCAUAGGGCAUUCAGACUCUCAGUUCCAUCAACAUCCAUUUUCAUUUUCUCACCUGCCAAAACCUUAUUGUACAAAUUUCCAUUCAACCUUCAGAUCCAUCCCAUGUUCCAUUUUCAAUCCUAGCCACAUUGUUACCAUAGGGCAAGUUGCUAGUACCAAAUAUUUAAGACAAGUAUACAUACAAUGCAAAUCAGUCCAUUACCCUAAAAGAAAAGGAAAAAGAAAAAGAACUUGUGUCACAGAAAGGAAUAAUCUAUUGGGUCAGUGGCUUGUAUCCAAAGUGAUACCAAACUGUGCUGACAAGGAGCCUUUGUAAGAAUCUGAUACAGCUCCUGCUGUUUCUGAAAGGUUGCUCUUCAUCUCUGAAAUUUUUGAUACCAUGGGCUCUUUGUAUUUCGAAACUGAGUCAACCAAAGCAUAGAGUUCCCAAGCACAUAUCUGAAUUUCAUCCUCAUUUUGCUUGAUUGCUUCCUGCAACUUCAAUUUGGACAUCUUCAUGACGACAUCAAAGUCUAGUCAGAAUCCCUUGAAUUUUUCGAUAAUAUUCACAUUAAUCAAGAACAAUUAUAAAGCCAGGUAGAAAUUUUUAGCUCUGAAAAGGGAAACCAACUUAUGUUAAAAUAAGUUUCUUUCAGGUUUACGAGAUCCACCCUGGCAAUAUUGAUAUCCUUAACUAACUAUUUAAGAGAAGAAAAACAAAAUUAUACCUCCAGAACAUCUGCCACUUCUCUUUCCACAAUAUCUACAUUAUGGGUUUCUAUCUCAACAUCCUCCACCAACUUCUUAGCUUCCAUUGCACAUCUGGAGGUGUAGUUUUGCGUUUCCUUCUUCAAAAAAUUUAAUUGAGCUUCCACCUGACAAAUUGAUCAUUCAUCCAUGGUUAACCUCAUACAACAAUAGCCUAAAAAGAAUUCAUUCUGAUGCCUUGUCAAAAAUCAACCAGAAGAUAAAUAUCCAUGAACGAAAAACAAUUAGAUUAAACAAUGUGUAACCCAAUAAUUUAUGUUGCAAAAUCAAGUUAAACAUCAGAUCCAUCAGAAACAACGAGAUGCAUGAUACUAUUCGAUAGCUUAUUAAUAAAAUCACAUUAUUAGGAAGACACUACUCAAUAGCUCGACACUAAUAAUGGAGUUCUUUAAUAAUGGAAUAACCUUACAUGGCAUAGUUAUGCAAGCAUUGUUUAAGCUAAUGUCAAAUAUAGUCAAAGCCUUGACAAUAAUUUCCAAUCAGCAAGUUGGAAAAUUACUUGCUAAAAAAUAUACUUGGAAAAGGAAUCAAAUGUAGUCAAUCCUUUGUAGGGACUAAUUAUCAUCCAAAAAUAAUUUUUCUUAAGUGUUUUAUAAGCCAUCAAAGCUACUUUGAAAAUUUGGGGCCUGACAAUCUAUGUGCAAUAACAAUUGACAUCUCCAACAGAUUAUUUUUUCUUUUUUAAUCCAAAACAAAUCAUUCAUUGAUAUGAAUUUAAUUACAAACCAAGGAUGAGAAACCCUUUCAAAAUAUAAAGGAUGAUUAAAAAUUGAGGAAAAAUCUAACAAAAGUAGCAAGAUAGCUAUACUAAUCAAGGACGAUACAAGAACUUGAAUAUAGCGACAAUGUACACUUGAAGGGGGUAAAACAUACCUUACAGAAGAGUCCAUUUGCAUGGCUCCACAUUUAGCCAAUCAAUCUGCAACCUGAUUCACUAAAUGAGGGGACCAAUAGAAGGAACAACCCAAGCUACUAGCUAGAUCCAGGGUUUUAGGGAGCUACAUGUCAUACAUCCCAAGACAUGUGAUGGGGGAAAGCCUUUCAAAGUAUAUUCAAAAAGGAAAGGAAGGCACAAAUAAACUUUAAGUGGGAUUAGUAUUAGUUAGAAUAAAAUUAGAAUUAGUAUUUAUUGGAAUCAAAUUAGGAAUAGCUAAAUAAUUUAGAGGAGACUUAGAGUCAUAAUAGGUUAUAUUAGAAUCCUAGUAGGCUUUGAAUUUCUUAGAGAAGCCUAUAAAUAAAGCUAAUUGAUGUAAAUCAAAGUAAUGGAUCGAUAAUUAAUAAUAUAACGUUUCCUUGCAUACUUUGCAAUUUUGAAUGGUAAGACUCUUGAUUUUCUUCUAGGUGAGACUCUUAGAAGGCCUUAGUGAGACUCAAAGCUUUCUAGCUCUUCUUCUCCGUAUCUUCUUUCUCAAUGUUUUUUCAUUUUAUUUUUCUUUACCAUAAACUUUAUCCUUUAUUCCUCACCUUAAAUGGUUAAACCCUAAAAAAUAAAAACCGUAGCCCACUUAUUUGAUUGUAGGCAACCAUCAUAGGGUUGUCUUACGUCAAUAUGUCCAACAAUUUAAUCAUCCCUUUUAAUCCAAUUUGAAAAUAGCACCUAUUCUUAACUGAAUUAUACUAAAGCAUAUUUGGGUCACUUUUCUAAAGCACAUGUCUGGUUUCCAAAAGUGGACACAAUUCUAGAAUUAUGCAAUUGGAGUAUGUGCAUCUAGGGCAUCCUGAAGAUAUGUGCAUUCUGAAAAUGAACACGUAUUCCUAUUUCUUCUCCCUCUUCUCCCUCUUCCCUAUAUUUAUUAUUUAUCAUAUCUUUACAUCACCUAGGUACCAUAUCAAAACCAUACAACAAGCUGGCCCUUGAUCAGCAUCCAUCUGACCCUGAUCAAUGGACUUCAGAAACAAUGGCAUGCACCCUACAUUUAACUUCCAAGUCCUCUGGACCAAUUUGACAUAACUAUGGUAGCACACUUUUUGGGUCACCCUUUGUAUUAGUUCAAAGGAACAUUACAACCUGAGCUGUCCAUUGAUGCCAAAAAGCUGUAAUGUGGGUAAUACAUGCUUUGCUCAUAUACAAUAAUUGUUUUUAGCAAUGGAUACAAAAUGGAUGUCUAUCUAAGGCAUCCAAAAGCUAAGAUUUUAUCUACAACCAGAAGAGUACAACCCCUAAAGUUGAAUGGAUACAAAAUGCCCAUGAUUGUCCCUUAAUAAUAACCCCUAACCCACAACCGGCUCCGAUUUCCCAAAAAGCAACCUUCCCAGGAAGUGUUUCUAGGAGGAAUAACAAACUUAUCUCUCAACUUAUCCCCUUCAUCACCCACAUAGUUUUAAAAGGUGCAAGGCGCACCUAAGAUGCAAAGUUUCCUAUAGCUUAAGCACAAGGCGCAACACAAGGUGUGCGUCUAAGUGAAGUGAAAUGUGACCUAGAAUACACAUCAAUUUUAUAAAAUAUGAUUCAAAAUCUAAUCUGAUCAAUAAAAAAUUUAAAAUUCGAAACAUUUAAAAGAAGCAUUCAAUAAAAAAGUAAUGAAAUUAUAUACAUUUCAGUAUAUAAUUAGAAAUUUAAAAAAUAAAAGUGUUUACAAAGGAAGAGUAAAGCUGACAAGGCACACUUUUUCAAUAAGGCACAUAUCUUGGCAAGCAAGCGCUAUAACUUGGGAGUGGUGGCGCCUUGAGCCUAGGCGCACUUAAAGCACGCCUUUUAAAACUAUGAUCACCCAUUAGACAGAUGGUUAGACCAGGCAGCUCUUGCUUUUUUUUUUUGAUAGGUAGACCAAGCAGCUCUUGCUAUUAAAUUUUGAGUGACAACUGCUUGUGUAACUGACACCAUUUGCCCUUUGUACCAAAUUUUAGAUUGACCAUCGGGUGGUACUAUACUCCUUUCCAAUUAUUUUCCCUCCCAUAUUUCAUUUGAGUCAUUCUGGAAUUUAGCAAUAUUCUAUCCCAAUGGAAUUUCUAGGAACAACAUUUUUCUGUCAAAAUUUGAAUACAUCCAAAUUAUCACCUUUUUGAAUUCUAAUUGUAGUCCAAUCAAUUUAACCGCAGUAAUUGAUUUUCCAAGAAAUUUUCUUAUGUGCAUUCAACUACUAGCAAUUCAAGAAAACAUUUUUUUUUUUUUGGAUAGGUAAAUCACAAUUAAAAAAACAAAUUAAACGAAGGGGCAAGCAAGAUUAAAAAACAAUUGUCUUUUAGAUUGCAAAGAAAAUACCAAAGAAGCUUACGGUUACAACUUUAGUUUUCCUGGAGUGGCAUCCAUGCAAUAUAAUGACCAUGCAAUUGUAUAUGCUACUGCUGGUACUUUAGAAAUGGUAUUGCUAACAAAGUCAGACCACUAGGUAAAGAAGACCUGCUUUGAUUUGUUAUAUAGAUAGAUGGAUACAAAGAGAGAGAGACAGAGAGAGAGAGAGCGAGAGAGAGUUUGGCCUUUUCUGAGAGCAGCAAAAAGAGGUUGAGUUAAUUUGUACUUCAGUUAAUUGCAUAUUCAAUAGGGGAUCAUUGGCUCCAACUAUGUGCCCACCCCCUCCAUCUGUAUCCUUAUGUAUGUGUCUGAGAAUUUUAUGGGUCUGUCAUUCUUUCCAAAAUUUUUAUGUGCUGAGGAGUUCUUCUUUCUUGUAACAUGAUCAAUCUUGUUAUUUGUACCAAAGAUAUUCAGGAAUGUCUUUGAGAAUUUUAUGAGUAGAGGAUUCAUCAUCCUCUCCAAAAUUUUUGUCUUCUGGAGUUAAUCUGUAUCUAACAUCACCAAUACUUUUACCCUUCUUUAAAAUUUUUAGGAAAACAAAGUGAAAAUCUGGCUGCUCCGGUUGACACCCUAAAAGCAUAUAAAAAAGGCAUAGUUUUUUAUUCUUCGUGAGAGGUAUAUAAAUGCAUAGCUGCUGAACAAGAAAAAUGAGUUCUAAUUCACUUACUUCAUCACAACUAGUUUGAAGUGCAGCAAGACGAUUUUUUUUUGCUUCAAUUUUAGCAGCAUUUUCAACUGAUUGUUCCUGAAGAGAAAUCAACUCUUCCAACUUUAGCAUAGAGCAUUUUAUUUAUGUCAUCAGCAAAGGAGUCAAGUGCAGGCUUAAGCGUUGAUUUGUAAUCAAUUCCCAAAACCUCAGCAGGCAAAGACCCUUUGGCAUUCAAAACAUACUGCAAACCAUUUCCUAACUUUAACCUGGAAACCAUCCAAGAGAAAAUACUUCAAUCACACAAUAGAUUGUAGUUUAAUAGGUUGAAAGAGUUGCAUGAGGUGGCAUGCUAAUUUUUCAAUUCAAAGAUGCUCCUGAAAAUUAAGUAUUUAGUGUUGUCUCUUCAUGGCUAUUAGUUUACUUCAAAAAGUUAAAUAGAACAUGGUCCCAAGGGAAACAAUAGGCUCCUAAGGCAGGGCUCAGGAGGCAAAGGGUUGGGUGGGAAUGGGAAGGUUCCAAGUUGAAAUUCAUCUACCGAGAGAGAGAGAGAGAGAGAGAGAGAGAGAGGGGAGGGGGGAAGAGGGGAGGCUACCUCAAAAAAAGAGGUUGCCAAGGGCAACUGUAUCACCUAUCUCUUUCUAAAUAAAUUAUUAGAAAACUUGUGAGGAUGGAAGUGUUAAAUGGAGGUUUUUUUUUUUAAAGCCAAAUCGAGAAUGAACAUUAACUAACCUUAAAAACCUUUUUAUUUUUCUUACUUUGACAAAGCUCCAGAAUGGUUAGCAGUUUGAGAGUAACACUUAGCUCAAAAGGUUAAAGAAGAUGAACAAACAUGAAAUCAUAAACCAAUACAAAAGAUGUAAUGCACCCAAAAGAUAAAUGCACGUAAGGCAAAUUACAACUCAGAAACUACCCAUUGUUGGUGUUGAAUCACAACCCAAGUAAACAAAUGAAGUUUGAGUUGGCUACGUGGAAAUAAUGCAUGUGACUCAAGAAGACAUAAGCCAUUGAAUGAUUCAGCAACUACAUUCACCUGGUCUGAAUUUUUGUCGACUGAAAUUUUAUUUUUUUGUUAGGUAAAUUUUUUUGUCCCUAUUGGGAUUUGAACCUGAAACUUCCACAAACCCUCCCAAACCUUUACCUCUUGAGCCAGGCCUCAAGGGCAUGUUCACCGGAAUAAUUUAAGCAGAGAACAGCAGCUGGAUCCUUCUUAGGAAUCAUCAACUAGUCAUGCUGUAACUACAGAGCCAGAUCCUAUGUUCUCACUGAAGUUAUACUAAAAUGUUGUAUAUGUUAAUGUAUUUGCUAAGAACAGGAAAAUAUUUCAUAUCACCCAUAAAUGACAAAAAAAAUCUUGUAAUCUAAUUCAUGGAGGUAGAUAACCUAAUGUUGAUAAGAAUCACAGUAGACUUCAAUGGAAUAGAGAAAAUUAAUUCCAAGCAACACCAAACCUAAGAAAGAACACGAUUCUACCAUGUUCAUUAAUUAUCAGAAAGCAUACUGAAGAUUACUAGAAAGACUUUAGAGUAUGCAACUUAAGAAAUUAAGAAAAUCCUAGUGGAGUGGAUUAUAGAGGUACCAAAGCCAAACAAAGAGGAUAAGGAAAAGAAAACCUCCAGAGAGCCUGGUUGCAUUCAAUUGAAAGAGCUUCAAGCUCCUUAAACUUGUGCCCAAUUGUCGUGUCAACAUCCCAAGACUUCUCCUCCCAACCAUUCCUUGCAACCUCAGCCUCCGUGAUAUCUCUCUCAACUGCCUGCAACUCCCUCUUCAUCCUCUCUGCAUCUCUUGCAUUAAACGUCUGCAACUCAACCCUCUUCUUCAGCUCUUCAUUCUCCUCGCAAAUUCUAUUAUUCUCUUCAACCUUCACCCCCAACUCCUUCUCCUUCUCAUCCAAAAUCUUCUCCACAGAUGCAAUCCUUCCUGAAAAUUCUGCAAUUAUUGCAUGAAAUUUCUUCACAUCCUCCUCCAACACCCCCCUCUCCUUCUCCACAACCUCCUUAGCCGAAGGCCCCGACCUCAAUUCCUCCAACCUCCCCUCCCUCUCUGCCACCUCCUUCUCCAAUGCCUUCACACCUUUCGCCACUGCGUCCCUCUCCCUUUCCAACUUCCCCAUAAACUCCCUACCCACCGCCUCCAUCCCAUCAUCAUCCCCGCGAAUAUAAUGCAAGUAACUAUCCAAUGCAUACACAAAAGUAUUGUCAAAAUACUCCAAAUUCGACACAAGAUGGUCAUUAUACAAUGCGAUUUGAGCCAACCAAUGCAUUACGCCUAAAAGGGAAGGCCAAACAGGCGGGGUUCCGGGGGCUUUGAGAGCGGACUUGUUGAGCUUGAUCGGGCAAUUGAGAUGCUUGAGGAGGAUAGGAAGAUCGUCUUCAAGUUUGGUUGUGGGGAAAUCGNNNNNNNNNNNNNNNNNNNNNNNNNNNNNNNNNNNNNNNNNNNNNNNNNNNNNNNNNNNNNNNNNNNNNNNNNNNNNNNNNNNNNNNNNNNNNNNNNNNNUGAGGGGGAGAGGAGAGGAAUGGGAGGCGAGAAAGGAGUUGAUGGUGCGGAUGGCGGAGAGUUGGUAGGACCGGUUGGUGAGGGCAUCGCCGGCGGAGGAGCGGUUGAUUCCAAGGGAGGAAGGGUGGCUGCUGGCGAAACUAGCGUCAGAGUUGCGGCUGAAUUGGCGGUGGUGGUCGACGGAGGGAGGUGGUGGCGGCGGUGGGUGGAUAGAGUCCUUCGGACGGCGGCGGCCGGUGGCUUUCAUCCCCGGCUGUGAUGGGCGUCUCUCUCUCUUCUGAGUUCUUGUGAAUUCUGAAUCUCUCUUUCCCGCCUAUGGGCUACUGGGAAAAUGACACUGCUUUUUAAAUUUUAUUUUUGAAAACAUUUUUUUUAAAUGAAUUAUUUUUAAAAAUAUUAAGAUAUUAUUUCGUAUUUUAAUAAUAUAAAAUAUUUUCACCGAAAGGAAAAAACAAAUCAAAUUACCGAAAAAACACUGUUGACUGAUCAAGGACGGGCGGGCAGCAAAGUAUUGAUGAACUUCAACAGGUUAGAAGGAUGAAAGGUGCUGAUUGUGUAUUAGUUCAAUUCUUCUUUAAAUCUAUUUUCCAUACAUCUUGAUUAACCUCUAAGUAAUUGCAUACUCAGAUUAUGCAGUCAAAAGCAAUUUCAUAUUGAUCCAGCCUGCAUACGUGAGGUUCAGGAGAUCUCUCUUUCAAGUCAGUUCCAACAUAAGCACAUUGUUCAAUAUUAUGGCACAUUCAAGGUAUUUUUCAAAUUUUUCUUGUUGGAUUGGCUUCUUGUUAUGUACCACUCUUGGAAUCAGGGCUACCGUUUGCAAAUUUGCAUUUUUUGNNNNNNNNNNNNNNNNNNNNNNNNNNNNNNNNNNNNNNNNNNNNNNNNNNNNNNNNNNNNNNNNNNNNNNNNNNNNNNNNNNNNNNNNNNNNNNNNNNNNUUUGGGAGAAUAAUAUCGAUAUAUAUAUAUAUAAAAAACCCUACAUAAUGCUGCAUGCAAGACACAAAUUUAGGAACUUGAUCUGGGUCUUGUAGAGUUGUUGCAUGAGUCCUCUGGCAUCUUUGUACCUCAGAGGACUUAACUCGCUGCUAGUGCUGGGUUGGGCCUAAUUUAUAGGGAAGAAACAUUGGUGGAGGCAGUUGAUAAAGCCCAGAGUUGACGGCUGUUAACACUGGUGAAGAGGACGGGAAAAUUUUUAGCUUUGAAGAGUUACCUCAUUCUCUUAACUACAUCUGUGCUCAAGUGGCAGAUUACUAGUCCUAAUAUUCCUCAGAAUGCUCCUGGCUUUAGGAAGAAGACAUGAAUUAUGGCAUCAAUUUGGGCAUACGUCCCUCCUCUGCAGUAAAUCUAGAGUGCCAACUAAAACUUGGGACUGAUAAUUUGUUGCUCUCACUUGGGAACCCCCAUGCAGUAACAUUAGUUAGGUCUUUUCCUCAUAGAAUAACCAUGAAAGUCUUUGUGCUUAUUAGUAUAAUGGCUACUCUAGUGAAGGCCCAAUGUUCAAGAGGACUUAGAAAGGAUCUUAAUGUUAUGGGAUUCAAAAUCCUUAGAAGGCAUGAAUCUUUGGUGGUAUCUGUCUUAAGUUCAAUUAAAAUUCGAUUGAAACUUAUCUGGAAGAUCCGUAGGUGUUUGAGGUUUUGGACCAAAUCAAUUGCAGCUUAGGGAGAAGCUGAGUAACUGCUCAGGGUAGCUUUUGAUUUGGUGCACUGAGGAGAGUUCAAUGUUAUUGGGUCUUUUAGGGAAAAGCUAUUUUGUCUAGAAUUCCCAGUAGCGUGAAUGACACUGAUGAGCUAAUCAAAAGUUGUGGCUUAGUUGAUUCAUCUCUUAGAGUGAGGCCUUUCCAUGGUCAAACAAGCAAGAAACCCCAGUUUGAAGAGGUUUGGUAGGUUCUUGAUCUCAACAGAGUGCAACAUCAUUCAAGAAUCUUACCUAGGCUAGUAUUUGAUUAUGGUUCCAUGAUAUGGAGGUUAACUAAUUAGAUGAUUCUCACCCUCUUUUCUUUUGAAAAUAUGUGGUUGCUGCACCCAAAAUUUGGUGAUAUUAUUAUGGAUGUUGCAUGAGAUUCAGGUCUCAGUAUGGGAAUGAUAGAUUUAUUGUGUAGCCUUAAGUCAAUCAAAGCUUUCUUUGAAAUAUUGAAGAAAGAAACUUUUGAUAUUUCUGGCAAGAGGAACACUGUGAUAAUCACACUUGAAGGAAUGGGUCAUAUGAUGGAAGAACUUUGAUAUCUUAGAAUGAAAAGGAAAAUAAGGUUGGAGGAAUUAUGGGAGGGAAGAGCUAGAGACAAGAGUCUAGGUUGAAAUGGGUCAGGGAGGGUAAUUGCUACUCAAAAUUGUUUCACUGGGUGGAUAAAUUAUGGCAGGUAGAAGAAGCUAGAAAGGAAUGCCUGGGUAUUUGAAGAUAGGAAGAGUUAGUCUACUGAAUUUCAGGAGAAUUACUAUGGAUAUUAGUUACCAAGAAUUUAUCAGAAUUCCCUUCAACAUCAGUUACGUUCCCAAUUGGAAUAGUAGUGAGCUGCUUUGACAGUUGGUGUUUUGAAGCUUAAUUUUGCUGAUGUUCCUUGGAAAUUGGGAUUGGAUGGCUAUUGGCAAUCUAAUAUAGGAUCACAGGCAAGUUUAUUCAAGGUUCUCAAAGAAAGCUGGUUUUGGGCUGACUAUUGAAGCAAAAAUUUCUUGCUCUAAUGGUGGAGGUGGAUUAACUAAUAGUUUUAUCUUGGGUGGCUAGUAGUCGGAGAGUGUUGUGCGAGAUACAAUCAUUGGGUGCUGAGGAUCAUGCAAUUUGAUAGUUGUGUUCUCUUUUCCCUGGAAGCCUAGAUCCUUGAAUUAGAAAGGCUAUUAGUUGGCCAAAAAUGGAUCCUGUUCUUGGUUGGUUUAACUGGGGAUAUCAUGCCCCGUGUUUUGGUGGUUAAUUUCCUUAAGGUUGGGCAGCGAAAGGCUCUCUGGUGUGCGGACUUCUGUAUUUGUCUUUUUAUAAGCCUGUGCAAUUUUUUUGAUGGAUUUGUUUUGCUUGUUCCUUUUUACAAAUUCUUUGUAUAUUUUCUUAAUUUCUUCAUAACUAAAAAUAAACAGUACUAAAGCUCUGUUUAGAUUGACUUUUUGGAAGCAAAAAGAUCCUUUUUAAGUCUAAUAAGAUCUUCAAUAUGUGUUUUUGGCUUCACUGAAGUACUUCUAACCUUAAAAGGAGUUCAACACAUACGUAUGGGCAAGCUGUUUUUCAGUUUAUGUGGGAAAUUGUUUUAUGUUUAGUGAAAUCACACCAAUGCCAAGAUUGCCCCUUUAAAAUAAUGGUUUUAGCUUUAGCUUCAGUUCCUCACCAAAGUUAAAGGCAAAAUAAUAUCCUCAAACAAGACCUAAAUCUGAGGCCACAGCAGCACUGUUGCAAUCUUCAUGAGGUUGACUGAGUACAUGUCUCUGUUAGAGAGUUAAUAGGGAUUCUGAGUCUAUGUUGAGUAACCAAGGUUUUGCUUUUAGAGUUGUUAUUAUUUUCAAUCAUAUUUUUGGAUGUUAAUCACAAAAUUUUAUUUCAGAGGCUAUAGAAGGAUUGCCCUGACUGGAUGACUCUUAAAGUGGCAUGUUCUGUUUUAGCUGCUUGAUGAGAACUAAACCUUAGACUAAAAUUCAUGAGGGGGUCUCUUGAGCUUCCCAUCUGUUAUUUUUCAAGUUCACUUUUUCCUCUAAAGAACCUUUUUUUAAUCUCUCAUCUACUUAUCGUAUCAGCUAUUUUAUCAUGGUAUUUGGCCUUAUUGUUGUUUCAAGCUAUGUUCUUGCCUUGUAGGUCUGCUUCUGAAUGCAUGUUUCUAAACAUUCAUGCAUCAUAUGCAUCUUUUAUUUCCCUCGCAGGCUGUCUAAUUGACAGUCUAAAUACUCAGUAGUUACAUUUUUCUGUUCUUUGGGGUGAAUUAGUAUUUUUCAUGUUUUUGUUGUUGUCUGUUCCUUUAUGAUCUGGUUCUGGUACUGCAUCAAGAGGAUUGGAGUUCAUGUCAUAUUUUUUUUCUUGCUUACUCACAAAAUGUCUUGCCAUUCCAGGACAAGACCAAACUUUAUAUCUUUCUUGAGCUUGCAACUGGAGGUUCACUUUUAAAUCUCUAUCAAAAGCAUAAACUGUCAGACUCCCAAGCCUCUAAAUACACAAGGCAGAUUGUGAAAGGUUUGAAAUAUCUACAUGAGCAUAAUGUAGUUCACAGGUGAUUCAAAUGAUCUUACUACUACAUUUUUUGGUUAUAUUGCUUGUGCUUUAUUUGUUUAUACCUUGCUCUAUCCACAUGCCAUUACUGCUUGAAACAUGUGCUGAUUAUUUCAAUUAUCUGCCUUUGCUACCAAGAGAAUUGCAUAUGCAUAAACUAAAUGGCCUUCUUACUCAGGGAAAAUUGGUUCACUCUGUUGAGAAAGUUCUUCAGUUUUUAUUUUAUUAUUUUAUUUUUGUUUUUAUCUUCUUGAAACCUUCAAUAUUAUUUGGAUUGCACCGGUUAGCCCACUUACUGAAUUCUGUGAUUACAGACUGCUUGGUGAAGUGAAAAGUUCAACACUCCCACCUGCCCUCUUCCAGGAAAAGAAAAAUGGAAAAACCAAAAACAAAAAGAAGAGUCAGGAGCAUGGAUGUUAAACAUGGUCAUUGUCUGAUAACUAAGAUGAAACUACCCAAAGCCUUGGUAUAGAUAUAGAUAUCCCCAAUUUUCUGUGUACCUUACAUUGUGUCUUCACAUGUGGGGUUUACGUUGUUUGUUUUGAGAUUAUUGUGUAUCUUAAUAGUUUAAUCCUUUCAUAAAACUCCAUGUAAGUUAUGAUAUGAGGUGUGGUCCAUUUCCAUUUGACUUCAUGCAAUUAGCUGUAUUAUAUAUCACUUUGUAUAUUCUGCCUCAGUGCUUGAUCUUGCUAUAAUAUAAUUUUUUUUUUCUUUUUUCUUUUUUCUUUUUUCUUUUUUAAUUUGUAAGUCAAAAUUUUCUUUAAAAGCAACAUAUAAGAAAACAUACAUAAUAAUGAUUCAACUUUCUCUCUCUCUCUGAUUCACUUGAUUUGAGUGUCUCUUCAGGAGAGUUUUUGGGUCAUGAUUACAGAAUGGAAACCUGAAAAUUGAAAGAAUCCUAAUGCAAAAGCCAUUUACAAUGCUACAAACUCUCUCUCUCUCUCUCUCUCUCUCUCUCUCUCUCAUAUGAUUGAGAUGGUAAAUGGCAUAACUAGCAAGGCUAGAACCAUGGAGGGAUGUGAUCAUGGGACUCAGAAGUACCACCAGUAGGUCAUAAGGGAAAUUAGGCUUAUUGAUUUGGUCAUGCGCAACAAAGGCCAAUAAUUGCAUUGUUAAGAAGAGAUGGGUGGACAUUGGGAAUCAAUUGAGGUUACUUCAGGAAAUUAGACAUUUGGAAUGACAGUUGAAGCCACAAUGUUGUACAUUUACUUACACAUAAAUUGUUUCUGUUGUAAGACUAAUAGGUUCUGUAUCAUCUUCGAGGGAUAUCUGGUGGAUGUAAAUGGAACCGUGAAACUUGUGGAUUUUGGAUUGGCAAAGGUUAGUUUCUAUUUACUAGAGUUAUCUCUCUAUUGUUUCAAAAUGCUAGACUUCUAAAUAUUAUAUUUCUGGUUGUAUAUCUUUUCAGUUUUGCAAAUUGAACGACAUAAAAUCUUUUAAAGGGACUGCAUUCCGGAUGGCCCCUGAGGUAUCUUCCUCUCUUUCAUUCCUUCAUUUCUUAAACAAAUCAUGUUUGGUUUUGAAUUGAGAACUAUAUUUUAUGGAACUGUACUCGGUAGAAUCUUCUUAUACCAUGAAGAAGCAUGCAUGCUUAAAAUGUAGGCUCUGAAACCCUUGCCUUUUAGCAGGUGGUUGCGUCAGAAAAGGAAAUGACAUGAUUGAAUUGGGUUAUUGAAUAGCUCGAUUAUUGGACUGGAGCUAUCCCAACUAACAAAUUGAUAAGUUGUUGUUUUCCCAAAUUGUUGCUCUUUCUAAGAUUUUAUCCUACAAGGCAUUUAGUCCAUGCCAUGUCUUAUUACCAAUGCAUUUUGAUUUAGCAUCAGUCAUUAGUAUCUUUCUGUACAACUGCCAAUAUACUGACACUAAUAGAUGCAUGGAACCACUGAGUGCUCAAUUGAUGAGGAUUUUCCAUUCAAAUCUGAGAAUUUAGGCAUCAAGCUACCUUUUUCCAUUAACUCUCUCUACUUCUAAGGGUGGUUAAACCCUUGCUUCAUUAUUUGGUAACAAAAAUUAGUACAUCACCAGAAGAUUGGUAGGGGGAUCCUACAGUUAGGGAUGCAAUGAAGUGGAUUGGAACUGAGUGACCCAUCCUUCUUCCUGAGAACCCGAUUUAGUACAUUUCAUUCCAAAGCUGCUCCAUUGGGACAAAUUCUUUAACUUUCUGGACUGCAGGUUUGUGAAGAGAUGUUAAAGCCCUGGCUAAAAAUGAAAUAGUGGUGUCUGUUUUAUAAAACAAAAUAUGGUCACCAGCAAUCUACAUUUUAGCUCGAUAUUGCCCUUCUGAAAUAAAUUUCUGACUCUUUGCCCCUGAGAAUGAAUUGUGGUUUUGCAACCGCCCAGAUCUGUGGAUUUGAAUCAGUUUUUACUUUGAAAUCAUGCUCAAACACCCUCGUCUUACAACUGUGUUUAUUUAUAAAUCCUGCACCAGUUGGGAGUAGAACUCUUAAAUCCCUGUUCUAAAUCAUGUCCAAACAUGUUAUAAGUCUUUGUGUUAACCAUAUUUGAAAGUUUUUUACCAAGGACAUUUGUCAUUAUAUUAUGUGGCACUGGCACAGGAUGCUCCAAGCAUUAUGGUUUCUUAUAAGUGUUGAUUUUACAAAUAAUUUGUGCCACUGUAGGUCAUUAAUGAGGACAAACAAGAGAACGAUGGUUAUGGGUUUGCAGCUGAUAUAUGGAGCCUCGGGUGCACUGUAUUAGAGAUGUUAACUCGGCAACAUCCAUAUCCCAAAUUGGAGCCGGUAUGUAUAAGCUUCAAUGGAAACAAAUAAUCAUUCCAACAUUACAUUCUUAUAAUGCAUCCAAACAUAAGAAUUAGAAUCACCAAAUCUAUUUCUAUUCAAGAAGAUAUAGGAAUGAAAACAAAGUUUUUAUUCUUAUUCCUCAUUCCCAUAUACUAAACAUGGCUUGAGGGCAAUGGACUGAUUUCAAUGGUAUGUAUACUUGUCUUAAAUAUUUGGUAUUAGCAACUUGCCCUAUGGUAAAAGUGUGGUUUGGGUUGAGAAUGGUAUAAAGAUGAGCCUAGGGUUGUCAAUGGAGCCUGCAAAUAGCUGUUGGAUUUGAAGGUUGAAUAGGAAUUUGCACAAGAAGGUUUUGGGAGGUGAGAAAAUGAAAAUGGAUGUUGGUGGAACUGAGAGUAUGAAUGUCUUAUGUACUAAAUUUAGUAACACUCUUUCAAAAUAUACAAUAUAAAAUUAAGAAAAUAAAAUUUAAUUCAAUAUCUGUAAAACAGUAUUGGGAGACCGCAUAUUGGACGUUGUUUUCAUAAUCUUGUGUUUGUCCUAAGUCUUAACUCUUAAUAGGAAAAAACAUGUUUUUGAUGGAGUAUAUUCCCUGCAAUGAGGUGUACUUGUCCUUAACCUCCUUUCAAAGUCGAAUCAAAAAACAAUGUUAGGAAUCAAAAUCGAAUCAAAAAGAGGGAAGUGAGGGUUUAGAUAUUAUCUUGUCCGAGACCAUCCAACCUUGAUUAUAUAUAAAAUUAAUUUUAAAAAAUAAUUUUAUUGAUUUUUUUCUAUUAUCAUUUUUAACACAUAAAAUAUUAAAAAAUUAUUUUUUAAAUAAAAUAAGUUAUAGAAACUAUAAUAUUUUACUUAUUUAUAAAAUAUAUUUAUUUUUAAUAUAAUUUAAAAAUUCUAAAAUUAUUAAUUUUUUUUAAAUAAAGAAAAUACAAUGAGUAUGGUGGCCAUGAAAAUUACUUUGUAUAAAUGUGAUAGGAUUGAUAUGGGUAACUCAUCGUCAACCCAACUAAUCAUCAUCCUUACAAUUAAAAUUUUACGUAAAGGAAGGGUACAAUUGGUAUUUUUAUUUAUUAUAAAGAAAGUAACUGAAAUGGCUUUUGAAACCCGAUGAUAUCCAAUUGGAGAUAAAUUCCCAACUUCAAAAUUAGUAAAGUUAAUUUUUUUUUCUUGAACAAAUUUAGGAACUUUAUGAAUGUCACGUUGUUGCAAGUGUUUAUACUAUAAAAAUAUUCUUAAAUAAUUUUAUUGGUAAACAUUUUUAGGAAUAAUUAAAUUAUUUUUAAUAAAAAAUCUUGAAGUAAUAACAUAAUACAUCGAAUAUUAAUUUUUUAAAUAUAUUUAUGUAAAUUAUAUAUACUUAUUUCCAUCCAUUGAAGAAAUUCCAAUGUUAGUGGAUGGGUGAAAAAAAUAUGAACAAUAAAAAAAGAAAAAAAGUUGAUAAUAACAAUUGCAUAACUAAAAAAGUAUUUGCAAUUUAGAAUCAAUCAUUUGAUGGUUAAUUUUUGAAAGAUAUUAGAAAGAUUAGUUUUGAAGAUUAUUGUGACUUAUUUUUCAAUUAUAUUUGUAGGUAUUCUACUUCGUAGUUUCCUUUUAAAAAAUGAUAAUAAUAAUAAUAAUUUUCUCUUAUUUUAAUAUCUUUGGUACAAAACAAUAAUUUGAUUUUUCUCUUAUUUUUAUUUCUUUGAUACAAAACAAUAUUAUAGUUUAUAUUUGGACCACCAAAAUGCAAUAUGAUUUAGAAAAAGGUAAAAAGUUUUUUUUAUAAAUUAAAUUUGUAUUAUAUUUAUCAACAUUGUAAGUUCUAAAUUUGUUAUACUUCAAAUAUUUUUCUUAAAAAUGUAAUAUAUUGAUCAUAAGAAAUCAAGAUUAAAAAACCUGAGAAAUCAAAUAUUUUUCUUAAAUAUUUGUUGGUGACAAAAAAAAACAAAAGAAAUUAAAAAUUAAUAAUAGAAAAAUGUGUUUUGUAUUAUUUUAUAUGAAAUAACUACCAUUCAUUAGCGCUAGUUCCAUUAAAUGCUUUAUUAUCACACACUUAAAAGAUGUUUAAAAUCACAUUAUUAAAAUAUAUAUUUUAUAUUAAUUUGAGACUAAAAUCCAUCUUUAUUUCAAGUACCUACAAACUAGGAUCCAUUUUUUUAAAAAUAAUUUUUAUUUAUUUAUUUUUAUUUUCUCUUUUAAAGAAAAUGAUGUAAACAAAACUAAAUGUUCAUAUCUUGAGGUUAUGUUUGAUAUGUGGGAAUGAAGAGUGAUAAUAGAUAUCUUAUUCAUUUUCACAUUUAUUUUUAUAUUUAGAUAACUCAAGUUACUUAUAAAUGAUAUUUCAAUUUAUCCUAUGAGGUAUUUUGAUUCUAUAAAACAAUUUGUUUUUAAAGAUAUUUUUCAAAAAUUUAAAAAUCUAAACCUUUUACUGAUAAGUUGUUUUUAAAAAUAUUUUAUUUUGAUUUUAUAAGAAACGAAUUGUAAAUUCAAGUUAUAUAAUAUAAACUAAAUUUAAUUUGUGCCUUAUUAAAAAUAAAAAAUAAUUUGUAUUUAUAAAUAAAUUAAAAAUAAAUAUUUUAAAUAAAAUAUUAAUAGUAAUAUUAUAAUAAAAUCAUAAAUUAUAUUUUUUUAAAUAUUAUAAAAAUAUGAUAACGUAAUUGAUUUAUUUUGUUAAUAAUAAUAAUAAUAAUAAUAAUAAUAAUAAUUCAAAAUUAAUAAUUGCUAAUACUAAUUUAUUUUAAAUGAAUUUAAAAUUAAAUAAAGUUUAAUUUUUUAAGUAUAAAUGAGUCAAAUUUUUCAUUACAUACAUACAUUUAAUACUCAAACAUGGUAUUCUUAAAUUUUUUAUUUAAUUUAUAAUUAAUAAAUCAGUUUUUUGAAUUUCAAAUUAUUAUUAAAAAUUAAAAUAUUUAUUAAAAAAUUCAAAAUAUUAAUUAUUUCCAUUAUUUUUUAUAGUCCUUAUAUAUAUUUUUUGAGUUUCAAAUUUUCUUUUAAAAAAUUAUUAAACUUAUUAAUAAAUUUAAUACAAAGUCUUCCUUAAUUUGAAUUUCUAGUAAAAAAAAAUGGUUUUCUAUUUUGCUUUGUUUAUAGAGCACGAUAAUCAAAUAGUGGUACAAUUUUUUUUAAAAACAAAUUUGUUUGUAAAUCAUAUGUGCAAAUAGUUUUUAUUAUUUAGCAAAAACGUUAUAGACCCUCUAUUUUGGCCCUAACACACACACACACACACACACACACACACACAUAUAUAUCUAUAUAUAUAUAUAUAUAUAUAUAUAUAUAUAUAUAUAUAUAUAUAUAUAUAUAUAUAUAUAUAUAUAUAUAUAUAUAUAUAUUUAUUAUUUUUUCUCUCACCCCACUAUUUUUUUAGCAUGUAUUUAGAUCCAUUUUUGCUCAGUUUUUCAUCAUCCCGGUCCAUGUUUCACAUUAUUGAUUUUUGAGCUAUAUUUUGGAGACCAUUUAAAGGGUUAUUUCAGGUCCUAGCAUGAUUACCGGACGCCCAUUAGGAUUAGUUUUUUUUUAGGGUUUGCUUUUGGAAUUUUAGAGCCUUUGAGUAGUUGGGUUGGGAUGAGGACACGUGUACUCAUUCUAGCCUUCCUUUGUCUCUUUUAAAGGCCUUUUUGGCCUUUAGUGAAGGGUUUUUUUUUUUUUUUUUUUCAGUCUUUUGGCUCAAGUUUUCUUGGAGGGGGUUUGCUAGCCACCUUUUAAGGGUAGUGGAGAUGCUCUCUAUAGCUAAGGAAAAGGGACAGAGAAUUGAUUUUUAUAGCGAGAAUGAGACAGAGAGCAAGGGGUUUAGGGGAGUUUUUGGGAAAAGUAGCAGACGAAGAAAAGUUGUGGGCGAGGCAUUGUGGUGGUGAGUGGGCUGCAGAGUAAGACGUUGCAGGGGGGGCACCAUCUAUUAUGAUGGGGAGUCUUAGAAAAGAGGGACAUGAGCUACAGGCCAUCUCGGGGAGGCAUUAUUCUUCUUUAUUCUUGGUGAGAGUAAGAGAGGAGACGUUAGAGAGAGUAAAAUAUCUUUCUUUUGGUGGUUUUUGGUUUUGAGUAGAGGAGAAGAAUAGCAUUAAGAGAAGGGAAGCAGAUGGGACCCUUCCAGGAAUGGAUAUUUUGAGUUCCCUAUUCAUCUUCAUUUAUCAUAAUUGUUAGGGUGAAUUCACAAUAUUUCAACACACACCAGGAUUUUUCUACCAUUUCUUUGUGUAAAAUUAAAUAGGUAAUAGCAACUAGCAGUAAUAAAUAAAUAAACUUAUGCAAUAGAAAAAUAAACCAGACACCAAAAUUUUUAUAUGGAAAACCCCUCAAUGCGAAGGAAAAAACCAUGGGACCUAGUCUAGUUCAAACUCCACUAUCAACAAUAUUGGGUUACACCUGUCUUCUCUAGAAUAAUCUCUAGAGGCUACUAAAUACAUCAAGAGCAUAUAUAGCCUUGGAUUAUAUAAUCUUUCUUGGUAAAAAAACAAGGAAAAAUGGAGAAAGAACACCCAAAAACACGUUGUUACUGUUCAUGGGCAAUAACACCAGUUCCCGAGCUCAAAAUCUGAUCUCCACCUUUUAGAUUGUAGCUACUCGAGUUUUGAACCUCUCCUCCAAAUUUCAACUCGAUCGAACCAUAGAUGAAGCGGGAUUGGCUCUUUGAUGAAAUCUGGGCAAUGAGAUGUGUUUUUUUUUUUCUUUCUCUCUUCUCUCUGUUUUUUCCUUUUUUUUUUUCUUUUUUUUUUUUAAUCUCUUCUAUUUUUGUUUAUUUAUUUAUUUUAUUGUAACUGACUUAGGCCCCAAGAAUAUGGGGCUCACUCCCUCACAUACGAAGGAGCCUAACAAAUCUCCAAUUGGAUUCUAAUUGAUUAAUUAACCUAAUAGGGUGUACUAAUUAAUCAAUUAGCUUAAUCCAAAGACCUUGUUCACUUACCCCUGUGCAACCUUAUGUUAUUACCAAAAUGCCCUUAUACAUAAAGUGAACCUAAAACCAAUCUGAUCCUCAUAACCUAUGCCAACAAGGUAUAUGAGCUCAAACCGGGGACCAUAACUCCAGUAUUUUAUGUAAAUAACAACAAGACACUGUAUACUCGGGUCCGUGACUUGUUAUCCAUUGUGUUCAGUCUCCCUAUGAACUAAUGUCCAUAGUUUAACAAGGUAAAAAUUGUCAAUAUUUUAAGACUACCUUUAUUAUCAUUGAGUUAUAGAUCCUUCUAUUAUGUGUUCAACUAAAAUGUCUUAGCUCUCAAAGAGCCUAUGUCAAGUUCCACUUAAGGAACUACUAUAACCAUAGUUUCCAUUAACACACCUCCUUAGAACCACCCAAGGGGACACAUUGUCUCCAUCCUAUGAGAUAUCAUGGUGCUUCUAUUAAGAAUACCUAUUGCUACCAACUUCCAUCAAUAGUGACCCAAUCCAUAAGGAAUAUAUGAUCAACUUACAAUCUCACCCAUAGGUCAAAACCAUUGCUAACUUUGGCUUAAGCUUCAAUAUUCUCUUAAGGUUGAGAGACAACACAAUGAAGUAGCUUGGUAAGGUCACGAAUACUUGAUAGCCUUAAGUCAUGACUCACCAUAAGUCCUGUCCAAUAUGUAACCAUACACACCAGUGUACUCACCAUGGAAAACUCAUCUCGAUAUUCAAGACCAGUUAUCCCUCCAAUUAGAAGGUGGUGGUGCACUAUAGCCUCUAAUAAGUUGUCUAAACCCACGAACCGACUUUGAACAAGUCAUCUAUUUGCAAGGAACCCAUGACUUGGAUUUUCCCUAUAACUCAUAAAUGCACUCAUGUCACACACACUACAAAAGAUGUAAACAAGAAUACUCAUAAAGUGUAAUGCAUGGAAUACAGAUAGAUAAAAGUGAAAUUGGAAUACCAUUAAAUAAAUAAGGAAUUCCAAAUCUAUUACAUCAUGUCAUGCUUUUAAGAGUUCCAUCCUAACACAACCUUCACAUUUCAUGGACAGUACAAAGCGAGAAUUUGUUUAGGUUGAUAACAAUUUUCAGAGUGCCUUGUCUUUGAGUUUAAAACCUUUUCCUAUAUUCAAUGAUUCUAAUGUGAGCUCUAGCUUCCUUGGUCUUUAGUAGUCAGGCAUGCAAUUUUCAUUGGAAAGUAAGUGGAAGAGGUGUCUUGCAAAGUCUAGUAAUGUGUACAUUCAAGCUGAGAAGGCAUGAGGUACUCCCUCGAUGACUAUUAGGUUGUAAAAAAACAGUACUUGGCUUGUCCAUGUGAUUUGCACUCUUGAGAGAUAUGUGAUUGGAUUAUCCUAGAGCCCAAUGGAAGAAAAUGGGAAAUCAUGUUGCCAUGAGCAACUGCAGAGGGAAUGAAAGUGAGAGAUUAUGCUUAGUGUGGUCCUGAUCCCACAUCUAUUGUAGUUAUGACAGAGGAUGGCAUUACAACUACUGGUCAUAUUAUUAUAGGAGCAUUGCCAAUCGUUGUACAUAUGACUAGGAAAUCCAACCUGUGACACAAUAAGUUCAAUUGUGGUUGGAAAUUUAUAUAGAAUAGUAGCUAUAUUUCUCAUCCAAGGAGUUGUUCCAUUUGCGAUGAUGAUAAAUGGGAAGUUAUAUGUGAGUGCCCUCUGCCUAUAGAAAAUGAUAAUAAGAAAGACUAUCCAUGUUCUUUUUUGUCCAUUCCAUCAAAUUUGACAUGUGAUUUCAAACACAAAAAGAUCUUCCAAUAAAUGGAAUGAAGAAUAGUUACCUGCUAUGCUCAUUUGGGAAAAAGACUCCAAAUUUGGAAUUAGAAAUGAAAAGUUGCAAUGGUUUCUUGGUGCUGUGAAAGCACAUCCUAAUGAGUUGAAGCUUGUGGGGGUCAUUACCAUUUGGGGUCUGCCAUUACUAAGGUGGGCAUUUUCAGGGAUGUUGUAGUUCUAUUUGGGUUAUGUCCACAUGGUUGAAUUUGAAAGCCAUAGAGUUGGGGCUUGAUCUUCUUGGAUCACAAGCUCCUGAAAGAGAUUCAAACCUUUUUUUUCCAAAAUCAAGAAAAUUUAUUAAGAAGCAGUUUGGAAUGUACUUUUUUCCUUCUUUGCCAAAUGGCAGUAAACUAUUUAAUAAAAAUUAAUUAAAUUUUUAUAUUAAAAACUUUAGUUAAAAUUAAUUAGAAAAUGUGGUAAGAUAAAAUGAAGUAAAACGAACUUUAAAGGAUCUUUUAGACAUUUUAUUUAAUUCUUUUAACUAUGACAUCAUUAAUCAACCAUGAAAAUCUUUCAAGAUUUGAUAACAUCAUUCAAGCGAUUGUUAUGCUCCAUUAUGGUCAGGUGGUGUUAAUGUAAUUUAAAAAAUUUAAGGGUGGUUAAGUGCAAUUGUCAAAUAGCUGAGGGGGUUAUGCUAGGGUACCGAAAAUCACUUUUCAGUACCAUACCCACUUUUUCUGGCUAAUAGGAUUAAGACAUAUGGCAUGCAAAAUAAAAAAAUUUAAAGAAAACCAAUUCUUCAGGUUACCCAAUCGGUUGCCAUGGGAAUUAAUCCCAUGCAACACACAUUUUUAUACUUAUUACAAUAACCAAUUAUAUUUCAAUGACCAAUUAUAAAAUCAUGUUUAAUGUAAUUAUUUCGUUUGGAGAAUUUCUUUUAUGAAACAGAAAAAUAAAGAAAAUUUUGGAAAAAGAUAAACAAUAUAAUUUGGUAAUAUAAUUUAUAAAUUAAGGAAAAGUAAAUUUAAUUUAUUUUAACAUUAAAUAAUUUGUUGAUAAAAUUUGAUGAAUAUUUGAAGUGUGAAAAACAAUAUAAUUGGUUUAUGAAGUGAAAAAAUGGGAAGAAAUAGAAAGAAAUUUUAUAAAAUAUAUAUUAACUUAAAAUUUAAUUAGUUGUGUACUAAUUAUUAAUUGAGAAUAUAUGACUAAAUUAUUUCUUAGCGUUUAAAUUGAAUUACACAACAAAAUUGGUUGAAAUAUUGAAAAUAUGAAAAAGGUAUAAUUACUAACAAUAUGGAAAUCCAAACCCCUCGCCGAUUUUUUUUGUAAAUUUCCAUUCUGAAUUUUUCAAGGAUCCAUUUAACACCCUCAAAAUGGACUGAACUUAUCUAAACAAAAUCUAAGUCAUAUGAAAUCCCAAUUAAAAAAAAUAAAUCAAAGAAAUGGAUAGUAGGGAGGGCACGAAGAAUGUGAGAUUCCCUCACUAAUUUGUUAGUAUUUACUGAUUUUGAUUUUUUCGAACAUCAUUUAAAUACCUACUAAGUGUAAUGAAAAAAAUUCAAAAAAUGUAUAAGCCAUACGAAGUCCCCAAACAUAUUUAACAUAUCAUAUAAUCGGAGAAUAGAGAGGGCUCCUCAUAUUCCUCAUACCCUUGCUAAUUUUUUAGUAUUUUUGGAUUUUUAUUCUUUCGAAAAUCAUUAGACUACUUCCUAAGUGUAAUGAACCUAUUUAAACAACAUCCAAGCCAUAUGAAGUCGCCAAAAUUUUUAAAAAGUUCAAAGAAGUGAAGAAAUGGGAGGGUACGAAGAAUGUAAGGACUCAUCACAUUCUUCGUACCCUUCCUAAUUUUUUAGCAUUUUUGGAUUUGGAUUUUUUCGAAAAUCAUUUGAAAACCUCCUAAGUGUAAUGAACCUAUUUAAAUUAUAUCUAAACCAUAUGAAGUACCCAAAAUUUUUAAAAAAUUCAAAGAAGUGUAGAAAUGGAAGAGUACGAAGAAUGUGAGGAUUCCUCACAUUCUUCGUGCCCUUCCUAAUUUUUCAGUAUUUAUGGAUUUGGAUUUUUUUGGAGAUCAUUUCACCAUCUUCUAAGUGUAAUGAACCUAUUUAAACAAUAUCCAAGCCAUAUGAAGUCCCUAAAAUUUUUAAAAAGUUCAAAGAAGUGAAUAACUGAGAGAGUACGAAGAAUGUGAGGAUUCCUCACAUUCUUCGUACCCUUCCUAAUUUUUUAGUAUUUUUUUAUUUGGAUUUUUUCGAAGAUUAUUUGACCACCUUCUAAGUGUAAUGAACCUAUGUAAAUGAUAUCCAAGCCAUAUAAAGUCCCUAAAAUUUUUAAAAAGUUCAAAGAAGGGAAAAAAUGGGUGGGUACGAAGAAUGUGAGGAAUCCUCACACUCUUCCCACCCUUCCUAAUUUUUUAGUAUUUUUGGACUUGGAUUUUUUUAGAGAUCAUUUGACCACCUCGUAAGUGUAAUGAACCUAUUUAAACAAUAUUCGAGACAUAUGAAGCCCAAAAAAUUUUAAAACGUUCAAAGAAGUGAAGAAAUGGGAGGAUACGAAGAAUGUGAGGAUUCCUCACAUUCUUCGUACCCUUCCUAAUUUUUUAGUAUUUUUGGAUUUAGAUUUUUUCGAAGAUCAUUUGACAACUUCAUAAGUGUAAUGAACCUAUUUAAACAAUAUCCAAGCCAUAUGAUGUCCCCAAAAUUUUAAAAAAGUUCAAAGAAGUGAAGAAAUGGGAGGGUACGAAGAAUGUGAGGAAUCCUCACAUUCUUCGUACACUUCCUAAGUUUUUAGUAUUUUGGGAUUUGAGUUUUUUUGGAGAUCAUUUGACCACCUCCUAAGUGUAAUGAACCUAUUUAAACAAUAUCCAAGCCAUAUGAAGUCCCUAAUUUUUUUAAAAGUUCAAAAAAGUGAAGAAAUGAGAGAGUACGAAGAAUGUGAGGAUUCCUCACAUUCUUUGUACCCUUCCUAAUUUUUAGUAUUUUGGGAUUUGGAUUUUUUCGGAGAUUAUUUGACCACCUCCUAAGUGUAAUGAACCUAUUUAAACAAUAUCCAAGCCAUAUGAAGUCCCCAAAAUUUUUAAAAAGUUCAAAGAAGUGAAGAAAUGGGUGGGUACGAAGAAUGUGAGGAUUCCUGACAUUCUUCGUACCCUUCCCAUUUUUUUAGUAUUUUUUUGGAUAUCAGUUGACCACCUCCUAAGUGUAAUGAACCUAGUUAGACAACAUCCAAGCCAUAUGAUGUCCCUAAUUUUUUUAAAAAAAGUUUAAAGAAGUUAAGAAAUGGGAGGGUACAAAGAAUGUGAGGAUUCCUCACAUUCUUCGUUUCCUAAUUUUUUUAGUAUUUUUUUAUUUGGAUUUUUUUGAAGAUCAUUUAACCACCUCCUAAGUUUAAUGAACCUAUUUAAACAAUAUCCAAGUCAUAUGAGGUCCUCAAAAUUUUUAUAAAGUUCAAAGAAGUGAAGAAAUGGGUGGGUAUGAAGAAUGUGAGGAAUCCUCACAUUCUUCGUACCCUUCCUAACUUUUUGAAAUUUUUGGAUUUGGUUUUUUUUCAGAGAUCAUUUGACCACCUUCUAUGUGUAAUGAACCUAUUUAAAAAAUAUCCAAGCCAUAUGAAGUCCCUAAAGUUUUUAAAAAGUUCAAAGAAGUGAAGAAAUUGGAGGGUACGAAGAAUGUGAGGAUUCUUCACAUUCUUCGUACUUUUCCUAAUUUUUUAGUAUUUUUGGAUUUGGAUUUGUGGAUCCUACAUAUAAUCUUUACUUGGGACAUUUUAUAUUUCUCGUAGUGUAUAAUUGGAUUUUCAAAAUAGGGUAGCUAGGAAAAAUAAUAAAAGAAAAAUAAAACAGUUAAAAUCAUUAGAAAUAAUUUGGGCCCAUUGAAAAGAAAUGUGACUUAUGAAAAGCUUGAUAUGAAUGUUUAAUAUCGUCUACAACUUAUCCAAUGGAUAAAUUUGCAAAGAAGGUCCAACCACUUGCCCAUAUAGUCGUCUUCAUCAUCAUGGGCAUGAACAACAUUAUCAUCAAUAUUCUUUGUUAUUGACCUGAUUGGAGUAUGGUCGCAACCUGUACUUAAUGUUUUGUCACUACCUCUCUAUGCAUUAACAUUAGCAUCUUCAAGUACUGAUUUGUUGUCACAGCUUCUCUGCACAUUCAUGUACUGUGUCAUUGUUGCAUGAUUGUGCUUGACUCCUACAUAUUCAAGUAAUAUAUUUUAUUACGACUAUCUAUAUGAACAAAGUAAAUUAUUUAAAGUUUUUUUAGUUAAUUUAUCAUGUUAUUUUCAAGAAUAAAUGGAAAUUACUUUUAGCAUCUCAAUCACAAGUUUGGUCAUUAGGAAAAAAUUUAACUCUUCGAUAAAAUGCCAUGGUCUAAUUCAAUGCAGAAGACAAAUUUCCCCAUCUACAAAUGAGGUUUAUUACAUAAACAAUGGCCUACCUCAAGGCUCUAACAAAAGAGUAAAAUGUCUAAUCAAACCACGAUGUCAAAAUAGGGAUUGUCGAAUCGAAUAAUAUACAUUUUCAAUUAUAAGAUUCAUAUCAUUUACCCCAAAAAAAAAUUAUUCCCUAAACAUAUAUAACCUGAUAGAGUUCGCCACCAGGUCAGUCUAGUGUCAUUGCAUUCACCAUCAUACUUGAUCUUUUUGCUAGAGGAUUAUCCCUACCUUGUGUACUACUAUAUUAGAACUUCCAUGUUUGGAGGACAACAAUUCAACCUUAAGGCCUUCAAUUCCAGCUUUAUUAUCUAUGCACCUACUCAUAAUAGAUAUAACUGCUACCACCCAACUAAAUGUUGGUUUAUAUGGAUGUUGGAUUAGCAAAAUGAUGUCUCUUUAAAGUAAGAGCAAUUAGAUGUAGCAAAAGACCAAAUUGAGUAUCAAUACAACAAUCUAUGUUGGAAGCCAAUCACAUUACAACUUCUAAAAGUAAAGAUUAAUCAGUCAACUGGUUACAUGUAACCGGUUGACUAAUUAUCUCUAUCGGUAGAUACUACCAAAGUGUUGAUGCAACACCCAAAUGGGCAAUGGCUACCGGUAGCAAAAAAAAUGGAACCGGUUUAUUUGAUGAUCGACCGAAAUUGGACUUUCCUUUUGUUUUCAUUUAGGUAUGUGAUCUGGCGAUCAUACAGUUAUGCAUAAAUAUUAAAUACUAAAAAGCAAGAACUUGAACAAUAUCACCUUUCAUCAGGAUAGAAGGUUAAUUACCUUAUGAAAACUUAUCAAAAGAGAAUAGUUUAGCAUAACAAUUCAAAAUUUAUGACAACAAUCAUCUCUUCCUACCAAGAUCACCUAGCUAUUGUACAUGGCCAUUAUUUUAGACCUCCUUGUCCUACAUGCAUCAUCCAUUGCUGUUGUGACUAUACUUCCACCAACAUUUAGUUCUUGUACCAUUAAUAUAACACAUUUACACAUUCUUCUUUAUUGUGCAAGAAAAUUACAUGAAAGCCACAACCUUAGUCCAUAGUCACUAGUAGACCAAAAAUUUUAUAUUUAAAAUAAGCUUGUUUUCAGAUUGUAGCCAUCAUUCAGGAUAUGCAAGCAUAAAUAAAAUGGAGUAAAGAACUACUUUCACCACUUCAAUCACAAGUUUCGCCAUUAGUAAAAAAAUUUUAACUUUUCUAGAAAAUGGGAUGAUCCAAUUCAAUCCUAUUGCCACUUUACCCUAUUGAAACCUGAAAAAAAAUGCACAUCAAGGAAGUUAACGCUUCUAGAAAAGAAGAAUAUCAUAUUACUAUACUUUGUGCAUUUUGAGGUAGCUGGAUCAAAAAACUUGUAUAGGUCAAAAGAAACAAGUGUAUCAUUAAAAAAGAUUGUCAUUCUAAUUCCAAGUUGAUAAUCCUAUUGAGUACAACUGGAAGUUUAGUAUCCUUUAAAACCUACUAGACCAUUUAUUGGGUCUUACAAUUAGCCUACAUAACAGGCCAUACUAGAGUUCCAAUAUUUAAAUGGUCUUCUCUACAACCUAGCUCAUAACUUUUAUUUACUAGGUUUGAAAAGUUUCUUGAUUGUGGACUACCAAAGAAAGAAAAAUCCCUCAAUUGUGAGCAUCACAGGAUCCUCCAAUUGAAUUUGCAGAUAGGGAAAGAUUUAUGGCUAAACCCAGAUGUUGCUUGACGAAGUAGGAGGAUGUCUUAACAACAAUGGUAAGAGCAUGGUGGAGUAUGAUUGAUGCCUAGACUAGGUUUCUUUGGGAAGACCCUUCUUAGUAGCCUCAACUGCUGCUUUCUUUGCUUUGAUAUCAGCAACAAUGGCAUCGAUCUCAGCUUCUGCAAACUUAAAGAGUAGCAUUCUUCUGUAGAAGCCAGAUUCCAUUAGAGUGUCAUUGCAUUCUAUUUCAUUUCUCAACAAAUGACCAUAAAGAACUUCUCAACUAGUCAACUAAUCUAGCAAAUGCACAUCAAGUUCAAUAUAGGGUAACAAUUACAUCUUAUUAUACUUUGCAGCUGGCAACACUAUUCAUCAUGUAACCAGUUUCUUGUUUGCUAGGCAGCAUAGCAUUUAGGAGGGAAUGAGGGUUCCAAUCUUGAGUAGGGAAUUUGGACUUUGUAAUUAUAUCAUACUAAAUAGAUGAUUCCUAAAAAUCAAAACUCAAACUUCUCUAUAACUGAUGCUUUAAGUAAAGCAGUGAGAAACAAUGUCAUUGUUAGUAUGGUAAGUAAAUAUUGUUAUGAAAUGCAGUAAGAAAUUUCAACUUAGAGUAAAUUGAUAAAUAAAAUGUAGUAAUUUUUUGUUGUAUUACUAUUACCUAAUACAAGAAUCAAAUUCUUUGGUAGUUAUUAUGAAAAGUCAAAUUAGAAAGCCAAAGAAGCACUAGGCAGGUAAUGGAAGUUGCGAUUAUAAUAAGUGAAUCAUCAGAACUACCCAGUCCUUGCUUCAGUGCAUCUGGUCCAAAAACAGAGGCUAGUAUCAUGCUAUUCUUAUAUGUAGCUUUCAUUUUUCAUUUUUGAGUUAUAGACUUCUUUAAGGGAAGAGCUCUAAGUUAAAAUUUUAGCAUAGGACCUUAAUUGCCUGUUAUUAGGGCUUUAACUAGAGUGGAUCAUGUAGGAUGCAAUUGAGAUUGUAGGAAAAUUUAUAAAAGAGAUUAUAGGAAUAUUUUGAUUUUUUUCUUUUUUUUUCUUCAUAUUGUUAUAAGCUUAUAAAUAUCCUUGUAACCUCAUUCAAAACGUCAUGAACAUGAGAUUAAUUCUCUUGCCUUCAAUAUGGUAUCAAAGAAUGGUUGCCCUACAGCUGCCAUCUUUCCAUCCUAAUUAUGCCAGCAUCUUAUUCCCAUCUAUCAGUCCUUAACCCUCAACCCUCAUAUUUAAGUCAUUAGUCCUCCUUCAUACCUAGCUAUUCACUAUCAUCUUAAAGUCUACUUAUGCUGAUGUUAUUUUUCACGGCUUUUUUUUUUCAUCUCUUGGAUGUCUAUUCAUCUUCUUGAUCUCUUGUUAGGAUCUUGAAACUUAUUUCUUUCUCAGACAUCAUGUGUGACAACAUUCCAACUAAAGACAUACUCUUCUAUGGCUUUAUGACUCAUUCAAAUAAAAUGGAUCUAAUUAUCUUCCAUGGUUUUCUUCAAGGCAUGUGGUAGGAUUUCUUGUAUUUGGUAACAUAAAUCUACAUAUGCAAAGUUGAUAGAAACUUGGGAAGUAAGGGAUGCACUAGUCAUGAUUUGUGUUUGGAACAACAUAGAACUAGAGGUAUUGUGUCUCUUAUCUCAUUUUUAGUAAGGAUAUUUGUAAUUGGCAGAGAUGUGUUAUUUUUCCACAAAUAUCUUGCUUACCCAAAAAGGCAUCAGUCUAACAAUAUUACAUUAUUACUUGGAAUUAAAGGACAUGUAGGAAGAGUUGAAUGUCUAUCCCCCUUUGACUUUAGAUCUAGAGAUUCAAAAGCACCACUAAGAAUAAUUUUGCUUGGCCAAAUUCAUCUUUGGUAUUUGGCCAGAGGUUGAACUCACAUAUUACAACAAGUCAUGGAUGAAGGUAAUCAGAUGACAACUUACAAAAGUAAAGCUUAACCGGUUGACCGGUAAUAUGCUACCAGUUUACUAAUUAUCUCUACCGGUAGACACUACCAAUGUGUUGAAGUAGCACACAAAUGGGCAGUGGCUACCGAUAGCAAAAAAAAAAAAAAAAAUUGCAACCGGUUAAUUUGAUGGUCGACCGGAAUUGGACUUUCAUUUUGCUUCCAUUAAGCUGAUGAAAAAAAGACCAAAUUGAGUAGCAAUAAGCAUGUAUCUUCAUUUAUUUUAAUAAGAAGAUAAGCAUAAUACAUUUAAAAAGGUGUUUAACAUAGAUAGGGCCCACAUCUCAUGUACACACAAUAUAUACAAGCAAUGACUAGAAAACACACUACCUCACAACUAUGCUUACCAAUCCCCAUACCAUCCACAAAAUCCAAGAAGGACAACAAAUGAAGCCCCAUGCCCCACAUAAUCACACAUAACUUCAAUCCCCAUACCAGACACUUGAGCUUAUAUGAGGAAAAUUUCUGAUGGGAAAGGUGUGCAAUGAUAUGCUCUUUCAAAUGACUUGCAUUGGAAAUUAAGGAAUACAUAGUUCACAAACAACUCCCAAGUGUCAAAAUUCAAGCAAGCAUGAAGCUUGGGAAGAAAUAAUAAUGCGUUGAUAAUUCAAAUUACUGCAAAACUAACAACUAGUCAUCAAAAAGCAACACAUGCCUUAGGACGCCGUAUUCUGUCUUUGAAUACUUGCCGACACACUUCAAUGAUAAAUUUGCCUUUGUAGAAAAUUCAGCCUAAAGUGGCACCUUAUCUUUGUGUUUCAGACAAACAAGAAAGAAUUUAGAACUUGAAAUUUUCUUAGUAAAUCCCAGACCAUAAUAACCUUGACACUCCCACUAAUGGAAUCAUCAGGUACACAAACUAAAUGUGCAUCUAAUAUUCCAUUAUAUUAAUCCUUGUCACUACAAUGAGUUUAAAGUGUACGCUAAGCUUUUUAAAUAAUGGUACUGCCUGCUUGGAAUUAGACAUAUAGUAACAAUAGUUCAUUUGUAAGUAAUAAGCAUAUUGAUGGUGAAAACACACUUUUUCUACCAUUACCUUCCAAAGAUGAAAAUAAUAAGAAUACAAAAGCAGAAGUGGAUGGCAAUUUAGCAGGAGGCCCCAUUUGGUUAUUCCUCUCCUCAUGAGUGGUAACUCCACUAUGAGAUUUAUUUUAGUACAACCCUAUGGCAAUACGUAUUACGUAAUAGUUUUUCUUAACCAUACACAAUUUGGUAUGACUAAUUUUUUUUCCCCAUAGGUUGGCAUGGGCUCAUUUUCACUAAACACUAUGAUUUGAAGAUCACAUUUUUUCACACUGUUAAUUAGGUUCUGCUCAAAUAACACAGUUUUUGAAAUAUCAUUUGAAGCUGAAUUCUCCUAGCAUGUUCAUAAUCAGUUUACAUGUUCAUUUGAAUGAACUCAAUAUAUGAAAUGUAGGUGAUGCGAUCGGUGAUGGAGAAUACAAUCAAGCAGGAGUUUGAAGUGAAAGAUGAGGAUGUCGUCAAUGACGAUGCAUAUACUGGUGGCAACGAUUUGAAAGAGAAGGUGUUGAAGGGUAUUUCAGUUGAAGAAGUAUACAAAUUGCAAUUCGAUUGCGUAGAUGAGAUUGAAACAUUUUACAACAUGUUAGCCAAAGUAACCGGAUUUAGUAUUCGAAAAGAUGAUUUGAAGUGAGAUAAGAAUGAAGAUAUAAUAUCUCGAAAGUGGGUGUGUUCUAAAGAAAGACAUUGAGCGACAAAGUUUAUUGAAAAUGACAAGCGACAGUGUGAGCCACGAUCGUUGACUAGAGUUGGAGGUGAAGCUGCCUUUCGUUUAGGCUUGAAUAGAAAAGAUGGAAAGUGGAUUGUAAAGGAAUUUAUAAGAGAACAUAAUCAUACUUUGGUUGAUGCUAUCAGCACACAAUUCCUUCGGUCUUAUCAGAUAGUAAGUAAUCCAAAUAAGGCAUAAGUUGAUGUUUUGCAUAAAGUAGGUGUUAAAACCAAACAAAUUAUGGACUAUAUGGUCAAACAAUCAGGAGGACAUCAACAUGUUGGUUUCACAAAAAAAAAUAUAUACAAUUACAUUGAUGCAAUGCAUAGAAUUGAAAUUAAAGACGGUGAUGCGGAAGCUGCAUUGGCUUACUUGUGUGGAAAGAUAGAAAUGGAUUCUUCAUUUUUUUACAAAUUCAACUUCGAUGAAGAAAGUUGACUAGCAAACUUGUUUUGGGCUGAUUCAACUGCUCGAAUGGAUUAUCCAUGUUUUGGAGAUGUCCUAGCAUUUGAUACAACCUAUAGGACAAAUGCCUAUAAAAAGCCUCUAGUAGUGUUGGUUGGUGUUAAUUAUCACCACCAAACUAUGGUAUUUGGUUGUGCGUUAUUGAUGGAUGAAAGUAUUGGUACAUAUGAAUGGGUGUUGGAGACAUUUCUUAUUGCAAUGAUGAAUAAGAAACCCAUAUCCGUAGUAACUGAUGGGGAUAAAGCUAUGCGUAAGGCAAUUAAAAGAGUCCUACUCGAUGCGUGUCAUCGUAUGUGUUCAUGGAAUUUGCAACGAAAUGCAUUCUCAAAUGUGCAUAUUAAGGACUUCACAAGCAUCUUUGCAAGGUGCAUGUUCAUGCAUGGGAAUUCGAAAGAAUUCAAAAAGGUUUGACAUGAAAUAGUUUAAAAGUUGGGUCUUAAUGAGAAUCGUUGGGUAACCAAGAUUUAUGGGAAACAUAAAAGAUGGGCUGAGGCGUAUUUAUGUGGAAAUUUCUUUGGAGGGAUGAGAAACGCAUAAAGGUGUGAGAGUAUGAAUGCAUAUCUAAAUAGAUUCUUAAAAAUCAGUUUGUGACUGUAUGAGUUUGUACAACAAUUUGAUAGGGCGAUAAUGAGAAUACGACAAAGCGAGGCAAAGGCAGAGUUCGAGUCGAACAAUUCUUCACCUGUGCUUUCAACCAAACUAUCCAUACUAGAAAAUCAUGUUGCGACGGUAUACACGAAAUAAUCAUUUCUUAAAUUUCGUGAGAAGAUGAAGAAUGCAGAGUUAUUCUUUGUGGUAGGCCUUGUAAGUGAUGAUUCAAUGCGGACAUAUGCAUUAUCUAAGUUUAGACACCCGAACUUAAAAUAGGAAGUCCAAUUUUGCCUGAAUAUUGUAACAUUAAAAUGCUCAUGCAUAAUGUUUGAGUCAAUUGGCAUCCCUUGUUGCCACAUGGUUGUUGUUAUGAAGGUGGAGCAUUUGGAAGAGAUUCCUCUUUCAUUUAUUUUGAAGAGGUGGACAAAGUUAGCAAAGGUGCAUACAAGAUCAGCACCGGUGAAUGAGACGGAUAAUGACAUGGAUCAGUUUGUACCAUAUGGGUCAUUGAAUUCGAUGUGCAACAAGCUCUCCUACUAUGCGUCAAAUACGUCAUCUUCUUUUCUAGAAGCGAAAAGUGAAAUAGAAAAUUUGACGGUGAGAAUGGAGGAACUUUCUAACAGUAAUUUGAAAGGGAAGAAAGUAGCAACAGAUGGAGCCACAAGUCCUAACCAAGUUCGUGAUCCAAAUAUUGUGAAGACUAAAGGAAAUCCAGGCAAAGUUGCAAUUAAUUUUCAAAAGGGAAGAUAGUGUAGUCGUUGUAAAAGAGUGGGUCACACAAUUCGAAAGUGUCCAGAAGCUAGAAUCCCUCAUACCGGUAAUAAACGUGAUAUGGUAUAUUAGAUUGAAUAAGAAAUUGUCGCUAAGAUGAAGUUUUUUACCUGUACUUACAUAAAUAACUAAUAUAAUUGUUUUCAUUGCAUUAUGAGUAUGUAGCAGGAAAGUAAUUUGUCUUCCCAAUGUGACAUUCGUAUGGAAAUGAUGCCUUCAACAAAUUAAUCAGUUGACAUGUUUGCAACCUUACCUGUAUGUACAAUAGGCUUGUUAUAUAACAACACAAACUUUGAUAACAUCUAAUUGAACAAUAAUUGACAACACUUAAUCAUUGCAAAAUGCAGGGAAUGCUAGGGGAGCAUUUGUCAAAUGACCGAUCUGACAUGUAUUUAGAUUUUGGUGUACUUAGCAAUGUAAGCUCGAGAAUAAAAAACACUUUUGACAUGAAUUUUCCCUAUGCAUUAUUUAAUGAUUUGGUUGAAGUAAUUGGAAUGGAAUUGGAUGGCUCAAUUUUAAUAAUGGAAUGUGCAUGUGCAAAUAGCAGGAUUUCAGCAAUAUGAACAAACUAUGACAAUACCAUGUCAAGGUGGGGAUCUAAGCAAAUAUCCAAAAGAAAAGGAUAUGCAACCUUUUUUUAUUCCUUAACGGAGUAAACAAUGGCAGGUAUUAAAUCAGUAUUUAUAUUAGUUUACGUUAUCGCUUUGGCUAAUAUAUACUUUUAAAUUAACUAUUUAAUGAAAAGUCUGAAUUCCGAUCAAGAGUCAAGUUGAUUGAUAGAAUGCAAUAUCCUUGAUAUUUACAAUUUAAUUGAUAACAAGUGAUAAAUGAUUGGUAAGCUGAUUCAUUUAUAUCACAUCCAAAAAAUAGUUACGCAUGCGGAUAUAAUUAAAUUCAAAUGUGGUUAAAGUUUGACAAUUAGGUGGUUAUGAGUUAACUAUAGGAAAGUAAUCGAUAUGAUGUAAUUCAUAUGAAAUGGUAAAUGUUGUGAUAUAACUCAAAAUGGGUAAAUCAUAGUUUGGUAGUUUGGAAUUGCAUUUUCCAUCACUUCCAAACCUUUUAAUUAAACUUAAUGGCUUAGUCACCAAUGUUUACUGAGUGAAAAGUUUUCAGUACCACCUAUAGCCAUUUAUCGAACGGUAGUUAUACUUAGAAAUUGCAUGAUAGCAUUCAAUAAGUCAACCGGUUAAUAUUUGGCUUCAACCAGUUGAGAAAUCUUCUCUGCUGGUAGACUCCAUUCCUCAACCGGUUCACAUUGGUGAAAAAAUUCCUCAACCGAUUGAGAAAUUUCUUCUGCCACUCACUUCAACUCCUCAACCAAUACAUAUUGCAUCAAACUUUUGUUGAACCGGUUGUUAAAAUUCCUCAACCGGUUCGGACAAAUCCUCAGCUGGUUGACAUUGCAUCCAUAUAGUCAUUAUCCGAUUGAGGAUUGUUCUCAAUCGGUUGCCAUAAUUCUAUGGCCGAUAGACAUUGAACUAAGCUGAACCGGUCAACCGGUUCUUACUGGCUUUACGUCAUUUCUUAACCGGCCUCCAUUGCCUUUACAAGUCGUAGCUAUAAUUCAUACCUACUAAAAAUAUUAGUCGCCUAACCUAUACUCCUACCGGUACUAACUAUAUAAUUUUGAGCAUAGAUAAAUGAAUAUAUAUAUAUAUAAGGAAAAAUCUAAAUACCUAAAAGAUCGUAGAAAAUCAAACAUGUCGAAAAUGAAUGAUGCCUAUAUAUUACAAUUUCAUUUUGCCUACCAUAUUGAAAGAAGAAUAUAACAUAUUCAAAUUAAACAAACUUGGUCAUGAACAAUGUAUGGUCAUGCAAGGUCACAACUUCCCAAUAAACAUGAAGAUAUGUGGAGAUGGAAAUAAUAAAUAUUAGAAAAACAACAAAUAUCAUAAUAAUAACUUUUUCAUUGCUCGUGUAGACUUCUUUGUACAAACAAUAACCACAAUGGUUUUUUUUUUUUUUUUUUUUGUUUCUCUCGUGUAAAACUAAAUCACUUGCUAUUUCCCAACGUAUUUUAAUAGAAUUACAUAAGUCAGAGCCCGUCAUCGAAUCACCAUUUUUGAAUAUCUGUAUAUGUUUAAUGAAGGAGCCUAAUCAAUGGAGAAUUGAAAGACAUCUUUCCCUAUGUCAUACAGUUUGAAGAACAUUUGACAAAAUUCAACCUAAUUUAUUUUGAAAGUGUUAAUAAAUAUAGAAGAGAAAAACAAAACAAAGUAAAAGGAAAACAAAAAGCUAAAAGCAUACCACUAUUUUGACACUCUUAAACCGGAACUCGUCCCGACUCUUUUUUAUUGUAAUGAAUCCAAAAUUUGGAUAUGAGAGUUUUUAAAGUCAAUGACGCACAAAUACCAAUGAUCGAGGCAAUUGUCAUGCAUUGGAAUAAAUAGUUGUAAAGUUAGAAAAACAAUAUAUAUGAGUUGGGCCACAAAAUAUCUACUAUAUUAUAGGUGAAAACAAUAUCUACUCUAAAUUUGAUAUAUGCAAUUAAACAUUACUAACCUUCUCGCAAUCAUCCAAUUCGCUAAUGUACUUACUCAUGAUGAAUGUUUUUCUAUCAAAAAAAAGAUGAAGACUCCUGCACAAAAUCAUUUGCUAAUAAUAAAACAUAAUACGAAUAUUAGUAGAUUGUACUUAAUAUGUAAGUAAACAACAAGAGAAAUAUGAGCUUACUGAAAAAUGUCGUGGGAAUAUACUUCGUAUGCUUAUGAAUUGCCUCUUAAAAUAAUUUAGCUUUGAGGCUUCUAGAUUUAUUACCUGUUGUUAAACAAUAACUUCAAUAAAUUUAUUUAAUUAAUAUAACAUGCAUUUGAUAUAAAUGAAGUAGGUACUUACAACAUCCAUCAAAUUUUGUUUAGGAUGUAAGCACUCAAAAUGUCCACGAACUCCAUGAACUCCAUGUUCAUGAUCAAAGUUAACAAGAAGCCCACUAAAAUAAUAAUAUAUUAAAGCAUUCUUGACUAAAUUGGAACCAUAUGAAGACUAAAAUUGUAACAACACAUCUAUGAAUGUUCUAGACACUACAAACCUUUUUGACAAUGCUUUAUUGAAAACAUAAUCAACAACAACAGAUUGAAGUACAUUGAAUGAUUGAGCAUCCACCACGUCUUCACGAAUGGACAUGGGGAUUAACUAAAUAAAAAAAACAAGACAUAAUUAUUAGCUAUAUAUGUUGAGUAUCAAAAAUAAGAAUAUGAUAUUAAACUAUGUGUAUUAUACCUUUAAUGCUUGACAUUUUCCAUUUUCCUUAAAUUAUGUACAAACAGGGAGACCUUGAAUUUACUUGGUUUCCUCUUCCUUGAUGUACGUGUUUUCAUGACUUGAUCGGGAUAACCACAUAGUGCUUGUAAUGGUUCCUAAUAUGGAAAAUGUCAUUAAUAUACAUCUAUUUACUAUGUAAUGGUUUAAGUAGUUGUAAAUAAAAUAUUUUUUUUCUUUUAUAUGAUACAUACCUUUCCAUAAUCUCUUCUACUGCUUUUGAUUGGAAUUGAUAAAAUAUCUACAUUUUUGUUCGGAAUGAUAUUUACUUCAAUUGAUGUAGCACAUGCAUCUUCAUUAUUUCCAUUCAAGUCCUUAGUGCAUAACUUCUCAAUUGACAAAGUGUGAACAUAAUGUUCAUUUCCUUUCUUAUUGUUCUUAUCUUCCAAACUUCUCUCGCAUGAGAGAAUAUCAUUCUUUGUUCCCUCCUUGUGCAUUCUCAAAGGUUUUUCGCUUAACCUAAGGAAGAGACCUUUCAAUGUAGUAUAUUUUUCCUCAAAUUCAGUCAAAACUUUUUCAUAACUACCAUUACUUGCACCAUGACACAAAUCAAUUAGAUGUGUCUUUAAUUGUUGAAAGGUUUUAUCCAUCUCCAUUAAGCUCCCACCAUCAACCUAGUGAUAUUUAGGAACUUGAUUAAUAAUAUCACAAUACAAGGGUUCACUAUUAAUAUUGAUACUCACGAUGAAUAUUGUAAAACUUGUUUAAUAACAUCUUUUUUUGCAUUGAUUUCAAAUUUCUCAUCAUUCUCAUUCUCCCCCUCCAUUGUCAUCGCACUUCUAUCAACACAAUCCCUUAUCUCAUUUUGUAUCACCCAUAUUUUGACCUACAAUAUAUUCAUCAAAAUAUAACACAUCAGAUUAAAAAUCAUUAAAAACUUAAACCAAUAUUAAACAACUUUCAAAACUAUAACUUACAUUGUCAUCUGCAUAUCCACCUAGUUUUUUCAAUCUUCGUUUCAUGUCCAGUGCUUCAUCAUCUCCCCAAGCAGUAAUCCAAGGACAAAGUCGAGUAUAUAAUGGUAGAAAUUUCUCUUCGAACGAUAUAUGCUCGUGGUAGAAUAAUUGCGCUUAUUUGACAUAGAUAUAUAGUUAGUUAACAAAUUUUAUUAUAACAAAUUCGAAAUUCACUAUGAUGUAAAUUAAUUACAAGGACAUUACCAUUAAAAAUAAUAAGCAACUGCAAACCCGACUUUGUUGUUUCCUCUUAAACUCUUCAAUCCCGUGUACAAGAUAAGACAACACAAAUUCAGCCCAAUUCAUCUUCUUUAUUAAAUUGAUGUCUUCCACAAGAUGUAAGAAAGAACGUUUCACAAAUAGCUUCAUUAUUGGGCACAAUAAUGCACCCAACACAAAUAAUACAAAACGAACUUUGAAAUCGUUUCCACCUUCUUUAUCCUCCCUAAUUUGAUUUUCUAACAUCACUAAUGGCAAUCGCUCCUUUUAAUCAUAAUAUUUUUUUUAUAUAUAAAUCAUUCUUAUGGCUAACAUCUUUGUUCAUGCCAAUCUUCAACCCUCUUGCCCUCAAUCCCAUAAUAAAUUCAACAUCAAUGGAGGAUAAUUUGAUACAAGUAUUAUUCAACUCUAACAUGUAAGUGUUCGGGUUGAAACUAUUUAUCAACCAAACACAUAACCCAUGAUCAAUUUUCUUACAUCGAAGUUGCAAGAGGCUACCAAAUCCUAUUUCUUCUAUGGCUGCUCUUUGCUUUGGUUCUAAUUCUUCAAUAAUUUUAAUCACUCGCUUGGGUGAGCAUCGAGUCUAAAGAUAUAACUGAAAAGAUACACAAACAUCAAACAUGUUUACAUUAAUAUAAUUUCCAACAAAUACAUAAAUAAUGAAAUUAAAUAUUCAUUACAAAAAAUUACAUUUGGAACCACACCCUUUUAAAGUGAAUAUUGUUUUGAACUUUCUUUGGACUUUGCCAUGAAAUCUUCUUUUUCUACUUUUGAAAGUGCAUUCCACUUCUUGCCCAAUUUUUUCCUCAACUACAUUAAUUGGUCACAUACUUUAAAUUCUAAUUUUAAAAUGUAAUUAUAUUAGACACAACAAUAUUACUCCUUACAUCAUCAUUUAUCUUCACUUCUUUAUCAGGCUCUUUGAUCAUGGUCAAUUGAUUGUUACUACAAAACAAUUUCAAACAAAUUUAACUAUAACAACCACAAAAAAAAUACAUUAAAAAACAUAUUCUUUUACAUAUUUCUAUUUUCCCUUACUAGUAAUGUAUCCAAGCUCUAAUAGGCCUAUUUGGAUUUCUAACAACUUCAACACCAUCGCAUUCGCUCCUAAAAAUUAAAUCAAAUCAUUUAAGUCAAUUUUUAUAAUAUGAUUUUAGAUAUAAUAAAUCAAACAUACUUUCACCACCAGUACAAAAUCCUCCCUAAAUCUCUAUACAUUUUAAAUGGUCACAAAAUUAGCAUAUAAAUUAUUUUCAAUCUCCAAUUAUGGAUCUAACCACACUAUUUUUCAUUAAUGUGAUCAAUCCAUAAAUCUAACAAAAAACAUGAAAUAUAAUGGAUACAAUAUUAUAAAACACAUUAUCAAUACUCACAUUUUUUUCCUUAAUAUAGAACUCGACAAAUAAUUACAAUACAACCGCCUUUUGAUUAACAAAAAAUUGUGUCCUUUUUAGCUUUCUUUCUCUUAGUACUACACAUCUUCUUCUUCUUCUUCUUCUUCCAGCUAUGUCUUCAAUUCGGGUCUUCAAACCACAAAAUUUAGAACCCGAAAACACCCCUUACACCUCUUAAACAAAAUAUAAAAUAUGAAGAAAAUACAAGGGUUAUGGAGAUGAGAGGGAUGAGCGGGAAUAUCGCACUCUUUACUUCAAAACUCGAAAAAACCCCAAAUAUGAAAAUUAAAUAGGGACAUAAACAGAAGGAGGAUACGAAGAAAACUUGGAAAGAUGCCACCCAAAACGACUACAAUAUCUCACCCGAAAACACCCAACAACAUGAAAACAUCCAACAAUACACGAAGACAACUGAAAGCACCCAAAAAUAAUAGCCGAUGGAGAUGAGUGGAAAACACAAGUACCCGGAGAAGACUCGAGUAUGGAGAAGAGAGGAAAAUAUGGGGAAACUCGGCAAAAGAGGGAGAAAACAGCAACCCGGCCCGACUGUGGAGGAUGAGUGGAGAAGAUACCAAAUUAUGGGGGGAAAAUGGGAAAAAGAGGAGAGAACAAGAGGGAGAAUAGCUGCCCGGUUCAGUAAUGGAGGAUGACUGGAGAAGAGAGCAAAUUAAGCGGGGAAAAAAAGGGAAAUGGGUGAGAGAAUAGAAUGGGGAAAAACAGCUACAUGGCCAGCUAUGGAGGAUGAUGAGUGGAGAUGAGAGCACGGGGACACAAACGGGGGAAAACAGGAAAUGGAUAAGAGAAUAGGAUAGGGAACAAUAGCUACACUAGCCGACUAUGAAGGAUGAUGAGUGGAGAUGAGAGCACGGGGACACAACUGACUAUGGAGGAGAAGAUGGCUGGCUAUAGAGGAGAAGACGGUCAGUUAUAGAGAAGAAAAGAGGGGAAAUAUGGGAAAAAUGGUUGACAGAGGGAAAGAACAGGAGGGAAGAGAGGGGAAAAACAGGAAAAGAGGCUCAGAGAAGGAGAGGACAUAAGGGGGAGGUACUCGAUUAUUAUUAUUUUUUUUCAUUUUUUCUUUUUCUUUUGGAUGGCUAAGAUUUAAUCUCUUUCAUCCAACGCCUAAAAAAAAUGAGGCAUGCUACCUUCCCCAACACCAUAGAAUUUUCCUUGAUAAAAAGAGUCCCAUAUUUUAAAUCUAACCCAUCAUUUUUUUUCCUAAGAAAUUACUAAUUUUUAUAAAUAAAAAAAAUGUACUUGCUUUUUAAAAAAAAAAAACUUCCAUCAAAAUAAUAUAAAUAUCAGAGGAUAUUUAUAUCAAAAAUAAUUUUUUUAAUUAAAAACUUAUAUUUUCUAUUUUUAAAAUUUUAUAUCGAUUAAUUAAAACAAGUUAAAUAAAUUUAAAAUAAUAUAUAAAAAUAUUUUAUUAACUUUAAAUUUAUUUUUUAUUUUUUUUCUUUGUAUUUUUUUGUACAUUUCCUUUCAAAUUUUUCCAAAAAGGAAACAUUACUAAAAGAUCAUGUCAAGUACAAGAACUAAUCCUUUGAUAUGGAUGAAUUAAAAUAUAUUUUGUUUAUACUUUUAUUUUAUUUUAUAAAGGAAUUAAUAAUCAAAGGUUUAAUUUAAAAUAAAUAUUUUAUUUUAAAAAAUUUAAUUUUAUCAUAGAAAAGAUUUAACAAUAAAAAGUUCAUAAUUUAUAAAUCACUAAUCCUAUUUUGUCAUAAGUGAUUAGUUAGGUUUCUAAUGUUAAAUGAAUUCAAUAGUUUUUAGUUGGUUUUAAAUUUUAGAUGGUUCGAAAGUUAUAUUAUCAAUAUCACUUAAAAAUGAAAUCCUCUGUUUUUCUUUUCAUUUUUCAAUGAUUAGUUAUUUUGUCAAAUUCUCGCUUAGUUUCAAUUUUCAAAUAGUUUUGUUUAAUGUUUAAUAUAAACAACUUUAACACUUUGCAACAUUCUAAUGUCAAAAAAAAAAAACACUUAAUGAGAUUAAUCUUUAAUAGGUUUAUAAUUAAAUUUAAAUUUAUUCAAAUAUAAAAAAAUGGUGAUGUGGGGGCUUUCCCCAUAUAGCCACGUGGCAGGCCACUCUUGGUCUACGUGGCAUUCUUCUAUCUCUAUCCAGAUGAUCAUCAUCAAACCAGAGUCUCCUAUUCGACCAACGGGUAUCAGAGACUAGUCACAUUGUGCUCCUCUAAACUACACGAUGCAUUCCAGGUAGAUAUCUUGGCCCACUCCUGCAAGCAAUCAUUCCCCCAAGCCAUGAGUACAUUUGACGGGAUGUAACCCUGCCUUCACAAUUGAGUUGCUAUACGCUAUGCCAUACUUUCUACAGAGUAAGGUGACAAGUGAACCAUCAUGUCAUCCCCACUAGCAGCCCCUGUUAGCCGCCUAAAUGGUGAUGAUUGCCCUGCCACGAACUGUGCUGCCAUCAUGACUGCGAAAGUUAAGAUGUCACCUCAGCGCAGAUGUGACCCCAUCCCAGACACUAUAAAAACCCUCACACAACCAAAAUCCAAGAACGUAAUACAAGAAGCCCGAUAUAGCUCUAGAGAAUAAGCGAUUUCUCGAGCUAGUUUUAACUAAUUGACUUGGGCUUCGAAGGGUGUGUCCGGACAACUUGUCCGAACAUCUUUUUACAGGAAAGAAAAGAGAAGUCAAUCUUCACCGACUGUAUUCAGUCCUUUCUUGCUAUAACGGGGAGAAGCAUCAUCCCCAAUUGAUUCAGCAUUAACAUCGGCAUCAUUUGUGGGAAGGAAACAAGAAUGUCAACACCCUCAAGAAGUCGAUCGUUUGCCAUGGGCGACGAAGGUUACUUUGACUAGCGUGAGAGUAUGGAAAGAUGCUAACGAGAAAGCGAGCGACAAGUGCAAGCCCUGCUCCAAGAAACAAGAAGACUCAGAGAGGAGAAUGAGGUGUUGCGAAUUCAAGCAUCUUUGUCAGGCCCCUCUCGUAGCCAGCAACCAAGGAGUUAGUGAACGAACUCCAGGAAAAAUGAGGAAGCAACAUACCCUAGAAACACAGAGUCCCCCUUUGAUGAGCAUGGUAUACGACCUGAUGAAGGACCCCUAUCGGCCUAUCACGCGCCAUAGGACGAAAACUCUGAUUCCACUCGUGUCUCAUCUAAAAGGAGAUGCGAUAGGAAAUCCUAACUAUUAGAUGCAAUGCACGCAAGGUUAGGGCCACAGGUGCCCGGUAUGGAGAAACCACGUAUAGCCACGACCCAGGAGGUAUACCCUGCCCCAUUUGCUGCACCCGCUAUACUGAACUGGCCUCCAUACCCAACACUACAACAAUUGGAAGAGGAUAUGGUAAGUAGAGUUCCCCUCGGCUCUGCCAGCAGGCGACUAGACAACAUGCUCUCCAUGCCUUUUAGCUCUCGCAUUAUCAAUUACGAACCCCUGAGAGAGUUCAUCGAGCCAAAAUUCUCUACGUAUGACAAAUUCAUUGAUCCAUUUGAUCACAUCAUGCACUACAGAUAGCUCAUGACCCUUGACAUAGGGAAUGACGCACUGUUGUUUCUAGCUAGCUUCCAAGGUUAGGCCCUCUCGUGGUUCCACCACCUCCCAAUGAAUUCCGUCGACAACUUUCGGGACCUAUCGAAGGCCUUCGUGGGACAAUAUCUAUGUUCAACACAACACAAACAAAACAUCAGCACCCUGUAAAACAUAAAGAUGUAGGAGAAUGAGUCGCUGAGGGAGUUCGUAAAGUGGUUCGGGCAAGCUGUACUCUAGGUAGAGUCUUACAGCAUAGACAUUAUUAUCCAAAUCUUUAAAAUGAGUAUCUGUCCGGGCACACCUUUCUUCAAAUCUCUCACCAAAAAGCCCUAUGUAACUAUGGACGAUCUAUUCAGAUGGGCAAACAAAUAUUCCAUGCUUGAGGACAAUGUCCGUGCAGCCACCCAGUAGAUCCUGGUCACCAGUCGACCUGCCAAAAAUGUUGAGGCUAGGAAUUCCAAAACCGCAAGCCAACGAAGGCAAUCAAAUAAGAGGUAGGACAGACAACGCCAACCAAACUAGCCCAACUUCAUCCCACUCAAUGUUUCAUACGAGAAGCUCCUCCCCAUGAUCCGCAAGUUAUCCGACUUCAAGUGGCCAGAGCCCCUAAAAAUGGAUUCAACUAAGAGAGACCGCAACAGAAAAUGUGCCUAUCACAAAGAGCACGAACACACUACGGAGCAAUGUAGUAGUCUCCAUUAUUUGGUGGAGAAUCUAGUAAGAUCCGAAUGCUUGAGACAAUACGUUCACUCAGAAGGUAAAAAUGGGGUGACAUCCCGAAGUCCAACCACCACGACCCCCGCAGCUUCUAUAGCUCCUAGGGUCGUGAUCAACUAUAUUCACGGCGGACCUAUCAACGAGGAAUACAACUCUAAACAAAAGAGAUGGAUGCUACUUCAAGCCAUCUUCGUGCGAGAGCAAGUUAGCUCCAUCAAGCCCAGAUUAAUCAGCAGGAGCAUGCGCUCAAUAGAUAGGGAAAUCACUUUUCCCCUAGUAGACUCCAACCGAAUAUUACAAUCGCAUCGGGACGCCCUUAUCCUAUCAUUGGGAAUCAGUGACUUUGAUGUAAGGUGGAUCUUAGUCGACCUAGGUAGCUCAGCCGACCUCUUACAGGUAUCUAUAAUUAAACAUAUGGGGCUUUCACCAUCGAAUCUGGAAAAUCCUGGACGGAUAUUGUUAGGAUUCUAAGGAGCUUCAACAAUGUCUCUGGGCGACAUUGUGCUGCCCGUCCAGACCGGCCCCAUUGCCCUGAAUAUGCAGUUCUCAAUAGUAGAAGACCUAUCUCCAUUCAAUGCCAUAUUGGGGCGCACCUGGCUGUAGAGCAUGAAAAUCAUUCCUUCUACUUAUCAUCAGAUGGUGAGUUAUCGCAUCGAAGACGGACAGAUUAAUCUCUAUGGAAGCCAACUAGCAGCUCGAUAGUGCUACCAAGUGGCAUAGAAAACCGGAUCUAGUAGUGAUAAUGAGCCACCUCCAAAACUAUGAGCGCAAUCUUUUAAUAGCAAUUACAAUAUCCGACGAAGAAAGAUCCCCUGGUGGCCGACCCCUUGCAGACUAUUAAGAUCUCGAAGAAGGAUGAUCAUUUUACCUACGCAAGCUCCCUCUUAGAGUUGAACGAGGCGCGAAGCCUUGAAGGAGUACUUCACCGGAACAAAGAUGUCUUCGUCUGGACACACUCUAACAUGCUCAGGAUUCACCCAUCAAUUGCCUCCCACCAACUUAACAUUCUUCCAUUCUCAAGACCUAUCCGCCAGAAGGUCCAACAAUUCUAUUUGGAUAGGCAAAAAAUCAUUCAGAAUGAGAUAAACAAGUUAUUGAUAGCCGAAUUUAUCAAAGAGGUUAAGUAUCCUGACUAGUUGGAAAACGUGGUUGUAGUCCUGAAAACAUUGGGGAAAUGGCAAGUCUACGUUGAUUACACUAACCUCAAUGAUGCCUACCCUAAGGACAACUUUCCCCUCCCCCGAAUAGACCAAAUAGUGGACUCCACCACUGAAACACAGAAUGCUCUCCUUCCUACAUGCCUUUUUCGAGUAUCAUCAGAUCCCUAUGUAUCCACCAGAUGAAGAAAAAAUUGCCUUCAUAACACCACAUGGGCUCUAUUACUACAAAGUCAUGUCGUUUGGACUCAAAAAAGCUGGAGCCACUUAUCAAAGGCUGAUGACUAAAAUUUUCAAACCUCUAAUCGGACGCACAAUAGAGGUAUACAUUGAUGACAUUGUAGUGAAAAGCAGGACCAAGGGUGAACAUGACCAACACCUAGAAGAAGUCUUUCACUUGUUGAGAGAAUACAACAUGAAGCUCAAUCCGUCCAAUUGCGCCUUUGGAGUGAGUGCGGAAAAAUUCUUGGGGUUCAUGGUCACUCAAAGGAGCAUAGAGGCCAAUCCAAAUCAAAUCAAAUCAAAGUUGUCAUAGAGACAUCCGCCCCAUGCAACAAAAAGGAAUUGUAAUGCCUCACUGGCAAACUCACUGCACUAGGGUGCUUCAUAACCCAGUUUACAAACAAACUAAGGCAUUUUUUCCUUGCAUUAAAAAGAGCCAGCGCGACAUGAUGGAAGGAAGACUUUCAGUUUGCAUUUGAAGAAAUCAAGUUUUAUCUCACACAAUCGCCCAUUCUGACCAGCCCUCAACUCAGUGAACAUUUGUACGUGUACUUAGCAAUCUCCAACUGUGUGGUUAGCACUGUUUUGUUUUGCUGCAUAUCGGACAAAAAGCAAAAGCAUGUCUACUACAUCAGCAAAGCAAUGUUCGAUGCGAAAACCAGGUACUCAAAGAUGGAGCAGAUAGCUUUGGCCUUGAGAAGCGCUGAGUAGAAACUUUACCCCUAUUUCCAGGCUCAUCAAAUUAUCGUGCUCACCAGCCAACCUCUCAGAAGUAUUUUGCACAAAUCUGAUCUAUUAGGAAGAAGGCUGAAGUGGGUCAUAUAAUUGAGGGAGUACGGGAUCAAAUAUUAGCCUAAGUUAUCCAUAAAAUGAAAAGUCAUGGUUGACUUUAUAGUUAAGAUCCCCCAACAACCCUCUCAACUCAAAGAACCUGGUAGAGAGGGAUGAUGGAUUCUCUUCGUCGACAGAGCCUCCUGGACCUCGGGAUCUAGAAUAGGCCCCCUCCUACGAUCACCAAUUGGAGAACAGCUAGAACAGGCCAUCCGACUUGGGUUCCCAGCAUCCAACAGUGAAACCGAGUACGAGGCCAUCCUAUCCAAACUAAACUUUGCACUUGCUCUCUCAGCUUCUAAGAUCGAAAUCUGCAGUGACUCUCAACUCAUUGUUGGGCAUAUUCAAGGGGAGUACAAAGCUAAAGAUGGAUGUAUGACUCAGUACUUGAUUAAAGUAAGAGGUGCCCUGAAUCAAAUGAAUGAAUGGGCUAUCAAAAGGAUUCCUCACAUAUAAAAUGUACAAGUCAAUGCCUUGGUUGGAAUAGGUACUACACUCCUCGUGAAGGAGGCAAUAUUAUUACCCGUCCAUUUCCAAAUCGUUUCCUUAAUUGUAGUCAUACCUGUCUGCAACGCUAAAGAGGUAGGUGCGGAGUGGGCACAUGAAAUUGAAAAUUACCUCCGGACAGGUGACCUGCCCGAAGAGAACAAACAUGCGCAUAGGGUCCGGGUGCAGGCUACCCGCUUCACCUUAAAUGGGGAUUAUCUCUACAGGCGAUCCUUUGGAGGUUCAUACCUCAGGUGCUUAAAUAGAACGGAAGCUCAGUAUGUAUUAGCAGAGCUACAUGAAGAAAUAUGUGGCAAUCACUCAGGAGGACGAACCCUGGUGCACCUUACCCACUCGCAAGGAUACUAUUGACCCACCAUGAAACAGGAUGCGAAAAAUUAUGUCAAGAAGUGUGACCGGUGUCAAAGGCACGCACCCAUUCCUCACAUAUCAUCUGAAGUUCUCAACCUAGUUACAAGCCCUUGGCCAUUCGCAUAAUGGGGGAUGGACAUAGUAGGACCCUUACCCGUCACAGCCACUCAUAAGAAAUUCUUGCUUGUGGCCACUGACUACUUUAGCAAGUGGGUAGAGGCAGAAGCUUAUGCCAACAUCAAAGAUAAGGACGUCUCUAAGUUUGUUGGGAAAAACAUCAUCUGUCAGUUCGGAAUUCCGCAAACAAAUUAUAGCUGAUAACGAACCACAGUUUGACAGUGUUGAGUUCAGGACCUUUUGUUCAGAGCUAAAAAUAAAAAAUCUAUACUCCACACCACGAUAUCCUCAGAGCAAUGGAUAAGCGGAAGCAACAAACAAGACCCUGCUCUCCGUACUAAAGAAAAUGCUAGAAAAAGCCAAAUGGAAGUGGGUAAAAGAACUACCCGGCGUCCUGUGGGCUUAUCGAACAACACUUGGAUGACCAAUCGGAAACACUCCCUUCGCUCUUGCCUACGGGAUGGACGUAGUUAUCCCAACAGAGAUAGGCAUGCCCACAACCUGAACUGUUGUACAAGACCAAAGGGACAAAUGUCAAGAACUUGAGAGACACUUGGAUUGGGCAAACGAGGUGAGGGGGAGUGCAGCCAUCCGGAUGGCCUCCGAUCAACAAAGAGCUACUGCCUACUACAACCGGAAAGCCCAACCCCAUGCCUUUAAGGUUGGAACCUUAGUCUUCAAAAAGCUCCAAGCUAAUUGGGAGGGGCCUUAUAUUGUCUUGAAGGCUGGAGAAUCUAGGGUUUACCAUCUACAAAAGCUGGAUGGAAUGCCCCUGCUCCACUUAUGGAAUGUAUCUAAUCUAAGGCAAUACUAUCAGUAAAGUAAAAAAAGAAAAAGUGCACAAGAAAGAUAGUGAAAUAUUGCAUUCGCAUUCGUAAGUGAGAAAUUGUUCUUUACAAGUGUUGGCCAGACAAAUCACGGCGAAAUACAAAUGACUUAAUAAUAAAUAAAAAAUGUUUUAUGGCUCGACCGAAGAGUCGGCCAUAGGAAGAAUCUCAUCUCUUCAAGAAGAAUCGUCGGGUACCUCCCCCUUGUCGUCUGAAGGAAAGGAAUGAGUAUCUUAUGUGAUGUCGUUCUUCUUCAUACAACAUCGAUAGCCAUAGAAGAACAUUUCGUCCACUUGCUUUUGAUACUCCUCCUCCAACUCCUUCUUUUGAUCUGUGAAUCCGGCCCAGAGUUCCUCCAACUUUUUCUUCAGUUGGGCAUUCUCCUGCUCGACCUCUUUGCACUUGGCCUUAGUGGCCUUGCCCUCCUCUCUCAACCGGUCAGCCUCAGCAUGGACCGACUCCUUCUCCACCUCCACCAAUUUCAAAGCCUCGACUCCCUCUACAAUAGCCUUCUAUGCAGCGGCAAGGUCGCUCUCCACCUGUUCCAGCUUAAUGCAGAGCUCUUCACCGCCGCCCACGCGAUGGGUGAUGAAAGCCCUCAAAGCCUCAACAACCUCCAAUAGCUCAAAAAGUAGAGCGCGUUGUCGCAUCAGGUUGCGAACUCUGACCACCACCUAAAGGCGAUAACAAAAAUAGAGUAAGCUCGGGAUUAAAGUUCACAUUAUAGCAUAAGAAGGAAGGCAUAGUAGCUUACCACUUUUGCAGUCUCUUGAGUCAUGCAAUCCUGCAAUAGUUGAAUACGGGAGACCGUAGAGUUAGGCGUUCCAAGUGGAAGUUGGGUUGUGAUAGAGAUGAGGAGGUCGCCGCCUAAGCUCACCAAAACUCGGUUAGUGAAAGGAAAAAAGUCUAACAUCUUUGUCGAAUGCAACUCAACAUCAGUGAAGCAAGGCACUCGCCUCAGCAUCUCUAUCAUUUCCUCCUAGCUCGGAAGAGGAACGGAAGUAAGGGCAUCCUUCUAGUCUAAGUAUUCCUCGAUAGGAACCGGACCGUCAGAUGCCCCAUCUUGAACAGGGCAAGUCUCAUUCCUAGUAAGAGACGAGGCAACCAACGCGUUGUUGGACCCUGUAGCAUCUGGAUGGGGCAUUGGCGUCUGGGGAGCAUCUAUGAUAGGCUCUUCGUGAACCUCCUCUGGAUAGGAUCUUUUGGCAGGAGAAGAAACCACCUCAAUAGGAUCAGAUAGUCGUUUGCAUUGUCUCUCCCUAAAGCCCGACCCUCAAGUUGGACGUCGUAUCUUCCUCCACCUCCGGUUUGUAUAUGAUGACGAGUAUCACAGGCUCGAAUUUGGAACUUUGAGGAUCCAAGUCACUCCGUUCAAACCUUGGAAGGUCCAAGUCACCUUCUGAAUCCGGAACAAAGCUAUUUGUUUAUAGAGGUACAGAAAAAGUAGAAGCGGAAAAAGAUUCAGAUACCGAGGCUAGUACCUGAACCACCUUAGUGGAAGACUUCUUCUUCUUAAUUGGAUGGCGGACUACGAAAGAUAAAACAUGGCGUUUCUCACUGCAACCCUUCCUCAACUUUCCCUCUUGUCUUUUCUUCUCCCUCUGAUCAAGGUGCUCCUGGUGAGCUCUAGCGUUCGCCUCAUGUGCUUCUUUGUAGAAGGAGAGAUCCUUCAAAACAUGAUGUUUCCCGAGCACUAUGACCUUUGGGAGCCGCCUAGGGAUAAUGGGGAGAAUGUAAGGCUGGGACUCAUGGAUAACCGCAACCAAAUUCCAGGCAAUCAAAAGCGUCUGGUGGUUCUUUUUGUCGAAAGUGAUCACGAACAGCUUGUUCAGUAGGUCGAACGAAGCUUUCUCCACCCACUCGACCAGUCGACCUCUUCUGUCCUUAUCUGCAUCAAUCAAAAUGGACAGUGUUAGCACUAAAGUGAUAUCAGUUCAACAAAUAAAGACAAUUGAAGAAUCGCUUAAAGCCAUCCCUACCAGGAAUUUUAAGUGAUUCGUCCCAUUAUAGUCGUGCCAUUUGAUUCUGGUCCAGAUGGGUGUUAUCAACAAAAUUUAUAAAACCUAAAUCACCUUACACUAGGGUAGCAUAGCUAACAUAGUAUAGUGGCUCUAUGAUCGUCCACAGGGAUGGGUUUUCAUCAUACAGUUGACUUAAAUGAAGGAAAUAAAAUAGUGUUUUUUCUUAUGAAAAAUUAGCUUUUAAAGAAAAUGAAUUGUGGUUGCAAAGAUUGAUUUUAAGUUAAGCAAAAACAAUAAGUGAAGUUAACUAUAAAGAAAAGAUCUCUUAGAGCUUUAGGUCACUAGGAUUGGGUUUCUUAUACAAAUGGGGAGAUUCCAGAUCUUCUUCUCGCGUUGGGGAUAAUAAUAUAAAGGAUGGUUAUCUCCCGAACCGAUUUUGUAUUUAGCAAUUAAGAUUUGAUCCCAAGGGUUCAUGAAAAAUAAUAGUUGUUUUCCAUUAAUGGCUUCAAACACUAAAGACUCUCACCUUGAACCACCUUCCAAUGGCUUGUAAAUGAUAACUAAUAGACAUCCAUGGAUCUAACAGUAAGCAUCCAUAGAAUCCAAAAAGCUUACCAAGUAUUGGCCAUUCAAGGUGUUUUUAAGGGAUUUAAAGCUAAACCUUAAAAUAAAAACCAUUAAUGGUUAACAACUACUUUCAUUUAAAGCAAGGACAACUCCCAUCUUUGCAUUCGGGUCCUUCACCUAGCUUCCAUCACUCCAAGAAACGUAAAACCUAGCCACUCAUCCCAUGAGAAAUCAUCCUUAAAGGUUGUUUGGCUAGGAAGAAGAGUGAAAACAAAAUGAGAAGGAAAGGCAAAGCAAAAGCUUUGUAUGUUUCUUACUCCUCGAAAUUUACAAGUUUUCAAUGAAAUACAUACAUAUAUAUUUCCCUCUCUCUCUCCCCUCUUAUAUAUAUGCUACCUAAAAGAUAUAUAAAAAGAUAUAAAAGAAAAUAUCUAGGUUGGUUAUAAGGAGAAAUUAGGAAAUUACACAAAAUAUUUGAAGAUGAAAAUCGAACAGAGUCGGUGCACAGGAAGAUUUCGCAUACCAUGCAAAAUUUGGCAUGGUGUGCGAAAUCCUUUGGCUACCUCAAGUGGUUUCGCAUGGUGUGCGAAAUUUCGCACAGCCAUGCAAAAAUGUUGUUUGUUGGAUUUCUUCCUCAGGUUUUCUUCCUUGCAUCUCUGAUUGGCUUGGCAAAGGGCUAUGAAGUGCUCUAAAGCUUGGAUUAUUCAUGUAUUUGAGCUUUAACUUGCAUUGCCAUGGAUUUCACAAAAUUCUCCCUCAUUCUUGGCUUGGUUCAAUAAUCAAAUAGCUACCAAAAACAUUAAAACUGUCAAAAAUUGAUUAGUAACCCUUGCUAGGUUCCUUAAUGUGCCAAUUGAGUUAAAAGGUAUUAACUACUACUCAAAAGUAUUUAAAAUAGUUAGUUUCAAGCUAUAAAAGAGUACUUUUUGAGUAGUAAUCAUUAAGCGAAAAGUUUGGAUGGAAAUCCCUUUCCGAAUGCUCGACUAGGCCAUCCCACGGGCCCCAAACCAGGAUAUGCCUUUGGCUCUACCCUUAUUCAAGUUCGGGAGGUCGGUCACCAAUUGGAGAGAUGGGAUAUGAGCAAACAGGUUGAAGAUAUCUUUUUUGCUCUUCUUGAUGGUAUAGAUAAAGAGGACCUCUAAUAGGGAGAAGUCCAGACAGAAUAACAUGUCUAGGAUAAUGCAUCCCAUCAGCACUCGGACAAUGUUGGGAUGGAUAAAAACGUGAGGAAUUUGGAUGCAGUGUAAAAAUUGUUUGAAAAUAAACAGGAGAGAGAAAUAGAGUCCUGCGUUAAACUACUCCUUGAUGAAGAAAAUAACAUCUCGAGCUUCCUUCUCAGUAGAUGUCAGAUCUUCAUCCACCAAGUGAACGGAGAUGUCACUCAGAAUACAGAAGUGCUCUGAAACUCCCAUUCAAAAAUAAGCUCGGUAGGCUUUUCCGAUUAGGGGCGUCCGAAGCUUGCACCUGUCCGGCCACCCUUCAUAACAACAUUGGUCGAGGCAAUGUCCUUUUUCACUGGCAUACUAGAAGCGAUGGGCCAAGUUAGACCUGCACGAUACAAUGUCGAAUGUUAAAAAAUAGCCACCCGACCUUACCACCAAAAGGCAGUGCCCCUAAAACACACAACAAGCGAUUAUACCAGACUUAGGGUCUGCCCUAUUCAAGGCAUCCGACCGACCCUACCUAUCAGCGAAAAUCCUAACUAUGGAUUUUUUUUCUCUAUGACACCUCAAACAAAGGAAAAACAUACUGCAAACAAACUCUGAAAAAACCCCAACAAAGCAACAAACAUGGCAAACUCUAACCCUAAUAGGGGUUAGCAGGUCAUGCCAUUAACGAGACCUGAUGGCCCAGAAAGACCACAAAUCUAUUUUUACAAGCCUUGAAGCAACCACUUCGCAGUCGACCAAGACCCCCAAACUCCAAAAUAAUCCCCAAACAGCAACAAAUGAAGCUAUCAAGAAAAAUGGAAAAUCGGGGAGUAGUAGAGAAGAAAAACGAGCAUACCAGGAAAAUGUCUUCAACAAAGUGUCGAAGUCGAUCUGUAAAAGGCAAGAAAGAUUAGUCAGAAAGUUCGCUGAAGAAGGAGAAAUGCAGCACAACAAGCCAAAAGGACAAUGACUAUUUGAAUAUGGGAAGUGCGAAACGAAAGAAAAUAGACUGAAAGGACAAAAGUGAAACGACUAGAAAAUGUACUUCUUAGGGAUUAAUUCCCUAUUUAUAAGGAUAGACGCCCUAGAAAUUCCAAAUGACAAGACGCUUAGAAGUGCAUUCUCCAAAGCGACGCGUCGUUUGAUGACAACCUCGAUAACAACGCCUCUCCUUAACACCCUCAGAUGCCACGUGUCCUAAGGUUACUAAAAGGGUUUGAAAAAUGUUUUAACCUGCCAUUUCUGUCCAGACGAAAUACUCGAGUUAAAAUGAGGGAUUGUGGGGGCUUCCCCCAUAUAGCCAUGUGGCAGGCCACUCUUGGUCCACGUGGCAUCCUUCUAUUUCUGUCCGAAUGAUCAUCAUCAAACCGGAGUAUCCUAUCCAGCCAGUAGGUAUCAGAGACCUGUCACAUCGUGAUCCUCUAAAUUGCACAAUGCAUUUUGGGUAGAUAUCCUGGCCCACUCCUACAGGCAAUCAUUCCCCCAAGCCAUCAAUAUGUUUGACGGGACGUCACUUUGCCUUCGCAGGCGAGCUACUACAUGUUGCACCAUACUUUCUGCAAAGUGAGGUGACAAGCAAACCAUCAUGUCAUCCCCACUGGUAGCCCCAAUCAGCCACCUAAAUGGUGAUGAUUGCCCUACCAUGAACUGUGCUACCAUCAUGACUGUGAAAGUCAAGAUGCCACCUCAGCGCAGACGUGACCCCGUCGCAAACACUAUAAAAACCCUCAUACAACCAAAAUCCAGGUACGCAAUACAAGAAGCUUGAUAUAGCUCCAAAGAAUGAGCGAUUUCUCGAGCUGGUUUUAACCAAUUGACUUGGGCUUCGAAGGGUGUGUCCGAACAACUUGUUUGGACAUCUUUUUGCAGGAAAGAAAAGAGAAGUCGGUCCUCACCUACUGUAUUCAGUCAUUUCCUACUAUAACAAGGAGAAACAUCAUCUCCAGUUGAUUUAGCAUCAACAGGUGAGAGUUAAACAUGUAAUUUAUAAGUAUCCACCUCAUUCUCAUUAAUAGACACAAAAAAUAUUAACAUUUCAGCUAUGUUCAAUUCCCAAAAAAAUUGAGGGACAAUAUAAAAGAAAGAAAAUAAAAAAGAAAAAUAGAAAGAAAAAAAAAGUAAAAAAUAAAUAAAAAAUAAAUUUAAAGUUAAUAAAUUAUUUUUAUAUGUUAUUUCAAACUCAUUUCACAUAUUUUUCUUAUUUUAUAUGAAUAUUAAAUAAUUUAAAAAUAUAUACAAUUUUCAUUUAUUUUUUAUUUGAUUUUGUAUUUUUCAUAAUGAGAUUAAAAAUGAGAAAAUAACUUUUUUAAUAUACAUAUUUUUAAUACUUUUUGAAAUCAAACAUAGAAUAAAACAUUUGAACAUGAAAACCACUAAAUUCAAUAUACACUCAACAUUUGUCAAAAUGGAAAAGAUUAACGCUUACUGAGUGAUGGCUUUGUACACUCUUCCAAAACUAUCACUUCUAGAAACCUAACAUUUUCCCAAGAACUGUCAUGGAUCUUCAAUUUCCCAUUGUCAAGGGUUUUAGUAAUAGCCCAAUGCUCUAGUUUUGAAUUUCCACCCAUUCGUUUAGCAACGAUCGGCAUGAUAUUAAAUAAUCAUCAUUAUAAUUAUGUGAAGGUAUAUUUGCAUAAUCAUCAUCAACGUUGAAAUGCAUGCAUAGUACCUGAAAAAUUAUAAAGAUCCAUUAGAACCAAAAAUAAAAAAUAAAAAAUCUAAGCCCAGAGAAGGAUAACAAGGAGUUUUGAAUAUUGAGAAGACUGUUGACACAAUGGAUUAUCUUGAACCUAUAGAGUAACUACAAUACUUUGGAUGUAAACAAUUAUGUUGAACCAUAUCAAAAUUUGCUAUUUACAUCUUCUCUAUACUUUAUCUCUUCUAACAUUUUAUAUUAUUUAGUAUUUAUUUUAGUAUCUAUUACUUGCAUAUUUGUAAAAUUUCUAAAAAUAGACUAUUACUAAUUCACUCCCUUUUUAGGUGAUUACCUAAGUUUUUUAUAGUAAACUUCAGAAUAUUCACUUUCAAAGAUUGUCAUGAGCUCCCCUAAAACAUUAUGUAUUGUAAAUUUAAGAAGUAAAAAUAAAUAAAUAAAUUAAACAAUUGUUGUGAUUUUAAUACUUACUCAUUUCCUAGAACCUUAACUUUUUCCAAAGUGUCAUAGAUCUUCGAUUUCUCAUUUCCAUGGGUGGUAGAAAUAGCCCCAGGCUCUAGCUUUGAAUUUCAACCCACUUGUAAAGGCAACCUUUGUCUAGCAAUGACCCGUAUGAUGUGGAUAAUCAUCAUUAUCAUGGAAAAACAUACGUAAACACCUUCAAGAUUAUAAAAAUCCAUUAAAACUUGAGAAAUAUAGGUAUAAAGAAGGAUAAGAAAAAUCUUGAUUGAGAAGAAUGGUGAUAUAGUAGAUCAUCUUAAAACCUACGAAGGAGCUCCAAGGCAUAGUGUGCUGAACCGCAUUAAAAAUUGUUAUUUGCAUAUUCUCUACCUUUUAUCCAUUUACUUUAAGUAUUUUAUAAUAUCUAGUAUUUAUUUUGAUAACAACUAACCAACACAUUUGUAAAAAUUCUAAAAAUAGACCAUCAAUAAUUCACCUUUUUGGCUGAUUACGUAUGGUUUCCAUGAUAGACUUCACAAUAUUCACUUUCUAAGAUCAUAGUGAGCUCCCUCUUUUAACGGGAUGGGGUAAGGUUUAUGAACUAAAGCUAUGAAUAAAUAAAAUUGCAAGGAUAAUUGCUCACAGUUUUAAAUUGCAGAAUCCAUUUCUUAGAGUUUUUCGAAAACACUUCUAGUAUAAAAAACAUUUUUGAUAUAAAAAAAUAGAUAUUUAACAAAAGUUUCAAACACUUUUAAAAAGUCACAAAAACCAUUUCUAGUGUUUUUUUCGAGAAAUAUUUGAUAGAUGAUUAUCCUAAAAUAUCUUAGAGAGAAAGUAAUUCAAAUGAAAAUAUGUUCAAACUUAGGUGGUGUUUUAUUGAUUUAUUUUUACUUAAUUCUAAAUAGAAAUUAAAACUAAAUAGUCAUUAAAUAGUGUUAAGUAUGAAGUUAUUUGCUUUUAUAAUAUUUUAUUUCUAUUAAGCAAUAAAAAAUAAAGAAAUUUUUUUAUUUCUAUUAAAUAUUAAAAUAUAAAGAAAAACCAACAUAUUAUUUUUUGCAUUUAGAAAAAGUUAAAUAUUUUGCUUUUUUCUAUUCAACAAAAAAAAAUAUAAAAAGCCAUAAAAAAGUAGAAAAACAAAUAAUUUAAAGUCUGAAAGUAAAUUACUUUAAGCAAAAAAUUUAAGAAAACAAACACCCUUUAAGUAUCCACCUCAUUCUCGUUAAUAGAAACAAGAAACAUGAUACGAAGAGUGCAUUUGAUAAUAUUUCUAUUCCAAAUGUUUGUGUAAAAUUAUUUUUUAAAUGAUCACCUAUUAAGUGCUUCUUCAAAAAUUAAUAUUACAAGUAAUUUUUCAAUUUUUUAAAAUGUGUUUUUCUAAAUUUUACCAAAUCUCGUAUUUUUCUUCUACUCAUAAUUCAAUACCCAUUCAACAUAAUAAGAGGAGAGAUUGACGGGUGAUGGAUUUGUACACUAUCCCAAAACUCCCAAGUCCUAGAAGCUCAACCGUUUCCCAGAAGUUAUAAAUCUUGAAUUUCUCAUUCUCAUAGAUUUUAGCAAACGCACUAGGAUCUAGCAUUGAAUUUCCACCUGAAUACAUGCUGGUAGGCAUGGUAACAUACAAUGAUUUAUCCUGUAAGAAGAUCUACCAAGAACUAGACUAUUGUGAAACAAACUUUUGAACAGUUACUAGGGGGAGAAUAACACUUACUGGGUGAUGACUUCGUGCAUUCUACCAAAACUCCCACUUCCUAGAAGCUCAACCUUCGGCCAAGAACUAUCCAUGGAUCCUCAAAUUCCCAUUCCCAUGGGUUGCAGCAGUAGCCAUGGGCUGUAGCUUUGAAUUUCCACCCACUGGUUUGAAAGCCAACUUCUCUUUAGUGACGGCCCACAUCAUAGGGCUAACCAUUUCCAUGGAUGAGAGGACCGAAGCUUAUACCACUUCAAUCAUUACUUCGAUCGAAGAAAGAGGCAUGAUCAGGAUAAUCAGAUGCGUCAACGAUGCGACCAAACUGAGAGAUUUUCUCACCAUUAUCGCUUCCCUCAAAGAAAGCCACAUGAUUUUGGCCCAACCAAGAGAUGCUUUGGUUGAUGAUAGCAAAAGCUCCUGCUUCAAACCAUCAAUAAUAUAUCAAUGGCCCGCCGGAUCUACCCUCUUCCCAUGAAUUAUUUAUUUACUUGAGGAAUGAGUCAAGCUUAUAAAUUAUUUAUAGGUUAAUUUCAUUCACCACCCCUAAGGUUUUGAUUAAAUACAUCUAACUCUCACAGGUUUGAAAUUUUAUCAAAUACCUCAUCUAUCCUUUUCAUUUUUUAUUUUCACUCAGUCUCCCUUCUUACUCAAAAUAAGUGAAGUAUAUGAUGAAAUUUCAAACUUCUCAGUAUUAGAUAUACUUAGCCAAAAACUCAAGGAAGGUGAAUGAAAUUAACCCAUUAUUUAUUUGGUUGGCAGAGUAGUAAAUGAAGGUUCUUAUCAUGCUUGAAGUCAGACAUAGAUCCGAAACUUCAAUUUUGAGAAACACUUUAAAAAAAAAAAUGAUAAAGUAUUAAUUUUUUUUAUAAAGCCUUUGAUAGAUUAUUAGUUUAAAGAUUUUUUUAGAGGAGAUAGCAACACUCUGAAACUCUCACUAUUACUCCACUCAAGAUCAUCAUUCAUUUAUAAAAAAAUGUCACCUUAUAUUUGUUUCUAAAUCUUUAAUUUAAUAAAUAAGAUUAAAUAUAUUGUGUUUAAUUCUUUCUACUUUAAAAAUAAAAAAUAAAAUUAUAAAAAUGGAUCUAAUUUCACUUAACUUUUUUAUUUUCAUUUAUGUUAUUCAUGGCCUCCCAAGAACCUCUGCAGAAAGAGUUCAAAUCAGAAUCAAAGAAAAAUACAAUGGAGUAGUAUCGUAUGACUUUCUAACCUACGAAGAACUAAUAAACUUCGUAAACCAAGAAGUUUAUCUCUUUGCCCGCUUAUCAAAGUUAAUGUUAAGAUCAAGAAAGAUCUUAGAACCUCAAAGAAAGAAUUAGGAUCUUUUUGUGCGGGUAUGAGAAGAUUCUUCCACCCUCUAUUAAAAAAGAAAAUAUUAUAGGUCAAAACAUAGAAAACCAAAAUCAAACUGAAAAUACUCAAAAUAUAGAGGAAAAGAAAAACAAGAUUAUCAAAGAUCAAAAUCUAAAGAACAUUCAAAGAAAAUAUACAAAAGGGAAAUAAAAUUUUUCAAAUGUGGUAAAAAGGGACACGUAGCCCCAAACUAUAAAAUCAAAGAAAUUAUAAAAGACAUAGACAUACGAAGCCUUCUCAAGGAAUAGAUGACUAAUCUAAUCAAAUCAAAAUCUUCUAACUAAAUGUCCUCAAAGACAACAAGUAGUGAGGAACAACUCCUUCUAAUCGAAGAAGACUCUUUUGAAACCUUUGAUGACCUUUCCUUAAAUCCUCUUGCAACUGUGUAGAAAAUUGCCUUUGUAAUAUCAAAACUAUUAAUGUCCUAACAAGUGAACAAAACCUCUUAAUAAAAAUGAUAGAUAAAAUUCCAGACCCUCAAAUCCAACAUGAAUAUAUCAAAAAAUAUUUAGAAUUUCAAAAACAAGAAAGAGAGACUAGGGAAGCAAAUACAAAUCAAUAUAGUCUAAAACCUAUUUUGGAUCAACCUCUAAACCAAAAACAACAAAUAUUCAAGAUCUUCAAAAUGAAAUAAGUCAAAUUAAGCUUCAAAUUAGAGACUUAAUAAUUCAAAAUGAAGGAUUAGACAUUAGGCUUCAAAAAUUAGAAAAUCAUCUAAUAACCUUUAAACAGGAAAAUAAGUUAAAAACAGUAGGAUAUCAACCUGAAACCCUUACACAUAGAUUAUAAAAUUUCAAAUGUAUACAUAUGCAAUCAAAAUGUUUGUUAUAAAACCUCCUUCCUUCUAGUAAAAAAUAUGCAACAAGAAGUAAUAUUGGGAACACCUUUCUUAACUCUACUUUAUCCAUUUAAAGUAGAUAAAGAAGGAAUAAAAACAAUUAUAAAGGGCAAACGAUUUGUUUUGAGUUUGCUAGUCCUAUCAAACACAAAGAACUUAGCCUUCUCCACAAUGAUGGAAUGAAGCAACUGAAUUUAAUUCAAAAGAAAAAAAAACAUAUCAAAUUCCUAAGUAAAGAAAUUCAUUAUCAAAGAAUAGAAGAAAACCUCCUUCAAAGACAGAUCCAAGAUAUAAUAAAUAAAGUCAAAAACCAAAUUGAAACAUAACUAUGCUCUUCAGUUCCUAAUGCUUUUUGGGACACAAAGAAACAUGAAGUUUCUUUGCCUUAUAUAGAAGGAUUUAAUGAAAAUCAAAUUCCUACUAAGGCAAGGCCCAUUCAAAUGAAUGAACAUAUGUUAGAAUAUUAUAAGAAAGAAAUUUAAGAUCUCUUGGACAAUAACCUAAUAUGAAAAAGCCACUCACCUUGGAUUUGUGCGGCAUUUUAUGUUAAAAAGCCUUCAGAGAUUGAAAGAGGUGUUCCAAGACUUGUAAUCGAUUACAAGCCCUUAAAUAAGGUCCUCAAAUGUAUUGGGUAUCCAAUACCUAAUAAACGAGAUCUUAUUGGACGUCUUCAUAAUGCUUUGAUCUUUUCAAAAUUUGACAUGAAGUCUGGAUUUUGGCAAAUUCAACUUCAUGAAAAAGACAAAUACAAAAUUGCAUUCACAGUUCCAUUCGGGCACUAUGAAUGGAAUGUGAUGCCAUUCGUUUUGAAGAGUGCUCCUUCAGAAUUUCAAAAUAUAAUGAAUGGCAACUUCAAUCCCCAUACUAACUUCUCUAUAGUAUACAUUGAUGAUGUACUUAUAUUUUUUUAAUUCCAUUGAGCAUUAGUUUAAACAUCUAAACAUCUUUCAAAAUAUUGUUAAAGAAAAUGGUUUAGUGGUUUUAGCCCCUAAGAUUAAACUAUUUCAAACCAAGAUUAAGUUCUUAGGAUUCGAAAUAUACCAAAGGAAAGUCAAACCUAUUCAAAGAUCUAUAGAGUUUGCUAGCAAGUUUCUUGAUGAAAUCAAAGAAAAAACCCAACUUUAAAGGUUUUUAGGAAGUCUGAAUUAUGUGUUGGACUUCUACCCAAAUCUUAAAACCUUAAUCAAACCCUUCUAUCAUAGGCUUAGACAAAAUCCCAAGCCCUAGACUCAAGAACACACAUAUAUAAUCAAAAUUGUCAAACAAUAGUUUAAAAGUCUUCCUUGCUUAGAAAUCCUUAAUCUUUUAGUAUUUCCUAUUAUAGAAACAAAUGUCUCUAAUAUAUGGUGAUUACUACUCAAAAAGUGUUAUUUUAUAGCUUGUAAUUAACUCUUUUAAACACUUUUGAGUAGUAGUUAUUACCUUUUAACUCAAUUGGCAUGUUAAGGACCCUUGCAAUCGUUUCUAAUCAAAUUGUGUUAAGUUUUGGUGUUUUUCAUAGCUUUUUGAUCACUAAAGCAAUCCAAGAAUGAGGGAGAUCUUUGUAUAGUUCAUGGAAAAGCAAUUUGAAGCUCAAAUUCAUGAAAAAAACUAAGCUUUGGAGCUUCAUAACCCUUUGCCAAAGCCAAACGAGGAUACAAGGAAGAAAAUCACAGAAGAAAUCAACCAUCCAGCAAUUUCGCAAGUUGUGGAAUCCAACUUGCAAAAUUUUCUCAACUUGGAAAUAGGAAGAGCAAAGAAAUCGCUGCAAGAUAGAGAACUAAUUAGUUGCAGGACAAUUUCGCAACUUGUGAAACCACAAUUUCAACUUGCAAAAUGGACAAUUUCAACUUGCAAAAUUUUCGCAAGUUGCGUUUGAACUUGCGAAAUCCACCUGUAAUCUGAGAUAUUUGCGCUCCUACUCCGUUUGAUGUUUAUCUUCAGAUAUUUGUGUGUAAAUCCCUAUUUUCUCCUUGUAACCCACCAAUGACAAGUUUUUUUAUUGGAAAAUUAGCAGAAGGGAUGAAUAGCCUCUCUAUAUAAUAUCUAUUGUAAUGUUCUUUUAAAAAGAUCUCUAGGGAGUUUUUCUCGAAGACGAACUUUGUAUAGUUUUUCAGAAAGUAAUACACAGAGCUUUGCUCUAUCUUACCUUCUCAUUUUGUUUUCUCUUUUAUUUUUAUUUCUAGCAAAUCAAACUCUGAGGAUGUUUUCCUAGAGGAUGAGUGGCUAGGCUUUUUGUUUCUUGGAGUGAAGAAAGCUAGGUAAGGUUCCGAAUACAAAAGUGGAAGUUUCGUUGUUUCAAUUUUUAAUGAAGAGAAAGUGUGACCCGUUAAUGGUUUUUAUCUUUUUAAUUAACUUAAAAUCCCUUAAAAUCACCUGGGCCAACACUUGGUAAGGCAAGUGGACUCCGUCCGUUGAGAUCCACUAAUUUAUCUCUUGCGAGCCUCUGAAGGUGGUUUAAAGGUAGGAUUAUCUAGAAUAGCCAACACUUGGUAAGCUUUUGAACUCCUAGGAGACAUCCAUUAGUUAUCUCUUGCGAGCUUUUGACGGGUAAUCCAAGGUUAAGGAUCACCUUGAAUGGCCAAUACUAGGUGAGAGGUAUGAACCAUUGCAAGACGAUUCAGUGACAGGGAUUUAGUGUUUGAAACCAUUAAGGGGAAGCAUUUGUACCACACCGGUUCAGGAAAUAACUAUAUGUUAAAUCUCCAAUGCGAGGAAAAGAUCCAAGUGACCGGAAUCUCCCUUUUUGUAUAAGGAACCUGAGCCUAGUGAUCUAAAACUCCAAGAAGCACUUUUCUUUGUAAGUAAUUUUAGUUACUUUAUUUUUUGUUUCACUUAAAACCAACCUUUUCACACAUACUUAUGUUUUCUUUUAAAGUUAACCUUGAAAAGAAAAAACACCAAUUUAGUUUUUGAACUAAUAUCAGUUGUAAUUUGAAAACCCAUCUCUGUGGACGAUCCUAAAGCCACUUUGCUAUGCUAGCUAAUGCUACCCUAGUAUAUGGUGAAAUAGGUUUAUAAAUUUUGUUAAUUACUCCCGUUUGAGGACUGAAAUCAAAGCACACCAGUUGGUUAAACACCAAUCAACAGGGCAUACACCAGCUGGGCACGAAUCAAAUGGUGCCGUUAUCGGGGAUGGUGCCAACUUUACAGUGAUAUAACCUUUUCCAAAACACUUGUGAUCUUCAUGACAAGUUUGAUGACUUUUCUCUUCUUUUACUAACUCUUUUUAAUUGUUUUUUUUACUUGUUCAUAUUUUAGCCUAUCUUUUAAUUUAGUUUUUAGUUAAUCUUAGUUUUUUUUUUGUAGUAUUGUUUUCUUUUGUUUUCUUUGUUUUUGUUACAGUUGUUACUAGUUGUGUAUGCCAUAUUGGAUACGAGACAGUGGAGGAAGACAUGUGAAAAUUGAAACACCUCACAAAACAGGGUUGGAAUUGUGCUUGAACAUCAUGGAAGCUACACCUGAAGAUCAGCAUAGUCACCAUGGUCAGCAGGACAAUCCUAAUGCAUUCAGAUCAAUGAGGAACCGCAUGCAUCCACCUCGUAUGAGUGCACCAUCAUGCAUAGUGCCUCCUAUAGAGCAGCUAGUAAUCAGACUACAUAUUGUGCCACUUCUACCUACUUUCCAUGGGAUGGAAAGUGAGAAUCCCUAUGCGCAUAUUAAAGAAUUUGAAGACAUUUGUAAUACAUUCCAAGAGGGAGAAGCUUCAAUCGACUUGAUGAGGCUAAAACUAUUUCCUUUCACUCUAAAGGAUAAGGCCAAAAUUUGGCUUAAUUCUUUAAGGCCAAGGAGUAUCUGAAAUUGGACUGAUUUGCAAGCUGAAUUUCUCAAGAAAUUUUUCCCUACUCAUAGGACCAAUGGCUUGAAAAGGUAAAUUUCAAACUUCUCAAUUAAAGAGAAUGAGAAAUUCUAUGAGUGUUGGGAGAGAUACAUGGAAGCUAUCAAUGCUUGUCCUCACCAUGGCUUUGAUACAUGGAUAUUGGUGAGCUACUUUUAUGACAGUAUGUCUUCCUCAAUGAAACAACUCCUAGAGACUAUGUGCGAAGGAGAUUUCAUGAGUAAGAAUCUGGAGGAAGCCAUGGAUUUCUUGAAUUAUGUUGUUGUCAAGAUGAUGGGAUGAACCAAACAGGGGAGAAGUGGGAAGAAUGAAGUUUCAACCAAAUGCUCUUAAUGCUAAGGUUGGGAUGUAUACCUUGAACGAAGAUAUUGACAUGAAAGCAAAAGUUGAGCUAUGACAAGAAGAUUGGAGGAGCUAGAACUGAAAAAGAUACAUGAAGUGCAAGCCAUUUCUGAAACACCAGUGCAAGUUAUGCCCUGUUCCAUUUGUCAAUCUUAUGAGCACUUGGUGGAGGAGUGUCCUACAAUUCCAGCUGUUAGAGAAAUGUUUGGAGAUCAAGUAAAUGUUAUUGGACAAUUCAAGCUCAAUAACAAUGCUUCAUAUGGAAAUACCUACAAUUCAAAUUGGAGGAAUCAUCCAAAUUUCUCCUGGAAACCAAGAGCACUUCAGUACAUGCAACCAGACCAAGCAUCUCAACAAACUUCAAAUCUUGAGCAAGCAAUAGUGAAUCUAAGCAAGGUCGUGGGAGAUUUUGUUGGAGACCAGAAAUCCAUCAACGAUCAACUCAGUUAAAGAAUCGAUAGUGUAGAGAAUACGGUGAAUAAAAGGAUGGAUGGAAUGCAAAAUGAUCUAUCUCAGAAGAUAGAUAAUCUCCAAUACUCAAUCUCAAGGCUCACCAACCUUAACACAGUGCAAAAGAAAGGAAGGUUUCCUUCUCAACCUCACCAAAACCCCAAGGGUAUCCAUGAAGUGAAGGCUCAUGAGGGAAAAUCUUCAUAGGUGGGGGACAUCAAAGCCAUGAUCACUCUGAGGAGUGGUAAAGAGGUUGGGCUGCCAACACCUAAGCUACAUGAUGAAAUAGAGAGUGAAAAAGAGACAGAGAAGAUGGAGGAAAUCAAAGGAAAGAAGAAAGGGAGCAGUGGAAGGAAAGAGGACCAUGAUUCAACAGUGAAUGAAGAUCCGGAAAAGAUAGUUAUCAAUGAAGAUGUGAUGAAGAAACACAUGCCUCCACAUUUUCCUCAAGCUUUGCAUGGGAAAAAGGGAAUCAACAAUGCAUCAGAAAUUCUUGAAGUAUUGAGGCAAGUGAAGGUCAACAUCCCAUUGCUAGACAUGAUCAAACAAUUGUCGACUUAUGCAAAAUUCCUGAAGGACUUGUGCACUAUAAAAAAAGGGUUGAAUGUGAAUAAGAAAGCCUUCUUGACUGAGCAAGUAAGUGUCAUCAUACAGUGCAAGUCUCCAGUGAAGUAUAAAGAUCUGGGUUGUCCUACCAUCUCAGUGAUGAUUGGAGGGAAGUUAGUGGAGAAAGCUUUGUUGAACUUGGGGGCAAGUGUGAAUUUGCUACCAUACUCUGUCUACAAGCUAUUGGGACUUGGUGAAUUGAAGCCAACAUCAAUCACUCUAUCUCUAGUAGAUAGAUCAGUGAAGAUUCCAAGAGGGAUGAUUGAAGAUGUCUUAGUUCAAGUUGACAAUUUCUACUAUCCAGUGGAUUUUGUUGUUCUUGAUACGGACCCAAUUGUCAAAUGAACUAAUUAUGUUCCUAUCAUACUUGGAAGACCAUUCCUACCUACAUCAAAUGCAAUCAUCAAUUGUAGGAAUGGACUCAUGCAACUCAUGUUUGGCAACAUGACAUUAGAGCUCAAUAUCUUCUAUAUGUGCAAGAAGCCAAUCAAUCCGGAAGAAGAAGAAGGUCCAGAAGAGGUGUGCAUCAUUAACACUUUAGUGGAGGAGCAUUGUAAUAAAAAAAAUACAAGAGGAGUUGAAUGAAAGUCUUGGGGAUCUUGAUGAAGGGUUACCUGAACCCUCAUAUUUGCUUGCUACUCUACCACCUUAGAGGAGGAUAGAAUAAAUUCUACAUUUGUUCAAUGAGGAAGAGACACAAGAAGCUGUUAAAUAGGAGGCCUCAAAGUUUAUUCUGAAGCCACUACCCACGGAGUUGAAGUAUGCAUACCUAGAAGAGAAUAAGAAGUGCCCCGUUGUUAUAUCUUCAUCUCUUACCACUCUUCAGGAGGAGUGUUUACUUGAAGUUCUCAGAAGAUGUAAGAAAGCAAUAGGAUGGCAAAUAUCUGACUUGAAAGGUAUUAGCCCUUUAGCCUAUACACAUCAUAUAUACAUGGAAGAAGAAGCUAAGCCAGUUCGUCAACCUCAAAGAAGAUUGAAUCCUCAUAUGCAAGAGGUGGUGCGAGCUGAGGUUCUUAAGCUACUUCAAGCCGGUAUUAUCUAACCCAUAUCAGAUAGCCCAUGAGUAAGUCCUACUCAAGUAGUGCCAAAGAAAUCAGGGAUCACAGUGGUGCAAAAUGAUAAGGGAAAAGAAGUUGGUACAUGUCUCACUUCAGGUUGGAGGGUGUGUAUUGAUUAUAGAAAACUGAAUGUUGUGACAAGGAAGGAUCAUUUUCCAUUGUCAUUUAUUGAUCAAGUGUUGGAGAGAGUCUCAGGCCAUCCUUUCUAUUGUUUCUUGGACGGCUACUCCAGGUAUUUUCAAAUAGAAAUUGAUGUUGAAGACCAGGAGAAGACCACUUUCACAUGUCCAUUUGGAACAUAUGCCUACAGAAGAAUGCCUUUUGGUUUAUGCAAUGCACCUACAACAUUCCAAUGAUGUAUGUUAAGUAUUUUCAGUGAUAUGGUGGAGCGUAUUAUGGAAGUUUUUAUGGAUGAUAUUACCAUAUAUGGAAGCACAUUUGAGGAAUGCUUAGUCAACUUGGAAGCUGUUCUGAACCGAUGCAUUGAAAAGAACUUAGUGCUUAACUGGGAGAAAUGUCAUUUUAUGGUACAUCAAGGAAUUGUCCUUGGCCACAUCAUCUCCAAGAAAGGCAUUGAAAUUGAUAAAACAAAGGUGGAACUUAUUGUCAAAUUGUCAUCCCUAACAACUAUAAAAGGAGUAAGGCAAUUCCUUAGCCAUGUUGGGUUCUAUAGAAGGUUUAUUAAAGAUUUCUCUAAACUUUCAAAGCCUCUUUGUGAACUAUUGGUGAAGGAUGUUAAAUUCGUAUGGGAUGAGAGAUGUCAAAAGAGUUUUGAGCAACUAAAAUAGUUCUUGACAACCGCUCCAAUAGUGAGGGCUCCUAACUGGCAACUACCUUUUGAAGUGAUGUGUGAUGCCAGUGACUUUGCUAUAGGAGUUGUUCUGGGUCAAAGAGAGGAUGGAAAGCCCUAUGUGAUCUACUAUGCAAGCAAAACAUUGAACGAAGCGCAAAGAAACUACACAACCACAAAGAAAAAAUUGUUGGCUAUAGUUUUUACCUUGGACAAAUUUCAUGCUUAUCUGGUAGGGUUUUUCAUUGUGGUUUUCAUUGACCACUCAGCUUUGAAGUACUUAUUGACAAAGUAAGAUGCAAAAGCAAGGCUGAUUAGAUGGAUUCUCUUACUACAAGAGUUCAAUCUCCAAAUUAAAGACAAGAAAGAAGUGGAGAAUGUGGUAGCUGACCACCUUUCAAGGCUGGCUAUAGCGCAUAAUUCCCAUGGUUUGCCUAUUAAUGAUGAUUUUUCGAGGGAGUCACUCAUGUUGUUAGAAGAUGCUCCUUGGUAUACUCAUAUUUCUAACUAUCUAGUUACUAGUGAAGUUCCAAGUGGGUGGAAAGCACAAUAUAGGAAGAACUUUUUCUUUUCAAGUAUUGUGCAGAUCAAAUAAUAAGGAAGUGUGUCCCUAAACAAAAGCAAUAGGGGAUCCUCAGUCAUUGCCACAAAAGCGCAUGUGGAGGCCACUUUGCCUCUUAGAAAACAACCAUGAAGGUGUUGCAAUCAGGUUUUAGUUGGCCAUCACUUUUCAAAUAUGCUCACACCAUGUGCAGGAGCUAUGAUAGAUGCCAAAGGCUUGGGAAGUUAACACGUAGGAACCAAAUGCCUAUGAACCCCAUUUUAAUAGUUGAUCUUUUCGAUGUUUGGGGCAUUGACUUCAUAGGACCUUUCCCUAUGUCUUUUGGUAACUCUUACAUUUUGGUGAGGGUAGACUAUGUUUCUAAAUGGGUUGAGGCAAUCCCAUGUAAACACAAUGACCACAAAGUUGUUCUCAAGUUUCUCAAAGAGAACAUCUUCUCAAGAUUUGGGGUGCCCAAGGCCAUAAUCAGUGAUGGAGAUACUCAUUUUUGCAACAAGCCUUUUAAAACUCUCUUAGCCAAGUAUGGGGUGAAGCACAAGGUAGCUACACCUUACCACCCUCAAAAUUCUGGGCAAGUUGAGUUAGCAAACAGGGAAAUCAAGAAUAUAUUGAUGAAGGUAGUGAACACGAGUAGAAGAAAUUGGUCUGUUAAGCUCCAUGAUUCACUAUGGGCAUACAGAACAGCUUACAAGACUAUUCUUGGCAUGUCUUCUUAUCGCCUAGUCUAUGGCAAAUCAUGCCAUCUCCCUAUGAAAGUUGAAUACAAGGCUUGGUGGGUAAUUAAGAAGGUAAACAUGGACUUGAACAAAGUCGGGAUGAAGAGAUGCUUAGAUCUUAAUGAGAUGGAGGAAUUGAGAAAUGAUGCCUACAUCAAUUCCAAAAUUGCAAAACAGGGGAUGAAGAGGUGGCAUGAUCAGUUAAUAUCUAACAAAGAAUUUCAAAAGGGACAAAGAGUCUUACUCUAUGACUAUAGGCUCCACAUCUUUCCAAGAAAGCUCAAAUCAAGGUGGAUAGGCCCUUUCAUUAUUCACCAAGUGCAUUCCAAUGGAAUAGUGGAACUACUCAAUUCCAACAGCACAAACACUUUCAAAGUCAAUAGUCACCGUCUCAAGCCAUUCAUGGAGCCUUUCAAUCAAGACAAUGAGGAAGUCAGUCUCCUUGAGCCACAACAAUCUUAACCAAAAAGGGGUAGAUGGACUUAGUAUUUCUAAAGACUAACCAAAGUCCAUGUUUUUUGUUUCAAUUUUGUUGAUUUAAAAGCUUUAUUAUUUGUUUUAAUUUUAAUUCUAGCUUUAAUUUAUUUUAUUUUGAUCUAACUUAGACUUUUUGGAUGAUCAAAAUUAGAAGGAACUUCAAAGGAAUUGAAGGAAAGCCUUAAAGAACCAAAGAAGGAGAAAAAGCCUGAAAAACAAAGCAAUAUUUCAACUUGCAAAAAUUUCGUAAGUUGAAAUUCCAACUUGCGAAAAUGGGGGCCAACUUGCGAAAUCCUCAAAGCUCAAAUUCGCAAGUCCACCAUUCAACUUGCAAAAAUUUUCGCAGCCUGCGAAAGCACCUCCAAGCACACAUGUGCCAUUUCGCAAGUUCGUUUUCCAUUUUCACAGCCUAUGAAUCAACUUACGAAUCAAGUUGCGAAAUGGGGCAACUUGCGAAUUCCAGGGAACUUGCAAAAAUGCCAACCGUCAUUAAAUCCAUAUUUAAACCCCUAAUUCUUCCAUUUUCAUUUUGCACAGCCAUUCCAAGUUGCGAAAAAGCCCUAUCAAGUUGUAAAGCCCCAAAUUCCAGAGCAUCUCCUCCAUUGUAAGCCCUAAGGUCGUGCAUCUGAAGAGGAAACGCCUCCGCGUACCCAACAUGCACCCUGUGGAACACAAGCCGAGAAAUUCCUCUCCAUUUCAGCCAUGGCCAAGACAAGAGGAGCCCAUGUCGUGUUUCCAUCAACUCGCAAUCCAAGGCCAAGAGCUUUACCUGCACGGGAUUCCACAUCUGAGGCCCCAUAGGCCCCUACCAUUCCACCUUUUGAGGGUAGAGUGCGAUCUAACCCUCCUCAGCAUAGGUAUGAAACGAGGAGACCACCCACUACACUUGGGGCAAGCACUUUGCGCCCCAAGAGAUCAGUUCGUCACCCUCCUGCAAAGAAAGCUAAAGUUUCAGGCCCAGGAGAGUCAUCUGCACCUCCACACCCUCAGCCGCCUGCUAUAGAGUCUCAGAUUCCUUCUAGGAUGACUCCAGAAGCAAUUAUCAAGCGACCUAUGGUUACACAACCACCUAUUGAGGGAAAUUUGGAUUACAGAGCUAGGCUAUUCCACUCCAAGCUAUGUUUUGAUAUGUAGACUUUCAAACAGAAGCCGAAGCUUAGAGAUUCAUUCCGCCUACUACAGAGAUACCAUUUGGAGCACCUGAUGACUCCUAGAGACUUCUUCUAUCCUAGAGUAGCACUAGACUUCUAUCAGUCUAUGACUACUCAUCACGUCCAGAAUCCUAAUGUCACACUUCACUAUUGAUGGACGCCAUGGUAUCCUUGGAGCUAGACAGAUUGCAGAGGCCCCGCAUAUUCCAUAUGAGCCUGUGAGUCCAGCAGAUUUCAGAGAGUGGUCCCAUUUUUCUCAGAGAGACAUGGUCCGUAUAUUGUCCAGGGGGACCUCUACACGCUCAUUUCUUCUAAGGAAAGAGCUUCCACCUGGGAUGCUCCUUGUAGAUGUGGUGUUGCGCUCCAACAUCUUUCCACUUCAGCAUAUGGUGCAAAGUAGAGGAGCUAUAUUGGAGUUUUAUUCCGAAUAUCAGAGGGUUUCUGCUUUGGCCCUCAUCAUUUGAUUAUGACCUCUCUUCUCCACUUUGAAGAGAAGGUCCACAGGAAGAAGCUCCAAAGAGCAUAUGCCAUUCCAUUACUUUUUCCCAGGCUACUCUGUCAGAUAUUAGAGCAUUUGGGUUAUCCUUCUGAGCCUCAGCUUGAGCGUCACCGCAUUUUUCGAGAGCUAUUCACUCUUAACAAAUGAAAUCAUUUAACGGCCUAUGUUGCACCUCCAAGAGCCCCAGAUAUGCCAGCACCUCUAAAGCCACCACAGGAUGAGCAGCCACCACAGACACAACAAGCACAGUAGGCUGAGAUACCUACAGAGAUCAUACCACCUGCCCCUGCAGCACCUUCUACAGUGCCCACACCUGAGGCUACAUCUUUUGCUCCUCCUACCACUCCUAAAGCUCCACCAGUUGUACCAGUUACAUCAUCACCUCCUCCAUCUAAGUCCUCUAUCACCAUAUCCACUUCAGAGUUUAGAGGCCUAUGUGAUACAUUGCAAACAUUGAGCACCACUCAAGGUGCUCUCUUCCAGCAGAUGGCAGUCAUACGUGCACAUCAGGAUCAGCUUAUUACCAUGCAAACCCAGCAUACUACCAUCAUUAGUCAGAUACAGCAGCAUUUGGGUAUUCUGCCACCACCUGAGCAUGAUAUGCCUAGCCCAUCAGAGCCUACAGCUCCAUUUAAGGAAGCUACUCCAGCAGAGCAGACUAUGCCUCAUGAGGAGACUACUACAGCAGAGGUCGAGACUCCUAUCCAGAGCACUCAGGAGACCACAGUAAAGUCAUUGUCUCCACAUGAUCCUCCCACCACUACCUGAUCAUCUAUAUACUUUUUGUAUUUACUUAUUAUAGCAGAACUGUUAAUCUCAUGUUUUUUAUGUUUUCUAUAUUGGGAUUGGAUGUAGUACUUGCGCAUACUUUCUUAAAGUAAUACAUAUCCAUCAUUUUUUAGUAUACUUGGCAUAUUUUUAUUUAUUUCCUCUACUCAUUAUUUUUUUUUUAGUUUUUUGAAUCAUGUGGUUUCUCCUAUACAAUUCAGACUCUAUUCCACUCAGGAGGUACCACUUCCUCCCUUUAUUUUCAAUUACUCUUCACACAUUGAGGGCAAUGUUUAGCAUGGUUAGGGGGAGUUGAGAAAGGAAGUAUUUUUUAUAAUGCUAGGUUAUAAAUGGUAAUUUAGUUACUUUUUGUUUAAAUUUUUUUAAAAAUAAAAUUAAAUACUCUUCAUGGUUAUCAAGGAAAAAUUCUCAAAAUGAAAUGGGAGAAAUUGAAUUUUUGUCUUUUUACUUGACUUAGAGUUUGUAUUAUGCUUAUUAAAGUUGAUGAACUGUUGAAAAUUCUAUUGAAUUCAACCUUAUUUCUUCCACUUUAAGCUUACCACACACUGUGCACACUAGGUUCCGAUUAUAAGAUGAAAAACUAUUUCACCCAUUGACUUAGGAAAUUUUAAACUUGGUACCUUUGACCUCAUUUUAAUAAUUUUGGGACACCUUAGAAAAGGCCGAUGAGCCUUUGAAAAGAGAAUAAAGAAAAAAAAAUGUUUUACUUGCCUUGAAACCCGAGCAAGGUCUGAGGAGUAUAUGGUAAAAAUCUUUAAAACCUGAUGCCCUAAACCUUCAUUGGUUGGGAGUCACCAACCUCAAUGCUCGUUACAAGGGUGAAUAGGUGGAGUUUAACAUACUGUAGGUGCUUGGGUAUUGAAUUCCAAUCUCAAAAGUCCGGGGUAAAAUCCGAGGAGUUAGUAGUCGAAAGAUCCUUAAGCUUGAUGCCCUAAACCUUAAUUAGUUGGGAGUCAUCGAUGGACCCCCGUUACAUGGACAAUUUAGAAAAGAAUACCUUUAAGCUUUGUACUCCUACAAGAAAAAAAAAGUGUGAAAUAAAUGAGAUGUGUUCUUAGCCUAUUGGAGGUUGUCAGUUUGCUAAGAUUUGAAAAAGAGCUAAGUUGGGGGGAGAGAUUAGUUCAGCAUACUAUAUUCAGAAACUAAUAAGUAACACUUAGAUUUUUGUGGAAGAGUAAGGAUUGACCCUUUGGGAGUGGAAAUUCUUUUAAAGCUUAAAUUUGCAUAAUGUCUUCUCUUUAUGAAUUGUGAUUAGGCAAUUUAUUUGAUAACUCUUGUUGAAGUUUGAGUUUUAUAUCUUUAAUGUUCCAUGUGAGAGUAUGAUCAUCAUGCCACUUGAAAUUUUUUAGAAUGAUCAGCAUGAUGUUGCAAAUUAUAGUACUAUUUAUUUUUAUUUUUCUCUCUUUCAUUACUAAGGGACUAGUAAUAUGUCGGUUGGAUGGAGUGAUUACUACUCAAAAAGUGUUAUUUUAUAGCUUGUAAUUAACUCUUUUAAAUACUUUUAAGUAGUAGUUAUUACUUUUUAACUCAAUUGGCAUGUUAAGGACCCUUGCAAUCGUUUCUAAUCAAAUUGUGUUAAGUUUUGGUGUUUUUCAUAGCUUUUUUAUCACCAAAGCAAUCCAAGAAUGAGGGAGAUCUUUGUAUAGUUCAUGGCAAAGCAGGUUGAAGCUCAAAUUCAUGAAGAAACUAAGCUUUGGAGCUUCAUAAGCCUUUGCCAAAGCCAAACGAGGAUGCAAGGAAGAAAAUCACAGAAGAAAUCAACCAUCCAGCAAUUUUGCAAGUUGUGGAAUCUAACUUGCGAAAUUUUCGCAACUUGCGAAAUAGGAAGAGCAAAGGAAUCGCUGCAAGACAGAGAGCUGAUUAGUUGCAAGACAAUUUCGUAGCUUGCGAAACCACAAUUUCAACUUGCGAAAUUUUCGUAAGUUGCGUUUGAACUUGCUAACUCCACCUGUAAUCUGAGAUAUUUACGCACCGACUCCGUUUGAUGUUUAUCUUCAGAUAUUUGAGUGUAAAUCCCUAUUUUCUCCUUGUAACCCACCAAUGACAAGUUUUCUUGGUUGGGAAGUUAGCAGGAGGGGUGAAUAGUCUCUCUAUAUAAUAUCUAUUGUAAUUUUCUUUUAAAAAGAUCUCUGAGGAGUUUUUCUCGGAGACAAACUUUGUAUAGUUUUUCAAAAAGUAAUACACAGAGUUCUGCUCUACCUUACCUUCUCAUUUUGUUUUCUAUUUUAUUUUUAUUUCUAGCAAAUCAAACUCUAAGGAUGUUUUCCCAGAGGAUGAGUGGCUAGGCAUUUUGUUUCUUGGAGUGAAGGAAGCUAGGUAAGGUUCCGAAUACAAAAGUGGAAGUUUCGUUGUUUUAGUUUUCAAUGAAGAGAAACUGUGACCCGUUAAUGGUUUUUAUCUUUUUAGUUAACUUAAAAUCCCUUAAAAUCACCUGGGCCAACACUUAGUAAGGCAAGUGGACUCCAUCCAUUGAGAUCUACUAGUUUAUCUCUUGCAAGCCUCUAGAGGUGGUUUAAAGGUAGGAUUAUCUAGAAUAGCCAACACUUGGUAAGCUUUUGGACUCCUAGGAAACAUCCAUUAGUUAUCUCUUGCGAGCUUUUGACGGGUAAUCCAAGGUUAAGGAUCACCUUGAAUGGCCAAUACCAGGUGAAAGGUAUGAACCAUUGCAAGAUGAUUCAGUGACAGGGAUUUAGUGUUUAAAACCAUUAAGGGGAAGCAUCUGUACCACACCAGUUCAGGAAAUAACUAUAUGUUAAAUCCCCAAUGCGUGGAAAAGGUCCAAGUGACCGGAAUCUCCCUUUUUGUAUAAAGAACCUGAGCCUAGUGAUCUAAAACUCCAAGAAGUACUUUUCUUUGUAAGUAAUUUCAGUUACUUUAUUUUUUGUUUCACUUAAAACCAACCUUUUUACACAUACUUAUGUUUUCUUUUAAAGCUAACCUUGAAAAGAAAAGACACCAAUUCAAUUUUUGGAACUAAUAUCAGUUGUAAUUUGAAAACCCAUCCCUGUGUACAAUCCUAUAGCCACUAUGCUAUGCUAGCUAAUGCUACCCUAGUAUAUGGUGAAAUAAGUUUAUAAAUUUUGUUGAUUACUCCCGUCUGAGAACUGAAAUCAAAGCACACCAAUUGAUUGAACACCAAUCAACAGGGCAUACACCAGUUGGGCAUGAAUCAUAUGGUAUGGUGGUAUUCUCAAACAAAAUUUUCAAAAUCAAAUGUCCAUUGCCUAUUUUUAUUCAAGAAUAUGGAGUGGACCCCAAGAAAACUAUUUAACUAUUAAAAAAGAAAUUUUGGCAAUUUUUUUAUACAUUCAAAUAUUUCAAGAAGAUGUUUUUAAUAAAAAAAAAAAUUCUUCUUUGAGUUGAUUGCAAAAGUGCCAAAGAAAUUAUUCAUAAGGAUGUUCAAAAUAUUAUUUAAAAAUAGAUUUUUGCUUGAUGGCAAGCACUUUUAUCUUCUUUUUUUUUUUUGAAAUUGAAUUUGUAAAAAAAGAUUCAAACUCUCUCCCUGAUUUUCUCUCUCAGGAAUUUCUACAGGGAAAAUGAGCAACUCAAAAUCCAACAAACACAUGCCCAAUUCAAAAGCAUCUUAUGUUAUACUUAUUGAAAAACCUAAAGUUUCGAAGACCCAAUCUCAAACCCCUAUUUCAAACCAAUUCCAAGUCUUAGGAAAUAUUCCUAAGCCUUCUCAAACCUUUGCCUAUGCAACCCAAACCUCAAAAUAGGCGUCUUGCAAUUAUGUUACAAAAGGCCAUUUGAUGAAGGUGUGGAUUCUUGAAUCUCACCACUUUUCAAAGUCUGGUUCGUUGGACAUUACAAAAAUAUUUUCAAAAGGAAUUUUUUUUUUUCAAAAUGAUUUAGUCAAAAUAAGAAAAUUUUAUGAGUUUAUCCUAGUUGAUAUUGACUCUGUGGAAAUCACUCAUAUACAAAACAAGGAUUCCACAUACAUUUGCUAUUCAAAAUGUAAAAUUUUCAAAAUUAUUUUCAGAAACCCAAUGGGGACAGUCUCCUGAUACCUAUAACAUGUUUCUCAAAACUUCAAACCAGCAUCAUACGAUUAUCAUGAUUAUGUAGAUGCUUGGUUUUACACAUUUUUCUUCAAUUUUUUUUUAUUUAUCAUUCUUGGUUCUUCCAAUGGAAUGAUAAAAUUAAAAAUGACUUUUCAAAUUCGUUUCAAGAAUGGUGGCUAUGUUUUGGCACCAUCCCUGAAAUCUUUUGUCCUCAAAUCAAAUCUACCUAUGAUUAUUUCAAAGAGCAUGUUAGGAGAUUGAUCCCUACUCCUUGUUUUCAAGCCCUUUUCUUCACUUCUAGAUUCCAAAUCCCAUGGAUUCUAUGUUGGGACUUUGUCAAAACACAAAUGAUCAAAAGUUCAUUUCCCACGCAUUUGGCAAAGGAAUUUAAAGUCAAAUGGUGGUCAAACUUUGUACCUGCCACUUCCUAGUAACUUCCUCAUAUAAAAAAUUGGAAUGCAACACAUGCUCUUUCCAAUAUUGAAACACUUUUUCAAAUACCUUCUCUUCUUUCAAAUAACUUUAUCCCCUCUCAAAAAGUCUCUCUUGCAAUACUUUCUUCAAACAAGUAGUUUCAGGCUCAUCUCAAGUUUUUAUAGCAAUAAGCCACUAAAACCUUGUCAUAGCUUGGUUCUGCUUAUGAUGACGACACUACUUCCCCAAGCUUUAAAGAGCCUUAAAAUGAAGACAUGUGCUAUAAAAUGCCAUACAUGGCCUUGGAGUGAUGCUUCAAAAGCCUCUUCAAAAACAAUAUUCAAAUCUCUUCAAAAGUCGGAAUUGGGAGGUCAUGUCAACCGACAGUUGGUAGUUCUCUCCUUGGAUUAUACCUUCUAAAGAGAUUUUGGACAUCGUGGCAAGCUUUUAAAACUUUUCAAGACAAUCAAAUUUUCAACAACUAGAUGAAACUUUCAUCCUGUUGUGGACUUCAAAAUUUUCAAAUCCUGGUGGACACCUCAACAAAACUGCCUACAAAACAGUGGACUCAAACUUGUGGAUUUCAAAACCAUUGACAACUGGCAUAUGAUGACAAGUUACUUUCGAUGGAUCCAAAGUCUUUCAAAUUCGUGGAUUUUAAAGCUUUUCAAAUAUGUCACUAGAGCUCUAUAUAAGGGGUCUCUUCCUUCAUUGUGGGACAUUAGCCAAAAUUUGUGAGAGUUGAGAGAAACUAGUUGUGAGAAAAUCCAAAGCCUUGUAAUGAAGAGUUCUGCUUAAAGAAGCUCUACUCAAAGUUUGUAAUUUUCAAAAGUUUGCGUGUUCUCCUAUUUUAAUAACAUUUUAAAUUCCAAAUUCAAUUUUUGUCUUUCUUAUUUUAAAUAUCUUGUUUGAGGAUGAUGAACUCUAUUGAAUCUUUGUCUAGUAGACUGGGUUUUAAGUGAGACUGCUUGUGACUCCUCCAGUCUUUACUGAGAGAAUUCAUCAAAGUUCAUAUUGAUUUUGAAAUUUGAAGUCUUUCAUCUUUCUCUUUUGAUUUCAAUUUCAAUCCUACUAAAAGUUGGUAUAAGAGCCAUGUCUUGUUCAUUUCAUUAUUUAAAUUUGCAUUUUAAUUUAUGAUUAUUUGUUUUAUGAUUCAAACAGUUAGUGUUGGUCAGUCCUCAGUUAGCGUUGUCAUUUGUUCCUUGAUUAUUGAUAAAUGAUUAGUCUAAAGACUUUUUUAGAGGAGAUAGAAACACUGUGAAACUCUCACUAUUACUCCACUCAAGAUCAUCCUUCAUUUAUAAAAAAAAACAUCUUAUAUUUGUUUCUAAAUCUUUAAUUUAAUAAAUAAGAUUAAAUGUAUUGUGUUUAAUUCUUUAUAAUUUAAAAAUAAAAAAUAAAAUUAUAAAAAUGGAUUUAAUUUCACUUAAAUUUUUUAUUUUCAUUUAUGUUAUAAAAUGGCAAUAUAUAUAUAUAUAUAUAUAAACCCAAGUGAUACUUCCUUGGAUUUAAAAUAAAAAAAUUAAUAAAUAUAUAAAUUGAAUGGAUAGAUUAUAACACAACCUCGAAAAUCAUAAAGCAUGUGCCUUAAAAGUAUCAAAAGUAUGGCAUUAUUCAAAAAGAGUAGGUAAUAGCAGCAGAUAUACCUAGUGCCUAAAAUUAAAAAUAUGUCUAGCCUUAUUCAAAAGUAGCCACUAGAAAGUGCCUUAAAAAAAAAAAAAGAGUGUUUAGCUAGGUUGGCAAUUCCAGACAAAGUUCCUAAGUGUCUCCUAACUCAAUUUUUCCAAUCCUUCUAUGGACUACUAACGAAGAUCAAGUUGUUGAAUUUGUCAAGAGACUAAGGUAUAUAGUUGAAGUUGGAGUUGGAUGGAAUUGAAUCAACCAUAUUAUUUAAAUGUUGUUUUACUUAAAUAUUUUUUAAGGAGUUAGGAAGGUUUAGGAAGUUGUUUUUUUUUUACUAAAUGUUCAAAAUGCACUGUUCCAGGAUCGGUCCAGCUUUAGGUUGGAUCGAUCCAACUUACAUUUUUUUGAUGAAAUUUCAUCCGUUGGAUCAAGGGCUUCCUUCAAUUUAAAAACCCAAAACUUGCUUCUUGUGUUGUAUGUAGUAAGAGACAUAGCAACAACCAUCCCCUUUGGUUCUCUUCUUCUUUCCUAUUUUGGAGUGUUUGGUUGUCAAGAAAAUCCAACUUUCCUAUUGUUUUCAAUGGAUUUUCUUGAGGAAAAAAAUAGGUUGAUUCAUUCUUUCAUUCAUCUUUCAAUUUCUAAUCUAUUUAGGUUUGGCUAAAAACCCAUUUUUUUCUUGUGUGGAUUCAAUAAGAGAUCGAGAUCAAGCUUGGUGUGGACUCUAAGUGUGCUCCAAAAGAAGAAUGUGGGAAGUUGAAAGUGAAAGGUACUAGUGAAGUGGUCUAUGAAUGAUUGGUAAGCUUGAGUUAGGUAAAACUUUGUAUUCAACUUUUGCUUUUCAUAGUGGACGUUUUUUUAUCAAUUGUAGGCCUGUCGUUUUUUUUUUUUUUUUUAAUCUUUUCGGAAGUUUUCCACGUUAAAAUUUAGUGUCAUUGUCUCAUUGUCUCAUUCUACUCUUUGAUUUAUUUUCAGUUUUUGAUAUCAUUGGUUACUUGGGCAUAUAUGUUGAAUGGAAGAAAAAUGAGUUGAAAUAGGAGUGAUUAUCCAUUGGAUAUCUUGAAUAAUUUUUCUAUUCAUUUUGGUAAUGAUAUCUUGUAGUAAUUGGAAAUGAGUUAAGAAGAGAAUUGUUCUUAUGAAUUAAUUUUGAGAGUGUUGAAGCAUUUGCAUAUAAAUUACAUUUAUAAAUUGUUGGAAAAGUGUUGUUGCAUUCAUACUUGCUUGUGAAUUUUAUUCUUUGUUGAAAAGAAGUUCAUAGACAUUGAGAAAUUUUAAGGUUAGGUAAUUUUUGUUGGGAGAUUUUUUUAAGUUUGUUCAACAACACCUAUUCAAUCCCCUCUCCCCUCUAGGUGUAAUCCAUUAUUGAGAUUCACCUUUAAAAAAGUAUAGUACUAGUAAAAAAAAAAAAGAAAAUAAAGGAUAGUAGCAUGAACAUUUAAUCCUAAAGUGUCAAUAGAUGUAGAUAUAUUUUUAAAAUAAAAAUAAUAAUACCUUUAUAUAAGAUAUAAUAAUUUUUAGAGAUUUAUAUUAAAAAAAUAGUGAUUGUAAAAACUAUUUUAAAAAUUUUAAGGUAUAAAAAAUAUAAAUUAAAUUUAUUAUUUUUGUAUAAGACUCUGCUUUUAUAUAAAAUAUUUUUAUUUUAAAAAUAAAAAAUAAAAAAUGUAUUAGACAUUUAAUAAUUUUUUUAACCCUCUAAAUUAUAUGGGUUGUCUUUCCUCCUACUAUGUCUAAAAUAGAUACUCUAGUGUACUCUUUUGACUUUUUGACUCAAGAAUUUUGAAACUAAAGUUUCUAAAAUUAAGAUUCCAAGGAUUUGCUAAUAGUUGGCAAGGUAAUUGAUUUUGGGUUGAAAGGGUUUAGGGAUGAUGUUUGAAUUAAUGAGUCAAAGGUGUAAGUAUUAAUAAGAAUGUGUAUAAGUUCAAAAGUGUAGGUAGCAGUAGGGCCUGGGUAGAACAGAUUGGUGUUGAGAGUGAAAAGAAGUAGGCACUAAAAUGCACGGGAGCGCACACACUUGCUGAUGGCUGAUUUGGUUUUUUCUUUUUUUUCUAAUUUUUUAUUAUUUUGUUUAAUUGGAAGGAAGAAUGUGCAUGCACCAUCCACACAUGCCUCCAUUGUUUGGUUAAUUGUUUUGUUUUGUUCCUUCUCUUUUUUUUUUCUUUAUUUAAUUUAUCCUCUACUUUCUUUCUUGCCUUUGUCCUUUUUUUUUAACUCACUUUCUUAUGCAACCCAACAAAUUAAUUAGGCCGCACCUAUGCUAAGCUUUCAUCCCUUGGGUUGGCAUUCAUCCUAAGCUCAAGUUCAUUUGUUCAACCCUUAUCCCAUAUUCAAUCCAAACUGUAAUAUUCAAGCCUAUUUUUGAAUCUCUAGUUUGACCAAUGUUGGAAUCAUGUAAGCAAGGUAUCAUACAUGUUAAGAUGUGGGGAAAAAUGGUUAAAACUAUUUCUAACCUUUGUCGCUUUUUUUUUUCUAUCGUUUUUAACAUGUGUUUCCACGAAAUCGUACAAGCAGUAAAUAUUUUUGUUAAUUAAUUUCUUUCCUAUUAACUAACUAAUGUUUGUCAAAGACAUUAAUAACAUCAACUACUAACUAGGUCUAUGAGAUUGUUGUUUGGUAUUGAAAACAUACAUAUAAAUAUUUAAAAUUAUUAAGGGUAUUUAUAUCAAAAAAGAUUACUCUUUCAACAAAAACAUGAGGCGCAUUAAAUUCAUAAAUAUUUGGAUUAUUUUAUUUUUUAAUCAAUUAAUUUUAUUAUUAAUGUCAAUAAAAUAUGAAAUUUAGACCAUUAAACACCAAUAGUCUGUCUGCCCAUUGAUUCGACUCAUGGUAGCUUAGCUUUAAAGGCGUAUCAACAAAAUUUAUACCUUGAAUACUAUUACUAAAGUAGCCAAGCUACUAUAGCAUAGUGGUUCUAGGAUCGUUCACUAGGAAGGGUUUUCGCAAACACAAGUGAUAUUCAAAUUAGGAAAAUAGGUGAUUUUCUUAUGGAUGUUAGCUUUAAAAGAAGAUGUAAAUGUUUUAGAAAGAUUUAAACUAAUCUAAGCUAACAUUAAACACUAAAAUGAAAGGGUGUAAAAACAAGUUUCUCAAAGAUAGGAUAGCUAUGCUCUGGCUCUUAUGCAAAUUGGAAAUCUUAGGAUAGGCUCCUCGCGUUGGGGUUGCAACUAUGGUGAUGCUUGCUUCCCGAACCGGUAUGGAUUUAGCAAAUCAAGUUUUAAUCCUUGAAAAUGGCAAAACAGAUGGUAGUGAAUUUCAUCAAUGGUUAUUCACCUUAGACUUCCUUUGAAUGGCUCGUAAGAGAUAACUAAUGGUCUAAAGCCAAAAGCUUACCAAAUAUUGGCAACUCAAAGUCAUUCCAGGUGAUAAACUCACCUUUCAAUGGCCAUUGAAAUUGGUUCUAAUGGAUUAAUGCAAAACUCGGAAUUGAAAACCUCGCCUUCCAAUAGCUCGUAGGAGAUAACUAAUGGAUAGAAAUCCAAAAGCUUAUCAAGUAUUGGCCGUUGGAAGUUGUCAAAAGGAAAUAAAAACCAAACUUUGCAUUAAUGAACCAUUAAUGAAAAACGACUACCUUACCUUCCGGGUGCGAGAAAUUUCCAUGGGAUUGCAUCCAAGCCAUCACAUAACAUCCAUACUUUGAGAAACUAAAAGUUUUAGCCAAUCAUCCUUUGAGGAAAAACCCUCAGAGGCUGUUUGGCUACUAAGAAAAUAGAAACGGGAGAGCUCUGUAAAAAUUCUAUAUAUUGAUCGAUAUUCAAUUACAACGGAUGCAAGGGAAUAUAUAUAGAGAAGUUUUUCCAAUCCUUCCUAGCUAAGAAAUCUUAUGAUUGGUGUAUUACAAGGAGAAGAAUGGAAAUUUAUACAAAAAUAUCUAAAAGAAAAGAUCUUGUGUGGAGUCGGCAGAAACAGGGGAAAAUUCGCACGUUGGAGUUCCAAUUUCGCACCUUGGUUUGAGGUGUGCGAAAUUCCCACACUUUGGACUGAGGAAUUUCGCACCUUGCACAGUGGUGUGCGAAAUUGUCCCUCAGCUUGAUGCAGUUGUCUUCCGAAGGCCAUAUCUUCCUCAUUUCAGCUCCAAAUCAUACACGGUUUGAAGCGUUGAAUUCUUGACUUCCUGAGCUUUGAAAUGGUAUAUAGCAUGUAGAAAAUGGACUUCAGGAAGUGCUCCAAAAGUGUCAAAGAAGACUGCAGCUGCUGUCCUCUAUUUUCCUCUUUGCUUCUUUUUGCUUCUCUUUGCUUUUCUCCUUGCAUACUUUGAACGACUUUGGCAAAGGGCUAUGGAGCUCCAAAGCUUGGUUCUUCAUGAAUUUGAGCUUCCAAAAGCUUUGCCAUAACUUGUCCAAGUAGCUCCUCCAUCAUUUGGCAUGCUUGAAUUGAUUCAUAAGCUGAUAAAAACAUGUAAACUUGCCACAAAAUGGUUAAAACCAAUUACUAAGGACCUUAAUGAAUUAAUUGGGUUAAAUGAAUAUGAUUACUACUCAAAGGUGCUUAAAACCAUUAUAAUUAGGUCUACAAAAUAGCACUUUUUGGUAGUAAUCACACCCCCCAACCGACUCAUUGCUAGUCCCUUAGCAAUGGAGGAGAUAAAAACUAAGUAAACUAUAAUAAUUACAUAAAAGGGAUCAUGCAAGUCACUCCAAAAAAUGAUAUGAGUGGCAUGAUUGGAUCAAACUCUCACAUGGCAAGUCAAGGAUAUAAAACUCAAUCAUCAAUAAGAGUCAUCAAAUAACUUACCUAUCACAACAUGCAAAGAGCGGGCAUUAUGCAAAUUUGAGUAUCAAAAUAAUUUCCACUCCCAAAGGACCAACACUUAAUCUUCCACAAAAAUCUAUGUGUUAUUUAUUAGUUUCCGAAUAUAGUAUGUCAAACUAAUCUCUCCCCUCAACCUAGUUCUUUUCAAAGCUUAGCAAACUAAUCAACCUCCAAUAGGCUAAGAACGCACCUCUUUUCUUUCAUAAUUUUUUUCUUGUAGGAGUGCAAAGCUUAAAGGCAUUCUUUUCUAAAUUGUCCAUGUAACGGGGGUCCAUCGAUGACUCCCAACCAAUCAAGGUUUAGGGCAUCAAGCUUUAAGGAUUUUUCAACCACUAACUCCUCGGAUUUCACCCCGGACUUUUGAGAAUGAAUUUUAAUACCCAAGCACCUACAGUAUGUUAAACUCCACCUAUUCACCCAUGUAACGAGCAUUGAGGUCGGUGACUCCCAACCAAUUAAGGCUUAGGGCACCAGGUUUUAAAGAUUUUCACCAUAUACCCCUUAGACCUUGCUCGGGUUUCAAGGCAAGCAAACAUUUUUCUUUUUCUUUCUUUUUCCAAAGGCUCAUUGGCCUUUUUCAAGGUGUCCCAACACUAUUAAAAUGAGGUGAAAGGUACCAAGUCUAAAAUUUUCCUAAGUCAAGAGGGAAAUAGUUUUUCAUCUUAUAAUCGGAACCUAGUGUGCACGGUGUGUGAUAAGCUUAAAGUGGAAGAACUAAGCUUGAAUUCAAUAGAAGUUUCAACAAUUCAUCAACUUUAGUAAGCAUAAUACAAACUCUAAGACUAUGGCAAUAAGAUAAGAAUUUAAUUUUUCCCAUUUACUUUUGAGAAUUUUUCCUUAAUAACCAUGGAGAGUAGAAUAAAAACUUAAAAAAUUUUAAAAUUAAGCAAAAAGCAACUAAAUUAAAAUAACUUAGCAUUAAUAACAAAACUUCCUUCCUCAACUCUCCCCCCAACCAAGCUGAACAUUGUCCUCAAUGUUUCAAAAGUGAUUAAAAAAAUAGAGGGAGGAAGUGGUACCUCCUGAGUGGCAUGGAGUCUAAGUUAUGUAGGAGAAACCACAUGUUUCAAAGAAAACAUAAGAGUUAGUGAGUAGAGGAAAUAGAAAAAUGCCAAGUUUAAACAAAAAUGAUGUCUAUAUAUGAUGUAUCAUCAGUAAUACAUCCAAUCCCAGAAUAUAAGACAUCAAAACAUGGAUUUAUGUAUACUAAUAUAAUAAGUAAAUACAAAAAAUAAAGAGAUGAUCAAGUAAUAGAAGGGUCCUGUGGAGCUGAUGCAUUUGUGGUGGCCUUCUGAGUGGGUUGGAUCAGGACUUUGGCCUCUAUUCUGGUAUUCUCCUUGGAUGGCAUAGUCUCCUCUGUUGGGGCUCUCAGUUGGAGCUAUGGGCUUUGAUGGUUUUAGGAGGUAAGAAAUGGAAUGAGAGGCUUGGUGUGUGAUCCCAAGGUGCACGGGGCUGUUCUCUCCUCUAAUGCAUGUUCCUGAGGCUUGGAAAGGAUUUUUCGUGCGAAAUUCCCGCUUAGCUUUGUGUAGUCUGUCUUCAAACGGCUAUAACUUCUUCGUUUCAAAUCCAAAUCAUGUACCGUUUGAAGCACUGGAUUCCUGACUUCCCAAGCUUCAAAAUGAUAUAUGGUAUGAAUAAUUUGAGCUCCAGAAAGCACUCCAAAAACGUGUCCAACAGUAGCGAAAUGGGGUGCGGCUGCAACAUUUCCAUUCAGCUUUGCACAGUCGUCUUCAAACGGCCAUAACUUCUUCAUUUCAAAUCCAAAUCACUCACCGUUUGAAGCAUUGGAUUCCUGACUUCCCAAGCUUUAAAAUGAUAUAUGACAUGAAUAAUUUGAGCUCCAGGAAGUGCUUCAAAAACGUGUAUAACAGUAGCGAAAUUUGGUGCGGCUGCAGCAUUUCCGUUCAGCUUUGCAUAGUUGUCUUCAAAUGGCCAUAACUUCUUCGUUUCAAAUCCAAAUCAUGCACCGUUUGAAGCGCUGGAUUUCUGACUUCCCAAGCUUUAAAAUGACAUAUCAUAUGCAUAAUUUGAGCUCCAGGAAGUGCUUCAAAAAUGUAUCCAACAGGAGCAAAAUUUUCGCACCUUGGACUGGAAAUUUCGCACCUUGGAUUGAGGUGUGCGAAAAUGGCACCCUUUGGACUGAGGAAUUCGCACCUUGUUUCGCACGGUGCGAAAAUGGGCUUGAGGUGUGCGAAAUGGCACUCGUGUGCCAGGAGGUGGUUUCGCACGGUGCGAAAAUUUUCGCACCUUGAAUUGAGGUGUGCGAAAUUCCCGCUUAGCUCGGUCCAGUUUUCUUACAAUGACUAUAACUUUUUCAUUUCAACUCCGAUUUGGACACCGUUUGAAGCGUUGGACUCCUGACUUCCCGAGCUUCGAAACGGUAUAUAGUAUGUAUAAAAUAGACUCGAGGAAGUGCUCCAAAAUAUUUCCCGAAAGUGGCAAUAGAACCAAUGGCCAGAAUUCUCUCUUCUCUUCCUUUCCUUUCAUCAUUUUUGCAAUUCCUCCUACAAUGAUCAUCCAAAAACAUAUGUUAAAAAGAAAGCAUAGAAUUUAAAUGAAGCUGAUAGCAUGUACCCCAAAAAGAAGAUGAACUAUUUAGCUCAUCCUCACUCACACACCCACUUCAGGCUGAAUUCCCCCUGGAUCCCAAACAAAAUUGGCAUCCUUCCCAUUUGGUCCAAGGGAAUUCGUUUCUCUUCUCUUCCCUAGAGAAGUGGAUGCUUUAAAGGGUUCAAGUAACCCUUUAUCAUCUUGAACCUUAUGAUUUUCAAUGGAAGGUUGGUCCAUAGAGUUGUCAUAGCAAUCCCCCACCAAAGUGUCGAUCUUCAACACUUUCCUUGAUCUUUUUGCAUUGGUUCCUUGAAGGUUAUGGUGGGGUUGAGGAGGAAGCUUCCUUUUCCCCCUUGCUAUGUCGAGAUUGGUGAGCUUCUCAAUGGAGUCUUGAACUUUUUCUAUCCUUAGUGAUAGAUCAUUAUAAACCCCCUCCAUUCUUACAUUUAUUGAACUCUCCAUAUUAUUAAUCUUUUCAUUAAGCUGAGAGUUGAUCUUUUGUUGCUCACCUACAAAGUCCUCCAUGACUUUGCUUAUCUUCAAAAUGGCUUGCUCCAAUGAAGAUGUACUCAUUGAUGGUUGAGGUUGAGGUUGGGUUGCAAGGUUGGGAUGGUUUAUAUACUCAAAUGAAGUUGGCAUGGCUUGUGGUUGUGCUUCAGUAUGCACAUUCCUCAAUUCAAACUCUUCUAUCCUUCUAGCCAUAGAUGCUAGCUUUGCCUUCAUGCUCAUGUCUUCAUUCAAAGCAUACUUACUACCCCAUUGGCUUUGUUGAGCUUGCCUUUUCCCUAAUUCAAUCCGAUCCCUCAUGGAUAAGUAUGCAAAUUUGUCCUUCUCAUGAUCAUAAUGAGAGCUUUGAUCUUCAUGUGGAAUGUCCAUUUAUAAAAAAAAAAUGAUAUUCAACUAAGGCUCUUUUCUUCAACUUGUACCAGGGUUCCCUCUUGGUCUCGAAUCCAACAAGGAAUGCACAAAUUGAAAUUAAAACAAAAAUAAAAGAAAAGAAAAUAAAAAAAUUUAACUAAAUAAAAACUAAAAAAAAAAAAAAUUAUAAGAAAACUCACCAAACUUGUGAUGAAGAUCACAAGUUACCCUUAAUGGUUGCUUCACUGUGCUUGUGGCACCUUCCCCGGCAACAGCGCCAUUUGAUUCGACUCAUGAUUCGAUCCCCGGCAACGGCGCCAUUUGAUUCGACUCAUGGUAGCUUAGCUUUAAAGGCGUAUCAACAAAAUUUAUACCUUGAAUACUAUUACUAAAGUAGCCAAGCUACUAUAGCAUAGUGGUUCUAGGAUCGUUCACUAGGAAGGGUUUUCGCAAACACAAGUGAUAUUCAAAUUAGGAAAAUAGGUGAUUUUCUUAUGGAUGUUAGCUUUAAAAGAAGAUGUAAAUGUUUUAGAAAGAUUUAAACUAAUCUAAGCUAACAUUAAACACUAAAAUGAAAGGGUGUAAAAACAAGUUUCUCAAAGAUAGGAUAGCUAUGCUCUGGCUCUUAUGCAAAUUGGAAAUCUUAGGAUAGGCUCCUCGCGUUGGGAUUGCAACUAUGGUGAUGCUUGCUUCCCGAACCGGUAUGGAUUUAGCAAAUCAAGUUUUAAUCCUUGAAAAUGGCAAAACAGAUGGUAGUGAAUUUCAUCAAUGGUUAUUCACCUUAGACUUCCUUUGAAUGGCUCGUAAGAGAUAACUAAUGGUCUAAAGCCAAAAGCUUACCAAAUAUUGGCAACUCAAAGUCAUUCCAGGUGAUAAACUCACCUUUCAAUGGCCAUUGAAAUUGGUUCUAAUGGAUUAAUGCAAAACUCGGAAUUGAAAACCUCGCCUUCCAAUAGCUCGUAGGAGAUAACUAAUGGAUAGAAAUCCAAAAGCUUAUCAAGUAUUGGCCGUUGGAAGUUGUCAAAAGGAAAUAAAAACCAAACUUUGCAUUAAUGAACCAUUAAUGAAAAACGACUACCUUACCUUCCGGGUGCGAGAAAUUUCCAUGGGAUUGCAUCCAAGCCAUCACAUAACAUCCAUACUUUGAGAAACUAAAAGUUUUAGCCAAUCAUCCUUUGAGGAAAAACCCUCAGAGGCUGUUUGGCUACUAAGAAAAUAGAAACGGGAGAGCUCUGUAAAAAUUCUAUAUAUUGAUCGNNNNNNNNNNNNNNNNNNNNNNNNNNNNNNNNNNNNNNNNNNNNNNNNNNNNNNNNNNNNNNNNNNNNNNNNNNNNNNNNNNNNNNNNNNNNNNNNNNNNUAUGGAUUUAGCAAAUCAAGUUUAUCCUUGAAAAUGGCAAAACAGAUGGUAGUGAAUUCAUCAAUGGUUAUUCACUUUAGACUUCCUUGAAUGGCUCGUAAGAGAUAACUAAUGGUCUAAAGCCAAAAGCUUACCAAAUAUUGGCAACUCAAAGUCAUUCCAGGUGAUAAACUCACCUUUCAAUGGCCAUUGAAAUUGGUUCUAAUGGAUUAAUGCAAAACUCGGAAUUGAAAACCUCGCCUUCCAAUAGCUCGUAGGAGAUAACUAAUGGAUAGAAAUCCAAAAGCUUAUCAAGUAUUGGCCGUUGGAAGUUGUCAAAAGGAAAUAAAAACCAAACUUUGCAUUAAUGAACCAUUAAUGAAAAACGACUACCUUACCUUCCGGGUGCGAGAAAUUUCCAUGGGAUUGCAUCCAAGCCAUCACAUAACAUCCAUACUUUGAGAAACUAAAAGUUUUAGCCAAUCAUCCUUUGAGGAAAAACCCUCAGAGGCUGUUUGGCUACUAAGAAAAUAGAAACGGGAGAGCUCUGUAAAAAUUCUAUAUAUUGAUCGAUAUUCAAUUACAACGGAUGCAAGGGAAUAUAUAUAGAGAAGUUUUUCCAAUCCUUCCUAGCUAAGAAAUCUUAUGAUUGGUGUAUUACAAGGAGAAGAAUGGAAAUUUAUACAAAAAUAUCUAAAAGAAAAGAUCUUGUGUGGAGUCGGCAGAAACAGGGGAAAAUUCGCACGUUGGAGUUCCAAUUUCGCACCUUGGUUUGAGGUGUGCGAAAUUCCCACACUUUGGACUGAGGAAUUUCGCACCUUGCACAGUGGUGUGCGAAAUUGUCCCUCAGCUUGAUGCAGUUGUCUUCCGAAGGCCAUAUCUUCCUCAUUUCAGCUCCAAAUCAUACACGGUUUGAAGCGUUGAAUUCUUGACUUCCUGAGCUUUGAAAUGGUAUAUAGCAUGUAGAAAAUGGACUUCGGGAAGUGCUCCAAAAGUGUCAAAGAAGACUGCAGCUGCUGUCCUCUAUUUUCCUCUUUGCUUCUUUUUGCUUCUCUUUGCUUUUCUCCUUGCAUACUUUGAACGACUUUGGCAAAGGGCUAUGGAGCUCCAAAGCUUGGUUCUUCAUGAAUUUGAGCUUCCAAAAGCUUUGCCAUAACUUGUCCAAGUAGCUCCUCCAUCAUUUGGCAUGCUUGAAUUGAUUCAUAAGCUGAUAAAAACAUGUAAACUUGCCAUAAAAUGGUUAAAACCAAUUACUAAGGACCUUAAUGAAUUAAUUGGGUUAAAUGAAUAUGAUUACUACUCAAAGGUGCUUAAAACCAUUAUAAUUAGGUCUACAAAAUAGCACUUUUUGGUAGUAAUCACCCAUUAAACACCAAUCCAUCUUUUUAGUCAAUUGACUUGGCCCAUUCUAUAGUUGUGAUGUCCAUGUCCACCGUCUAACUCAUCUCCUAAAUUUUAUUGAAGUGAUGUUUGUGUCAAUAGUUAAAAUCACUCACCCACACCCCACUUGCAAGUUGCAAGGGAUUGACCCAUCACUACUCUUAUUUAUCCUUACUAAUAAAUGUUUUUUUUCCUUUGUUUUCCUUAUUCAUCCACCUCAAAAUCUCUUUCUAGAAGGUCUAAAAUAAAAACAAUGGAAACCAUUCUUCGAUAUAUAACUUAUAAAUGUUUUAUUUCAAUUAUUUUUCGUAUUUAUAUAAUUAUUUUUAUUUUUUUAAAUAACCCUUAAAAAAAUAAGUGAUAACAAGGCAACUAAAAUAGAUUUUUCAAAAACAUCAUAUUUUUGGAAUAAGUUUUUUAAAAAUUAUUUUCUAUUGGAAAAUUAGUAAUGAUGGUGUAAAAACUUGGUAAAUAAUUUUUUUGUUUUAAUAAUAAAAAAAAAAUUUAAAUAGUUUUCAAACAUAAUCCAACCAUUUAUGUUAUUUUUACCUUCUUUUUUUCAGGUUCAAAAUUUCGAGUUUUCUGUGGACAUAACAUAAAAAAUAAUUAUUUUUCAAACUACGACCCUUUUAAGUUUCAAAUAAAACCCGUCUUUUUUAAAAUAAGUUUACAAUAGGAAAUGAAUUUGUCUUUUAAAAUACAAAAUUUAAAACAAAAAAAAAAUAAUGAUGAAAAGUAUCAUAUUUUCAUAUUUAUUUUUUGAACAACGUCAUCUUAACAAUAUUAAAAAAAAAAAAAAAUCCUUAAAAUUUCCCCCUAAUGGCCCACGAUGUACUUCAUAGCUUCAAUUCCAAUAUCUCAAAUCAAUCUCAAUUGACUAUUGCCAUUAAAUCCUUAUUAAUUAUCUAUUAGAAUGCCCGGCCUUCCCUCAUUCAUUUUUUCACAAAGUUGGUCAACGUUCAUUUAUUUUUUUUUCAAAUAAAUCAUUUAUUUCUCUCAUAGCAAGGAAUAAUUUAAAUUAUUUAAGUCUUUAUGUAAUCGUGUAACAUUGCUAAAAAUUAGGAAAUAGACUAUUCAUGCACAUGAUCUCAAUAUCCCAUGUUCACCCUAAAUCGAUUAAAAAAAACCGUUUAAGUCAAGUCCUAUGUUGAUAUUCGUAAAUGAAAAAGAAUCUAAUAUAAUAUUAAACUUCAUAAAAAUUGGGAUAAAAUAUUUAACAAAUUUUGAUAUAAUAUUAAAUUAUCAAUAACAUUAAAAUUUAAAUGUUACGUGAUACAUCAUCACAUCCAUAUAAUAAAUCAAUUUAAGCUAAUGUUUUAUUUAAUUCUUAAUUUAUUGUUUUAUUUAGUGUCUCAAUAUGUUAAAUAAAUAAAUAAAUUGUGCCCUAAUAAUAAUAGAAUUUUUUUUAUUAAAUUUUUGGUUAAGAACUAAUAUUUUAUAUAAAUUUUAUUUAAAAAAAUCAAUAAAUCACAAGUGAGUUGUGAAACUUGUGAAUCGUAGACAACCAUUUUCGUGAUAUUAAAAAAUUAAAAAUAAAUAAAUAAAUAAAUAAACAAAGCCCCACUUGCAGUAGUGCCCGAAUGAAACAUGCGGGGUUGUAGGUACGAUACCAUGGAGGUCACAUGUAUGGGAACAUUCCACAAGUCUUCUAAAUUGUCAGGGAAAGGCGUCCCUCAUGGUGGUCUCCACAUCGGACGACCCAGAUAGACCGGUGCCUAAACUGAAGGCUGUCACACGUUUACGUGUUUGACCAAGUCUCGCGAGUCUACGCGCCAAUCACCAACCUUAAUUUUAAAGGUUCCUCCGCCCAAUCCUAUGAUGGUACCAUGCGGUCACCUUCACCUUUCCCUAUCCCACUCUCCAUUACACAGCGCGUGGUCACACUCUCCCAAAAAAGGUUCCCAUCCGAAAAAUUCAAACAAAUUUAAAGUACUAAAAAUGGGAAAAUAUUUAAAAUAUUUUUUAAAUAUUUAUUUUUUAUAUAAAAUAAUUAAAUAAAUGAAAUGAUUUUCUUUUUAAUCGUUUUAAAACAGUUUUAAAAAAUAAAAGUGAAAAUAAUUGAAAAAAAAUAUACAAUAAAUUUUGAAAAUAGAAUUACGUUGACAAUAUUCAAAAUGCAACUCACUAUAGGGCGCGUGAGCACAGGACUUGUAGAACACGUUUUAAGCAUUAUAAUAUUAUUUUUUAUUUUCCAUGGAAAAACACGUUCAAAUCCAAACAAUCGGAAUUGGAAUGCCAUGAAUUUCCACAAACCGUGUACUUGCAAGUUGGAAGAAGAUUCAUUUACAACCAAUUACAAUUUUAUUAUUAAUGGGCAGACAGACUUAAAAGUAGCCAUUGGAAAGUGCCUUAAAAGAAAUUAUAAUAUUAAUAAAAAAAAAGAAAAUAAAAGAUUUUAACGUGAACAUUUAAUCCUAAGUAUCAAUAGAUGUAGGUUCAAACAUAUUUUCUAUUUUUUAUUUUUAAAAUAAAAAUGAUAAUAACUUUUAUAUAAGAUAUAAUUUUUUUAAAUAAAUUAUAUUAAAAAAAUAGUGAUUUUAAAAACUAUUUAAAAAAAUUUAAGUAUAAAAAAUAUAAAAUAAUUUUUUUUUAAAUAGAUUAUGCUUGAAUGAGUCAAAUGUGUAAAGAUGAAUAAGAAUGUGGAUAAGUUCAAAAGAGCGGGUAGCUCUGAUCCAGCCGACCCGAAUGGGAAAUUGAGAAAAGAAAAACAUUCUUGGAAAGUGGUUCAGUUCCUUGGAAGUGGGUAUUUUGAGAACCCAACAAGUGUUCAUGUACUUUGAAUUUAUGUUCAAAUCACUUGCUUUGAGAUGGGGUUUUGAAUCGGAAAUGUCAAUGUUUCCGGUGUGAACAUGCAUACAGAAAUUAGUAUUACGUACAAAACAGGUUGAGGUAAAAAAAAAAUCAAAAUCAUGGAAAAUUCAAAGUCUGUUUAACCGGAUGUUUUAAAAAUAGUUUUUUAUUUUUUAAAAUAGAGAAUAAUUCUUACAUUAUCUAAAAAUGAUUUUUAAAAAUAAGGUAGAAUGAAGAACAAUUUUUAAAGAACACGUAAAAGUGUUUUCAUCCCUGGUAAAAAUCAAAAGAAAAAUAUAAAAAAUUUAAAAAAAAAUCUUGAAAAUAAAUAAAAUUGAAUAUAGUAUUAUUUUCUUUCUCUUUUUAAUAUUAAAAAAAAAUCUUAAAAUAUGAUUUUUUCUUUAAAUUACACAUACUUUUUAAAAUUUCAUUUUAACUUCUUUAAAAUUUUUCUUUGAGUAAAUUUUAAAUCAAAUUGUAUUAUUUAUUAUUAAACUUAAUUUCAAUGGUAAAAGAAACAAAUUCUUAGGAAUAAAAUUUAAUAUUAUAUUGAAUUAUUUAAGAGGAAUAUAUAGCGUAAGUCAUAUUAUAUUUUAACUUAAUUUUAAUUAUUAUUUGCCUACCGUGUUGCUUAUUUACAAUUAUAUUUAAUUUUUAUUUAUUUGUUUAGAAUAUUUAUUUGUUUUUCUAAAGCUUAUUUAAUGAUAGAAGAGUAUUCAUAUAUAUAUAAUUUUUGACAAAAAAAUUUAUUAUAAAAAUGGUUGAAAAACAAUUAUGAAGAAUUUAUAAAUUAUUUAGGAGUGAGAAAUCUUGAAAAAGUGCAAUAGAAAAAAAGAAAAUUCAUUUUGUGAUGUGGAAGUCUAAACAAUGAGAAGAUGUAUGAAAUUGGAAGAUUGGACAUAAUAAGUCAAUUGAUUAGUAGAACAAGAGAGAGUUUCAGACACCUAUAAUAGUGUCUAAAUGUAUAGUUUUAAACACUUUAAGUAUGCUCAGAAGUAUAGGCCGGACAUUUAUAAAACAUCCCCUCAUGCAACACAAACAAUAUUCAUAGUACCUCUUUCUUCCAACUCUAAAAGUACAAAAAGAAAUAUAAAAGAUAUCACAAAAUGCAUACCUUUGCACUUGUACCAUUAUUAGAGAUGAUUAUUUGUUUGUCCAAAGAAACAAAACUUUAUUGAUAAAUUCUAUUAGGAUUAUAGAGAGAUUAGAAGAAGAGAAGUGAAGAAAGAAGAUGGUGGUUUGAGAAUUUCAUCAAAGGGUGUUUUUAUCCUAAAAUAUGUAUUAUUUCGAUGGAUUUAAAGAUCAAUUUGGUGGAUGCAAAUAUAAGUUAUGGAAUUUUUUUACAAAAAAAAUAUCCAUCAAUAAAAAGAUUGAAAUACCCUUGCAAAUCAAUAUGCACCCACAUUCUUCCUUUCCUUUAUCAAAUUCUUUUCUUCCAAUCUCUCCACAACCUUAAUAAAUUAAAAUAAUUUUUUUAAAAAUAAAUGGUUUAAAUUUUUAAAUUUUGAAAAUUUAAAAUUUUAAAAAUACAUAAUUGUUGGCAGAUCGGAGGGUUGGCUUCAUCCAUCAACUCCUCUUGUGUUCGUCGUGGACAUUUGGGUUAAUGCACUAUAAGAUUAGGGUAUGCGUCUUUUUUAACAGCACUUGCUUUUAGGAAAGUUGAUAGCGUCUGAGGUUCUACAAUAAUUUUAUUCAAAUCCAAAACUUGUAAUAAAUUAAAAAUAAAAAUAAACCUUUUAAAAAACAAAUUUAAGCUUUUAAAUUAACUUUUGGUUUGACCUUUCAAGGUCAACACUCCCACAUCAUUCUUUUCUUUAGACUUUUUUUUCCCACUUUUUCAUAUGUUUCUCAUGUCUAAUUAUGUCUAAAUUAAUUCUAAAUACUUUCUAAUUAUUUUACAAAAAAAAAUUAUAAAAAAAUAUAUAAGUAAUAAAAUCUAAAAAUUUUCAUGUAGAACAAACUUAAUAUUAUUGUAUGGAUUUUAUAAAAAUAUAUUGAAAUUAACUUUCAACUUAUAGCAAACAACUUUUUAUGAUAAAGAAGCUUAGGUUUGGAGAGGAUAAAAAAAAGGGAAAAGGAUAAUUCAAAAAUAAUUAAAUGGAUUAAUAGGAUUUAUAUUUUGAGGUGGAUAGGUAAGUAUAGUGGAUAUGCAGAUAGUUUUAUUAGAUGUUUGGUGCCCCUGUUUUUAAGUAUUUUGGCCUACAACCCUAAAACCCAAAGUAAUUCUCACCAAAAAAAAAAAAAAAAAAAUUUUUUUUUUUUUUAAUCUUCAACUCUACAAACUCUCAUUUUGAACAUGCACUUUUUAAUUAAUUAAUUUUUUCUACUUUAGAACUCACUCAUCUUCCUAAAUACAAAAACUAAUUAUAAAAUAAAAACUAAUUCAACAAUUUAACUUCAACAUCUUUUUUUUUAAUAAUUCCUUUUCAUAUAAUAUUCCUUACUAACAAAAACUAAUUAUAAUUAAAUGACUUUAAUUUGAUAUAUAUAUAUAUAUAUAUAUAUAUAUAUAUAUAUCAAUAUUAAGAUGUAAAAUCCUAUAAACUUACACUUUAACCACUUGAGCCCAACAAGUGUUUGAUUUAAAAAUUUAUAGUUAUUAAAGAUGUUAAACUCCUUUAAAAAGUAUCAAAUGGUAAUAAAUAAAAAUUAGAGAAAAACCAUUCAAAUGAAGAGAUUUCAUCUAUAAUACGAAGUAAAAUCUAAAAAAGAAAUGUGAAGAAAAAAAUUAUCAUUGACUCUUAACUCUUGCUAAACCAAUCCCACUACCAUCCAAUACUAAAUUGUCUAACAAAUGAGAAUUGAAAGCAUAAAAGAGAAUCAUUGACUAUUGACUCUACCAUCCAAUGUUGAAUUGUCUAACAAAUGAGACAAAUGAGAAUUGAAAGCAUAAAAGAGAAUCAUUGACUAUUGACUCUACCAUCCAAUGUUGAAUUGUCUAACAAAUGAGAAUUGAAAGCAUAAAAGAGAAUCAUUGACUAUUGACUCUACCAUCCAAUGCUGAAUCGUCUAACAAAUGGAAAUUGAAAGCAUAGCAGAGAAUCAUUGACUCUACUUACCCCAUUUUCCUAGAAGUGUUGCCCCUCCCUUCAUUUCAUGAAGUUUCUUAGAAGUUUCAAACUUCUUUACCAUAUAAAGUAUAAAAAAAAUCAUUCUUAUAGCCAUUCACAUGUGUUUCAAGAAAAAUGAAGUUAUUUUGCCCCCAAGAACUACAGAAAUAAAAUCAUGUUAAGAAUUUUAAAUUAUAAUAUUUAUCUAUAAUAAGAUUUAUUUAUAAUUUUUUUUUAAAAAAAUCAUCAUCUAGUUGUUUAACUUAUUUUUUAUUCUUACUUUUUUGUAUUUAUAUUUUAAUUUUAGUUUUAUGUUUAUUUUUAAUAUCUAUUUUUCACUUCUCGGUCAAUUUUUUUUUAUUUGCUUUAAUUUUUUAUUAUUAUUUCUUGUUGAUAUCCUCUUAUAUAUAUAUUAGAAAAAUAUAUAUAAAAGAUAAUAAUAAAAUGAGACACCAUGAAUAAAGUGAAGGAAAAAAAUAAAAAAUAAAAUAAAAUCAAAAUAUUCGUGGAGAAGUAAGGUGCUCUUAGCCUAAUGUGUAAUGAUGAUGAUGGAUGACCCACCAAACCAGAAGAAAAGCAAAAGGUGAGAAAAGAAUCAAUAAAGAGAAACAACUACCCUUAACUUUUUUCAUCACUUUCCCGAAGGUUACUGGAAGUCGCCUUCCUUCCUUCCCAAUUCACAGAGCCCCUAAGUUCCUAACUUUUCUCGUCACUUUCCGGAAGGUCACAACAAGCCACUGCCACUUGCCUUCCCAACUCUUUAUAUACAGAUAAAUGAUAAUAUUUAUCAAUAAUAAGAUUUAUCUAUAAAAUGUUAGAAAAUAAAUAUAUCAAUCCAGUGAAUUUUAUUUUUACUUUUUUUUUAUAUUAUAUAUUUAUCCUUUUAUUUUUUAUUUUUAGUCUUUAUAUUUAUUUUUCACUUCUCGGUCAAAAUUUUUAUUUUCUAUUUAUUUUAAAUUUUAUUUUUAUUUCUUUUUUAAGUACUUAUAUAUAAUAAUAAAUAAAUAAAUAAAUAAAUAAAUAAAAUAGGAGACCAUGAAUAAAGUGAAGAAAAAAUAAAAUUAAAAACUUGGUGGAGAAGUAAAGUGCACGGGUUUGAAGGAUGAAUGUGAAUAGGAGAAAAAGAGAACAAGAGAAAAGCAAAAGGUAAAAGUGUGAGAAAAGAAUCCAUAUUCUGAAAAUGAAAGGAUGAGAUAAAAAUAAAAUAUAUAAAAGAUAAUAGUGAAAUACGAGAGCAUGAUUAUGGCGAAGAAGAAAAAAAUGUUAAAUAAAAUAAAAAAUUUGGUGGUAUCCCAUUUGAAAAUAGAAGGAAACGAAGGUGAUAAGAAAAAAAGAAAAGUGAGAAAAAAAUCUCUAAGUCAAUAGAGAGAGAAAGUUGUCCCUAAUUUUCCUCAUCACUUUUCGGAAUGUCACGGGAAGCUACCGUCUACCUAGCUUUUUAUAUUGUAAUAUUUUUAUUUAUAUUAUAACCACUGUUUUCUUAUACUUAUAGGAUGUCUUAUAAAGUUUUUUUUUUAAAUUUAUUUAUUUUAUUUAUUGGAUUGAUUUUCGUGUGAAAAUUUAUUUUAUUUAAUAAUAAUAAUAAUUUUACUGAUUUUUUUUAAAAAUAUUUGAUAUCUCUUAAAUCAUUCAUAAAAUGAAUUAAUUUUUUAAUAAAAGUAAUUUUAAUUUAGAUUUAAAUUAUUUCUCAAUUAUAUUUAGAUAUAUGCAUAUAAAAAAUAUUAUUUUCUAAUAUUUAAUAUUUAAAAUUUUAUUUUAAUAAUAAUCUCUUUAAAAUAUUAUCACGAUUUAUAUUAGAAUUAAUGGUUUACAUUUUUAUUCUUCUUCCAAAAAUAAAAUUAUAAUGGACUACUUCACGUUAAUAAAAUCAUUUUUUUAUUCUAAUUUAUUAUAAAUUAUAAUAUUAUCAAUAAUAAGAUUUAUCUAUAAAAUAAAUAUAUCAAUCCACUCGUCUUUCUUUUAAUAAAUUUUCAUUUCAUAUUGUGGGUCGACACGUAUCAUUUCUGUUUACUUUAAUUUUUUAUUAAUAUUUUUUAUGUGCUUAAAGAAAAAAUAAAAUAUUAAAUAAAAUAAAAAACUUGGUGGGGAAGUAAAGUAAAGGAGCGUAAUGAUGACGAUUGUAUGGCCCGAGAGAGAGAGAGAGUGGGCCGGCUGAAAAAAUAAAAUAUUAAAUAAAAUAAAAAACUUGGUGGGGAAGUAAAGUAGAGGAGCGUAAUGAUGACGAUUGUAUGGCCCGAGAGAGAGAGAGUGGGCCAGCUGAAAAAAUAAAAUAUUAAAUAAAAUAAAAAACUUGGUGGGGAAGUAAAGUAGAGGAGCGUAAUGAUGACGAUUGUAUGGCCCAAGAGAGAGAGUGGGCCAGCUGAAAAAAUAAAAUAUUAAAUAAAAUAAAAAGCUUGGUGGGGAAGUAAAGUAGAGGAGCGUAAUGCUGACGAUUGUAUGGCCCGAGAGAGAUAGUGGGCCAGCUGAAAAAAUAAAAUAUUAAAUAAAAUAAAAAACUUGGUGGGGAAGUAAAGUAGAGGAGCGUAAUGAUGACGAUUGUAUGGCCCGAGAGAGAGAGUGGGCCAGCUGAAAAAAUAAAAUAUUAAAUAAAAUAAAAAACUUGGUGGGGAAGUAAAGUAGAGGAGCGUAAUGCUGACGAUUGUAUGGCCCGAGAGAGAGAGAGAGAGAGAGUGGGUCAGCUGAAAAAAUAAAAUAUUAAAUAAAAUAAAAAACUUGGUGGGGAAGUAAAGUAGAGGAGCGUAAUGAUGACGAUUGAAUCGGCCGAGAGAGAGAGAGUGGGUCAGCUGCUUUAAUUCAAGAUUGAAUGACCCGAGAGACACAGAGCUGUCCCUAACUUUCCUCUUCACUUCCUGGAAGGCGCCUUGCCUUCCCAACUUCUUAGUUGCACAAUCUCCUCAUUUACUCACUAUCCUGAAGAGAAAUCAACCCCUCUAAACUGUCUUUGUACUUUUGAGAUAGAAACCCACAAUGGCUUCCACAAGCUCCUUCAGAGCCUCUUCUUCUUCUUCUACUCCUUCCAUCCCUCGAACAAGUACUUAUGAUGUUUUCUUGAGUUUUAGAGGCGCAGACACCCGCUCUAAUUUCACUGAUCACCUCUACAGUGCUUUGGGUAGGAGAGGGAUUCGCACCUUCAGAGACGAUAAACUCAGGGAAGGAGAAGCGAUUGGUCCAGAACUCUUGACAGCCAUCGAAGAAUCAAGGUCUUCCGUAAUUGUUUUCUCUGAAAACUAUGCUCAUUCGACAUGGUGUUUGGAUGAGUUGGUAAAGAUCAUGGAGCGCCACAAAGAUCGGGGACAUGCUGUUUUCCCAAUUUUCUAUCACGUGGAUCCAUCCCAUGUACGAAGGAAAACAGAAAGUUUUGGAAAGGCCUUUGCCGGUUAUGAAGGAAACUGGAAGGACAAGAUACCACGGUGGAAGACGGCCUUGACGGAAGCAGCCAAUCUUUCUGGAUGGCAUCAACGGGAUGGGUAACUAUAAUUUCCUUUCAACUAUUUAAAUGAGUAGUUUUGCAUUUAUAGAGUGAUGAUGUGGAUUGAAACAUUUAUAAAAAUACAAAAGCUCAAAUUUUUUAUUUGGAGGUCUACUCCUUAAGCACAAACUUAUCCUCAAAAUGCUUUUAGAUUAAGGUGGUGCAUGUUUUUUUGGCUGAAUAGAAAAAGUCAAAUAUUUUGACUUUUUCUAUUCAGCUAAAAAGUAAUCUAUUAACAUCAUCCAAUAUAAUUAAAUUAAACUAAUGGAUAACAAGUUCAUUUUAGUAAACAUGUUACUUUUAGCUUAAUAGAAAAAAUAAAAAUAUUUAGCUUUUUCUAUUCAGCAAAAAAAAACAAAACAAACAGCACUUCGAGUCUUUUAUGUGUAAAUGUGUUUGAUAUUCUUUUAUACGGAAUGUUCUUAGAACAAGUGUUUUUUAGAAAAUCAGCUAUCUUUUCCACGAAUUUAUUUUUUCUUCAAAAACACUUUUAGAUUAUAAGUACUUUUUAAAAGUAUUUUUAGAGUGCUUUGAGCAGGCAAUUCUAUUUAAAUGCUUUUAGUGAAAGUUUUUUUAAUAAAUAUUUUUGGGAGUAUAUCUCAAAGAAUUAUUAGAAGUGAUUUUUUUUUUACUUUUAAUAAGUAAUUCUAAAUUUUUUAUCAAACGUCUUAAUAUUUUUUCAUAAAGACACUUUUUAUACUUCCCAAACAAACUGUAACUUGAGGUUGUUAACAAGGGGCAUAUAUUUGUGUGCUCAAAAUUUAAAAAUAAAAUAAAAUAAAAUAUUGCUUUUUAGGGCUUUAUUUAUAAGUUGGGUUUAUUCAAGUGUAUCAUUUGGGCAGCCGACUAUGUGUCAUGAAUAAGGAGAAAAUAGGAAAUUGGAGUAUUGAUUUGACCAUUGAAGCAGCCAAUUUAUAUGGAUGACAUCGAUAUUAAUUUAAUGAGCAUGCAAUUUAAGUUUCUUUCACUUUUCAUUCAUUAGUGGGUUUUGUUUAGGAAUUAAAUUAUUAUUAUUAUUGUUAUUUAUUACUAAUAUUAGUGUUUUUUGUUGUUGUUAAUAGUAGUUGCAAUGACAGUAGUAUAAAAAGAAUAGUAGAAUAACAAUUAUAUUGAGUUAGGAUUCAUGAUUAAUGGUAGAAUGAACUUAUUAAAACCCAAUUAAUGAGUUUUACUAUUUUAGAUCAAUUUAUGAGAAUCUAUAUCUAAAAUAAUUUAAUCAAAAUUUAUUACUAUUUUUUCAAUUUUCAAGAUUCAAUUCGCAUUAAUGUUACAAAAAUUAAUCAAUUUAUUUGAAAUUUUGUGUGAAUAAUUAUAUAACAAGUAACAAUAAAAUUAAUGACUAUUACUAUCUAUUAACGAGCUUCAAAAAUUUCAAUUAACCAACCUCUUGUGUAUCAAUAGAACAACUUAAUCAAAUUCUAAAAAUAAUUUGAUUAAUUAUGUAACAAGUAAGAAGUAACAAUAACAAAAUUAUUUAACCAAUUUUAUUUGAGGACAAGUUGAUCAAGUAGUUUGAUUAAUUAUGUACCAACUACCAAUAACAAAAUUAUGUGACGUAAAUUGUUUAGUAGGAAUUCAACUUCCCAGAGAGUUUGUGUGUGUAUAUAUAUAGACAAUAAAGAACAUAGGUUAGGAAGUUAAUUCUUUAUAGAUGAUGCGAAAGGAAAUCAACUCAAAAUAAAAUACAAAUGAAUAACUUGUUUACAAGCCUUUAAUUUUUAAUUUUUAUCAUACAAAUGAAUAAUAAGGAGAUGAUGUUGUGGGAUAAAUAAGUUUUGAAGCUUGAGGAAUUGAACAUGGGGUUUUUAAACUAAAACUUCUUAUAUUAAGGGGUUGAGGCUUCAUGCAUUACAAGAUAUAAAACGAAUGUCAAAGAAUAAAAUAUUUGCUCCUACAAGGUUUCUAAUUGCCAUGGGUUGUUAAAGAGUUUUUGAAAAGUGCAUGAAUGAUAAAGUAAUGUUUCGAUUCAUAAUCAUUGUCCUCUAUCAUGGCACAAAAUUUCCAUUUGAAUCUAAUGCCACACAAGCAGCACAACUAACAAAAUUCAAAAUCCAUGUUUUAGUUUUGUUCUCAUGCAUACUUGAUACAAUGAAAAAGGUCCUAAAAAUGUAAAUGAACUAAUAUCUUUGAUAUAUUCUAUUCUACUUUAAUUUAUUUUUCGUAAAGAUGUCAAAUUUAAUGUGUUUUAUUUACAAUUGUGGCUCAUUGCUUAACAUGUUAUUCUUUUAUAAUUGGCAGGUCUGAGUCCAAUAAAAUUAAAGAAAUAACUGAUAUCAUAUUCCAUCGAUUGAAAUGUAAGAGGCUUGAUGUUGGUGCCAAUUUAGUUGGUAUAGAUUCCCAUGUAAAAGAGAUGAUUUUGCGGUUGCAUAUGGAAUCAAGUGAUGUUCGUAUUGUUGGGAUAUACGGAGUUGGGGGGAUGGGUAAGACUACCAUCGCAAAAGUUAUAUAUAAUGAACUUUCUUGUGAAUUUGAAUGUAUGAGCUUUCUUGAAAAUAUUAGGGAGGUUUCCAAUCCCCAAGUUUUAUAUCACUUACAAAAUCAACUUCUUGGUGAUAUCCUAGAGGGAGAGGGGAGUCAAAAUAUAAAUAGUGUUGCCCACAAAGCAAGUAUGAUAAAGGACAUUCUCUCAUCUAAAAAAGUUUUUAUGGUUCUUGAUGAUGUUGAUGAUCCAAGUCAAUUAGAAAAUUUACUUGGACAUCGUGAAUGGCUUGGAGAAGGAAGUAAAGUCAUCAUAACAACUAGAGAUAAACAUGUGUUAGCUGUACAAGAAGUGGAUGUCUUAUAUGAGGUUAAGGGAUUGAAUUUUAAAGAAGCUCAUGAACUUUUCAGUUUGUAUGCCUUUAAACAAAAUCUUCCCCAAUCAAACUAUAGAGACCUCUCACAUCGUGUUGUAGGCUAUUGUCAAGGGCUUCCAUUAGCUCUAAAAGUUCUAGGUUCUCUCUUAUUCAAGAAGACAAUACCUCAAUGGGAAAGUGAAUUGGAUAAAUUGGACAAAGAACCUGAGAUGAAAAUUCACAAUGUGCUUAAACGAAGCUAUGAUGGAUUAGAUCGUACAGAAAAAAAAAUAUUUCUUGAUGUUGCAUGUUUUUUUAAAGGUGAAGAAGAUAGGGAUUUUGUGUCAAGAAUAUUGGAUGGUUGUCAUUUCCAUGCGGAAAGAGGAAUAAGAAAUCUAAAUGAUCGGUGUCUUAUAACUCUUCCAUACAACCAAAUACAUAUGCAUGAUUUGAUACGACAGACGGGUUGGGAAAUUGUUCGUGAAAAAUUUCCUAAUGAGCCAAACAAAUGGAGCAGAUUGUGGGAUACCCAGGAUAUUCAACGGGCACUUAGAACAUAUGAGGUAAGAGCCAGGUGCAUAAAUUCACUUAAAGCUCUAGUUGAAGAUAUAAACUUCAAUAAUAAUACCAUUCUUGUAUAAGCACUUACAUAUCCAUAUAAGUUUAGUUAAUUUGUAUUUAUGUUUGCCUUAUCCUUGUUAUUUUUCAGGGAAUAGAAGGAGUUGAAACAAUAGACUUGAACUUGUCUGAUUUUGAAAGAGUAUGCUUCAAUUCAAAUGUUUUCUCAAAGAUGACUAAUCUUCGAUUGCUCAGAGUUCAUUCAGAUGACUAUUUCGAUCCUUAUUCUCAUGAUGAUAUGGAGGAGGAGGAGGACGAGGAGGACGAGGAGGAGGAGGAGGAGAAGGAGAAGGUAGAUCGUUAUUGUGAAGAAAUGAUUGAUUCUGUAAUGAAAACUGCUUCUAAAAUGCACCUUGACCCGGAUUUUGAAAUCCCUUCUUUUGAGUUAAGUUAUCUUUGUUGGGAUGGGUAUCCUUUAGGUUUUUUAUCAUCAAAUUUUAAUGGAAAGAACCUUGUUGAACUUCACUUGAAGUGUAGCAACAUAAAACAACUAUGGCAAGGGAAGAAGGUAUUAUUAUCAUUUAAUAAUGACUUUUUUUCCUUUAUAUUGAUUUUAAAAUUUCUAAUAGUUAUUUCUUUUAUUGAAAUUAUUUUCUUUUGGUACAGGAUCUUCAAAGUUUAAAGGUCAUUGAUCUAAGUCACUCAAACAAGCUCGUUCAAAUGCCAGAAUUCUCAAGCAUGCCAAAUUUGGAAGAACUAAUUCUUAAAGGUUGUGUAAGCUUGAUCAAUAUUGACCCAUCUGUUGGAGAUCUCAAGAAGCUUACUACCUUAGAUUUAAGGGGGUGUGUUAAGCUUAAGGGUUUACCAAGUAGCAUUAGCAACUUGGAAGCUCUUGAAUGUCUUGAUCUUACUAGGUGCUCAAGCUUUGACAAGUUUGCAGAAAUUCAAGGAAUUCAAGGAAAUAUGAGUAGUUUAACGCAUCUAUAUUUGCGCAAGACUGCUAUUAGAGAACUUCCAAGUAGCAUUGACUUAGAAUCUGUUGAGAUUCUUGAUCUCUCUGAUUGUUCUAAGUUUGAGAAAUUUCCAGAGAACGGAGCAAACAUGAAAAGUUUAAAUGAUCUUCGUUUAGAGAAUACUGCUAUUAAAGAACUCCCAACAGGUAUUGCCAACUGGGAAUCUCUUGAGAUUCUUGAUCUCUCUUAUUGCUCAAAGUUUGAGAAAUUUCCAGAGAAGGGAGGGAACAUGAAAAGUUUAAAGAAGCUUCGUUUUAAUGGUACUUCUAUUAAGGAUCUGCCUGAUAGCAUUGGAGACUUGGAAUCUCUUGAGAUUCUUGAUCUCUCUUAUUGCUCAAAGUUUGAGAAAUUUCCAGAGAAGGGAGGGAACAUGAAAAGUUUAAAGAAGCUUCGUUUUAAUGGUACUUCUAUUAAGGAUCUGCCUGAUAGCAUUGGAGACUUGGAAUCUCUUGAGAUUCUUGAUCUCUCUUAUUGCUCAAAGUUUGAGAAAUUUCCGGAGAAGGGAGGGAACAUGAAAAGUUUAAAGAAGCUUCAUUUAAAAAAUACUGCUAUUAAGGAUCUGCCGGAUAGCAUUGGAGACUUGGAAUCUCUUGAGAUUCUUGAUCUCUCUAAGUGCUUAAAGUUUGAGAAAUUUCCGGAGAAGGGAGGGAACAUGAAAAGUUUAAAGAAGCUUUCUUUAAUAAAUACUGCUAUUAAGGAUCUGCCGGAUAGCGUUGGAGACUUAGAAUCUCUUGAGAUUCUUCAUCUCUCUGAGUGCUCAAAGUUUGAGAAAUUUCCGGAGAAGGGAGGGAACAUGAAAAGUUUAAAGGAGCUUUAUUUAAGAAAUACUGCUAUUAAGGAUCUGCCUGAUAGCAUUGGAGACUUGGAAUCUCUUGAGUCUCUUGAUCUCUCUGAUUGCUCAAAGUUUGAGAAAUUUCCGGAGAAGGGAGGGAACAUGAAAAAAUUAAAGCAGUUUCUUUAAUAAAUACUGCUAUUAAGGAUCUGCCAGAUAGCAUUGGAGACUUGGAAUCUCUUGAGUCUCUUGAUCUCUCUGAGUGCUCAAAGUUUGAGAAGUUUCCGGAGAAGGGAGGGAACAUGAAAAGUUUAAAGGAGCUUUAUUUAAUAAAUACUGCUAUUAAGGAUCUGCCGGAUAGCAUUGGAGGCUUGGAAUCUCUUAAGAUUCUUAAUUUAAAAAAUACUGCUAUUAAGGAUCUUCCCAACAUUUCUAGGUUGAAAUUUCUUAAAAGACUCAUCCUCUGUGACCGCUCAGACAUGUGGGAAGGAUUAAUAAGCAAUCAGCUUUGCAAUCUGCAAAAACCUAAUAUCAGUCAAUGCGAAAUGGCUCGACAGAUUCCGGUGCUUCCUUCAAGUCUAGAAGAAAUAGACGCACACCAUUGCACAAGCAAGGAAGAUUUAUCAGGUCUGCUCUGGCUUUGCCACCGCAACUGGUUGAAAUCUACAGCAGAGGUAAUGUAAUAAUUUUUUUUAUUUAAUUAUGCCACUUAAACCUUUUUUAUAUAAAGCCAAUAUUUACAUAAUAAUUUGUGCAGGAGUUGAAAAGUUGGAAACUCAGUGCUCGUAUUCCAGAAAGUAGUGGAAUUCAAGAGUGGAGGAUAAGGUAUCAAAACUUGGGAAGUGAAGUAACAGCAAAGCUUCCAAUGAAUUGGUAUGAAGAUCCUGACUUCCUAGGAUUUUUUGUAUCAUGUGUUUAUCAGCCUAGUCAUAAAUCUACUCUCAAGUGUGAAUUGAAUUUACAUGGCAAUGGAUUUGAAUUCAAGGACAGAACCUGGUGUGACUGCUGGUGUGGGUCCCAUGGUAAUUUUAAAGAAUUGAUAGAUCAAGUAUGGGUUUGGUGGUAUCCUAAGAUUGCUAUUCCGAAAGAGCUCCGUAAAUCCACACAUAUUAAUGCUUCAUUUAAGAAUCCUGGGAUAAACAUAAAAAAAUGCGGCAUCAAUCUUAUAUUUGCGGGAGAUCAACGAAAUCAUAUGCCCAUGUUGGAGCAUCCUCAGAAUUCUGGUGACAAUGGAUCAGCAUCACAAGAUACCGAUGGUAAUGUUCAUGGGGCUAAUCAAGAUGAUGAACACUACCAUAUUCCAGCGAUGUUAGAUCUUCUCAGGAAUUUUGGUGACAAUGGAUCAGUAGUACUUGAAGACAAUGAUGGAAACCGUAAGAGAAGACGUGAUGAUUCGUUACCCGAUGUAGUGGAGGAGCCACAUUAUAAAAGAUUGGGAGCACCCAACAUCGAUCUCUCGCUUUGAACUCCAUCACUAGGUGCAUUAUCAACCCUUCUUCAAUAUUCUAACUUCUCUCCUUUUUAAAUUAUUUUUGAAGUCAAUAAACUAUUUUUAUAUGUAUCUUCAAACUUAUUUCAUUAAUUUUCCUCCAUUAUAUAAAAAUUAAAUAAUUUAAAAAUAUAUAAAUCUCUAAUCAAUUUUAAUUAUAUUUUAUUUUCUUUCAUAUUUUCUAUAGAAAAACCAAGUAUAACAAAUAAUUUUUUUUAGUGUUUUUUUUUAUUUCCUAAGUACUCUCUAAGAUUCAAACAUAUUUAUAGUGAUUGAUAUCAUGACUAUGCAUGUACUACAUUUCAUAGAAUUUCUUCAUUUUCAAAAAAUAUGAAAAAUAACUUUAACUAACUUUAAAAGUCAUCAUUAGUUUAAAAACAUGUAUAGUUUUUUUUAUUUUUUAACAUAUAGCAUAUAUAUGGUAGUGAAUUGCUUCUUUUUUUUUUCCAUUAUUUAUUUAUUUAAUUAGUUAAAUAAAAACCUCUACAAAGUGAUUAUGAAGCUCUAGGGAUUCUUCAUUACCUUAUUAGACAUUAAUUAAUUAAUUAAUUAAUUUUUUCAACUUGCUUUAAGAUAAAAUUUGAAUAAGUUAUCAAAGUUAGUUAGAGAAGAUCAUGUACACAAAUUAGAAGUCAAAUUUGAAUGUAUUAUGUGGUAGAUAUAUGGAGAAACAUACUUGAUGGAAGUAAAUAAUAAAACUCCCAUAUAUUGAUUUUAAUAGUUUUAAGAGUCAAAUUGUUUAUGGUUUUUGUAUUUAAGAAUUAAAUUUCUUUAAGCAUGCUAAAACAUGUUUAAACAUGCAUACUUAGUCAUUUCCUGAGAUGGAAGUUUUGGAUUAAUCUUAUAUUUACUUAUGAUUUUGAUAUGCUCACGAAGUUUACCUAACUAUUAAUUAUACUAAUCUUAAGUGAAAUUUGUGAUAGUAUCGAUCAAAACGAAAUCACAUGUGGUAGCUGCAAGUGGAGUUUAUCUUUUUUCCUAUCAACUUAUUGGUAAGUCAUUUUAUUCAUUUAUCCUUUUAGUAUGUGUAGAAAAUUGAUUAUAGUUCUUCAAUUUCUUUACUAUUUUCUCUUUCCCUUGAUCCCUAUUUUGUUCUAUUAUGUUUGGUUUUUGAAAAACUUGAGGGUAAAUAUAAAGAAAAGAAAAUUGAGAAAAAAAAAAAGGAAAUACAAAGUGAAAAAGAAUAAAAACUAGAUUUAAAGUUAAUCAAUUAUUUUCAUAUGUUUGUUCAAUCUUAUUUCAUUUAUUAUGCUUCAUUAUAUAAAAAUUAAAUAAUUUUAAAAUGUAUAUAACUCUAACUAAUUUUAAUUAUAUUUAAUUUUUUUUCCAUAUUUUUCACAAUGAAACCAAACAUUUAUCAUUUUCCUUGACAAUUUUUAUUGUUUCCUUGGUGCUCGAUGGGAUCCAAACAUAAGUUGAAAACCAUCAGGGUAGCCUAGUUGGUCAAGGCGAAUAUUGAGAAGUGUGGUCCUAGUAAGUGGUACAUGGUUAUGGGUUUGAAUCCUGUCACCACUGAUACCUUGAAUUUGCCUAGUGCUAGUUGUUGCGGGUGAUUAACACUUUGAGGUUUGGGUCCCCAUAGAGAGUUCGAAGGGUUUGGUCAUGGAAGGUUCCUUGAUUAUUGAGAAAAAAAAAAACAUAAGUUUUAUGUUUCAGGAGAUUUAAAAAAAAAAAAAAGGUUGUAGCACAAUCCAUAAUUAACUAGGAUAUAUAUUUGUUCUCAUGUGCUUGGUAUAAGGCACUAAGUAUCAUUAUAUUAAAUUAAAUCCUCGAUCUACUUCAUAAGAGUUAGUUAUAAAUUCCUUGCUAUUGAUAUAGGUAAACAAGAAUUUAUAUAUGUUUGAAUUAAUUCUUAAGUUAAUGGUUAAUACCCAUUAAAUAUGUUUUUAGUUCCUUUGAUGAUUAUGUUAUAAUUUGAACAUGUUAGGGGUAUGAUUCUAGCUUCAUUAGCAUGAAGUGUAUCCAAUGAUAUGUGAUUCCCUAUCACUAUGUUUGGAUCCAAGAAAGUGUAUGGGAUGAAAAAUCCUCAUGAAAAUGAUUUUCUCAUAAAAAAAAUCCAAGAAAGUAUGAAGGAACAUGAAAAUGAUUCUCGGAAAUCAAACGCAACCAUGUGAAAUAUACUUGUGUUAAUAAUUAUAAUGUGUGUUUGUUGUACUAUGUUUAUGAAAUUGAAAUGAUGUAUUUUAUAAUUUAUGUAGGUGGAAACCCUAAGGACAAUGAGGAGAAGUUAAUCUCAAGAUACAAGUGAGAUUCCAAAUGUUGCUAAGGUGGUCUACUCUUACCAUCAUGACCAUCAAGAAAGAUGCUACAAUUUGUGUAUUGAAAGUGUGAAUUAGGAAUGUUAAAAAAUGAAAACUUGAAUUGAUAUAUGUUUUUGCCUAUAAGAUGUGUGGUUAUAGGCAAUUCUUAUGGGUAUGUAAUUGACCUUGAUGUUGCAUAUGAAGCAUAUCACCCUCUCUAUAUCUUCAAGCUAAUGGUUGGAGUUUGGAUAGUGAAAGACAAGUGUCAUAGAUUUAAGUAUUUUCAAAGGGCUCAUGUGGCACAUAGACAAUUCAAGUCUCUUGAAGUUGUUAAUUCUUUCACGUUGUAACAAAGGUCUCUAUCACAUUUCACACAUUAUAACCAUCACAUUUUAACUCUGAGUGUUUAGUUUGAAAUACUUUUGCAUUAAACUCUUUUUCAAAAGUAUUAAAUUAAUAUCUUUCUCUAGUCUUACUCGUUUUGGUUUGUCAACUUAAGUGGUUUAUUACUCUCUAGAGCCAACUUUCAACUUAGUCAUUCCCACAUAAUUGUUAUUGAUUCAUGGUCAAUUAACAAAUUCUCUGAUGUUAUGAUUGGUUUUUGAAAAUUUUGAGGAAAAUUAAAUAAAGAGAAAAAGUAUAAGGAAAUAAAUUUGAAGAAGCAUAAAAAAAAAAAAAAAUUAAAAUUAAUAAAUUAUUUUUAUUUGUUAUUUUAAACUCGUUUUACACCUAAUUUUAAUAAUAUUUAUUUACUUUCCCUAUUUUCCAUGAGUUGUCAAAUAUAAAAAAAUUAUUAUUUUUAAUACUUUUUGAUAACUAAACAUAACCUAAUACUUGUCUUUGUAAUUUCAAGGUACCAAUGAUAGAAUCAUACCUAUUAAUGUGGCCGUAUACAUGUGUGGAAUAUUCAUGAUUCAAUACUAUCACUACAUUACAAUUGUGGGAUGGAUCCUAGUAUAUAGUUAACGCAAAGAAGGAUUUUAUUCUAAAAUUAAUAUAAACAAAUAUAAUUUGAUAAUGUAUUUUAAACAUCUUGUAGAUAGUGUUUGGUGAACCAAUUUAAUAAUUUAAUAUAACUUAAUAGUUUAAUUUAUUAUUAAGUAGAUUAACUAUAUUUGGUAGAAUAAGUUAAUAUUACAAUGUAAAUUUAGUGUUAAGUCAAAAUAGUUAAUUUAAGGGUGUUUGGUAAAUCAACUUAAUGACUUAAUAUGAUUUAAUAAUUUAAUUUAAGUCAUUAAAGAGAUUAAAUAUAUUUGAUAAAAUAAUUUAAUACUACAACUUAAAGUUAUUUUUAACUUUAAGUAAUAAGUCAAAAGGAUCAAUUUCAUUGAGACCCCCUGAGGUUUGGUAUAAAUAUACUCGACUAUCAUUGAUUUCAAAUUUCAUCAAUUAGCACCCUUAUAAAUUUUUUUCGUUUUAAAAAAUUAUUUUUUUAAGAGAUUUCAAGUAAAAAUAUUUUAUAUAGGAGUGUUUAACAAUUUACUAAAAACUAAAUUUUAUUCUUUAAAAACUAAAAUUUAUAUAUAUAAUACAUUUAUAGAGGUACCAAUUGAUAAAAUUUGAAACUUACAAUGGCUUAAUGUACUUACUCUAAACCUGAAGGAUCUCAAUAAAAUUAACUCUAAGUCAAAAUAGUUAACUUAUUCUUAAUUUCAAAUCAUUUUUACCUUAUUUACCUACAUUUAUGACUCACUUUUUAUGAUAAAUAUUUUAUGAUUGUAUUUGUAUCUACGAUGCUUUAAAUAUGAAUAUUUAACAAAUAAAUCUAUUGUUUAAGAUUAGUGAAAAUAUAAUGAUUAGUUAAAAUUAAUAAGAAUAAAUAUAUCAAUUUGAAAAUUUAGAAUAAAUCUUAAAUUAACUUUACUAAAUAAUCUUAAUACUUAAAGUAAAAAAUAAUUAAUAAGUUUUAAGUUUACAACUUAAGAAUCAUUUAACUUAAAACCAACUUAAAUCAUUAAAUAAUAAGUAAUAAGUUUUACCAAACACCUACUUAAACAUAGCUUUUAAAGAAAUUAUUUAAUCAAAAGACAAAUAUUAAAAUAUAAAAUAUAAAAAAUAUAAUAAAGGAACAUGCACAAUGCAAAUUGACAUUAUAAAGUCUUUCACACUAUUUUAUUCCUUUUUUUUGUUCACCUUUUUAGAAAACGAUUUUAAUAUUUCCUAGGAAAAUUAUGAUAACACGUAAUUGGUGUUUCCAUAUUUUCUAAUUUUAAAACUCUAUUUUCUGAAAUAUUGAUUUAUGUUUUCUUUACAAAUGAAAACAAUUUAAACAAAAAGGUGCUUUAUAGUUUCCAUUUUUAAAAAUGAUUUUCACUUAUUUUGACUUAAGGCAUUUUCAAGAUAAGAAAAAAAACAAGAAUAAAAGCUAUUUUUAGAGAAUAAAAAUAAAUGAAAAAUGAAAAACAUUUUCCAACCGAAACCCAUUGUUAAUGUUUUCAUCUCAUUGCACCUUUUUCUAAUCACCAUCCCCCUCUUUGAUGGACUAACUCGGAAAAAUUAUCUUGGCACGUGCUUUAAUUUACAUUUGUUAAAUUGGUUUUGACAUACAUUUUCCAUAAUAAAAGCAAAACAAUAGCCCGAGUUACAAACAUGAUUUCCAUGGUUUUUAGGUCUUUAAUCACAAAGUAUUGAUUCCCAAAUUAUAGAUGCUCUAAAUUUAGUGCAUAGGGCAUUCAGACUCUCAGUUCCAUCAACAUCCAUUUUCAUUUUCUCACCUGCCAAAACCCUAUUGUACAAAUUUCCAUUGAACCUGCAGAUCCAUCCAAAGUGAUACCAAACUGUGCUGACAAGGAGCCUUUGUAAGAAUCUGAUACAGCUCCUGCUGUUUCUGAAAGGUUGCUCUUCAUCUCUGAAAUUUUUGAUGCCAUGUGCUCUUUGUAUUUCGAAACUAAAUCAACCAAAGCAUAGAGUUCCCAAGCACAUAUCUGAAUUUCUUCCUCAUUUUGCUUGAUUGCUUCCUGCAACUUCAAUUUGGACGUCUUCAUGACAACAUCAAAGUCUAGUCAGAAUCCCUUGAAUUUUUCAAUAUUAUUCACAUUAAUCAAGAACAAUUAUAGAGCCAGGUAGGAAUUUUUCUUAAGUGUUAUAUAGGCCAUCAAAACUACUUUGUAGGGACUAAUUAUCAUCCAAGAACAAUUAUUCACAUUAGUCAGAACAAGAACAAUUAUUCACAUUUACUUGGAAAAAGAAUCAAAUGUAGUCAAUCCUUUGUAGGGACUAAUUAUCAUCCAAAAAGAAUUUUUCUUAAGUGUUAUAUAGGUCAUCAAAGCUACUUUGGAAAUUUGGGGCCUGACAACCUAUGUGCAAUAACAAUUGACAUCUCCAGCAGAUUUUAUUUUAUUUUUUUAUCCAAAAAAAAUCAUUCAUUGAUAUGAAUUUAGUUACAAACCAAGGUUAAGAAACCCUUUCAAAAUAUAAAGGAUGAUUAAAAGUUGACGAAAAACCUAACAAGAGUAGCAAGAUAACUAUAUUAAUCAAGGAUGAUACAAGAACUUGUACAAAAUAUAGCGACAAUGUACAAGAACUUGUACAAGCAAGCACUAUAACUUGGGAGUGGUGGCGCCUUGAGCCUAGUGUCACGGACUUAGUCGUUCACUAAGCUCGUGCGGCACUUAGACAAGCCAAGACGCUUGAUCUUGCUAAGUCAGCCUUGCUCCCCAAUGCUUAGCUUGCUCGGCUAAGACACUCGCGACUCAAAAGCUUAAGAAGCUUGGUAGGCAACUCUUGAAAGAAUGGAAGCUUUCACUAACUCAAGGAAACCUUUACAAGUGCUUGGAUGCUCACUUGCUUGGUGCCUUGGCCAAAUGAGGCCCUCACCUAUUUAUAGGCACUAAUGGAACUCUCUAGAACCUUGGAGGGUUCCUUACAAUUCAUGAAUAUUCUAGAAUGUCCUACACUAUUCUAGAAUAUUCAAGAGACUUCUAGAUUUCUCUAGAAAGCUUUGGACCCUUCUCAUGCCUUCUACCAUAGUGUAGAGUUGUGUAGACUUCUCUAGGCAUUUCUAGAACCUUCCACACUCUUCCCACUAGUGGCUAAGUGUGGAUGUCUCCAAGGGUCUCUAGAAGCUUCUCACCUCCUAUAUAAGCCAUGGGGAGGGUCAUUUGAAGCAUCUUGUGACACUCUCCCCCACCUAAGCCGCAGACGUCCUCGUCGUGUCUUCUGCCCGGAACCGCUCAAUCUGUUCCUGGAACUGCCAUAGUGCAUUUGCUGGCUCCCAACUAGCCUCGCUUUCUGGUAGUCCCUUCCAUUUCACUAAGUACUCCGUAGCAGGAGGCACACCACGCCUUCUGAUGAUUCGGUCUGCAAUGAUGUGUUCCACCUCCUUGUCAUAGGAGAUCACAACCGCUGUAAGUGCCCUCUUAGAAAGCCCUCGGCUUGGAUCAUCCUUGUCUUCGUGAUAUGGUUUCAAGUAACUCACGUGGAAGACAGGGUGAAUCUUUAACCUUGGCGGUAACUCCACUUUGUAGGACACCUUGCCGACCUUUCCAAGUAUAGGGAAGGGUCCUUCAUACCUCCUCACAAGGCCCUUAUGCACUGGCCUUAGGGAUUUGAAUUGUUGAGGAAGGAGCUUGACAAGCACCAUGUCUCCGACCUUGUACUCCGUGUGACGUCGCUUCUUGUCAGCCCACUUCUUCAUUUUCUUAGCGGCCUUGUCCAAGUACGAGCGUGCUAUGUCAGCUUGCUCAUGCCACCCCUUAGCGAACUUGAAAGCCGCUGGACUUCUCCCUGUGUAGCCUAUCGUUAGCGUGUGAGGAGUUAAGGGUUGCUGCCCUGUGGCUAGCUCGAACGGGCUCUUGUUGGUCGCCUCACUCCUUUGCAAGUUGUAUGAGAAAUGGGCUAUAUCUAGCAACUUAGCUCAAUCCCUCUAGUUGGCACUCACAAAGUGCCUCAAGUAUAGCUCCAGCAAGGCGUUCACCCUCUCAGUCUGCCCAUCUGUCUGUGGGUGAAAGCUGGUGGAGAAGUGAAGCUCCGAACCCAUAAGCUUGAAGAGCUCCGUCCAAAACUUCCCAGUGAAGCGUGGGUCGCGAUCACUGAUGAUGAACUUAGGCAACCCCCAAUACUUGACUACGUGCUUUAGGAAUAGCCUCGCCGUCUCUUCCGCGGUGCAGUCAGUCGGGGCUGCUAUGAAGGUUGCAUACUUAGAGAAUCUAUCCACCACCACUAUGAUAGAGCCGUUGUCCUCUGACUUAGGUAGCCCGAUGAUGAAGUCCAUGGUGACGCUGUCCCAUGGGCGUUCUGCUACAGGUAGUGGCUCUAACAGGCCUCUAGGUUGUCGUUGUUCCACCUUGUCUUGUUGGCACACAAGACAAGUCCUCACAUAGGCCUCAACCUCGUCCCGUAUCUGAGGCCAAUAGUAAGCCGACUCGAGUAGUGCCCUAGUGCGUCGUUGCCUAGGGUGCCCUGCCCACUUGGUGUCAUGGCACUCCUUAAUCAGGUUCCGCCUUAUGUUCCCCCACUUAGGCACGUAGAGUCGUCUCCCUUUGGUGUAGAGUAAGCCAUCCUCCACCCAAAACCGCUUGGUCUUCCCUUCAUGAGCCAGGGCGAUGAGGCUCUUAGCCACUGGAUUAUGUUGCAGUCCCUCCCUUAGAAGAUCCAUUAUGUCUCCUUGGGGCUGACUCGUUAUGGACGCUAGCUCGGCUUUGCGACUUAGGGCGUCGGCCACAUGAUUAGCACUUCCUGGCUUAUACUCCAGCGUAUAGUCGAACUCGGCCAAGAAGUCUUGCCACCUAGCUUGUUUAGGACUCAGCUUCUUCUGUGUCUGGAAGUAGCUAGUGGCCACAUUGUCGGUCUUCACUAUGAAGUGAGACCCUAGCAAAUAGUGCCUCCAGGUGCGCAAGCAGUGAACGAUAGCGGUCAUCUCCUUUUCUUGCACCGUGUAACGCCUCUCCGCGUCGUUUAGCUUGCGACUCUCAAAUGCAAUUGGGUGUCUUUCUUGCAUAAGGACUCCCCCAAUAGCGAAGUCUGAGGCAUCUGUGUGUACCUCAAAGACCUUGGUGUGGUCGGGUAGUGCCAACACUGGCUCCUCAGUCACAGCCUUCUUCAGGUCCUCAAAGGCUUGUUGGCACCUUUCAUCCCAUUCCCAUGCCUUAUUCUUCUUCAGAAGAUCAGUGAGUGGAGCGGCCCUUGCCGAAUAACCCUUUAUGAACCGCCGAUAGUAAUUAACUAAACCAAGGAAAGAUCUGAGUUGAGGUACCUUGGUUGGUGGAUCCCAUUCUUGGAUGGCCUUCACCUUGCUAUCAUCCAUCAUCAGCUUGCCAUCUCUGAUGCGAUGCCCAAGGAAGCUCACUUCCUCCUUAGCAAACGAACACUUCUCCUUCUUCACGUAUAGCUCGUUCUGCCUCAAGAUCUUAAAGACCUUCCUCAAGUGCUCCACGUGCUCCUUUAGAGUGUUACUAUAGAUGACUAUGUCAUCCAAGUACACCACCACGAACUUGUCCAAGUAUGGGUGGAAGAUCUUGUUCAUGAGGGUGCAAAACGUUGCUGGGGCAUUGGUGAGUCCGAAAGGCAUUACUACGAACUCAUAUGAGCCAUACCUGGUCACACAUGUAGUCUUCGGCUCAUCUCCCUCCGCAAUCCUGACUUGGUAGUAGCCUGACCUUAAGUCCAGCUUCGUGAAGUACCUUGCCCUUCCAAGUUGAUCGAACAAGUCAGCAAUGAGCGGGAUGGGAUACUUGUUCUUCAUCGUCACCUUGUUGAGUGCCCGGUAAUCUAUGCACAUUCGUAGGGACCCAUCAUGCUUUUUCUGAAAUAGAACCGGCGCGCCAUAAGGAGCCUUGGAUGGUUGGAUGAACCCCGCAUCUAGCAACUCCUUGAGUUGUCUCCUUAGCUCCUCCAACUCGGGUGGUGCCAUCCUAUAUGGCCCCAUAGCAGGGGGCUUGGCUCCCGGCUCCAGCUCAAUCUUGUGAUCUUCCUCUCUCCUAGGAGGAAGUCUCUUGGGCAACUCGGGCGGCAUAACGUCCUUGAGCUCAUCAAGGACCCCCUCGAUUUCUCUAGGCAUGGGUUCUCCCGACCCAUCAUCCUUUUCUUCCUUUAGGGUGGCGAGGUAGGUCACCUCUUCCCUCUUUAACCCCUUCUUUACUUGCAUAGCGGAUAACAUAGGGGUCUUGAGCGUACCUUCAUUGACCGUAGGGACCAUGCACGACUUCUCCUCCUCUAGGAUAGCCAUUGAGCGUAGGAAAGGUAGUGGCACGGCCUUGACCUUCUGUAGGAAGUCCAUUCCUAGCACCAUCUUGAAGUCAUCCAUGGGUGCCACUGUGAAGUCGACCCUUCCUUCCCACGAGCCGAUGUGCAUAGUCACCCCGCGAGCUACUCCAUGUGAUGGCUUGGCGGCUGAAUUGACUGCCUUGAGCCAUCCUCCUUCCUUGGAUGCUUGGAGCUCCAACCUUCUUGCCUCAUCCUCCGAGACAAAGUUGUGAGUGGCACCUGUGUCCACCAGGGCCUUGGUGGCCUUCCCAUUCACAAGGGCCUCCACAUACAUCAGCCCUUUGCUUUGAGGCGUCUUAGGCAUCGGCUUGGCCUUAAGGGCAGUUAAGAGCUGCAACGAUCCCAUCUUAGCAUCGCCUUCUUGCUCCUUUUCCUCGAUCAUAGCAUUUAAGGCCUUCCUCUUAGGGCAGUCCCGUGCCCAGUGCGGACCAUCGCACAGGAAGCAAUUGGUCCUGGGCGUGAACUCCUUUCGCUUGUCCUUGCCUUUGCCAUCCUUGCCACUAGGGCCUUUGCUUGAUCCUUCCUUAGAGGUAUGGCCUUGCGACCUCUUGUCUCCCCCACCUUUGGCCUGGUUACCCUUGGAUGGUGGCUUGGGCUUGGAGGAGUCUCCCCUUCUAUAAUCUACUAAGGACUCGGCUACUGCCAUGGCCGUGGCUAGGUCUUGGACACCACGUCUCCUCAACUCUUGCUCGGCCCAGCUUUGCAAGUUGUCCAUGAAGUUGAACAGUAGCUCCUCCUCAGCCAUGUUAGGUAUCUCAAGCAUAAGAGUAGAGAAUUCUUUGACAUACUCACGGAUCGAGCCCGUGUGCUUGAGACGCUUCAAACUCUUCCUUGCUAGGUAAGCCACGUCUUCGGGAUAGAAUUGCCUCUUGAUUUCUCUCUUAAAGGCAUCCCAUGUGUCUAUGGUGCACGUCCCUCUCUCUAUGUCGGCAAAUCGUCGACGCCACCAUAGAGUAGCAUUAUCAGUGAGGUAAAGGGUCGCGGUGCGUACCUUAGUGGCUUCAUCCGUUAAUGCAAUUGCCUCAAAGUAACGCUCCAUGUGCCACAAGAAGUUAUCUAGCUCCUUGGCAUCCCUCUUGCCACUGAACGUGUGUGGCUUGGGCACCUCCACCCUUGGUGCCUCAUGAGUGGCCAUGACUCGUGCUGAUACAGCGGUCUUAUAGAUGGCCAACUCUUGUCGAAUCUCUUGGUCUCGGGCCUCCACUCGUGCAGUCAAGGCCUCCAUCCUUGACUCCACACUAGCGAACAUGCUCAUGACCUUGUCUUGGAAAGACAUGAACUCCUCGUGUGACACCGGUUGAACUUGCGAGACCAGCACCCCCUCGCGAAGGUCUUGGAUCUGCUCCCUUAGAUCCUCUAAGCCCUUCUCCAUGCCUUGCUCGAUCAAGUCCACCCCUUCCCGGGUGUCUGCCAUGGCUAGCUCCACCUUGGCUAACCUUGCCUCCAUGUUGGCAACAACAUCAUGAGAUGUAUCCUUCUUACCUCUGCCCCUGCCCCGUGCAGUAGGCUCGGCCUCCCUCCCAUGGGUUUGUUCGCUAGUCUCCUCCACGUUAGAGCCCGACAUGCUUCCCUUAUGCCCGCUUCGUAGCCACGCUCUGAUACCACUUGUCACGGACUUAGUCGUUCACUAAGCUCGUGCGGCACUUAGACAAGCCAAGACGCUUGAUCUUGCUAAGUUAGCCUUGCUCCCCAAUGCUUAGCUUGCUCGGCUAAGACACUCGCGACUCAAAAGCUUAAGAAGCUUGGUAGGCAACUCUUGAAAGAAUGGAAGCUUUCACUAACUCAAGGAAACCUUUACAAGUGCUUGGAUGCUCACUUGCUUGGUGCCUUGGCCAAAUGAGGCCCUCACCUAUUUAUAGGCACUAAUGGAACUCUCUAGAACCUUGGAGGGUUCCUUACAAUUCAUGAAUAUUCUAGAAUGUCCUACACUAUUCUAGAAUAUUCAAGAGACUUCUAGAUUUCUCUAGAAAGCUUUGGACCCUUCUCAUGCCUUCUACCAUAGUGUAGAGUUGUGUGGACUUCUCUAGGCAUUUCUAGAACCUUCCACACUCUUCCCACUAGUGGCUAAGUGUGGAUGUCUCCAAGGGUCUCUAGAAGCUUCUCACCUCCUAUAUAAGCCAUGGGGAGGGUCAUUUGAAGCAUCUUGUAACACUAGGCACACUUAAAGCACGCCUUUUAAAACUAUGAUCAUCCAUUAGACAGGUGGUUAGACCAGGCAGCUCUUGCUAUCAAAUUUUGAGUGACAACUGCUUGUGUAAUUGACACAUCAUUUGCCCUUUGUACCAAAUUUUAGAUUGACCAUCAAGUGGUACUAUACUACUUUCCAAUUAUUUUCUCUCCCAUAUUUCAUUUGAGUCAUUCUGGAAUUUAGCAGUAUUCUAUCCCAAUGGAAUUUCUAGGAACAACAUUUUUCUGUCAAAAUUUGAAUACAUCUAAAUUAUCACCUUUUUGAAUUCCAAUUGUAGUCCAAUCAAUUUAACCGUAGUAAUUGAUUUUCCAAGAAAUUUUAUUAUUGUGCAUUCAACUACUAACAAUUCAAGAAAGCUUUUUUUUUUCUUUUUGGAUAAGUAAAUCACAAUUCAAAAAACAAAUUAAACGAAGGGGAAAGCAAGAUUAUGAACAAUUUUGUCUUUUAGAUUGCAAAGAAAAUACUCGAGAAGCUUACAGUUACAACUUUAGUUUUCCUAGAGUGGCAUCCAUGCAAUAUAACAACCAUUCAAUUGUAUAUGCUACUGCUGGUACUUAAGAAAUGGUAUUGCUCACAAAGUCAGACCACUAGGUAAAGAAGACCUGCUUUGAUUUCUUAUAUAGAUAGAUGGAUACAGAGAGAGAGAGAGAGAGAGAGAGAGAGAGAGAGAGAGUUUGGCCUUUUCUAAGAGCAGCAAAAAGAGGUUGAGUUAAUUUGUACUUCAGUUAAUUGCAUAUUCAAUAGGGGACCAUUGGCUCCAACUAUGUGCACGCUCCCUCCAUCUGUAUCCUAUGUAUGUGUCUAAGAAUUUUAUGGCUCUGUCAUUCUUUCCAAAAAAUUUGUGCUGCAGAGUUCUUCUUUCUUGUAACAUGAUCAAUCUUGUUAAUCUUAUCUAACAUCACCAAUACUUUUAGCUUUCUUUAAAAUUUUUAGGAAAACAAAGCGAAAAUCUGGCUGCUCCUGUUGACACCCUAAAAUCGUAUAAAAAAGGCAUAGUUUUUUAUUCUUCUUGAGUGGCAUAUAAAUGCAUAGCUGCUGAACAAGAAAAAUGAGUUCUAAUUCACUUACUUCAUCACUACGGGAUUGAAGUGCAGCAAGAUGAUUUCUUUUUGCUUCAAUUUUAACAGCAUUUUCAACUAAUUAUUGUUGAAGAGAAAUCAACUCUUCCAACUUUGACAUAGAGCUUUUAUUUAUGUCAUCAGCAAAGGAGUCAAAUGCAGGCUUAAGCGUUGAUUUGUAAUCAAUUCCCAAACCUCAGCAGGCAAAGACCCUUUGGCAUUCAACACUACUGCAAACCAUUUCCUAACUUUAACCUGGAAACCAUCCAAGAGAAAAUACUUCAAUUACACAAUAGAUUGUAGUUUAAUAGGUUGAAAGAGUUGCAUGAGGUGGUAUGCUAAUUUGUCAAUUCAAAGAUGCUCCUGAAAAUUAAGUAUUUAGUGUUGCCUCUUCAUGACUAUUAGUUUACUUCUAAAAGUUAAAGAGAACAUGGUCCAAAGGGAAACAAUAGGCUCCUAAGGCAGGGCUCAGGAGGCAAAGGGUUGGGUGGGUAUGGGAAGGUUCCAAGUUGAAAUUCAUAUACCGAGAGAGAGAGAGCGAGAGAGAGAGAGAGAGAGAGAGAAGGGGGGGGGGGGAGGAGAGGGGAGACUACCUUAAAAAAGGAGGUUGCCAAGGGCAACUGUAUCACCUAUCUCUGUCUAAAUAAAUGAUUAGAAAACUUGUGAGGAUGAAAGUGUUAAAUGGAGAUUUUUUUUAAAAGCCAAAUUGAGAAUGAACAUUAGCUAACCUUAAAAACCUUUUUAUUUUUCGUACUUUGACAAAGCUCCAGAAUGGUUAGCAGUUUGAGAGUAACACUUAGCUUAAAAGGUUACAGAAGAUGAACAAACAUGAAAUCAUAAACCAAUACAAAAGCUGUAAUGUACCCAAAAGAUAAAUGCAGGUAAGGCAAAUUACAACUCAGAAACUACCCAUUGUUGGUGUUGAAUCACAACCCCAAGUAAACAAAUGAAGCUUAAGUUGGCUACUUGGAAAUAAUGCAUGUGACUCAAGAAGACAUAAGCCAUUGAAUGGUUCAGCAACUACAUUCACCUGGUCUGAAUUUUUGUCUACUGAAAUUUUACAUUUUUGUUAGGUAAUUUUUUUUGUCCCUAUUGGGAUUUGAACCUGAAACUUCCACAAACCCUUCCAACUCUUUACCUCUUGAGCCAGGCCUCAAGGGCAUGUUCACUGGAAUAAUUUAAGCAGAGAACAGCAGCUGGAUCCUUCUUAGGAAUCACUGACUAGUCAUGCUAUAACUACAAAGCCAGAUCCUACGUUCUCACUGAAGUUAUACUAAAAUGUUGUAUAUGUUAAUGUAUUUGCUAAGAACAGGAAAAUAUUUCAUAUCACCCACAAAUGACAGACAAAAAAAAUCUUGUAAUCUAAUUCAUGGAGGUAGAUAACCUAAUGUUGAUAAGAAUCACAGUAGACUUCAAUGGAAUAGAGAAAAUCAAUUCCAAGCAUUACCAAACUUAAGAAAGAACACAAUUCUACCAUGUUCAUUAAUUAUCAGAAAGCAUACUGAAGAUUACUAGAAAGACUUUAGAGUAUGCAACUAAAGGAAUUAAGAAAAUCCUAGUGGAGUGGAUUAUAGAGGUAUGAAAGCCAAACAAAGAGGAUAAGGAAAAGAAAACCUCCUGAGAGCCUGGUUGCAUUCAAUUGAAAGAGUUUCAAGCUCCUUAAACUUGUGCCCAAUUGUCGUGUCAAGAUCCCAAGACUUCUCCUCCCAACCAUUCCUUGCACCCUCGGCCUCCGUGAUAUCUCUCUCAACUGCCUGCAACUCCCUCUUCAUCCUCUCUGCAUCUCUUGCAUUAAACGUCUGCAACUCAACCCUCUUCUUCAGCUCUUAAUUAUCCUCGCAAAUUCUAUUUUCUUCUCAACCUUCACCCCCAACUCCUUCUCCUCCAAAAUCUUCUCCACUGAUGCAAUCCUUCCCGAAAAUUCUGCAAUUAUUGCACGAAAUUUUUUCACAUCCUCCUCCAACACCCCCCUCUCCUUCUCCACAACCUCCUUAGCCGAAGGCCCCGACCUCAAUUCCUCCAACCUCCCCUCCCUCUCUGCCAUCUCCUUCUCCAAUGCCUUCACACCUUCCGCCACUGCGUCCCUCUCCCUUUCCAACUUCCCCAUAGACUCCCUAUCCACCGCCUCCAUCCCAUCAUCAUCCCCGUGAAUAUAAUGCAAGUAACUAUCUAAUGCAUACACAAAAGUAUUGUCAAAACACUGCAAAUUCGACACAAGAUGGUCAUUAUACAAUGCGAUCUGAACCAACCAAUGCAUUACGCCUAAAAGGGAAGGCCAAGCAUGCGGGGUUCCGGGGGCUUUGAGAGCGGACUUGUUGAGCUUGAUCAGGAAAUUGAGGUGCUUGAGGAGGAUAGGAAGAUCGUCUUCAAGUUUGGUUGUGGGGAAAUCGAGUUGGGAGAUGAGGAAUUUUAGGGUUUCGGAAAUGUCUUUGGCGGAGGGGAGAGGGGGUUUAAGGGAGAAAGGAGAGGAAUGGGAGGCGAGAAAGGAGUUGAUGGUGCGGAUGGCGGAGAGUUGGUAGGAUCGGUCGGUGAGGGCAUCACCGGCGGAGGAGCGGUUGAUUCCAAGGGAGGAAGGGCGGCUGCUGGCGAAACUAGCGUCAGAGUCGCGGCUGCAUUGGCGGUGGUGGUCAACGGAGGGAGGUGGUGGUGGUGGCGGUGGGCGGAUAAAGUCCUUCGGACGGCGGCGGCCGGUGGCUUUCAUAUUCGGCUGUGAUGGGCUUCUCCCUCUCUCUUCUGAGUUCUUAUGAAUUCUGAAUCUCUCUUUCCCGCCUAUGGAUACCCCUCAGCUAUUUGUCAAUUACACUUAACCACCCUCAAGUUUUUUAAAUUAACCAUAGUGGAGCAGAACAAUCCAUGGAUGAUGUCGUCGAAUCUUGAAAGAUUUUUAUGGUUGAUUAAUGAUGUCAUAGUUAAAAGAAUUAAAUAAAAUGUCUAAAAUAUUCGUUUUAUUUCAUUUCAUCUUACCAUAUAUUUCUAAUUAAUUUUAAUUAAAAGUUUUUAAUAUAAAAAAUUAAUUUGUUUUUAUUAAAUAGUUUACCAUAUUAUCUAAUUAAUCAAUUAUUUUUACUAUCUUUCUUAUCUAAAUAAUCAUUAAGGUUAUGUUUGAUUCCCAAAAAAUACUAAGUAAAGAAAAAAAAUACUAAUAUGUUUGAUUUCCGAAAAUUAUUAAGGAAAAAAAAUAUUAAUCCACUUUUAACCCUUUAAACACCUAACUUCACAUAACCCAAACUUUUAUAAACUUAACUAUGACUUUCCAAUUGAGCGAACAAUAACCUUGAAUCUUCAAUAAAGAGUAAGUCACCAUCUAAAAAGUUUCUUAAGCCAUAAAAUAAUUGGAAUAAAAUUGCUAACAUACAAUCUAAACUCAUUAUCUUAAUAAUCUCCCUCUUUACAAUUUUAUGACAAAACAUCAUUACAUAAUCCCUUCCAGACUCUCAUAAUGGAGUUUGCAUGACACUCAAAUAUGCUCAUCUAAAAAAUGAUUCAAGGGCAAUGCAUUAAGUUGUAGUACUUACCUCCCAGUCCUAUUAACUGCAUACAUAAAAACAACUAUACCAAAGGUAAAACAAUGUGUGGGAUAAAAUAUAAUCGAGUAAGCAAAACAAGGUAGUGAGAAAAUACGAUCAAUGCACUGAAUGUUAUUAAGGAAGCAAAACAAUAUUGUAAGGAAACCAAUGUGCAAAAUCCAAAAAGAAAUAUAUUUGAUUACAUGUAAAUCAACCAAAUCUAAGCAAAGCUUUGCAAGCAACAAUUGGACAAUAAGGGCACUAAGUGCUUUCACCAACCAAAAUAUAUGUAAUAAGGACCAUGAGAACAAGCUUCUACUAUAGAGAAUGGUUCGAGAGAGUUUGACAUAUCACAAAGAUAUAUAUCAUAGGAAAUAUUUAUGUCAAGUGUCUCAAAUUUUUAAAACAUCUAACCAAUAGGUAAUUUGGUUUCCCUUAAUAUCUCAAAUUUAGUUUUCCCCAACGUCUCAAGUAACUUCUCGUAAUAUUGCAAUAAAUACUCCUAAAAAAUUUUCCCUCUAAAAACUUAAACUCUCCCCAUUUUUUAUCUUUUAUAUAUUAUCUUCCCUUAGAUGAAUCUUCCCCUAUAUAGAAUGUCUCUCCUUAAAACCCAUUUAACAAUUCUCCUUCUAGGUCUCUCUCUAUCUCAAUUCUCCCCCUUUUUGUCAUAAAAUGGGCAAAACAAGGUAAGUAGGAAAGGAGACUAAAAGGCAAUAAGGAAUAUAUAUAUAUAUACAUAGGUUCUGGAUACAAAAAUAUGGAAAUAAAGAGCAUACAUCCAAACCAAAACAAAAACAAAAACAAAUAGGAAAGCAAGCAACUAAGCAUUAGGAGCAAAGGAUGGUAAUGGAGAAGUAGAGCUUGAGGCCUUCUGAGAAUGGAUCUAAGAUAUAAUGUAAGUGAGUUGGCCCUCAAUCCCACAAAAACAUGCAUCAUGAUCGUCCAUCUUCAAAUGUAGACUUGAAAUUGAGUCCAUAACCUCUUGAAGUAAGGGAUUGUUAGAUGAAAAAACAAUGAUAAAAGAUGUAUGAGAAGGCCCCCUAUGUCAUUGGCUAUGUUAGCCACGCAAAGCUAGCUUUGGGAAGUCAUCCUUAGUGACUAAAGGCUCUUACUCCAUGGCUCAAAUCUCAUCAUUCUCAGCUAGGGCCUCCUAAGCAACCUUUUAUGCUAUUGAAGUGGGGAUAACAGGGUCUUAAGGAGUUGUAACUGAUUUGAUCAUUGUUGGUUAAGGUUGAUGGUAAUAAGUAUUCUCAAGAUAGACACUAUAAUAUCUCAUGAGUUUAAGACAAUGAGUCUUCCUCCUAGGUGAUCCUAAGAACAUGUGAUCAUGAAAAUAAUGGUUGUAGUAAUUCCUUUAGUGGAAUUUGACAUAUGCUUUUAAAGAGUUAGAGUAUGUUAGUUGAUAAUAAAAUAAGAGAAUUUAAAACUCAAGGAUUAUAGAGGUAAUCUUAAGAAGUUGAUAUAAUUCACCUUAUUAGAUUACAAACACCAAUUCAUAGAGAGUUUACAUGUAAUAAUUAGUAGUUUCUAGACUUAAGAUUCAUAUCUUAAUUUAAUAUCAUAAAAGUACAAUUGAUUUUUUGUAGUGGAAUGUUGAGUCAACUUUAAAAUUGGAUUAUGCAAGAGCCCAUGUUUUCCUAUAGGUCCUAGUUGUCCUCAUACAAGGUCUUACUCCUUGGUGACAUAUUAUUUCAAGGAUGGUUGUGCUCUUUAUUCAUAUAUAUGUGUGUGUGUGUGUGUGUGUGUGUGUGUGUGUGUGUGUGUGUAAGAAUGUUUUGGUAAAAACACAAGGUUACAUAAGAUUAAGUGACCUUGUGGCUAUUUAAUUAAUUAGGACUUAUGGGUUAGAUUAAGUGGCCCAAGCCUAAAAUGAACUUAAGUCACUUAAACCCACAAGUAAGGCUAUAUAAACCUCUUUAUUUAAGGUUCAUAUCCUUUGUUAUUCAGUCUUCCAAAGAGAGAAAACCUUAACCUCUAUCCAUAGAGAGGAUUCCCACCAUUUUUCACAUGCUAAGGUUGAAGAAAGAGAGUCAUUGGGUAAAAGAUCAUGAGGUAUUUGAGAUCCAUUCCAACCUUUUCAUUGAUUAGAACUAAUCCAAGAAUAUCCAUAUCACAUGUAUUUUCUUUAUACUCUAAGAUCCACAUUUUUUUAUAUGUUAAUACCUUUUUUGUAUGGAUUUAGAGAUGCCUAGGAUAGUUUUGCAUGUACCUUAAUGAUCUAAGGCUUAAAAUGAUUUUUCCUAGACAUUCUUACAAAUCCCAAACUAAAAAUUAUGGAUGAAUGUCGUUAUAGACAUGAUUGGCCAAAAUAGAAAGAAACUAUCCAAAUAGAGCUAAUCUCGUUACACAAAACGAGAAAUAUUUGGACUUAUAGUUCAAAUGCUUGAAGAUGUAAAGUCUCUUGGGUAUAAAAAAGUUUUUGUAUGAAAACACAAUAAGAAAAUGAAUUCAUAAGAUAUAAAACACGAUUUGUAGCUUAAGGUUUCUCAUAAAGACCUAGUAUUGCCAACAAGGAAACAUAUUCUCUUGUCAUAGAUAUAAUCACAUUUUGAUUUUAAUUAAUUAGUCAAUUUCAAAAGAACAAGAUAUGCGUCUCAUGCAUGUUACAAUUAUUGCAAAUGUAUGUUGGUGAUUUGAAUCCUAUGGGAACUCCUGAAGAACUCAUAAAAUUGUUAAUUUUUUGAAGAAAUAAUUUGAAAUAAAAGACUUAGGGAAAUUUUUUUGCCUUGGCUGGCAAAUUAAGAAGUUUUCAAAUGGAAUGUUAAUCCAUCAAUUAACUUAUACAGAAAAGGUCUUAAAUCACUUUCAUAUAAAUUAAUCAUAUCCACUAAAUUCUCCAAUGGGAGUUCGUUCAAUAGAAGUGAAAAGAAGCCAUUUCAUUUUAAAAAAUUUAACGAAGAAAUAAAUGAAUUCAUCGAUUGAUAACUUCACAUGUUUCUUAUUUCUAGAAAAUGAUAGUCUUGAUAAUGUUUCAGUUCCAUUUACUUUUAAACAUAAAGAAACAAAUGAUGAAGACAAAGUCAAAUAAAGAGAAUAUGCUAAUGAUAGUAUGCGAGUUGAGGAUGUUCCAAAAUGAUAGAAAUGAGGUGUUUGAAUUCCUAAUGAUGAAAAUCAUGAUGGUGAUAUUUGGUCAUUUUUUUAGCUAUCAUGACGCAAUUGAAAUAAAACAAAUAAGAUAUGUGGUUGUGGAUGGAAAAUGUUGUAACAUUUCAAACAACCCAAAUUUGAAGGAUUUAGAGAAGCCAGUUGAGUCUUCUUUAAUUCAAUAUCAUUUAGCACCAUCGUCACAAUUUUGAAAAUAUUAAAAAAAUUGGUCAAGAUAUAGUGAUUGAACCUCAUAAGGAAACACUUUUAUGAGAUAUUCAAGUGAAGAGUUCACAAUUCUAUAAAUUUUUAAUCCAAAGCAUAUUUGCAAUGUGCUACAUAAUGUACUCUAUUAAUUCAUACCAAGAGUAUAUUGUUGUGUCAUCGACAAAGAAGUUGUUAAUUUUAAAAUGAUAGUAUCAAUACUUUUUUGAAAUUGUCAAUAUAAUGUAAUGGUAUGACUAGAUACGAAUGACCUUUCCUUCUUUCAUGAUUCCAUAGAAUUUUUUGAUUCAUCAUUUAGAUUCAUGAAUUAGUCAUUCUAAUCGACAUUCUAUAUAUAAAUCUCUUUUUACCUCCGUGAAGGCUUCAUGGAUUGUUGGAAGGGGUUUGGUACCAAUGAUCCUCCCGCGGACCUCAUCAAGGUCCUUGUUGAGGCCCAAUAAGAACUUGAAAAGUCAUUUUUUCUCCACAAUAUUUUGAUACUUGGUAGCAUCUUCAAGGCAAUUCCAAUCAUACUCCUUGUAAACAUCUAAUUGUUGCUAGUGGUGACCAAGAAUAUUGUAGUUAUUGGUGAUGGUUAAAUCCCCUUGAUAGAGAUCAUGAAGAACACUCUCGAUAUCAACCUAUUCUACUAUAUUUUCUUUAGUGGAAUAUGUUACUUUAACCGCAUCCCACAUAUCUUUUGCGGUCUUGUAAAGAAGAAAGUUUUCAUCGAUCUCGUUGGUCAUGGAAUUGAUAAGCUAUGAUUUGACCAUAUUAUUCUGCAUCUUCUAAGUUCAGAAUCUGGGACCAUCACUUUUUGGUUGAAUGAUUUCUCUGGUGAGGUAGUCAUCCUUAUCCUUGCUGUCGAUAAACAUAAGAACAGAUUGAGACCAUUGGAGAUAGUAAUUCUUUUUCAACUUGCGACAUGUGAUGGGAAGAAAAAAGCCAUCAGAUCCUCCAUGGUCAUUGGAAGUGAUAGUCUCCAACCUAGAGUUGACUUCAUAGAUUGAUUGUUGACUAUUGGUAGUUAUUUUGGAAGAUUCGUUUGGAUUAGAUUAAUUUGUGACAGGAUCGAAUCACUUCUGGACUAGAUUGGACUGAUGAACCUAGGACAAAUUGUGACUAAGUUGGAGAAGACCAUUCAUGGUGAGAUAGCAAUAGGGGGUUUAAGUCACCUAUUUCUGAAAAAAAACAAGCACCAGAGAAUAGGUGUCGAUCCUAGUGGGAAAUCGCUCUGAUAUCAUGUAGAAAACUUGGUAUAUUUCUAUAUCUCUCUUCAUAGCAUGUACAACGUCAAAAUUAUAUAUGCUAAGAAUCAAAUCAACCAAAUAAAAAUCUAGCUAUAAUUUAGGAGAUACAUGCCUAAGAAAAGGAAAAAAAAAAUCAAAACAGAAGUGAGAAACAAAUCUUGGUUUGAAUACAAAAUAAAAAUCCCAACAAAUUAGGGAUAUUCACAUGAAAAUCAACAUGUUUGGAGAAGAGCAAGAACAAGUUAGGGAUUCAACAUUUGUCUAUAUUAAAUAAGGCGCUUUUGUGCUAAUGGAGUUGGUGAUAUGACACUAAAAGAGGUGCCUUUUGGACACGAUUGAUUAGUGGAAAAUUUAAAAAGGAAAAGGAUGGGUGGUGUUUUGAUGAAGUUAGAGUUGGGUAUGGAGUCGAGCUUUGGAAAUCCAUUAGGAAGGAAUGAAACACUUCCUUGGGUUAUUUUUUUCUUUUGCAGCAAGUGAUAGGAGGGUGAAGUUUUGGAUUGAUAUACGGGGUAGGGAUGAACCGUUGAGUGUUUCCUUCCCCUCUUUUUAUGCCUUAAUUGUUGCAAAAGAGGCUUGGGUUGUGAAUCUUUAGGUUCAACAUGGGGAGAGAGGUCAUUGAAACCCUUGUUUCUCAUGUUCUUUAAAUGAUUGGGAAGUGGAUGAGUUGAGGAUUUAUUUUUCAAGUUGCAAGGAAAAUAAGUUGGUGUGAAAGAACUUGGACAAUAAUAAGUUUUCCAUGAGUCAUUUAUAUGUUGAUUUGGACUUGGGGGUUGUUGUGUCAUUUCCAAGGUGGGUAGUUUAGAAUUCGUGGGUCCCUUCGAAAAUUGACUUUUUUGCAUGGGAGAUAACUUGGGGAAAUUUUUUUAAUUUAGAUCAACUUAAAAAAGAAUGGUAGUCUUUGGUCAAUAGGUGUUUUCUUUGCAAAGAAGAAGAAGAUGUUGGGAUUUUGUUUCUCCUAGAUCUUUCGUAAUAAAUCGAAAAUGUGAUUUGAAAUGUGGUCUACAUUCAUUCCAUCAAUUUAGGAAUGAGGAUUAAUGUUUGGAACCACAUUCGCAUCACUAUCCCAUGUUCUGUGCACACUCGAAGCAGACUUGAUGAUGGAAAGAGUGUUUAAAAAGGGGCAGAGCAUUAAAGGGUAGGGUUCCCUAAGCCUUCAAUCUCUUUUAGUCUUAAAAAACAUCAUCUAAGUGGAGGUUGAGAAAGGUUUAGAAGCACUUAAAACCUGAAAAAUUGAAGACACCAUUUUAACUUGUACAAAUGGCAAUGGUGUGAGGUAUGUUUUCGAUCUGUUUUGAAUUCCACUUAUGAUCUAAUUGCUAUUUAAGGAUUGUUAUGAGCAUGUUUAGAUUAUUUAUGUCCAUUAGUUGGUAUCAGAGCAAUGUAUGCCUCUGCCUUGUUUGUUUUACAAUAUGCGUUUUUCAAUAAAUAAAAAAAAUACAGUCAGUUUGGUAUUUUGGAGUUUAUGGUUUUUAGAAGUUUUUGAUGAAAAAUAUGGUUAGAAAUCAUUAGGAGAUGAGAUUUCUAACAUUUUAGUGUUUAAAAUCGUCAAUCUACUGUCUGGAAUACACGGAAACUGUCGGGUUUCAUUUCAGGUUGCAAAUGGGUCAAACAUACCCGGUUGAAGGUAGAAGACGACUAGGCUUGUCAUUUUGACUAUAAACAAUUAAGAAAUAAAUAAAAAAUAAAUAAGAAAAGGGGUAUUAGCCCAGUUGGUCUCAACUUUGCUUUUCCUCAACCAUUGUCCAAGUUCGACUCUUUCCAACACCAAUCUUUAGUUUUUUUAUUUAUUUUUUAUUUGGAAAUUCAUAAAAUUUAGUGUUUUAAGAUAUGUUAAUUCAUGGGUUUCUUUAUGGAUAUUUUAUGUGCUAGAUUAUUUAUUUUUGUUAGUUAAAUGUAUAUUUUUAUGAUUUAUUAUGCACACAACAUUAAAUUAAAUAAUUUUGCACAUUAAAUUUAUUAUUAAAGGCUCUUUAUGGAUUUAAUUUUAGAUAUUUAUGUACUUAUAAUAUUUAUUUCAUAAUUUUUUGUGUAUGAUUUGUUGUUUUAUUAUACAUGCAAUAUUGAGUUGAAUAAUAUUAGUACAUUGAUAUUGAGUUUUGUGUACAUAUUGCUUAUGGUUUCAUACAAUUUAUAUAAGCUUUUCUUGUGAAUUAAUUAAAUGUCAAGUGAUCCAUAUAAUUUUAAUUAAUUAAGGAGUAGCCACAGCAUCUUUAAUUAUGCAAAAUUAUAUAUUAAGUGUUUUAGGAUCACAUAUAGGAAAAUGAAAUUACGAGUAAUUAAUUAUAUUUGAUAUAAUAAAAUUUUAUCCCACAAUUUUUUUAUAUUAUAUUUAUAUGAUUAAUUAGGAUGGAAUAUCAAAUUAUAUUUCUUAAUUACCCACAGGAAUUAGGAAAGAGAACAUAAUUUGAUAGUUUUAUCAUAAGGUUUUACAUGGAUCUAAUUGAAUUAGAACUUUAGCCCACAAACAAGUUUUAUGUCACUAGAUUCACAAUUUUGGAACAUGAGUUACAUUGGUAAAACAUGAUUUAUGGUUAUUAGUCUUAAUUUUGAAUUAUAAGCAUGUAUAUUUAAUUUUUGUGUAGUCAUGCAACCUGCGAAUUUCUCUAAUAUAAAAUGUGACAUUCCCAAAUUGAAAGGUGAUAACUAUAAGGUUUGGAAGGAAAGAAUUCUCCUUCAUUUGGGGUGCAUGGACAUUGAUUAUGCUAUUAGAAAGGACAAAUUAACCAUUAUUGACACCAACACUACAACAGAAAAGGCUCUUUAUGAACAAUGGGAGCGAUUAAAUCGCCUUAGUUUGAUGUUCAUAAAGACCAAAAUCUCUGAUGGUAUUCGUGGUUAUGUCGAUCAACAUGACAAUGUCAAGGCAUUACUGAAGACUAUUGAUGAGCAAUUUGUGACUUUAGAUAAGGCAUUUUCCAGCACCCUAAUAAUGAAGUUUUCAUUCUUAAGGCUCACCGAUGUGAGUAGUGUGUGAGAGCACAUAAUGCAGAUGAGGGACAUUAUGGCACAAUUGAAGACACUCUUUCACAAUAAUAUAGACCCUUCAAAAUCUCCUACAACACACACAAGGAUAAGUGGUCAAUUAAUGAGUUUUUGACCAUGUGUGUUUAAAAGGAGGGAAGACUGAAAAUGUAAUUAGGUGAGAGUGCAUUAAUGGAAAUGGAAGGAAAGAAUUAAAAUUAGGCAAAAAAGAAAGGGAAAGGUAAAAUACCAUCCCAAGGUGGAAUCAAGAAGGUCAAUAGGUGUUUCUUCUGCAUGAAGAAGGGGCACAUGAAAAAGGGUUGAAACAAAUUCCAGAAAUGGCUUGAGAAGAAAGGUAAACUAAUCUCAUUUGUUUGUUAUGAAUCUAAUAUGGUUAAUGUUAUUUAUAACACAUGGUGGAUUGAUUCUGGUUCUACAAUUCAUGUUUCGAAUACCUUGCAAGGUAUGUGAAACCUAAGAAAGCCAAUGCCAAGUGAGCAAUGCAUUUAUUUAGGAAACAAGAUGCGUUCACAUGUGGAGGCUGUUGGAACAUGCAGCUUAGUUUUAAGUAGUGAUUUUAUUUUGAAUUUAGAAAAGACACUUUAUGUUCCCAGUUUCUUUAGGAAUUUGAUUUCAGUUUCCAGAGUUAUACCUUUGGGUUAUUCCUUUAGUUUUUAUGAGACAUUUUUUAAUUUGUUUUAUAAAUCUAAUCUUGUUGGAAAUGGUACAUUGUCUAAUGGUCUUUUCUCUUUCAAUUUUCAAAAUGAUACCACUAAUAACACUAUGCAUGUUCAUACUAGCAAGGAUUGAAAUAUCGGUUUUUACGGAUAUAUCGGUACUUCGAUUUUACGGAUAUAUCGGAAAUAUCGGAGAAAUAUAGGUGGAUAUUUUUUCACAAAUAUCGGUGGGAUGAAAAUUAUUUAAAAUUAAUAGGAAUGCUUGAAAAAAACUUUAAAAAAUGAUAAAAUAAGUAAGAAUCCAUAUUUUAAAGUUAUAUUGUAAGUGUAAUUGAUAUAUAUAUAUAUAUAUAUAUAUAUAAUUAAGAAGAAAAAUAUCUUAAACAGAGAUAUAUUGGUAGAUUCGAUAUUUGAAUUUUAAAAAUAAUAUAUAUGAAUUUUGAAAGUGUAUAAAAUUAGAAUUGAGUUAAGAAAUAUUUGAUUUUAUUGAAUAAAAACAAUUUGUACAUAAAUAUAAUACAUAUGAGAUUGCAAUAAUCCUUAUACUAAGGAAGAGAUCGAUGUGAUUUCAUUAUAUUAUUAGAUGAAGGGAGUUCAUCUUAUUGAAGACAGUAUUUAUUUUAAAAUUUUUAAAAUACUUUUAUUAAAACAUAUUUUAUUAUAUUUUAAAUGAAAAAUUAAAUUAAUUUAUAUAAAAUAUCUUAUUUGAGAUUUAAUUUUUAAAAUUUUAUUAAAAAUACAUCGUAACAAUUUUUUCUAUUAAUAUUAAUUAAUUUAAUAAUCAAAAUAAGGUUGAUAAUUAAUAAUUAUUUAUAUAGAGAGUGGAAAAUUGUUCUCAUGAUUUUUUUAUUUUUUAUUUUUUAUUUUUUUAUCUCCACUAAAUCUAAAAAUAAAAAAGGCACGCACUUCUCUCGGCAUCAAGAAUCCUUUUCUGAAGUUGUCCUCCAAUGAGAGAAUCCCUAAAAAAAAGCCCUAUUUUCCUCUGCUACUCCUCUCGGCAUCAAGAAUCCUUUUCUGAAGUUGUCCUCCAACGAGAGAAUCCCUAAAAAAAGCCCUAUUUUCCUCUACUUCUCUCAAAUCUCAAUCCUCGCAGGUACUAAUCUAAUCAUGUUAUUAUCAUUAUUUUUUUUGCAACCCCGUUUGAUUCCCAAGAAAAUCCAUUCCCCAUUCGAUUUCCGGGAAAAUUCAUCCUCGUUUGAUUUCCGAGAAAAUCCAUUCAAAACCCCCAAAGAAAACCAAAAAAAUUGCUUUUCUUUUGCUCCCUAUGUUUUCUGGAUCUGUUUUAGGGGUCUCUUUGCUGUUGUGCCAUUGGAUUUAAAUUUCACGAACCCUAAAUCCACGAUUUUUGAGCCAGGCUAAAAAACAUAACUGUGCGGGCUAGACUAGUAGGAAAUAUCGGGAAAUUUUCCGAAAAAUCGGUAAAAAUACCUCUUGUUGCUCCGCCUGUUAGAUCCACUCGCGAUUUUUCUCCGAUUUAUCGGUGCUUCGCCGAUAUUUCGGCGAUUUUGCCGAUUUUUUAGCGAUAUUUCCGUGGAUCGAUAAUCGGUAGCCAUUAUCGUUUCGGUGACGACCGAUAUCCGAUAUUUCUUCGAAAUAUCGGCGAUAUUUCCCGAUUUUUCAAUCCCUGAAUACUAGUACAAAACAAUGUGUUAUGAAUGAAGAUUCCCCUAUGUUGUGGCACCAAAGAUUGGGAAAUAUCUCCAUACAAAGAAUUAAGAGAUUAGUAAAUGAUGGAGUACUUGGUACUUUAGAUUUUACUGAUUUUCACACUUAUGUGGAUUGCAUUAAGGAAAAGUGGACCAACAAUUCUAAGAAGGGUGCCAAGAGGAGCACAAACAUACUAGAGAUCAUACAUUCAGAUAUUUGUUGUCCAAACAUGAACGCAUAUGGUCCGAAGUACUUCACCUCCUUCAUAGAUGAUUACUCACGAUACAUGUAUAUCUACUUGCUUCAUAACAAGAAUGAAGCAUUGGGUGUCUUUAAAGUUUUUAAGGCUGAAGUAGAAAAAUAAUGCGAAAAGCAAAUAAAGAUCGUGAGAACAUAUAGAAGUGGAGAAUAUUAUGGUAGAUACACCGAGGAUGGACAAGCACCUGGUCCAUUUGCGAAGUUUCUUCAAGAGCAUGGGAUUGAUGCUCAAUACACCAUGUCUAGUUCCCCAGACCAAAAUGGUGUGGCUGAAAGAAGAAACCGAGCAUUAAUGGACAUGGUUAGAAGUACGCGUAGCAAUUCCAAGCUUCCUAAAUCCUUGUGGACUGAAACUCUUAAAAUGAUAGUGUAUUUAUUGAACCGAGUUCCAACAAAGGUUGCUCCCAAGAUGCCAUUUGAAUUAUGGAAAGAUUGGAAAUUGAGUUUACAACAUAUACUCGUUUGGGGAUAUCUAUCUGAAGUAAGGGUUUACAACCCACAAGAGAAGAAACUAGACCCAAGGAUCAUUAGUGCGUAUUUCAUUUGAUAUGCCAAAAGGUCUAAAGGGUAUAGAUUCUAUUGUCCAUCUCACAACACUAGGAUUGUGAAGUCAAGAAAUGCUAAGUUUCUUAAGAAUGACUUGAUUAGUGGGAGCGAUCGAUUACAGGACAUUGUUUCUGAAAAAGAUCAUAUUGAUGCUCAAUCAUCCACUUCAAGUGAUAGAUUGAUUGUCGUUCACAACACCUCUCAAGUUCAAACAGGUGAUAGACAACCAAUCAUUAAAGUUCCAUAAAUUGCUGAUGACAAUCCAGUAGAUCAAGUUGUUUAAGAUUCACCGCAAAAAAUUAUUGAACAAUCUGUUGAGCAACGUGAUCCUUAGGAAAAUGUUGAUACAACAUUAAAGAGAUCUACCAAAGCAAGAAAAACAACAAUACCUAGUGAUUAUGUUGUGUAUAUACAAGAAUCAAACUACGACAUUGGAGCCAAAAAUGAUCCUGAAAUGCUUUCACAAGCCAUAAGUUGCAAAGAGUCAAAUUUUAUGCUAUGAUGCUAUGAAAGAUGAGAUGAAUUCUAUGGCAUCUAACGGAGUCUGAAAUCUUGUUGAGUUGUCUGAUGGUGCAAAAUCUAUUAGAUGUAAAUGGCUCUUCAAGACAAAAAAGGAUUCAUUGGGCAACAUUGAAAGAUAUAAAGCAAGACUCAUUGCUAAAUGAUUCACUCAAAAUGAAGGAAUUGACUACAAGGAGACUUUUUCUCCUGUAUCUAAGAAAGAUUCUCUUCGUAUCAUUAUGACAUUAGUUGCACAUUUUGACUUAAAGUUGUAACAAAUGGAUGUGAAAACAACAUUUCUCAAUGGAAAUCUAGAGGAAGAGGUUUACAUGAAACAACUACAAGGAUUUUCCUCUAGUGGUGGUAAGCAUAUGGUAUGCAAGCUUAAAAAAUCCAUAUAUGGAUUGAAACAAGCAUCCCGUUAGUGGUAUUUGAAGUUUCAUGAUGUUAUCUCUUCAUUUAGUUUUGUAGAGAACAUUAUGGAUCAAUGUAUAUAUCAGAAAGUUAGUGGGUAUAAGAUUUGUUUCCUUGUUCUAUAUGUGGAUGACAUUUUACUUGCAACCAAUGAUAAGGGUUUGCUACAUGAGGUGAAACAAUUUCUCUUUGAAAACUUUGACAUGAAGGAUAUGGGUGAUGCGACUUAUGUCAUUGGCAUUAAGAUACAUAGAGACAAAUUUCGAGGCCUUUUGGGUUUGUCUGAAAAGACCUAUAUCAACAAAGUUUUAUAAAGAUUUCAGAUGAAGGAUUGUUCACUAAGUAUAGCUCCCAUUGUGAAGGGUGAUAGGUUCAAUUUGGACCAGCGCCUGAAGAAUGAUCUUGAUCAGGAACAAAUGAAGAACAUUCCUUAUGCUUUUGCUGUUGAAAGCUUGAUGUAUGCUCAGGUCUGCAUAAGACUUGAUACUGCAUUUGCUAUUGGGAUGUUAGGAAGAUAUCAUAGUAAUCUAGGUAUAGACCAUUGGAAAGCUACAAAGAAGGUGAUGAGGUACCUUCAGGGGACCAAAGACUACAUGUUUAUGGAUAGACAAACUGAUAAUUUAGAACUAAUUGGCUACUUUGAUUCAAACUACACUGGAUGCAUUAAUUCACGAAAAUCAACUUCAGGAUAUGUCUUUAUGCUAGCCGGUGGAGCUAUUUCUUGGAGAAGUGCAAAGCAAACUUUGACUGCAAUUUCCACUAUGGAGGUUGAGUUUAUGUCUUGUUUUGAGGCUACUUCACAUGGUGUAUGGUUAAAGAGUUUCAUUUCUAAGCUUAGAGUUGUGGAUUCAAUUUCUAGGCCAUUGAAGAUAUAUUAUGACAAUUCAACUACAGUAUUUAUGGCUAAGAAUAACAAAAGUAGCAGUUGAAACAAGCACAUCGACAUCAAGUAGCAGUUGAAACAAGAACAUGGGAUAGUUGCUCAAUACACCAUGCCUGGUUCCCCAGACCAAAAUGGUGUGGCUGAAAGAAGAAACCGAACAUUAAUGGACAUGGUUAAGAGUAUGCGUAGCAACUCUAAGCUUCCUCAAUCCUUGUGGACUAAAGCUCUUAAAAUGAUAGUGUAUCUAUUGAACCCAAUUCAAACAAAGGUUGUCCUCAAGACGCCAUUUGAAUUAUGGAAAUAUUGGAAAUCGAGUUAGCGACAUAUACAUGUUUGGGGAUGCCCGUCUAAAGUAAAAGUUUACAACUCACAAGAGAAGAAACUAGACCCAAGGACCAUUAUUGCGUAUUUCAUUGGAUAUAAUGAAAGGUCUAAAGGGUAUAGAUUCUAUUAUCCAUCUCACAACACUAGGAUUGUGGAGUCAAGAAAUGCUAAGUUUCUUGAGAAUAACUUGAUUAGUGGGAGCAAUCAAUUUCAAGACAUUGCUUCUGAAAAAGAUCAUAUUAAUGUUCAACCAUGAACUUCAAGUGAUAGAUUGAUUGUCAUUCACAACGCCCCUUAAGUUCAAACAGGUGAUCGACAACCAAUCAUUGAAGUUCCACAAAUUGCUGAUGACAAUCCAAUAGAUCAAGUUGUUCAAGAUUCGCCAGAAAUUGUUAAACAACUUAUUGAGCAAUGUGAUCCUUAGGAAAAUGUUGAUACAACUUUAAGGAGAUCUACUAGAGCAAGAAAAACAUCAAUACCUAGUGAUUAUGUUGUGUAUCUGUAAGAAUCAGACUACAACAUUAGAACCGAAAAUGAUCCUGAAACGUUUUCACAAGCCAUAAGUUGCAAAGAGUCAAAUUUAUGGUAUGAUGCUAUGAAAAAUGAGAUGAAUUCUAUGGCAUCUAACAGAGUCUGGAAUCUUGUUGAGUUGCCUAAUGAUGCAAAAGCCAUUAGAUGUAAAUUGGUUUUCAAGACGAAGAAGGAUUCAUUGGGCAACAUUGAAAGAUAUAAAGAAAGACUCGUUGCUAAAGGAUUCAUUCAAAAUGAAGGAAUUGAUUACAAGGAGACUUUUUUUCCUGUAUCUAAGAAAGAUUCUCUUCGUAUCAUUAUGAUAUUAGUUGCACAUUUUGACUUAGAGUUGCAAAAAAUGGAUGUAAAAAUGACAUUUCUCAAUGGAAAUCUAGAGGAAGAGGUUUACAUGAAACAACUAGAAGGAUUUUCCUCUAGUAGUGGUGAGCAUCUGGUAUGCAAGCUUAAGAAAUUCAUAUAUGGAUUGAAACAAGCAUCUCGUCAAUGGUAUUUGAAGUUUCAUGAUGUUACCUCUUCAUUUGGUUUCGUGGAGAACAUUAUGGAUCAAUAUAUAUAUAUAUAUAUAUAUAUAUAUAUAUAUAUAUAUAUAUAUAUAUAUAUAUAUAUAUCAGAAAGUCAGUGGGAGUAAGAUUUGUUUCCUUGUUCUGUAUGUGGAUGACAUUUUACUUGCAACCAAUGAUAAGGGUUUGCUACAUGAGGUGAAACAAUUUCUCUUUAAAAACUUUGACAUGAAGGAUAUGGGUGAUGCGAUUUAUGUCAUUGACAUUAAGAUACAUAGAGACAAAUUCCAAGGCCUUUUGGGUUUGUCUCAAGAGACCUAUAUCAACAAAGUUUUAGAGAGAUUUCAGAUGAAGGAUUGUUCACCAAGUAUAGCUCCCAGUGUGAAAGGCGAUAGGUUCAAUUUAGACCAGCGCCCGAAGAAUGAUUAAGAGGAUAAACAAAUGAAUAACAUUCCUUAUGCUUCUACUGUUUGAAGCUUGAUGUAUGCUCAAGUCUACACAAAAUCGGACAUUGUAUUUGUUGUUGGGAUGUUAGGAAGAUAUCAUAGUGAUCCAGGUAUAGACCAUUGGAAAGCUGCAAAAAAGGUGAUGAGGUACCUUUAGGGAACCAAAGACUACAUGCUUAUGUAUAGAUGGACUGAUAAUUUAGAAUUGAUUAGCUACUCUUAUUUGGACUACACUGGUUGCACUAAUUCGCGAAAAUCAACUUCAGGAUAUGUCUUUAUGCUAGCCGAUAGAGCUAUUUCUUGGAGAAGCGCAAAACAAACUUUGACUACAACUUCCACUAUGGAGAUUGAGUUCGUGUCUUGUUUUGAGGCUGCCUCGCAUGGUGUAUGGUUAAAGAGUUUCAUUUCUAGGCUUAGAGUUGUGGAUUCAAUUUCUAGGUCAUUGAAGAUAUAUUGCGACAAUUCAGUUGCAGUUUUUAUGGCUAAGAACAACAAAAGUAGUAGUCGAAACAAGCACAUCGACAUCAAGUAUUUAGCCAUAAGAGAACGUGUUAAAGAGAAAACAGUGGUUAUUGAACACGUUAGCACUGAAUUGAUGAUUGACGAUCCUUUGACUAAAGACAUGCCACCGUUGAAAUUUAAGGAUCAUGUAGACAAAUUGGGACUUGGUUCCUUUGUGUGAUUUUUGUUGUAAGAACGAAUGUUAUUUUCAAUGAAACUCUAUUUGUGAUGUUUUCUCAUAUUUGAUUUUCUUUGUGUACACUUUUAUUCAUUUAUUGAGAAAUAUCAUUAAUGUUUGGACCUAGAAUAAACGCAGGGUUUAUUCAUUAAGUUAUAUGGGCUAGUGUUUAAGAGACAUAAUGCAUUGUGAUACAUGAAAGAUAAUACUCGGUUUUAGAGGCCUUAUCGCCAUUAUUCGUGUGUUUUGUUUCUUGCUAUGGUGAAUGAUGGAAUAUAUGGACCAAGUGGGAGAAUAUUGGGAUUUUGUUUCUCUUGGAUCUUUAGCAAUAAACCAAAGACGUGAUUCGGAAUGUGGUCCACAUUCAUUCCAUCAAUUUAGGAACGAGGAUUAACUUUCGGAACCACGUUCGUAUCACUACCCCAUGUUCUAUGCAAGCUCGAGGCAGACUCGGUGAUGGAGAGAGUCUUUAAAAAGGGGCAAAGCACUAAAUGGUGGGGUUCCCUAAGCCUUCAAUCUCUUUUAGUCUUAAAAAAACACCUUCUAAGUAGAGGUUGAGAAGGUCUAGAAGCACCUGAAACCUGAAAAAUUGAAGACAUUGUUUUAACUGUAAGAAUGGCAAUGGUGGGAGGUAUGUUUUCGGUUUGUUUUCAAUUCCGCUUAUGAUCUAAUUGUUAUUUAAGGAUUGUUAUGAUCAUGUUUAGAUUAUUUAUGUCCAUCAGAAGAAUCCAUAGAUCACAUCCUCCUUUAUUGUUCUCUAGUUAAGAUCCUUUGACAGUUGUUUGAUCUCUUUGGUAUUUAUUGGGUGUAAGUUGCUAUGGUAAAGGAGGCUUUUUUAGGGUGGCACGGUUCUUUUGUGGGCAAAAUGAGGAAAAAAGUUUGGAGAGUGGCUCCUUUAAAUUUAUUUUGGAUGUUUGAAAGGAGAGAAAUCUCAAGUCAAUUGAGAGUAAACAACAUUUUGUUCAUUUUUUAGAAGAUUAUUUUUUUUUAGAAAUUUGUUUUCUUGGGUAAAAUAUUAUAUAGAGAUUGAUUCUGUCUUUACUUGAUUUUAUUGAGUGGCUGGGUUGUAGUUAAGGGAGGGGGUUGUUGAGGGUUUUUUCUUAUUUCUGUGCUAUUAGACACUUUUUUUAUAUGUCCUAUGUAUUGUAGAGUGUCUUUGUGGCGUUUUUAUUUUUUAACACAUUUGGUUUUAUUUAUCGAAAAAGGCAAAAAAAAAGUAUGGUGGCAAUUCGACCCUUGCAUUGUUCAAGUGGUAAAGUUCGAUAGUUCCAUGUAAAAGCGCACCACAAAUUUAAAAAAAAAAAAAAAAAAACACAAAAACAAAAACAAAAUGGCGGCAAUUCAAUAAGCAGCCUAACAUCCUCUUGGCCACAUCCUUUAGAACAACCUAACAAUUUGCAUUACAGAACUACAUACCCUCUAUUUCACUUGAUUAUUGAUUUGGGUGGGCCUGUUAUUGAUACUUGUAUCACCCAUAACAAAGUUACAGCCUGACUAUGGCAUGUUGUGGCUGACUGAUAAGCAUGGUAAUAUAUUUCUGGGAACAAAGUUCAAAUUUUAACUACUUGCAACACUCUUUCAACUUUGUUGUUUCUUUCACUCAUGCAGUAAUGGAUAUUUGCUAGUUUCUUCUAGAAGCAUUUUUAACUAUUUUAAGUGGUUAUUGGAAUCUUGGAUUACAUUUGGUGUUAAGUCCCAAAAUGUGGACCUUGAACUUUUUUGAGCCCCAUAAAGAUGUUAAAACCAUGGAUCUAUGAAUUUUCAAUAACAAUACAGCAUUUUAUUCAAAAAAACAUAUAGCAGUUGGGAUUCAAAACUCAAAUAAGGGCUAUGAGCUUGCAGCUGAUAUAUGGAGCCUUGGAUGCAAUGUGUUAGAGAUAUUGACUCGUUGACCCCCAUAUUCCCACUUGGAAGGCAUAGGUAUGACAUUUCGUAGAUAUACAACAUUAUUUUCUUUAAUAUUUUUUCUUGUUUUGUUCUUCAGUCUAUGCUCUUCAAUUACUUGUUAUUCAAAUUGAUGAUAUGGAAAUUGGUUGUGUUUGGCUCUGACUUUGAAAAUGUUGAUGAUUUUAAAGUAAGGGUGAAGAUCUUGACCCAAAGUCUACCCAUUUUUGAAGGAUUCAACAUAAAAACACUAAAAUAAAAAACAUGUCUGAAAUUAUUUGGUUGAUUGAAUCCAAGAGCUUCUCAAAUCCACGCACCUUAUCAUUUGGUGAUUAUCAGCACAUGGGUUUAAGUGGAAAGAAGGUUCAAUCUGAAUCCAUUUAUCUUUGGAUAAUUUGCAAUUAUGGAUUAUAUUUUUCAUUUUUAUGUAUUGUUAUUUCAUGCAAGACUGUUUAGUUUCUUUCUUUUUCUCUAUAGUUCCUUUUGUAAUUUCUUCAAUCGACUUUGUUUAGAGAAUGCCACUCAAUAUCUGUCUUGUCUUGGCUGUCAUGUAUGAAUACCAUGGAUUUAUCAAUAUUUUCUUUUAUGUUAUCAGACACUCCAAUUUACAAGUGCAGGACUAAAUAGGCUCAAAUCAUUGGCAACAACUUUUCUCAGUUGUCCUAUGACAUUUUGUAGUCACUCCAGAUUUUUCCUUCUUUUAAAUUUCUUCUUUUGUAAUAAUCUGGGUGAAGGAGCCUCACAUUCCUGAUUGUGUGACCUUCCUUGAUGAAGGACAGUGCAGAUGAUGCUAGAACUCAUGGUAGUAGAUUCAAAAUCUUGUUGAAUUGCCAAUUGAUAACGUUUUGAAACACCAGACAUUUUAUCACCGAAUUGGAAGUUGAAUGUUUCUGAAUAAGGUUUUGACUUGAUUAUUGCUUGUGUUAUCUAGGAAGCUCUGAAGGCACCCAAACUGCCUCUGGAACUUUUCUUUCUUGAAACUGUAAGCUGAAUACACGUUCACACGUUCUCACUUCAUGAUAUGGUCCAACACUUUGACCACGUCCUCCACCAUCUCAUCUUCCGCUGCGAUUAAGGAGCACGUUCCACCAACUGCUCAACAUGGUGGCAAGAGGCAACGUGGUUUGAUGGAAGCCACUGUUAUAAAGUUUUUCAGAAAAUGGUCCUGAACUCACUCUGUUAUUAUCUUCAAAAAAACACCAUCUAAAAAAGAGAGAUCAGAGUUUGGAAAUCUGGGUUUUUGAAACCAACUACAAUGGCUGGAGGUAAGUAGACUAUUCUUAGUCUUUUCGGUUUUGAUUCAUAUUGCAAGUACAUUGGAAUCGAAUAUAGCAUAUAAACUUUCUUACAUUUGGUAUCAGAGCCAUAAAUCUUGCCUCUGCUUUGUAUUGUUUCUGAGUGAAAAAUUCUUGUUUUUAUGAUCUCUUGAUAAUUAUUUAAACGAUUGCUGCUGGAGAUCCAUAUAUAGUUGGCAUCAUUCAUUUAUAAAAGGCCAUUACAGGCGUUCAAAAGAUGCCAUUUUCUGGCGCUCCAGUAGCGCUAUUAAGGCGUCAUUUUCAGGCGCACCAGUGACUCCGUUUCAGGUGCCAUUUUAGAUGCGCUUCAGGCCCCAUACCUGGCACUGUUCAGUUGCCAUUUUUGGGGCUGCAACCAGCGCCAUACCAGCGCCAAUUUUCAGGCGCGUUGAAGUGCCAUUUUUUGGGGCUAUAACCAACGCCGUUCAAGCACUGUUACUAGGCGUCGUUCAGGCUCCAUUUAAGGCGCACCUUAGCCACCAUCUCAACGCCGUUCAGGCGCCAUUAGAAACGCCAUUUUUUUGGGCUGCAAGUCGUCGUUCGCACGCCGUGUUGAAGCACUGCAGACGGCUUCAUGGCUUGGACUGCAUCCAGCAAGGGUGCAGUCCACGUGGGUGGCGGCGAGAACGUCGCUGCCGGUGUUGAAGCAGUCCACUGGGUGGCAGAAAAAAUAGGAUCUUGGGUUUCGGUUGCAGGUGAUAUUAAAAUAGUGAGGAAUCUAGAGAGAGAUGGGGCUCCACUAAGGUUAUGGGCCUUUAUAUAACUGGCUAUUGGGCCCAUUAGGUUCAAAAAUGGGCAAUGGCCCAUUUUACAAAAAUAAAAGGCAUUAAAUUGGGGCAUGUAUAAAUGUAAAAAAUUGGGCCAGUUUAUGCUCUUUUUGGCCUGAUUUUUUAUUUAUUUAUUUAUUUUUAUUUUAACUAUAUUGGGUAUGGAAUUGAUUGUGUUUUAUUUGGAUUUAGGCACUCAUUCAUAAUCCAAAACCUUUAAAAUUAUCAUGUAAAUUUUAUACAUGCAAAAUAAAUAAUUAUAUACUGCUUUAUAUGUUUGUAGCCUAAAUUAAAGUUGUAGCUUUUAAUGCAUGCAAUUGUUGCCUAAAAUUUAGUUAGAUAUAUUAAAAUUAUAUCAUAUAGUUUUAAUGUCUAGUGAAACCAUGUGAUUUUUAAAUAAUUAAGGAAUAGCCACAGCAUCCUUAAUUAUAUAAAAAUUAUAUAUUAAAUAAAUAAGGAUCACAUUAUGGACAUUAAUUGUAAUUAAUUAUAUAAAUAUGAUGAUUUUACCCCACAGGGUUUUCAUUAUGUUUAUAUAAUUAAUUAGGAUAAAAUAUUAAAAUUAAUUUUUUCCUAAUUUACCCACAGGAGUUAGGAAGAAUUAAUUUAAUAGGUUUAUCAUAAGGAUUAUAGACAAAAAAAAAAUAUCAAACUAUAUUCAUAAUUCAAUAAAAUAGUUUGAUAAAGUCUAUCAUAAAGAUAAUUAAUCUUAUUGAAUUAAAGAUUUAGCCCACAGACAAUUUUUAAUAAAAUUAGAUUCAAUUUUAAGCAUGUUCUACAUUGGUAAAGCAUGAAUUUAUAUUAAAGCCUAAAAUUUUUAAUAAGCUUGUAAUCCUUUUGUGCAGUUUUAUCUAGCAUAUCUGAUAUUCGUUGUGAGGUUCCCGAACUUAGAGGAGAUAACUUUAAGAUAUGGAAGGAGAGAAUUCUUCUUCAAUUAGGGUGCAUGGACAUAGAUUAUGCUAUAAGGAAAGAUGAACCGCAUAAGAUCACUGAUACCAGCACACCUGAACAAAUUUUAUUGUACGAACGCUGGGAGAAAUCUAAUCGCCUUAGCGUGAUGUACAUUAAGACAAAAAUCAGUGCUGGUAUACGUGGUUCAAUCGAGCAACAUGAGAAUGUCCAUGAAUUGCUAAAGGCUAUUGACGAGCAAUUCGUCACUUCAGAUAAAGCCUUGGCAAGCACCCUAAUUAUGAAGUUCACAUCCCUGAAGCUCACCGGUAUAAGAGGUGUGCGUGAACAUAUCAUGGAGAUGAGGGACAUUGUGGCUCAAUUGAAGAAACUCGAGGUAGAAAUAUCUGAAUCUUUCUUGGUGCACUUUAUCCUUAACACUCUUCCACCUCAGUAUGGACCUUUCAAAAUCUCUUACAACACACAUAAGGAUAAGUGGUCUAUCAAUGAAUUGAUGACCAUGUGUGUUCAAGAGGAAGGAAGGUUAUUGAUGGAACAGGGAGAAAGUGCCAUGCUGGUGACGCAAAGGAAAGGAAAGAAAGGAAAAUCUCAAGCUAGUCAGAAAGGAAAGCAACAAAUUCCUCCUAAAUCUGACAUUAAGAAAGACGAAAAGUGUUUUUUCUGUAAAAAGAAAGGACAUGUGAAGAAGAAAUGUCUGAAAUUUCAGAAUUGGCUUGAGAAGAAAGGUAACCCUACCUCAUUUGUUUGCUAUGAAUCUAAUAUGGUUAAUGUAAACACCAACACAUGGUGGAUUGAUUCUGGAUCUACAAUCCACAUUUCAAAUUCCUUGCAGGGUAUGCAAAACCUAAGGAAGCCAGUGACAAGUGAGCAAUUCAUCUUAUCCGGAAACAAGAUGGGCUCGCAUAUGGAAGCAAUAGGGACAUGUUAUUUAACUUUAAAUAGUGGUUUUGUUUUAGAAUUGCAAAAGACUUUUUAUGUACCAAGUUUCUCACGAAACUUGAUUUCAGUUUCUAGACUUGUACCGUUUGGAUAUUCCUUUCAUUUUUCAGAAACAUCUUUCAAUUUGAUUUAUAAAUCUGAAUGUGUUGGGAAUGGUAUCUUGUCUGAUGGUCUUUAUUGUAUAUUCUUACAAAAUGAUACUGCUCAUAAUUCAUUGCAUGUCCAAACUGGCAUUAAGAGAUGUGUUGUAAAAGAGGAUUCCUCUACAUUGUGGCACCGGAGAUUAGGUCAUAUCUCCAUAGAUAGAAUCAAAAGAUUGGUGAAUGAUGGGGUACUUAGUACUCUAGAUUUUACUGACUUUGAGACUUGUGUGGACUGCAUUAAGGGUAAGCAGACCAAUAAGUCAAAGAGAGGUGCUACUAAGAGUUCCACCAUACUAGAGAUCAUACAUACUGAUAUAUGUAGUCUUGACAUGGACUCUCAUGGUCAGAAAUACUUCAUCUCUUUCAUAGAUGAUUUCUCACGAUACAUGUAUCUCUACAUACUUCAUAAUAAAAAUGAAGCUUUAGAUGCCUUUAAAGUCUUCAAGGCAGAAGUAGAGAAACAAUAUGGUAAACAAAUUAAGAUUGUGAGAUCAGAUAGAGGUGGAGAAUAUUAUGGUAGAUACUUGGAAGAUGGACAAUCACCUGGACCAUUUGCGAAGUUUCUUCAAGAGCAUGGGAUUGUUGCCCAAUACACCAUGCCUGGUUCUCCAGACCAAAAUGGUGUAGCAGAAAGAAGAAACCGAACUUUAUUGGACAUGGCGAGGAGUAUGCUUAGCAGCUCAAAACUUCCUAAAUUCUUAUGGACUGAAACACUUAAGACAGCUGUGUAUAUAUUAAACCGAGUUCCAACCAAGGCUGUCCCAAAGACGCCAUUUGAGUUAUUGAAAGGUUGGAAACCGAGUUUGCGACAUAUGCGCGUUUGGGGAUGCUCGUCUGAAGUGAGAAUUUAUAAUCCACAAGAGAAGAAACUGGACCCAAGGACUAUUAGUGGGUAUUUCAUUGGAUAUGCUGAAAAGUCUAAGGGGUACAGAUUUUACUGUCCAUCUCACAGCACUAGGAUUGUGGAAUCGAGAAAUGCUAAAUUUCUUGAAUAUGACUUGGUCAGUGGGAGCGAUCAAUUUAGAAACAUAGUUUCUGAUAUUGAUCAUACAGAGUCUCAACCUUCCACUUCAAGUGAUAGAUUGUUUAUUGUUCAUAACACCCCUCAAGUACAAUCGGGUGUAGAACGAACAAUCACUGAAGUUCAACCAGUCGUUGAAGUUCCACAAGUUGUUGACAACAUUCCAGUAGAUCAAGUUGAUCAGGAGUUUCCUGAUACUUCUGGACAACAAGUUGAACCUCAUACUUCCUUAGAAGAUAUUGGUGCAACCUUAAGAAGGUCUACUCGAACUAAGAGGUCAGCAAUUCCUAAUGAUUAUGUAGUGUAUCUACAGGAAUGUGACUACAAUAUAGGAGCCGAAAAUGAUCCCGAAUCUUUUUCACAAGCCAUGAGUUGCAAAGAAUCAGAAUUGUGGUACAAUGCCAUGAAGGAUGAGAUGAGUUCCAUGAAGUGCAAUGAUGUUUGGGACCUUGUUGAGUUGCCUAAUGGUGUAAAAACCAUUGGUUGUAAAUGGGUUUUUAAGACAAAGAAAGACUCAUUAGGCAACAUUGAAAGAUACAAGGCCAGACUUGUUGCAAAGGGUUCACUCAGAAAGAAGGAAUCGAUUACACGGAAACCUUUUCUCCUGUAUCUAAGAAAGAUUCCUUGCGCAUUAUAUUGGCAUUAGUAGCCCACUUUGAUUUAGAAUUGCAACAAAUGGAUGUGAAAACAGCAUUUCUUAAUGGAGAGCUAGAGGAUGAGGUUUACAUGAAACAACCUGAAGGAUUCCCCUCUAGUGAUGGUGAGCAAUUGGUUUGUAAGCUUAAGAAAUCCAUAUACGGUUUGAAGCAAGCAUCCCGCCAAUGGUAUUUAAAAUUCCAUAACAUAAUUUCUUCAUUCGGUUUUGUUGAAAAUGUUAUGGAUCAAUGCAUAUACCUUAAGGUCAGUGGGAGUAAAGUUUGUUUUCUUGUUUUAUACGUGGAUGACAUCUUACUUGCAACCAAUGAUAAGGGUUUACUUCAUGAGGUAAAACAAUUCCUCUCUAAAAAUUUCGACAUGAAGGAUAUGGGCGAGGCAUCUUAUGUCAUUGGCAUUAAGAUCCAUAGAGACAGAUUUAAAGGUAUCUUAGGUUUGUCUCAAGAAACCUAUAUCAAUAAAGUUUUGGAGAGAUUUCGAAUGAAGAAUUGUUCACCUAGUGUUUCUCCUAUAGUGAAGGGUGAUAGGUUCAAUCUGGACCAAUGCCCGAAAAACGAUCUUGAGAGGGAACAAAUGAAGAACAUUCCAUAUGCUUCUGCAGUCGGAAGUUUGAUGUAUGCUCAGGUUUGCACAAGGCCUGACAUUACAUUUGCUGUUGGAAUGUUAGGACGAUAUCAGAGUAACCCAGGUAUAGACCACUGGAAAGCUGCAAAGAAAGUGAUGAGAUAUCUUCAAGGAACCAAAGAUUACAAGCUUAUGUACAGACGAACAAGCAAUUUAGAGGUAGUUGGCUACUCAGAUUCAGACUUUGCUGGCUGUGUUGAUUCACGUAAAUCAACAUCUGGAUACAUUUUUAUAUUGGCCGGUGGAGCUAUAUCUUAGAGGAGCGUUAAGCAGACCAUGACUGCUACUUCUACUAUGGAAGCUGAGUUCAUAUCUUGUUUUGAGGCUACUUCACAUGGUGUAUGGCUUAAGAGUUUCAUUUCCGGGCUUAGAGUUAUGGAUUCAAUAUCUAGGCCAUUGAGUAUAUAUUGCGACAAUUCAGCUGCAGUCUUUAUGGCGAAGAACAAUAAAAGUGGAAGUCGAAGCAAACACAUCGACAUUAAGUAUUUAGCCAUAAGAGAACGUGUUAAAGAAAAGAAAGUGGUUAUUGAGCACAUUAGCACUGAAUUGAUGAUCGCUGAUCCUUUGACUAAGGGCAUGCCACCAUUGAAAUUCAAGGAUCAUGUAGUGAACAUGGGACUUAGUUCCCUUAUGUAGUUUCUAUUGUACAAACUCUUAUUAUGAUGUUUUCUCAUAUUAAUGUGCACUUUUUAUUUAAUUUUGAGAAAAUUCAACUUCAUUGGACCAAGAAUGAACAUAGGGUUUAUUCAUUAAGUAAUAUUGCCACAUAAAGUAUAAUGUUAAGAAAUGAGUACAUUGUAAUACAUGGAAGGUAACACUCGUUAAAUAGAGGACUUAUCGCCAUGAUUCAUGUAUUUGUUACUUAAUGGGACAAUUGAUGGACUAAAUUAGGACAUUAGGUUAAAGGGGUGGACCAAGUGGGAGAAUGUAAGCUGAAUACACGUUCACACGUUCUCACUUCAUGAUAUGGUCCAACACUUUGACCACGUCCUCCACCAUCUCAUCUUCCGCUGCGAUUAAGGAGCACGUUCCACCAACUGCUCAACAUGGUGGCAAGAGGCAACGUGGUUUGAUGGAAGCCACUGUUAUAAAGUUUUUCAGAAAAUGGUCCCGAACUCACUCUGUUAUUAUCUUCAGAAAAACACCAUCUAAAAAAGAGAGAUCAGAGUUUGGAAAUCUGGGUUUUUGAAACCAACUACAAUGGCUGGAGGUAAGUAGACUAUUCUUAGUCUUUUCGGUUUUGAUUCAUAUUGCAAGUACAUUGGAAUCGAAUAUAGCAUAUAAACUUUCUUACAGAAACUUGACCAAUGACUCAUCUUUGGGCUAGAAAACAGGUUUUACAAAAGCAUCCUUGGCAUAAGGUUUGAUAUUAAUUUUUCUUCCAGCUAAGUUUGAAAAGCAAGAUUUUAGACUUGUAGAUUUGCGCUCUUCCUUCAAAUCAAGUACUUUGUGUAUGCAAAUAUUGACCAUGCAUCUUGCUUUGUGUUGUCCUGCAUCAUUACUCAACCUUAUAUUCCUUGAAUGCUCUACUCUUGUAUUCAUAAGAUAUGAUAACCAGACUUGUGUUAAUAUGCUUCUUGAUAUUGCUGUAGAUCUUGCCACUUAAGAAAUCAAGUUUUAGUGUUAUCUAUUUCAAGUCCUAUGCAAAGUUAAUUGGAAGGUUUCUGUUUAGAAAUGGGAAUGAAGGGGUGGAUCACAAUAUUCUGUGAAAGAGAGGAAUAAAACCUCCUGACAAAAGUGCGUUUUUGUUUCCAUGAGAAUGGUUUUUUAUUCCUAUUCGUAUUUCUAAUAUAGGUAGACUAAGCACAUUUAUGAAUGAAAAAUGAAAUGGAUUUCGAGCUUCCAUUCCCAUUCCUAUUCCAGAGUACCAAACAUGCCUUUGGUAUCUAAGGGAAAAAAAUUGUGUCACCUGAUAAUCAAUCUUACAACUUGGAAUGCAGCAUGCCUUUGCCAUGUAUGCCUCUAAGACGAGGGGAGGGGGCUUGGAUCCCGACCAGCAGACUCGUCGAAGGGUGGGGGGCAUAGCGGGUAUGUUCCUGAGGGGGUUGAAACCUCAGGGCACUUGGAAUGCAGCAUGCCUUUGCCAUGUAUGCCUCUAAGACGAGGGGAGGGGGCUUGGAUCCCAACCAGCAGACUCGUCGAAGGGUGGGGGGCAUAGCGGGUAUGCUCCUGAGGGGGUUGAAACCUUAGGGCCGGGGUCGGGGAAAGGGGAGAGGGGAGUGUGCUUGGUGUGGGGGAGAGACGAAUCAGGGCAACAUAGGAUUGAAUCUCAGUAGAUCAUGGUAGCAAGGCCACUCUGCCACUUACAAUACCCUAUCGCGUAUUUAAGUCAUUUGCAAAGGAUUCUACCUGCAUCUCUGAUAUUAUAUUUUGAGUUCUAAUAAGGGAAUAUCUCUUUGUGGCUUGGCAGAUGCAAGCGUUAUUUAGGAUUGGCAAGGGUGAACCUCCUCCUGUUUCUAAUUCCUUGUCAUCAGAUGCCCGAGAUUCUAUCCUCAAAUGCUUGCAAGUCAACCCUGGUGAUGGGCCUACUGGUCAGUUACUGGACCAUUCAUUUGUCAGGAGCCCACAACACACUUUCUCUGGCCCUCAAUCUCCUCGUACAAAUGGAAUACGACCUUAAAAGCUUUUGAUCUUGCUACGGAGCAUCAAAUACAUAGAGGUAAAAUAAAACACUUUUACGUCUUUUCCACUUUUUCGUAUAUUUCUCAUGUGUAAUUACGUCUAAAUUCAUUCUAAAUAUUUUCUAAUUAUUUUACAAAAAAAUAAUUAUAAAAAAUUAUAUAAGUAAUAAAAUCUAUUUUUUUUUUUUUCAUGUAGAACUAACUGAUCAAUAUUAUUGUAUGGAUUUUAUAACAAUAUAUUAAAAUUAACUUUCAACUUCAUAUCAAACAACUUUUUAUGAUAAAGAAGCUUAGGUUUGGAGAGGAUAAAAAAAAUGGAAAAGGAUAAUUAAAAAAUAAUUAAAUAGAUUAAUAGGAUUUAUAUUUUAAGGCGGAUAUGUAGAGAGUUUUAUUAGAUGUUUUUAAGUAUGCUGGCCAACCACCCUAAAACCCAAAAUAAUUGUCACCAAGUUCCCAAAAAACAAUGACCCCUAAAAGUUGGCCUGCACCUCUCAUUAUUUUAAUUUUUUUUUCUUUUUUCUUUUUUUCUUUUUUUUCUUUUUUUUGGUAAUCUUUUCAACUCUUCAUACUCUCAUUUUUAUCAUUCACUUUUUAAUUUGUUUAUUUGUUCUACUUUAGAACUCACUCAUAUUCCCAAAUACAAAAAUUCUUUAUAUUUACACAACAAUUUAACUUAACAUCUUUUUUUUUAAGAAUUCUUUUUCAUAUAAUAUUCCUUACUAACAAAAACUAAUUUUAAUGAAACAACUUUAAUUUGAUAUAUAUAAAUAUGAAGAUAUAUACUCCUAAACUUACACUUUAGCCACUUGAGUCCAACAAGGGUUUGAUUUAAAAAAUUUGUAGUUCUUAAAGAUGUUAAACUCCUUUAAAAAGCAUCAAAUGGUAAUAAAUAGGAACUAGAGAAAACCAUUCAAAUAAGCAGAUUUCAUCUAUAAUACGAAGUAAAAUCCAAAAUAGAAAUGUGAAGAAAAAAAUUAUCAUUGACUCUUGACUCUUUGACUCUUGCCAAACCAAUCCCACUACCAUCUAAUGCUAAAUUGUCUAACAAAUGGGAAUUGAAAGCAUAGAACAGAAUCAUUGACUCUUGACUCUUCCCAAACCAAUUCCACUACCAUCCAAUGUUAAAUUGUCUAACAAAUGGAAAUUGAAAGUAUAAAAGAGAAUCAUUGACUCUACUUAGCCCAUUAUCUAAAAGAGGCUACCUCUCUCCUUCUUUCAUGAAGUUUCUUAGAAAUUUCAAGCUUCUUUAUCAUAUAAAGUAUAAAAAAGAAUCACUCUUAACCCAUUACAUUAAAAAUCCUACCCCUUCUCUCCUUUCAUAAAGUUUCCUAGAAAUUUCAAGCUUCUUUGUCAUAUAAAGUAUAAAAGAGAAUCAUUGACUCAUUGUAACCCAUUAUCAAGUGUUGUCUCUCCUUUCUAAAGGUUAAUGCCCUUGUAGCCAUUCACAUGUGUUUCAAGAAAAAUGAAGUUAUUUUGCCCCCAAGAACUAUAGAAAUAAAAUUUUGUUAAGAAAUUUAAAAUAUAAAAAUAAAAAUUUUAAAUAAGAGUAUUUUAUAUAAUUUUUUUCAUAUUUUCUAAAAUUAAAUAUCCAAUUUUUAAUUAUCUCAAAAGCUAGAGAAGCUCCAAAAAAGAAAAAUAAUGUCUUGCAAUUAGAUAACUAAUUCAAAACAAUCCAAAUACUUCUUGAUCCACUUGUGGUUAACAUUCCAUUAAAAUUAUGUCAAAUUUAUUAAAAUCUACUUGCAUUUAUUUAUUUAAAAUUAUUCAAAGCAUUCUCAAUACUUUAUUCUUUUUUUUUUUUUUUGAAAAAAAAAAUUGUAUCACGUUUCUAGAAAAGAAUUAUUAAUAUAUAUUGAUUUUCUUAUAAAUAUUUUUCAUUAAAUUUUAAAACUUGUUUUUACUUUAACUUUAAAUGGGUUUGUAUGCUUGUGUUUUUAUUUUUCCUUUUCAAUCAAAUGAAUUAAUUUAUAAUAUGGGAAUGUCUACUUGAACUCAGUAUUUUAUUUAUUUCCUUUUUUAACUUUAUUUUAGUAAAUGCAUCCUUGAUCAAUAAUUUGAUGAUUGUUUUAAAAUCAAAUAGUGAAGAUAAAAUUUUGAUAAUUAAAAAACAAUUGACUUACUACAUCACUUACAUGAAAUAUUGAUUUGUUGUUUGAAGUUUUUUGGCAUUAUAUUUAAUUCAUCAUAAUAAGACAGUUUUUUACUCAAUAAUUUAUGUAGAAUAAUAAAUAAAUUAAGGAGCGCUUUAUUAAAAAUCAGUUUUAAUAGAAAAAUAUAAGUUGGAUAUUCAUUUUGAUUAAAAAUAAAAUUAUAAUUUGAUUUAAUUAGAAAAUGAAUUUUUUUCUUGUUAAUUUAAUUUUAAUUUGUAAUCCUGUUAAUAGGGAAAAUAAGAUAGUUUUCAUGUCUUUUUAAUUGAAAAAAUGAUGAUUUUGGUUGUAAUUUGUGAAUUUAUUUUAAUUUGUAAAAAGAAAAUAUUAUUCUAUUAGUUAAAUCAAUUUUGAUAAGAAUACUUAAUUUUAUGAAUAUAAUAAUAAUUGUUAAAGUAAUCUUAUAUGUGCAAAAUUUUAAAAUCUUGUAAAAAAUAAACAAAAAGAUAAGAAAAUAUGCAAACAAAAUUUUAUGAACUAGAAAUUUUGUAGGGUACAAUUCUUUGGAAUAAUACUCAUUAAAAAAAUAAUAUUUUCCUUUUAUUUGAUCACUUUCAUCACAACCCAAUGGAUAACAUGUUUUCACUUGCAAUUGUUUUUAUAUUAAGCUUUUAUAUAAGACUUUAUGUCAUGUGCUCAUGUGGACAACUCUUCAAAGGUGUAGAGUCACUUGCCUUGGAGGAUAUAUAGAAGCUCUCAAUGCAUACCUUAUAUGUUCAUCUCCACUACUAAAUAUUAUAUAAUCUAUUCUUGUUGCCAUGGGUUAAAAAACGUGAGUUGAUAUAGUCAAUCAUUUACUCAUCUUUCUACUGCUUGGUAUUUGUGAACUUCAUUAUGCUUAUCGUUGGUUGGGAAAAGUAAUUGUCUUCAUGCUUCAUUUGAUCACAACUGUCAAUAGGUUUAGGCUCAAGAUCCAUGUACCAAUCAAAAGCACACAUUUGGAGGGAACACACAAAUUGUUUGAGUAAGAGGUCACCCUCAUGCUAGCAUUGUUGCAAGUUUGGAUGAAUCAGACAUUGCAUUGCUUUGGAAUUCCUUUUCCAUCAAAUUAUUGAAACUUUAGAGGUUAAUAACUCAUAGGUAUUUGUAGGUUAUCAAUUUUCGUACUGUAAGGUUUAAAGCACACGAGUGUACUUCAUGACGAUCCACCAUACUAUUCUCCGAUGGUGUUACGUAUCAUGUUUUAACUCACUCAUUUAAAUUGGAAAUCUAUUAAUUUUUCAAUGAAAAUAAUUUUAAUUUGGCUUUAAGUUAUUUCUCGGUUAUAUAUAGAUAUAUGAGCAUACACAAGGUUUUUUUUUAAUAUUUAUUAUUUGAAUUUUAUUUUAUUCAUAAUCUCUUUAGAAUAUUAUUUGUUGGAAUUAAUUGCUAUGUUGUUAUUCUUCCAAAAAUAUUUUUUUUUGCUUAAAAAAUGAAUUUCUUCGAACACUAAAUUCGCUACUUUAAGUUAAUAAAAUCAUUUCCUUUUUUUUGGUUUCCUUUUAUUUAUUUAUUUUAAAUUAUAAUAUUUAUCAAUAAUAAGAUUUGUCUAUAAAAUGUUAAAAAAAAAAAUCAUCCUCUCAUUGUUUAACUUAUUUUUUAUUUUUACUUUUUUGUAUUUAUAUUUUAAUUUUAGUUUUAUGUUUAUUUUUAAUAUUUAUUUUUCACUUCUCGGUCAGAAUUUUUCUUUUUUUAUUUAUUUUUUUAAAUUUAUUAUUAUUAUUUCUUGUUGACAUCCUUUUUUUUAUAUAUAUAUAUAUAUAUAUAUAAACGUAAUAAUAAAAUAAAACACCAUGAAUAAAGUGAAGGAAAAAACUAACAUGUGAAAAAAAAUUAAAAAACUUGGUGGAGAAGUGUAGUGCGAGAGCCUAAUGUCUAAUGAUGAUGGAAUAAUCCCACCAAACCCGAAGAAAAGUAAAAGGUGAUAAGAAAAAGAGAAAGUGAGAAAAUAAUAAAUAAGAAGAAAGAGUUGCUUUUAACUUUCUUCAUUACUGUCCUGAAGGUCACCGGAAGUCACCUGCCAUCCCAAUUUAUAGAGAGAUGCCCCUAAUUUUCCUCGUCACUUUUCAGAAGGUCAUAGGAAGCCACCUGCCUUCCCAACUCUUUAUGUAUAGAUAAAUGAUAAUAUUUAUUAAUAAUAAGAUUUAUCUAUAAAAUGUUAGAAAAUGAAUAUAUCAAUCCAGUGAAUUUAAUUUUUACUUUUUUCUUUUUAUAUAUUUAUCAUUUAAUUUUUGCUUUUAUUUUUUUUCUUUUUAGUCUUAUAUUUAUUUUUCACUUCUCGAUCAAAAUUUUUAUUUUCUAUUUACUUCUAUUUUUUAUUUCUUUUUUAAGUACUUAUAUAUAAUAAUAAUUAAUAAAUAAAAUAGGAGACCAUGAAUAAGGUGAAGAAAAAAUAAAAUAAAAAAACUUGCUGGAGAAGUAAAGUGCAGGAGUUUGAAGGAUGAAUGUAAACAAGAGAAAAAAGAGAGCAAGAGAAAAGCAAAAGGUAAUAACAAAAAGAGAAAAGUGAGAAAAUAAUCAAUAUAGAGAGAGAGAGAGAGAGAGGGAGAGAGAGUGGCCCCUAACUUUCCUCAUCACUUUACAAAGUUCACAAGAAGCCAUCUGCCUUCCCGGAACUUUCUAUAUUGUAAACUAGGGUUGCUCACUAUCUUCAAGAGAAAUCAAGCCUCAAACUGUCUCUUGUAGUUUUGAGAAAUCAGGCCAAUUUAGUGAAUGAAAUUCUUACUCAAUUUCUUUGCCAAAGAUAUCGUUCAUUCUGAUAUGUUUUUUUUAUAAAUGUUUUAUUUCUUUUCAGUUUUUGAUCUUGAGGUAUUUUUUCUAAAUAAUUUGUUUUUUUAGAUAGAUCAUUUUAUAUAUCCUUCUUAUUUUAAAUAAAACAAGUUUCCAAUGACAAAUUUUUUAAGAGUUUUUAAUGUGAAAUUUUCUAAAAUUUUAUCUUUUUGUCAUAAUGUUUCCUUUUGUUGAUAUUUUUUUUGCAAAGUCAAAGAGAUAAUGUGAAAUAAUAACUAAUUUAAUAUAAGGUUAGCAAUUUAAACCUCACAACUAUAAAAAUGCAAGUGAAAAUAGAAGUGAAGGUGGAAAUUCUUUGGUUGGUCAGAUGAGAGGACUUGGUAGAGAUAAUUUUUAGAUGUAAGUAAGUAGAAAUGUUUAUAGGAUGGCGAAAGAAUUAGUAAAGAAAUUUGUUGAAUGUAACACAAAAAUUUCUUAGAUGAAUUGGUAAAGAAAUUUGUUGGAUGUAAUGGAGAAAUUUAUUAAUAAUCACAUGAUUAGUAGUAGAGAAUUUUCUGGAUGGCCAUAUAUAAAUGUGAAUAGUGGACAAUUUCUUAGAUGUCACACAAUUAGUAGAAUAGAGAAUUUUCNNNNNNNNNNNNNNNNNNNNNNNNNNNNNNNNNNNNNNNNNNNNNNNNNNNNNNNNNNNNNNNNNNNNNNNNNNNNNNNNNNNNNNNNNNNNNNNNNNNNAAAGAAAUUUGUUGGAUGUAAUGGAGAAAUUUAUUAAAUAAUCACAUGAUUAGUAGGUAGAGAAUUUUCUUGGAUGGCCAUAAUAAUUAAAUGUGAAUAGGUGGACAAAUUUCUUAGAUGGUCACACAAAUUAGUAGAUAGAGAAUUUUCUUCUAUUGUCAUAAUUGAAUAUGAAUAGGUGGACAAUUUCUUAGAUGGUUACAUGAAUUGCUAGGUGAGAAUUUUCUUGGAUGACCACAAUCAUUGAAUGUGAAUAGGAGGAAAAGUUUCUUGGAAGGUGACAAAGAUUGGUGGAAAAAUUUUCAAUCAAGUUGAGAAAUUUCUUCCAUGAUAACAAGAAUUGAUGGGGAAAUUUCUUAAAGGUGGAUAAUUAGGUUGAGAAUUUUUUUGGAUGGCAACAAGAAUUGGUGAAGAAAUAUUUUGGAAGGAUAGAGGAAACUACAAAAAGUUCCAUUUGUUUCAAACAACAUUAAAAGUGUGUUUAGUAAUGUUUUCAUUUGAAGUACUUUUAGUGAAUGUGUUUUUUUUAGAAAUAUUUUUGGAAGAAUCACUUGUAAAGUGUUUUAGGAAACAUUACAAGCGAUUUUUUAACAUUUUAAAUGUGUUUUCUAAAUUUUAUUAAAUACUUGGUUUUUCUUUUAAAAAAAAAUGUUUUUUGGUUUUAUGCUAGAAGUGAAUUUUUAAAUUUUAUCAAAUAUAUGAUUUUUCUUCAAAAACGUUUUUUAUGCUAUAAGUGCUUUAUAAAAGCACUACCAUGACCUUGACCUUUUGCCUCUAAUAAGGCUAAAGUGAUGACUAGUUGGUGAUUGCGUAUCUCUGCUAGUUUUAGCAAGUGAAUGUGCUCGCUUACUUGCUUUGCUAAAAAUGCAAUGAAUGUCUUUGCUUUGCUGUAGUCAUAGGACUCAUAGAGGUGUUGUGUCUUAACUUUGCAUACUAGAAAUUUGUACGCGUAAAAUUUGAAAGUCCUAUAAAAAAUAAGUAAAAAGAUGAGAAAAAUAUAUAAACAAAAUUAUUUGUAUUAGAAAAUUUUGAAGGUACAAUUUUCUAGAAUAAUAUUCUUUACAAAAUAAUAAUUUUUUUCUUAUUUGAUCACAAUCCAUAAAAAUAUAUAAACAAAAUUAUUUGUAUUAAAAAAAUUUUAAGGUAAAGUUUUUGGCUUAUUAUCAAAUUACUUUUGUUGAACUUUGAAUACAUAUUUAGUAUUUUGUAUGCUUCCCCAAAUUUACAAGAAUAUCUUAUGAAACCUCUUUUUAGUUCUCUUUUAAAUUUGAGAUCUCAAAUACUUUAUUGCUCAAAGCCCUAGAGCUUAAGGAAUACCACAGAGAACCGCUAACAUAUAUGCAUUUUGACGCUAAGUAUGGAAAACAAAAAAACAUAUUCUUUUUCUAAAAAAUUUAUAAUAUAAAAUAAAAUAAAAUAAAAUAAUAUUUUAAAAAAUUAUAAAAUUAGUUAAAAUUAAAUAAUUUAAUUUUACUUUAGUUUCAAUAUAUUUACAUUUAAAUACCAUAUAUAUUUCAUUUAAUAAUAUUUAAAAUAUUAUUAUAUUUAUACUUAUGCAUGAUUUAAUUUAAUAAUAUUAAAGAUAAAAAAUAAAUAUUAUUGAUUUUUAAUUUGGUUAUAUAUAUUUUAAAAUUUUUUAUUAUUUUUAAAUUUAAUAAUAUAUAAAUUAUAUAUUUACCAUAUCAUCAAUUCUAGGUGAUUUAACUAUUAGUCUAACUAGUGAACCGUGAACCAAUAAUUUUUUCGAUUUAUUAUCCGAUCUGAUUCCAAAAACAUUGUUUAAUAUUUAAUAUUUCAAUUUUAUGUUAUUAAUGAUCUCAUUAGAAUAUUAUCAAGGUUUUUAUCAGAAUUAAUUGUUAUGUUGUUAUUUUUCCAAAAUAAAUUUUUUUUCUUCUUAAAAACUAAGUUUCUUCCCACACUAAAUUCACUACUUCAAGUUAAUAAAAUCAUUUCCUCUUAUUCCAGGUAGCUUUUAUUUAUUUAUUUUAAGUUACAAUAUUUAUCAAUAAUGAAAUUUGUCUAUAAAAUAUUAAAAAAUAAAUACAUCACUAAUUCUAAAUAUAUCAAUCCAUCCCCUUAUUCUUUAAAUUAUUUUAAUUUUUAAUUUUUAAAAUUUAUAUUUAUAUUUUUUUAUUUUAUUUUUAGUUUUAUAUUUAUUUUUCACUUCUCGAUCAUAAAUUUUCUUUUUUAUUUACUUUAAUUUUUUAUUAUUAUUUCUUGUUGAUGUCCUUAUAUAUAUAUUCGAAAAAAUAUAUAAAACAUAAUAAUAAAAUAGGAGAGCAUGAAUAAAUUAAGUGAAGGAAAAAAAUGUUAAAUAAAAAAUAAAAAAAAUAAAACUUGNGGGAGAAGUAAUUGAAUAANNNNNNNNNNNNNNNNNNNNNNNNNNNNNNNNNNNNNNNNNNNNNNNNNNNNNNNNNNNNNNNNNNNNNNNNNNNNNNNNNNNNNNNNNNNNNNNNNNNNAAAAUAAAAACUUGGUGGAGAAGUAAUUGAAUAAUCGAAAUUCAAUUACUUUCCCGUCACUUUUCAGAAGUUGACAAAAAGCCACCUCCUUCCCAACUUUUUAUAUUAUAAAUUAGGGUUGCUCACUAUCCUCAAUAAAAAUCAAGUCACAAAUUAUGAGGUACAAUUGUUUGAAGUAAUAUUUUUUUAUAAAAAGAAUAUUCUUUUAUUGGAUGAUUUUAAUCACAGUCCAAAGAAUGAUGAUACCAGUUUCUUCUUCAAAUUGACAUCCAAUUCAAGACUUAUUUUUGAAUGACAUUUGUUGAAUUUUGGGAAUGAUGAAGAAGAUAUGUAUAGUAUUUAAAUUAUUCCUCAAUUAUAUAUGUAUAUAUGUAUAUAGAAAAGAUUAUUUUUUAAUAUUUAAUAUUUGAAAUUUAUUUUAGUAAUGAUCUCUUUAGAAUAUUAUCACGAUUUUUAUUGGAAUUAAUUGCUACUUUCUUAUUCUUCCUUCUUCCAAAAAAUAAAACUAUUUUUUUGCUUUAAAAAUAAAGCCCUUCCAAUACUAAAUUGACUACUUCAAAUUAAUAAAAUAAUUUCUUCUUAUUUUAGUUUACUACAAUUGGUCAAUAAUAAGAUUUAUCGAUAGAAUAUUAGAAAAUAAAUAUAUUAUUAAUUCUAAAUAGAUGAACCCAUUCUUCUUUAAUAAAUUUUAUUAUAAUUAUUUAAUAAACAAUUAAUAUCUACCUAUUUUAUGAUUUUAUUUUAAAACAUUUAUAUUUAUUUAAAUAAUUAUAUUAAUUGGUAAAAUCAUAUUUGUUUUCUUAGAGAGAGGAUAAGAUUAAAUUUUAUUAUUUGUUUAAAAAAACAUAACAUUUCAAAUUGUAAUUCAAAGACAUACAAUCUAUAUCAAGUUUUAUAAUAAAUUAAUACAUUAUUUAUUUAUUUCCUAUAUUUAUUUUUAUUAAUAGCUAACUUUGUUUAAAUUUGAAGUUAAGUCUUAUAAUAAUUUAAUAAAUUUAUUAUUUAUUUUUAUAUAUUUGCUCUUAUUAAUUUUUUUCUUCUUCUUUUUUAUCAAUAAAUUAAAAUAUGAAUUCAAAUAUAUAACGAUUGUUUUUAAGAUAUUGAAAUUAGAAGGAUUAUCAUAUGUCUAUACAUAUCUUCUAAUAUUAAUAUUUGGAAUAAAAAGUUUAGAUAAUACAUAAUAAGUAAUUAAUUAUUUCUUAUUAAAUUAAUUAGUCAUAAUGAAUAUAAUUAUAAUUAAUUUAAUUUAUUGUUUACUAUUAAAUAAACAAGCAUAUUAUAUUAUUUGUAGAAUUUUGAAAAGUAAAAUACCUAUUCAAAUAAGAUUUAUAAAUUUUAUAAAAUUAAAUCAAGAAAAAGUAUACUUUAAUCAUAGUUUUCUUCCAAAUAUGGAAGUGGGGACAUUUAUGAAUAUUGACAAAAAGAAUAGACCUUUGUGACACAUCAUAAUUAGAAAAUAAGUAAGUUUUAAAUUAAAAAGAAACUUUAAUUUUAAGUUAGAUAAUUAUUUGAAUUUUAAAAUCAAUGUAUCAUUAUCUACAAUUUUAUAUAAAUAUAGAAAUUAUUUAGAGUGAAAAAGGAAAAGAAAAAAAGAGUUGGAUAGUAUUUUCUAGUUUUGUUGUGAUGAUAAUUAGUCAUCACCAAAUCUAUCAAAAGAACAAUAUCUUCAUUAGGAAAAUGAAGUAAAACAAUUAUUAUUUUUUGUCCUAUAUAUAUAUAUAUAUAUAUAUAUAUAUAUAUAUAUAUAUAUAUAUAUAUUUAUUUAUAUAUAUUUCAUUUCAUAAAUUGAAUUUUUUAAAAAUAAAAAAUAAUAAUUUAGAUUACCAAAAAGUUUAUAUUUUAAUUUUAUAUAUUUAAUAAAUAAUAAUUUUAUCAUCAUUAAUAUUUGUUUGUGAUGAAUAUCUUUUUUAUUUUUCUUUUAAUUAAAAAAUGGAAAUGGAAAAGAGGAUGUGAUUGGAAUUUCUUUUUAAAUUUAUUAUUUUCAUUCAAAUAAGUGUAAUUAUUUUAUACCCUACAAUUUCUUUAUUUUUCACUCUUCAAACGCCAAAAAAAAUUCUAAUUGUAAAGAAAAAAUUGAAUUAUUUAUAUGAAUUCUAUAGCUAUUCAUAAUAGUAAAAAAAAUUAUUAAAAAUCAUUAUCUAAGCAUACUUCUUAUCUAUAAUUCAAUAUAAAUAAAAAAGUUAUUUACAAAAAACAAAAAUAAAUUAAACUCUUUUUAAGGAUUUUACUAAAUACCCUCAUAAAAAAAAUAUCCUCAUGUUUCAAAAGUUCAUUGAAAUACAAUUUUCGCAUAGUAAUUGAAGGAGAUAUUGACAAUUGUGCAAACAAGUUUGAAGCAUUUCUAAAAAGGAAUCGACAAAUUUGAGAAAAGAGUUAGGGAAAGUUGUGUUUUCAUGGACCAAUUUGCUAAAUAUAUGGUUUUUGGAACCCAGAUUUAUGGAAUAUGAAAAAUAUAUUUCAAUGUGGAAACUUAUAUCAGAUUCAUGCACUCUGAGCCUGCUGUAUUUUUUCUACCGAAAUUGCCCCUCCAGGUAUCCACAUCAGCAACCCAUCUCAGCAAGGGUUGAAACUGAACCGGUUGAAAACUCCAAAAUCAAAUGUUAAGCUUCCCACAAAAACACCUAGCCGACGGUUCUUUCUUCCCUCUUUCUCAUUUGAUACCCAUUCCUCUCAGUUGUCUUCACUCCGUCACCAAGGCGAUUUGAGAUUCCCAGAAAAACGGUGUAGCCGACGCUUGAAGACCCUUGCCGACGGUUCUUUCUUCCUUCUCUCUCAUUCCAUACCCAUUCUUCUCAUCUGUCUUCACUUCGUCAGCGAGGCGAUUUGAGCUUCCCAGAAAAACGGUUAGGUCUUUCUUCCCUCUCUCUCAUUCCUUACCUGUUCCUCUCAUCUGUUUUCACUUUGUCACGGAGGCGAAGCAGAGAACCAUGUAGAGUGUUAAAAAAGUUCUGUCAUUUCAGUUGAGAAUGGCUUAAUCCCAUUUGUUUCAUCUCAGAUUUUCUGUCUCGAGGUAACGCAUUCCUUCCUUCUGUCAUUUCAGUUGAGAAGGGCUUAAUCCCAUUUGUUUCAUCUCAGAUUUUCUGUCUCGAGGUAACCCAUUCCUUCCUUGUUUUGCAUUCGCAUUUACAUUCACGUAAAUAUGUUGUUUGUGUGGGUUUUUUAUGAACUAGGUGUGGCUCAAAUGUUGGCAUUUAGGAGUUGGUACUAAAUUUUUAAAUCUAUUCGUAAUAAAUCAUCAUCAAUUUUUUCAAUUCCAUGCAUUUUUUGAGUUUUUACUGUUUUAUUUGGAUUGGCAAAUUCUCGAAAAUCUAUUGUUUUGAUAUAAAAUGAAGGCAAGAAUAUGGGUUGGGAAUUGUUUUUGUUGUGGUUUAGAAUUGGGAAAAACAUAUUUUGAAUUGGUUUGCCAAAAAAGGAAUUUUUUUUUCCCCAAACUGUUUUUGGGUAUUGGGAAACAAUGCAUUUUUAGUGAAACCCAUUUAUUGGAUUGUGUUUUUGGAUUGGGUUAUGCAGUGGAUUACCAAAAUGGAACACUUUUUGGGGAUGAUGUAUUUCUUUUGAGAGCGAAAUAAGUGCUUCUGAAAUGGUGAUUUAUAGAUUCGAAAUUACUCAUGUUUUUGGGUUUUUGUGAUAUUCAUGGUUAGUGGGUGCUAACGUUUUCGUUGUUGUUUUUUUAUUUUUAUUUUGUAUUUGUUUUAUAUGUAUAGUUUAAAUUCACGGCCCAUUUCUUCAAAUAUUUUUGGUUAGUAUAUGUUACUCUUCUUGUUGAUUAGUAAUUGAUAUUGAUUUAGAGAUCUCUUCUCGUUGCUCUCGUUGUCAUAUGUCUGGCCACAAUAGAAAAACCUGCAGGAAACCUUUGCCCUAAAUGCAUAUUUGUCACCUUAUUGCAUUAUGUAGAUCUUGUCUUACUCUAUUUCAAGUAUCUUUAGUGAAUUGGUUGUCACCAAAUCAGCGUUACUAUGUUCAUUGAGUUAAGUUAUAUUGCUUUGAUUAUUAAUUUCUUUCACAAUGUCCGAACUAUGGUUGCACUACAGUUUGUUUUAUUGGUAUUUACUCCAACCGCAUGUAUUGCCUCCCAUUACAUUGCUUAAACCAAUUUAACCAAACUGCAGCAUAUGUUUCCAUGUAUAAAGACUACUGCUUUGUUGUACUAUAUAGUACGCCUACGCAAUAACAUGAAUUGUAUACCAUUGAAUCAAUGUAUUUUGUUAUUCUUAGUUUUUCCCUCAUUUCCCCUUUCUGUCGCCGCCACAGCUUAUCUUCACUUGUUUGUUAGUCUUCUCAUAGUUUUGACAGUUCCGAUUUGUUCAUUAGUGCAUACUGACUUUAAACUAAUUGUACAGGAGCGUGUUGAAAAUUUGGGAAACAUUUUUUUCCAUCAGUGUUCAUAGUUUUCUUCUUCAUGUUUCAGAGCUGUUGAUCUUGUGCUAAACCAAUGACAUUAAUAUAUAUCACAAUAAUCUAUUUGAAGUCAUACGUGUCUCAUUUUUACUCCUUUGUACAACUUUCAUAUCCAUAGGCUUCAAUGUUCAUAAGGCCAUUGAUUACUUUGUAGGUUUCGAAACUCGCCGAUUCAGUAUCGCCAUCCAAACAUACUGAUUAUACACAUGGCAACAGAAAAGAGAAAAAGGAAGGAGCAUGUUCCACCAACAUGCACACAGGUGGGUAAAACAGAUUUCAUUGAACAAUGGCUCCAAUCUUCAAAUUCAGCUUAAUUGGAAAUUUGCAUAUAUUGGAUUUUUUUUGUCACUAACCCAUAUUUCAUUUUAACUGUAGGUUAAGCUUCCUAAGUCCCGAUGUUCUGGGAAGAAAUUCAUAACUGCCAUUGCACGCCUAGCCCCUGAAAAAUAGCAAGCCAUUAGAGAGAUGGGCUUUGGGGGCCUACUGACUUUUGCUUGCCACGAACUAAGAUAUGAGCUAUGCGGGUGGCUCAUAUCUCAAUAUGACUUUACCUACCAUAGACUUAAUAUGGAAACCGGCAAUGCUAUCACUGUCAAUGAAGAACAUGUCAACAAAGUGAUGGGCAUCCCUAACUUCGGGGUAGACGUGGUUAUCCUUAAGAGAACAACCCCGUCCAAUCGCACAUACACUCUCAGGGUACUGGAGCAAAACCUUGAGAACUUGCCCGUGUGUGAUGAAUUUUUAAAAUCAUUUUUAAUUUUUUCAUGUGCCACUCUACUGGCACCUAAUUCAAAGCUUGAAGGAAGCCAUGACCUUUGGGACACCAUAUGGGAUGGUGAUGUUGGUGUCCAAAGGAAUUGGGAAAAGUUUCUGCUGAAACACUUAGAAGAUGGAAUCAAGGAAUAUCGACAAAAGCAGCCUACUUACAUCCGAGGCUGCCUCAUGUUCCUCCAGGUACAGUUUAGGCUCCAACCCCUUUUGCAAUUAGUAUGAACUUAGUUUACAUUUUAAUUUGAAUGUCAUGCUUACUGCAAUUUGCUGUUUUAAUGCUCCUUGUUUCAUAUACUUCCCUUGGACAGCUGUUCUACAUGGCAUACUUCUACAUGCCAUCAGUCAAUGUUGAAGUGACCAGCCCGCUAGCUGCUGCAUGGACUGACGAUGUAAUGAAACGCCGAUUAGCAGCUGAAAUAUCAACAUUCGAUGGUUAUGGAUAUGUGCAUGUAUGCUCUAACUUAACAAAGCUUUCCCUACUAGUUAAAUUACCAUAUUAGCCUCGCACCAGUAAUAACCAAUUUGUUGAUUCCCUCAUUUAAAUAAUGAUGCAAGACACAGGCACAGGAGCGAGCACAAAGCACAACCAAUAUGAAUAUACCAUCAGUAGCCUCAACCUCUACAGCUGAUGACGAGGCUACAGAGGUAGUUCUUCUUCACUAACCACUCAUACAAGUUCUUCUAUACAAUGCAUACAAUACUAUUCUAAAACUAUUCUGUUUUCCACUAUGUAAUAGGUAAUUGAAGCCCGUGUCAUUGACACAUCGGAGAGUAUGGUACGAUUAGCUUCCUCUCUGGCGCGGGAUGUUGCUGCACUAUGUUCCCGCCGAAGUGGACCAGAGGGGAUAUCUUCAAUCCCUUGCCCAAAAGCACAGCACCACGCUGAAUAUCAACCAAUGCGCGAAACACCGGGCAAGCAGACGUCAGCUGAUGAAAUGGAACCACAAGAUAACCUCGCACCAACCCCCCAUUCUCCAAUUGGAAUGGAACCGUCACCAGAAGCCACUCAUUCCGAGCCAAUGGCCCCACAGUCUCAUGCAGAGGCAUCGCUUCCACCACAAGUGACAACAGAAGAAGUGCGAGAAUGUGAUAGGGUAGGUGGGAGUGGUAAUCAAGCCAUUAAACCUUCAUCUAUCAACAGAUUUAAGCGGACUUGUAAGAGGAUAGUGAAGCGUCCUCCCACUUGCAAAAGUCCAUUUGUCACCCAAUGCGUUAAACAAUUCCCUAAAAUCCCCCAUGCUCAUCGGGUAGUAGCAGAUUACGCUUUGGCAGAAAUUGGUGAUCCUAGGUACAUUUCAUUUUUCUAAAAAUAAUUCUUGCAAUCAUUUAAUAUGUGAAUAACUUUACAUCAUUAUGACAUUAUUCAUUUUCAAUCAUUCUAGCGAGAUUUUAUGCGAGAUGUAUGGGAUGUACAUUACCCGAGAAGAAAUUUCUUGUCUAAAUGCAGGGCGGUGGGUUAAUUCAGUAGUAAGUUACUUAUCUUUAUGUUGAAUUAAAUUCAAAAUUAAUAGGUCAUAUAAUGUAUAAAGUGUUGAUGGGGUUGUAAAAUAUGUUCAUUUCUACAACUUUGCCAAAUUGUGGCGAUUGUCUCUCGCAUGAUGAAUGGACAGCAAGCACCACCAGCGCGCACACACUAUUUUGAUCCUUCGUUCUCGGUGAACCCUCUAAUAUCCUAAAUUGACAUAGUCUCAAAAUAGAAUAGCAUUUGUUGAUGUUUGUAUUGAUAACCCCACUCGUGAACAGGUGAUUCUGACCAACUUGAAAACAAAUGCAACCAGCCAAGUGAUCAUGGAUAGAUGUCGCAUGUAUCUGGAUGCUGGUAUAUUGGGCCAUGAUUUGGGGACAUGUGACAUGGUAAAUAACGGUUGUUAAAUUUCAUUUCCAUAGUAAUAUAUGCAAUGGCAUUGGACAUGACUAUUAUCUUAUACCAUAAAAGGUAAUAACUCUUUUAUGAUCAUGCAGAUGUUCAUCCCAGUUUGUGAGAACAAUCACUGGCACAUGCAUGUAGUUAAUUUUGCAGCUGGACGAGUUGAAAUUCUUUCAUCUUUGCCCUUGAGGCGAGGAAACAGUAUUAGUGCUGCAACAAAGCGAUUAUCUAUGGCAAUCAAUAAAGCACUGCAUGCAUAUGCAAUUCAUAUGGACGUGGAUGUCUCGACUUUUGAGCAUGUCCAACCACACCUUGUGCAACAACUGAAUGGGUAAAAUAUUCAUAUAUUCUAACCAAAACGGACAUUUGAGGUGAAUUUUUUUUCUUAGAUUUCUAUGAUAUACAUGACAAGCCUAAAUGUGAUGUGUUAUAGGUUUGACUGUGGUAUCCUUGCCCUAAAAUUCAUGAAAUUUUGGAAUGGGGCCACCUUAACUACUUCAGUGGCAGAGGUUAGAGCUAGUUUACAUCCUAAUUGGUUUUGUUUUUUUUUAAAAAAAAAAACAGUAUAAAAUAAGUUUUUCCCAUUUCUGUAGGACAAGCUCAACAUGUACAGACUCCAGCUUGUUGUGGAACUAGUGCUCAAUGAACGCAACACUGUUAGAGAUAAAAUUAUGGCCUCCUGUCAUUUGUGACUUCAUGGUUGAUGAUAAGUUUUUUCCUAUCUGAAGCUACUUACCAUAUAAAGCAAUACUUGAUUGUAGUUUGUCCACAAAUGACUGAAUUCAUAUCCUGUUAUGUGAUGAUGUGAUUUUGUUCCCAUUCUAAAACCAUUAUUUAUGUUCUAUAUUUAUUGUAUCUUAUUAAGUAUACCACAUCCCAUUGUAAUAGUGACAGUAUGGUGAUGCUGAAUGUCAGAACUUUAUGUACAACAAUGGGCAACGCGUAAGGGAAAGAAAGACUGCAUGGUGAUGCUAUUGCUAUAGCUUACAAGAGGGAGUAAUAUCAGAAUGAGUCAUAUGUUAUCCUCUUUCUUCGGAUUGUAUGAAGCAAACUUGGUUUACCAUAUGAUCAAAAUUAGGUUUAUUUGGUUUGUUGACUAUAUUACAAACAUUUGGCUGAUGUACACAUUCCAAGGACUAUGUUUGUGUUUUGUUUUAUACAGGAAAUCCUAAUAUAGAUAAGGCAUUUGUUACAUAUCCUUUCAAUUUUUUCCCUGUUCCAUCCCAAUGUCCUCUCCAAAUAUAGUUCAAAAAUAAUGAUCCUUUGUUGAAGUAGAAUGUUACAAACCAUGGUGACAAAUUUAGGUGUCAUGGGUGAUGGUGAAGACAUUGGAUGGUAUUCGUAAUGAAUCAUUGAAGACUAUUGGCACUGGUCAUUUUUUUAGAUUGUCAUGUGCUGAGAUAAUUCUUUGUUACAUAUCACGAGUUUUUUUUCUUUUAGUUAAUAAUAUUAAGUGAUGAUCUGGCAUUUCAUCAUGUUCUUAAUAUUUGGCUUAGCUCUUACUCAUGAAGAAUAUUUCUCCUCAUCCUUCGGUCCCUAACUUAACAUCAUUAGGGAAAUGAGAAUUCUAAUGUUGAUCUUGUAGGGCUGGCACUCGCUCUCCCAAAGAAAGAGCAUCCCCAUUUGCAAAAAGUUAUAUAGGGUUCCAAAAUGGUUUUGCAUGUAGCAUGUUUUGCUUCCAACAAUCUAUAGGUUGUGAUAGGCAAAUAAAUAUAUGUUACAAAACCAAAAAAAAAAAUUGGUUCACAUGAUCACAUUCCAUAUCCAACCACAACCCUUCAAAAUCUAGAUGAAUACCAAAAUGGGAAGACAACUGUUUACUUAAAUAAAUAGUCACAACAAAAUAUUGACAAAAGAACAACAUUUCUCGAAUGUCCAUUUAGGUAGUACAUGAGGUACAUUAAGGUAGUACCUAAGGGUCUUAAGGUCGUACCUCAUGUGCAUUAAGGUAGUACCUUCAAUUUCUGAUGAUUACAUAAGCUAUCGAAUGAGUCAGCAAGAGGAACAUAACAAUGGCAUGCUGUAAAUAUUAAUGCAAUGAACUAAUUGUAGCUUAAGUUAUAGAAGAGCAACAUUUCUCCAAGGUGCCUUAAGGUAGUACUUGAGGUACAUUAAGGUAGUACCUAAGGUUAUUAAGGUAGUACCUCAUGUGCAUUAAGGUAGUACCUCCAAUUUUUUAUGAUUACAUAACUGACCGAAUGAGUGAGCAAUAAGAAUAUAAUAAUGGCAUGCUGUAAUAUGUAAUGCAAUGAACUAAUUCUGACUUAAAUCAUAGAAGAGCAUCAUUUCUCUAAGGUGCCUUAAGGUAGUACCUCAGGUACAUUAAGGUAGUACCUCAUGUCAUUAAGGUAGUACCUCAUGUGCAUUAAGGUAGUACCUCAAAUUUUUUAUGAUUACAUAACCUACCGAAUGAGUAAGUUAUAAAAACAUAACAAUGGCAUGCUGUUAUAUGUAAUGCAGCAUGACAUUGUUAUGUUCUCAUAGGUUACUCCAACGGUACCUUAUGUAAUCAUAAGAAAUUUCAGGUACUACCUUAAUGCACAUAAGGUACUACCUUAAUGGUCUUCAGGUACUACCUUAAUGUACAUAAAGUACUACCUUAACGAACCUGCGAGAAAUGUAGCCACUUUGUGGCUUUAGAUUUUUAUUAGUUAAUUUCAUGACCUAUUGCAGCAUGACAUUGUUAUGUUCUCAUAGGUUACUCCAACGGUACCUUAUGUAAUCAUAAGAAAUUUCAGGUACUACCUUAAUGUACAUAAGGUACUACCUUAACGCACCUGCGAGAAAUGUAGCCACUUUGUGGCUUCAGAUUUUUAUUAGUUAAUUUCAUGACCUAUUGCAGCAUGACAUUGUUAUGUUCUCAUAGGUUACUCCAACGGUACCUUAUGUAAUCAUAAGAAAUUUCAGGUACUACCUUAAUGCACAUAAGGUACUACCUUAAUGGUCUUCAGGUACUACCUUAAUGUACAUAAGGUACUACCUUAACGCACCUGCGAGAAAUGUAGCCACUUUGUGGCUUCAGACUUUUAUUAGUUAAUUUCAUUACCUAUUGCAGAAUGACACUACCUUAAACCAUAUUCGAUAAAUUUUACUCUCCCGACAAUUUUUCACUCUCAAUAUUUAUUUAAUCAUACUGUUGUUUUCUCAUUUUUCUGGUUAUGUCAAGUUACGAUGGUUGUGGUUGGAUACGGAAGGUGAUCAUGCGAAGCAAAUAUUUAUUGGUUUUCUACCACAUUUAUUUUUUCUAUAACAACCUGUACAUGGUUUGAAGCAUAAAAUUAGCAAAAUGCACAAUCAUUUAGGAACCCUGAGUAGCCCGUGCCAAUGAGAAUGUGCAAUAGUCCUGAACCCUGGUAGUAAAUCACCAAUAACAUUAACACAAGAUGAUAUGUAAAAGCUUACACAAUAAGUAAAUAUGAAAGGAAAGUCGUCAAACAAUUUACUAAUGUGUGUAUGGAAGGAUAAACUGAAACUGCAUCAGUGUACAAACAAAUAGGUUCCAAUCUAUGUUUGUUGUUCUCUUAUGAAAGUAGUACCAUACCCCAUAAUCAACCUAUCACUGUGGAUCACAUCUUACAAUCACAGUUGUUGUCCAAUCAGUCGCCAAUACAACACUGACCAGCACCCUUAACUAUAAUAAAAGAACAAAUACUGAGUGUUGUCCAUGUUCCUACUCCCUUACUUUACAAUAUUGAAGGAAAAAUGAACAGCCCUAUUACAUUGCUGUGACUGCAUCCCAUAUGCUCCAGCAGCAGGAUUACCAGGUACUCUUCCUUUCCCUUACACGUUGGCCAUUCUUGUACAUAAAGUCCUCAUAUUCAGCAUAAUUCAUUUUAACUGUUACAAUGGGAUGUGGAAUACUUCAUCAGAUACAUCACAUAUAGAACAUAAAUAAUGGUUUUACAAUUGUAACAAAUCACAUCAGCACACAACAUGAUAUGAAUUAAUAAAUUUUGGACAUACUUAAAUCAACCCUUGGUCAUUUUGGUACGUAGCAGCAGAUAGGAAGAAACUUAUCAUGAACUAUGAAGUCACAAAUGACAUGCGGCCAUGAUUGUAUCUCUGACACUGUUGCAUUCAUUGAGGACUAUUUGCAGCUCUAGCUGGAGUCUGUACAUGUUCGUCUUGUCCUACGGAAAUGGGAAAAAAUUAUUCCAUGCGGUUGGGAAAAUAACACUCAAAUCAAAGGACAAAUAUGCACAUAAUUAAAUGAAACAGGCUAGCUGACACUGAUAUUAGCAACCAGCCUCUGAAAAAUGCCACCAAAUGAUGCCACUCAUUCAAAGUAUUUAUUUUCGGAUAAUUAAAUGAUGCCACCAAAUGAUACAUGGGAACACAAACUGCAGUAUGGUUGAAAUGGCUUAAGCAAUGUAAUCUUACCAAAUACAUGGGAUUUGAGUAAAUACCAUUAAAACAAGAUGUGGUGCAAACAUAGUUCGGACUUUGUGAAAGAACUGAAUCAGCAGAGAAAUAUAAUGUAACUCAAUGAACAUUGGAGGUGAAUGGAAAGGCACAAAACAUUCAAAUAGUAACGAUGAUUGGGUGACAACCAGUUAGUUGAAAUAGAGUAAUACAAGAUCAGCAUAAUGCAAUAAGUAGACAGAUAUGCAUUUAGGGCAAAGGAUUUUUGCAGGUUUUUCUAUUGUGGCCGGACAUAUGACAACGAGAGCAAUAAACAGGUCGUUUAUCUUGAAAUUGAGACUCAAUGCGCUUCUUCCUUGGCCUUCCGAGAGGGCGCUUUGUAUGUGGAGGCUUUAGAGAGAAGAACACCUCCCCGGUGAUAGAUCGAACCAAACCAUCAUCGUCCACAGUAGGCAUGUCAUGGGUCUCUAUGCCGGAGAAAGAGCCCCCAUAUAUCAACUCUUGCAUUGGGUAUUUGUAGCAAUCAUCGACGAAAUCAGUAACAUUUUGACCAAUGGAAAUAAUGACGGCUGUGGCAUGCUCACAAGGGAUUCCCAACAUCUGCCAACCCCUACAAGUGCAUGUAUGGUUCAGAAUGUCUACAUUCAACAAGGCUCUCCCGAUACAUACCCCAAAUACUCCAUUCUUGAACGGUGUGACUGGAUACACCGCACCCUUUGCAAUAUUUUCCUGCACCUUAGCUUCAAUUUUUGGCCCUAUACACCCUUUCCAAUUCUUAGACUCUUCUUGAUGCUUCACAAGCAUAGAAGCUAACUUGGACAUGUGCUCCAAUAAAAAGUUACAAAUAGAGUGAUGUCUUUCAAUCCGUAACCAAGCAUUAAAUGACUCGGCAAGGUUCGUAGUCAUUUUAUCCCAUCUUUGUUUUGGGAAUUUUGACAUGGCCCAAUGGUGCGGCGCAUUUUCUUCAACCCAUGUGGCUAAAGCCUCGUUGUAUUUUUUUAGUUCAACCAUGGAAACGUUAUAAUCAUGUUCUAGCCUUCCAUACGCAAUGCUAUCUAGGAAUUGCAAUGCAUUUUCUUUACCCUUGUUCCCUCGUGUGUUAUGCUUGGACAAGAAACUACUAAAAUUCUCCUUUAGGUGACGGUAGCAAUAAGCAUGGUUUUCAAUGCCAAACACCUCAGGAACACUACGAAGCAAAGCAUGAUGUCUAUCUGAGAUAAUAAUAACUUCCUUGUUUCCCACAACUAUCUUCAGUUUUUCCAAGAACCAUAACCAAUCUUCAUAAUUUUCCGAGCUCAUCACUCCAAAGGCUAAGAGGAACAUGGAGUCAUUAGCAUCGUAAGAGGUGGCUGAAAAUAGAGCACCGCCAUAAGGCCCACUCAUAUGGGCCGAAUCAAUUGCAAUGAUUGGUCGACACCCCCUUACAAACCCUUCGAUAGAUAUUGAAUGAGCAACAAAAAGCUUCUCAAAAUGGUCAUCAUUGGAAUAACUCAGCUCAACACUCGAUCCCGGAUUUGUUGCAAGCAUUCUUUCACACAUCCAUGGCAACAAUUUGUAAUAAUUCUUGGGUUGUCCAUAAAUGCGCUCCUUAGCCUUCUCCUUCAUUUGCCAUGCUUGUAGGUAAGUUAACUGGAUGCCAUGUUGCCUUACAAAGUCCUUACAAAUUUGGCGUGGUUGGUAUUCAGGAGUAGAUCGAAUGACAUCAUCAAUGACCAACGAUGCACGAGUGGAUCUCACUAAAGGCUGAGACAAGACAACAUCUUCCAAGCAAUGGUUAUGCACAUUUCGGAAUGUGUGUACUUGAACAAUGUUUGAAUCCCCUAUUGCACGCGCAGUGAUUUUCCAAGGACAAUCUUCAAUUGUGCAUACUACGGUCAUGUGUUUUGGACUAUUCCUUUUGUAAGAAUAUCGAAAUUUUCCAGCCAAAGACAUCAAAUAGAUUGCAUCUCGAAACUCCGACGCAUUUGGGAAGGUAUGUCCACUACCUACAAUUGAAUGUUCGAACCGGCUUGGUUGAAGUUGAACGGUAUUUGUCAUAGCACAUCUUUGGGAAAACCCAACUGACUGAAUUGUGGGCGACUCAUUAGAGAUGUGUAAUGGGGGCUGGCCAAUAGAGGAAACAUGAGCUGAGUUUGAAGCAACAAUGGGGGUUGGGCCACUGCAAAAAACAUAAGGAAAAAAUUUGAUCAUCCAUCAAUCUAAGUGUGAAAAGCGAUUAUACAAAAGGGAACAUUAUUGUGGAAGGACAUUAGGCACCUAGUAGGGCAAAUGAAGUCAUCACCACAUUCAGUACAAUGGGAGAUGUAGACAUGACAAAACAUGUCGUUGAAUUUGAACAUAUUGACUAUGUCGCCAUCAUUAUGCAGUGGCAAUAGACAUGAUGGGUCAAACUUGACUGUGAAUUCCAAUUUAAUGGAAUUGGAAUCCAAGUUCAAUACACCACAUACUUUUGAAACGAAUUCAGAUUGUGAGAUAUUCUUGCUAACAACACUGCAAUUGGUCCGACCUCCCUUAUAUUCGACGGACCCAACAGCAGUCUUAACAAGCUCACCACCUUCAUGAAUGUAACAAAACAUCUCCUCUUCCAUUUUCUUAUUGACAUAAAGAUUUGUUAAAAAUAAUACAACAAUGAAAGAUUGAGGAAUUAUGCAUGUUGAUUCCAUAGACUUUAAGGUUCAAACAUGCUAAUUAGCUGAUGCACACAAUUAAGGUUCAAACAUGCUAAUUGGCCGAUGCACACAAGUAGUGUACAAGUCCAACUACGGUAGUACCUAAGGAUAUCUAACCUAGUACUUAAAGAUUACUAAGGUUAGACCUAAGGUUAAUUAAGAUAGUACCUAUGGUACAGUCUCAAGUAAAGGUACGGGGGAACCAAAUGAGCAGAGUAGUCAAACACAUAAUGUCAUGAUAGCUUGUAUGUGGAAGUGAAUACAAUUUAAUUUAUGCAUGACUUGAAAACAGCCUGUAGGUCCUAUGUUUGACAAACUGAACCCCAUUGGGUUAACAAUAAAGACAACUUUUAUUCACAUAUGAAUUAUUUGAAUAUUAAAAAAUGAAGUUUCCAGUCGUCACACAACUUGUACCCAAUAUUGGUUCAGGUAGUACCUGAUGUUGACUAAUGCAGUACAUACAGUCGAUUAAGGUCGUACAUUCAGGAAUAAUGAGGUAGUACAUAAGCUUAACUUACCAGUACAAUAAGGUUAACCAACUGAUCACCAAAACAAACAAUAUAUAGAUAAAAAUGCAUUUCAUCCAUUCUGACCAGCAUUCCCUAUUUUCUAUUUAUGUUAUGAAGGGAAUUAAACCAAUGCAUGGAUACCAAUAGUUCCUAUAUAGCCUUUCCUAUUACCAUCUUCUAAAACGGAUCUCUGAAUCAAUAUCAAUUACUAAUCAACAAGAACAUUAACAUAUAGUAACCAUACAUAUGUUACUAUAUGUUUGAAGAAAUGGGACGUGAUUUGAAACUAUACAUAUAAAACAAAAACAAAAAAACACAACAAAAACUUUAGCACCCAUCAACCAUCAAUAUCACAAAAACCCAAAAAAUUGAGUAAUUUGGAACAACUUUCCCAUCUAAAAAUCACCAUUUAUUAAGAACUUUUUUCGCUCUCAAAAUGAAAACUUCAUCCAGAAAAAUUGUUCCCUUUUGGUCAUCCACUGCAUAGCUUAAUCCAAAAACACAAUCCAAUAAAUGGGUUUCACUAAAAAUGCAUUGUUUCCCAAUACCCAAAAACACCACUAGGAAAAAAAAAAUUCCUUUUUUGCUAAUCAAUUCAAAAUAUGUUUUUCUCAGUUCUAAGCCAAAACAAAAACAAAUGUCUUUUUCAACGAAACAAUUCCUAACCCAUAUUCUUGUCUUUACUUUAUAUCAAAACAACAGAGUUGCGAUAAUUUGUCAAUCCAAAAAAAACAGUACAAAAUCAGAUUUGCAAAAAGACGAUGAUGAUUCAUUACCAACAUAUUUAAAAUUUCAGUACCAACUCCUAAAUGCCAACAUUUCAACCACGCCUGGUUUAGAAAAAACCCACACAAACAGCAGAUUUUCAUGAAUGAGAAUGCGAAUGCAAAACACGGAACAAAUGGCUUACCUCGAUAGAGAAAAUCUAAGAUGUGACAAAUCGGAUUAAGACCUUCUCAACUGAAAUCUGCUUCGCCUCGGUGACGGAGUGAAGAAAUAUGAGAGGAAUGGGUAUCAAAUCAGAGAGAGGGAAGAAAGAACCCUCGACUACACUAUUUUUAUGGGAUUUUCUGCUUCGCCUUGGUGACCGAGUGAAGACAGAUGAGAGGAAUGGGUGCCAAAAUGAGAGAGAGGGAAGAAAGAACGGUCGAUCGGCUAGGGUUUUCUUGUGGGAACUUCUGCUUCGCCUUGGUGACGGACUGCAGAAAGAUGAGAGGAAUGGGUAUCAAAUGAGAAAGAGGGAAGAAAGAACCAUCGGCUAGGGUGUUUUUGUGGGAAGCUCAACAUUUGAUUUUGGAGUUUUCAACCGGUUCAGUUUCAACCCGUGCUGAGAUGGGUUGCUGAUGUGGAUACCUGGAGGGGCAAUUUCGGUAGAAAAAAUACAGCAGGCUCAGAGUGCAUGAAUCUGAUAUAAGUUUCCACAUUGAAAUAUAUUUUUCAUAUUCCAUAAAUCUGGGUUCCAAAAACCAUAUAUUUAGCAAAUUGGUCCAUGAAAACACAACUUUCCCAAAGAGUUAUUAGGCUCAAGCCCUUGUAUUAAAUGUAGGAUUAUAAAAUAUUUAAAAGAGGAAGCCUCGGGCCCACCAACUGCACCCAAACUUAAGUAGAAAUCAGUUUUACUUUUUACAGGAAGGUGCCUUGAAAUUGGAUGAAAUCACUAAAUUGCCAUCAAUAUUCUAAUCUUCCAAAUGAAAGGAUGGUAGUUUAAAAAAUAUAUGAAGAAAAUAAAAUUAAAUAAUAAUAAUAACAAAAUAUAUUAAAGAUAAUAGUAAGAUAGGAGAGCAUGAAUAUAAUGAAGAAAAAAAAUGUUAAAUAAAAUAAAAAACUUGGUGGUGUCCCACUUGAAAAUAGAAAAAAAAGAAAAAAGAAAAACGAAGGUAAUAAGAAAAAGAAAAAAGUGAGAAAAGAAUAUCUAAGUCAAUAGAGAGAGAGAGCGUUACCCUUAAUUUUCCUCGUCACUUUUCCGAAGGUCAUAGGAAGCUACCUGUCUUCCCAACUUUUUAUAUUGUAAUGUCCUUUUUAUAUUGUACAUGCUUUUCUAUACUCACAGGAUGUCUUAUAAAGUUUUUUCUUUUUUCAAUUUAUUCAUUUUAUUUCUUGGAUUGAUUUUCAUGUGAAAAUUCAUUUUAUUUUAAAAAAAUAAUUAUUUUACUGAUUUUUUUAAAUAUUUGAUAUCUCUUAAAUCAUUCAUAAAAUGAAUUAAUUUUUUAAUAAAAGUAUUUUUAAUUUAGAUUUAAAUUAUUUUUCAAUUAUAUUUAGAUGUAUGCAUAUAAAAAAGAUUAUUUUCUAAUAUUUAAUAUUUAAAAUUUUAUUUUAAUAAUAAUCUCUUUAGAAUAUUAUCACGAUUUUUAUUAGAAUUAAUGGUUACAUUUUUAUUCUUCCUUCUUCCAAAAAUAUUUGUACUUCAAAGAUAAAGCUCUUCCAAUAUAAAUGACCCGAGAGACACAGAGCUGUCCCUAACUUUCCUCUUCACUUCCUGGAAGCCGCCUUGCCUUCCCAAUUUCUUAGAUUAUAAGUUAGGGUUGCACAAUCUCCUCAUUCACUCACUAUCCUGAAGGGAAAUCAACCCCUCUAAACUGUCUUUGUAGUUUUGAGAUAGAAACCCAGAAUGGCUUCCACAAGCUCCUUCAGAGCCUCUUCUUCUUCUUCUACUCCUGCCAUCCCUCGAACAAGUACUUAUGAUGUUUUCUUGAGUUUUAGAGGCGAAGACACCCGCUAUAAUUUCACUGAUCACCUCUACAGUGCUUUGGGUAGGAGAGGGAUUCACACCUUCAGAGACGAUAAACUCAGGAGAGGAGAAGCGAUUGCUCCAGAACUCUUGAAAGCCAUUGAAGAAUCAAGGUCUUCCGUAAUUGUUUUCUCUGAAAACUAUGCUCAUUCGAGAUGGUGUUUGGAUGAGUUGGUAAAGAUCAUGGAG